CCUUCCCAUUUUUUUUUUUUGAGAGGUAUUUAUGGGGUGAUUUGAGGGGGACGUGCGUACGAUUUGAGGGUGGUUGGGAAAAACGUGCGUAUGGGUGAGGAGGUUACGGGAUCGUGGGAUGGGGUCGUGGGAUGUGGGUGGUUGUAACCGAUUUGAGGGAAACGUGCGAUGAGAAUCCAGGAUUGUGGGAGAGAUUUUGUAUGGUCACGAUGGGAUUGUGAAAUAAUGGAUGGUUAUGAUGGAAUCGUGGAGAUAUUGGGUGGUUACGAUGGGAUUGUGGGAAUAUUGCGGAUUAGUCCUUUCCCUUUGCUCAUAUUACACCUUAGUGAAUACAAUAAAAUAUUAUAUGAUUAAAGCGGAGCAUUUUGUAAAUACAUGAAAGGGAAAGGGCUAAUAUGCUAUUUUUAAUACCCGUUCGUAUCUACGAGAACGUCCCACUUUUCGUAAUUUAUGCUCCCGGUGCAUGAGAUAUUUUCAAAAUUUAAAUUUUAUCCAUGCACCUGGUGCAUGGAUAAUCUCAUAAACCAUCUCUAUUUUUUAUUUCUUUCUCUCCCCCUUUUUUUUCUUUUUCUUUUUCCUCUUUUAUUCCUCUCUCUUUUUUUUUUUAUGCUUCAACAAGGUCGAGUCCGUGGAGUCGGUAAUCACCUCGUAAUCUUUACUCUUAGUGAAUUAUUUUUUUUUUUUUCGCGUGUUGGUCCCGUGGGUUUUUCUUCAAGUUGGAGUUUUCCCACGUAAAUCUCGGUGUGAUUUUUAUUUUCCGCAUUUAUUUUUAUCGCAUUGAAAUUUGUAGUUUUUGGCUAUUACACCUAUUUACCCCCCUCUUGGUGUUAGAUACAAUCUAAAUAGAUCCUUGGGCUACCCCAAAACUUACAAUAAGAACUACUACGUCUUAAUAAGGAAAUACAAAAUUGGGAACCACUAUAUUCAAUCCAUCUCUCUCUUUCUUGACCCAACCAUAAUGGCCAACCAUGGGGUUGAGCCCUAUUCUCACCUCUAAGUCUUGUGGGAACUUGCUACUACGCUCUAGCAUCCACGUCAAUCGUCUACUUGGGAGCCGCUUCCAUGCCAUAGCACCCAAGGGGAGUAGCUAUUGCACCCCAGCACCCUUUAAUUAAUUGUGACAUCUCCGAAGGACAUGACUUGUGAUGUUGCGACCUCUACAAGCUCUGACAAACUCAAUGACUAUGAUCAUGUUCUCUUAUACAAGAUAACCCUCUACAAUAUCAUGGUAACAACAUCAAGUUGGUUAGAUGGAAAAUCUAGUUAGCAUGCCAACAUGUCAUACAUGGGGCCAAAUUGGAAAGGAUUUUCUCCCAAAAAAGGCUCAAAUCUUUUUUUUUUUUGAAAAUCCGAGGAUGUAGAAACUUAACCAAAACACAAAGAGGCCUACCACAUGCACAAAGGAUUCAUUGUCCAUACAGGCAAAGUCUUCUCUUUACAUACAUGCACUGCGUUGGGAUACAAAGCAAUCAAGCCAAACGGGGGUCUAUUAUCCAACCAAACGAGCAAUAACAACAAGACGAACAGAAUGAAUUUUCACCUUAUUCCUCACAAAUAUAAAUACUUCUUUUCACUAAAACUCUAUUAUUUGCAAAAGUUCAAUGCACUACACUAGUGUUGUAAUGUGUCGCUCUCAGCGGCAUACCAACUGAAAAUUAUUAAUACUUCUCACACCCUACGUUUAUAGCUCUUUUCGCAAAACUAUCAUCAGUGGGUGUCAUGCCCCGAGCCCGCAACAAAAGUAUCUAAGUUCUCUUGGCAACAAAUGUAUCUAAGUUAAGUUCUCUAGGCAAUGUGCGGCUAGGUGUACUUUGUCCUACUCUAAAGUAUCUAAGUUCUCGAAUAAUUUCCUUAUAGAGUCAACCAAUGUCUCCACGACCCAUGGAUCUAUCGUCUUUCCAUCAAAUGUAGGUGAAUUAAACUUCUUGAAGGUUGUGAGGCUCGCAAGUGCUCGCUCCCUCUCCGCCUUCAUCUCUGCAUAAUCAGGAGUUGAUGUACCCCAACCCGUCAAAAGGGUAUCCAUUGCGGCUCCCGAUUCCACAUGACGCGCCGCUACCGAUACGGCCACCACAUUCACCCCUCCGGCUAUAUUUGGGGCAUUGAUUGGAGGAACAAGUUGCACUUGGCCCACCCCAGCCAUGGUCAUUGCUGCGCCACUGUCUCCUGGAGUCUUUUGAUCUGCUCCUCCUGGCGCUGUGUGAUUCCAGCUUGUCGCUGCACCACUCCGAUAAGCACAGCCAAUUGCUCACGGAGGUCCGAAUCUCCACUCGCCUUUGAUUGCUUGGGAACCUUGGUUAGCACUUCUUGCCUAGACCUCAUAGGAGGUCGUCCACGCGGCACCAUCACUUCCUGAAACACAACAACCUUGGUCAAUACCUCAACCCUCAAGGUCUAACACAAAAUAAAUUUCAAAUAACAGAAAUUAGGCAAAAGUUACAUAAGGAUACUUAUUCCCAUCACUUGGCUUCAUGUUGUCAGCUGCCAACAUGAACACCCUUGGCUAAGAAUAAACCACAUCUUAAAUCCACUUGUAACAUCCGAUUAGAGGCAUAGUAACUACUUGACCCAAUUGAUUCAACUUCUGCCACAGUUCAUAGAUCACCGACUCUCACGAGCCUAGGUUCUCAGGGUUAUCCAUCUUAGGGCGUCCUAAGUCCCACCUAGACUGUUUCUGUGCUCUAAUACAGCUUAGUCUAUCAUGCCUUGAGCCCGCAACGGAAGCACCAUUUGACACGUGCACAAACCUGUCGAACGAGCAGAGUCUUUUUUAUUCGCCCAAGAUAUCACAACUUGUAUAUACAAUACAUUCCAUCCAAGAAUGAUAUACAUAGAUUGCAUAAGAUAGAUAUCAUAUUGACAUAAAAGAAAACUAUCUAUUACUUCAUUUCCAUUCAUUACAUGUUUACAUUCAUACAUUGUCUUCCAUAUACAACCCAAAAUAUGCCAUUACAAGUUUGUUUUGUUUUCUUUACAUUUUUCCAACAAGGUACUUCUAUCUCAAAGCCAAAAUAGAAAAGGACCUCUAUCUAUAGUGCUACGCCCUUUUCUCACUUCACCGCAACGCCUGCGAAUGGAGCUGAAAGGUAUAAGAUGAGAACUAUAAGUAUAGUUCCUGGUAGGUAUGGUCACGGAAGGAAAGAGCUUGACCCAUAAAGUCCAAAGGAGGUAAUAUAAGCAUAUAUAAUUGUACAAUAUGUAAUCAACUAAGCAUAUAAGUCUCUACUAUAUGCAAAUAAAAAAAUAGCUAUGCUUAUGCCUCUAUCAUGCGAUAAUGAAAUCCAUACUUAUAAGUUAUACAGUUUUCCAUACCUAUUUUUCUAGUCCUCAACAUAGAUGUAUGUAUAUAACAACACAUGCAUUUUUCUCAUGCAUUAGUAGUUAUUCACUAACAUAUGUUUCAUAUAUAUAUGCGUAUUUACUAGUUAAACUACCAUUUAAAAUUCAUCAAAAUGAAUUACUCUAUACACAUGAAAAGUGACAAAAUUACUUCAGUAAAAUAUAACCCACCUCAAAUCUUCCUAAUUGCUCGUAGACACUUGCAAUUAGAUUCUCAUAGUAGCUAGAAUCGCUCCUCACUGAGCCGAUUCACCGAAAAACACCUAAAACAGUCUGAUUCUUGAAAUUAUCACUGAUCUCUUGCCAUUCCUCAAAAUGAAAUUUUCUCCUGAGUUACUGUAACCUUCAAUUUGGAUUUUCAAGGGUCAAAUAAAUUUUAAACUCUUAAAACACAAAAAUACUAAUUUCCUCUAAGGUUCCCCAAACCUACAAUAAAACCUCCAAAUCUCUUCACAAAAAUCUGUAAUUUGUAGUUUACAUUUAUCUAGGACUUGUAAAAAUCUAUUUUCUAGGAUUUAAUUCAUAACUAUCACUUUAAAUAUCAAAAACUCACCUUUUCCCUAGCUUCCCCAAGCUUCUUCCUAGUCUAAGAAGCUUGCUCUUCACCUCCAAAUCACCUCUUUGCGUGAUCUCUUCCAAGCUCCAAGGUAGGUGAAGAUCUCUAGAGAUAAAGGGAGAAGAGAGUAAGAGGGAAAAGGUAUGUGGUAUGUUCACAGGUGAGGGAGAGAGAGGGUUGCGAUCCUCUUAUUUGCGAUCCUCUUACAUAAGGUGUUGCAAUAAUUGCAACUGACUCACAAUUACAACCAGUCAAAACUAGAAAUUCACAAGCUUUGAGUACUGGCACUUGAGUUUUAGUUCUGGUACACUAGCUUUAGUGCCAGUACUCCAAGCUCAGCUCCGCAGAACUCGAGUAUUUGAUUUCUGAAUUUUCUAUUACAUGCCGGUAUUCACUCAAAUCAGUACCGGCACUCAAUGAAUAAGUAUUGCUACUUGGAAAGAGUUUCGCAAAACCCGAACAUGGUUUCUUCCCUACAAAACAAAGUACCGAAAUCCCAAUUUAGUACCAGUUCCCAAUACAAAAUCUAUAGUUUUCACAAACUUGCCUUUUCAAAGUCUAUUUUCGCACCAAAUUUGUGUCGAAAACACUCGAGUACUCCCUAAACCAUGCUGGGACUAUCCAAAUAGCUUUGAAAGGUACUCCUCACUAGAACUCCGCUAUUUGUAGAAGUUAGUGCUUAGUUUCCUUCUCCUUUUUUUUGCUCUCUUAAAACUGCUAAGUUCAUGUCUACCUCUAAACCCCAUGAAGCUAGGAGUUAAGCCUGAAGAUCUCAAGGAGAAUAAUCCAUGAGCUUCGACUUUGGUUUUCGCAAAAGAGAGGUAAGAUUGGAUUUAUGUUAUGGUGAUUUUGCGAGCUUUGAUCUAUUUCUUUGGUAAUACCAGUUAAGAGUUGGAUUUGGGAAUUUUGAAUUUCAAAGUUGUUAGCAUACGCUUUAAUGGGCGCUAUUGUUGACUAUCAGUGUUUAGUGACGGUUGAGAAGGUUUAGGACAGCCAUCGUCGCAAUUGAUGGCUACACUCGAUGGGUGAUAGUGCUCCAAAACUGGUGACCUUGCUCUAUGUCUCAUUUUCUAAUUUUAUAUGGACGAUUUAGUGUGGUUCAAAAUUAUUGUGAAUUAUUGGCCAUUCCAAUACAUUUGAUAUGCGUGAGUUACUAAUAAAGGUUCUUAAAAUAGUAAAUCGAGAACUAAAAUGACAUGACCAGAACAUUCUGAGAUUUGUUUGAUCAUGACAUGUGAACAUAACCUGCAAAAGCCAAAUUGAGCUCGACUACUUGUGAUACUCGCGUGAGGUUGUGCUCCAGCAAGCGGAGCCUCCGAAGGUGUUUCUGAGGACUGAGAUUUUGGCUGUGUAGCUAAACUCCUUGUUGACGAUGUUUUUGUGUGUAUUUUAAUUACAAAAGCACUCAUCAAGUUUCGGGAGAAAACGAGUUAGAAUGGAGAUUUUACGCGAUCUUUACUUUUCACUUAAAGUGAAUAGUAACCCGGGUUUCCGAAAAGGCCAAUGAAUAGAGAUGGCUUCUGGCGCGUAUCGGACUCCGUUCAUAAUAAUCCAAUAGCUCAUUUUUUAAUGGUCUUACUAUUCUGGAACCAUUGGCGCUGUCAGAUUUCAGAUCUGAUGCAUGGUUUUCGAGAAAACUGGAGAUACAUUUUUUCUAUGUUUUUGUGUGCGGGUUUUGCCUAUUGGUGAGAGGAUGAGUUUCGUCGCGAAUCUGUGACCAAACCAGGCGAAUCAAAAUUGUGAGUUUGAGGUCCUUGUCAUGCUGAUCGUAUUGGUGUGAUCCGUUCGCAAAUCUGACUGACGAAUCUCCUGAUAUCGCGCGUUGAUCGAGGAGGGGUCAUUAGUGGCGAAACGGUAAUUUUGCGAAAAGUCCUACAUUUUAUGUACCGUUUUGCGUGAAAUCGAACGUAGGGGUACACAAACGCAUUUUACUCGUUCUGUGAGGGACUCAGCAUAUAAAUCUGAGUUUUACAGGGACUUUUGCGCGAUUCUAUGGCUUAUAUAUAUUGCAUUUAGGGUUUUCAUGCUAACCCUAACCCUAACCUGAACCUAGCUUUCUCAGCUGCGCCCCCAGCAGCCUCCACCACCUCCUAACCCCUCGCCGCACGCACCCCGGCCGCCAGCGAACGUCUCCGGCCGCCGAAAAAGGCCGGCAUUGCAUCCUCUCCACCAAGCUACCAUUUUCCUGGUCGUGGACCUCAUGGAGUGAACCACACGCAUCGAGCCACCUCCAUCGGCAGAGGCCUGACCUCUGGCGCCGUCCCCACCGGCCCCCGCCAUCCGCGCAUGCCGCAGUAAAGUAAAAGGAUAAUACUAUGACAAUAGGAGUGAAAUAUAAGGUAAUACAAUAUCUGCCCAAAAAGCACGAAAAGGGUGGUCUCUAGUACACUGGUACAGCUCUCAACCUCUCCAAAAUAAAAUGCAUCGAGAGGUAGACCACCUAGCAACUCGUCACUCGCUGAAGAGCUAGCUUGAAGCCACGCCCUUCCCACGGUCCCUAGCCUCUCCCGGCGUGGAAGGCUCUGUAAGAAAACAUAAAAUAGAGGGCGUGAAAACUAUAAUUUAUAGUUCCCAGUGGGCAAUUACUAACCUCAGCUCAAUGCACCACUAGGCCCCAGAAGAAAAGGGUAAGUACGGUAAACAACGAUAAUAAUAAUAACUGCGGUAUGAAAGUAUGCAUGUUUACUAUACCACAAACAUUACGAUGUCAAUGUUCCACAAUUACUUUUUCAUAAUAAAGAAUGUUCAAUGCACAAGUAAUAUGUCUCAACAUGGCCACAGGUACAUGUCACGGUUCACUUUAUGAAGUUAAAUAAUCAUGCUUUAUCAUGGCAACAAUGUAUAUAUGGAUACAAUAAACAACAUCUCCUAGCAUACUACAUGUAUGUAUGUAUACUCUAGUGUCCAAAACUAUGCUAGAAGCACAUCCAAGAAACCCAACUACUACUCUCUAUCUAGUAGUGAUUACAACACACACAACACCGUGUCGAUUUCCAUUUCCAAUUAAGGACCUACCAAAGGUAGUCCAGCUUGUGCCGCCUAAGUACCUAUGGUAGCCCAACAUCCCUACUCUUGGAAUGUGUCUAUCCCACUCGACCCCGUAGGCUUCUCAAUACCGCACGAGCGAACAUAGGUCACAUAGGCUAACUCUGGAGUGCCGGCUUGUAGGGAUCAACCCUCACAACCAUGUGCGAAUGUGCACAAAUGGCAAGCAAGCAUAGUCCAAGUCCCAAUUAUCCAAUCCUCACGUCUCUAACAUGGAAUAGUCACUAGCAUCACGAAGAUCUAGUUUAAGUCACAAUGUGAAGUUCCAACAUUCAUUACGCCUAGUGCCCCUUGAUGACACUUAGACAAUUUAAUGUUCAACAUGUUUCCAAUCCCUCAAUGGCCCUAACCAUAAGGUUCACGCAUGUCCCGAGCUCAAUGCCGCUUGAUGACAUUAGCUCUUUAUUUCACAUAGCAUGCUAGUUCGAUGCCUCUUUAUGGCAUAUUAGCUAACUUUCAUGUCACAAAUAAACUUGGGUUUAAAUGCAUGAUUCAAGCUCAUUUUCAUUAUAAGGAAUAUGGCCCAACAUAAGAAUGCUAAACAAUCAAACAUAGGCUUCAUAUGCAACUCUCUACUAUAUAGGAGUCCAAAAUUGCACUAUAUGUAACAUAGGCAUUUUAAGCAUUCUAAAAUUCGCAAUAAAUACAUAUAACGAGAAUAUGCAUGCUUUUUCAUUUUACAACACUUAAAUCAUCAACAAUGAGAUUUUCUCAUUGUGUGGCUAGGUCAAACCCACCGAACCGUCGCGGUGUCCUUCGUUUCGCCGAAAGGAAUUAUCCACGAGUCUCAAAAUACCCUAAAAGUAGUGAGCGAAGAGAUACACAAGUGUUACGAGAAACUUUAGGCUCAAACAUUAACAACCACAAGAAAAGGGCAAAAACUCACCUAGGGAGUAGAAAUCCUCUCUCAAGCUCCAAAAGAAGGCUAGGAUCCUUCCAAAGCAACCUAAACCAAGGUUCUAAUCUCAUUAGAUUAGCUCAAAAAGCCUCCAAUCAAAAAGCCCCAAAUAAACCCUAGAUUUUCCAUUCUAGGGUUUCAUCCCCCAAAAUCUACCAAAGCUAGGUCUAGAGGGAAGAAACAAACAACCAACCUCAAGAGAGCUCCAAUCCAAGCUCCAAGGGCGAAGAUCUUCUCUCUUGCAAGCUCCAAGUCCAAGCUCCAAGCACCAAGGAAGAAGAGGGGGUGAGGAAGAUGCUCCAAGCCCACUAGUUGCUCUUAAUCUUCUUCUUCUUCUCUCCUUCUUCUCCUUCUCCUUCUCCUUCUUCUUCUUCUCUAUCAAGGGUGUAGAGAGAGUUGAGGGAAGAGAAAUGAGGAGAAGAGAGAGUGGAUGGGUCAUAUAGACCAUCUAUUGCAACAAAAUCCAGCUAGGUCCCUCAAAAAUCCAAAAUUGCAUCAGCCCGGUCUGGGCAAUUUUCGCCCAGAGGGACAGGUCUCUUCCUGCAAGGGACUGGUCUCUCGUGUCGAACCCGAGAAACCAACGUUCGGGAACCAGUCUCUCCCUGCGAGGGACCGGUCUCUCACUGCGAAGACGCGCUCGGGGACCGGUCUCGCCCGCCAGGGACCGGUUGCCUCGCCGACAGCGCAACACUGCUCACUGGGGGACCGGUCUUUCCUAUCAGGGACCGGUCUCCGAGAGUAAAAACUCUCAGGACUCGUCCAAAACUCGGGUUUUCAAACUUUUUGGAUCGGAAAACAUUCUACGACCCUCCACCAAGUGUGGAAAAGCUCGAAACACAUCCAAUCACUCGAACCUCGCAAAUUGCAAAGGUCCAUUGUGUUACAUUCACCCCUCCUAAAAAGGAGUUUCGUCCGCGAAACUCAAAAACAAAGUACCUCAAGCCUCCAUCUGAAAAAGAUGGGGAUAGCGCUCCCAGAGUGCGCUCUCCAACUACCAAGUGGCCUCGCGCUCGUCGUGGUUGCUCCACAGCACCUUCACGUAGGGAAUCUCACGGUUCCGCAAUCUUUUCACCUCGCGAGCCAAAACCCUCAACGGCUGCUCCUCGAAGCUCAAAUCAUCCCUUAGCUCCAUAGGCGUAGCGUCCAACACGUGAGCCGGAUCGUUGACGUACUUCCGAAGGACCGAUACAUGGAAAACGUUGUGUACACCCGAUAGGUUCGGCGGUAGAGCAAGUCUAUACGCUACCGGGCCUACACGCUCCAAAACCUCAUACGGUCCGAUGUAUCGGGGGCUCAGCUUACCCCGGAUUCCAAACCUUCUAAUCCCUCGAGUCGGCGAGACUUUCAAGAAGACAUGAUCUCCAAUCUGAAACUCCAAGUCUCGUCGACGCCGAUCAGCAUAACUCUUUUGCCUACUCUGGGCUGUUACUAGUCGCUCCCGAGCAAUACGAACCCUGUCUUCUGCUUCUUGGAGCACAUCUGGGCCUAAAGCCAAUCUCUCGCCAACUUCACUCCAAUGAAGUGGCGAUCUAUAUUUUCGUCCAUAGAGUGCCUCGAAAGGUGCCAUCUUGAUGCUUGCUUGAUAACUGUUAUUAUAAGCAAACUCUGCCAUCGGUAGAUGAGCGACCAUCUUCCUUGGAAAUCGAUCACACAAGCUCGAAGCAUGUCCUCGAGAGUCUGUAUAGUACGCUCUGACUGCCCAUCACUCUGGGGGUGGAAAGCAGUGCUCAAAUUCAAGCGCGUACCCAAAGCGUCCUGUAGACUGCUCCAAAAAUGAGAUACAAAUCGGGGGUCUCGAUCUGAUACUAUAGAAGUAGGUACCCCGUGCAAUCGCACAGUCUCAUCCAAAUAAACCUAUGCGAGUCUCUCACCAAUCCAAGUAGUGUAGAUAGGUAUGAAAUAGGCCGAUUUCGUCAGCCUAUCCACGAUUACCCAAAUAGCAUCAUACCCGGCCUAUGAGCGUGGCAAUCCUAUUACAAAAUCCAUGGUGAUAUUUUUCCAUUUCCACACUGGAAUCGGUAAGCUCUGCAAUUUUCCCGCCGGAACUCGGUGCUCAGCCUUAACUUGUUGGCAAGUUAAACAUCUAACAACAAACUCACCAUCCUUUUUCAUCCCGGGCCACCAAUAAAGCAACUUCAAGUCCUUGUACAUCUUGGUGCCUCCCGGAUGUAUAGCAUACGGUGCUCGGUGUGCUUCUUGAAGAAUAUCCUCUUUAAUGCCCAAGUCCGUCGGCACGCAAAGUCAUCCGCGGAAAAGCAUCAAUCCAUCACCGUCUAAAGUGAAGUCACUGGUGCAACCAUCAACCAUCUUAGCCCGAAUCUUUUGCAAUUCCACAUCGGAGACUUGCUUUUCUUUAAUCCUUUCCACAAGUGUAAGUUGCACCACCAAAGUCAUCAGUCUUAAAGGUGUAUCAGGAGCCACCACCUCUAACUCCAACCGCUUCAUCUGCUCGAUCAACGGCGGUUGAGUAACCAUAAGCAUCGCUAAGUUUUCCGUCGAUUUCCGACUUAGCGCAUCCGCCACCACGUUAGCCUUGCCUGGGUGGUAAAGUAUAGUCAAGUCAUAAUCUUUGAGUAGCUCCAACCAUCUGCGCUGCCUCGGGUUCAACUCCUUCUGAGUGAAUAAAUACUUUAAGCUCUUGUGAUCCGUAUACACUUCACAUCGCUCGCCAUACAAGUAAUGGCACCAUAGUUUCAAGGCAAAGAGUACGGCCGCCAAUUCCAAAUCAUGGGUAGGAUAGUUUCUUUCAUAUUCCUUCAAUUGGCGAGAAGCAUACGCGAUCACUUUCCCGUCCUGCAUCAAAACACAGCCCAAUUCAUUAAAGGAAGCAUCACUAUAAAUCACAUACCCUGCUCCAGCAGUCGGCAAGGUAACGAUCGGGGCGGUCGUCAACCUCUGCUUCAACUCUUGGAAGCUCUUUUCACACGCAUUAUUCCAAAUAAACUUGGUGCCUUUAUGCGUGAGCCUCGUGAGGGGAGUAGAUAACUUUGCAAAUCCCUCAACGAACCGUCGGUAGUAGCCAGCCAAACCAAUGAAGCUCCGUAUCUCGGUCACGCUCGUCGGCCUCGGCCAAUCCUUGAUAGCUUCAAUUUUCUUUGGAUCCACAGCUAUCCCUGAUCCUAAAAUCAAAUGGCCUAAAAACGCCAACUCUCUAAGUCAAAACUCACACUUUUUCAACUUGGCAUAGAGCUUCUUUUCCCGAAGCACUUGAAGUACAAGUCUCAAGUGUCCCUCAUGAUCCGCAUCACUUCGGGAAUAGACCAAAAUGUCGUCGAUGAAUACUACGACGAACCUGUCUAGAUAAAGCUUGAAAACACGGUUCAUUAGAUCCAUAAAAGCUGCCGAGGCAUUAGUAAGCCCAAACGGCAUAACGGUAAACUCAUAAUGUCCAUACCGUGUUCUAAAAGCCGUCUUCGACACAUCCUCAGGCUUGAUCUUCAACUGGUGAUAUCCCGACUGCAAGUCAAUCUUGGAAUGUACACAAGAUCCCUGGAGCUGAUCAAAUAUAUCAUCAAUCCUCGGUAAUGGAUAUUUGUUCUUGAUCGUGACCUUGUUAAGUUCACGAUAAUCCACGCACAAGCGAAGCGAUCCAUCCUUCUUCUUGACAAAUAGGACUGGAGCUCCCCAAGGUGACACACUCGGUCGCACAAAACCCUUGUCCAGAAGAUCCUGUAACUGUGCCUUCAGCUCCUUCAAUUCUGCUGGGGCCAUCCUAUAGGGUGCCUUUGAGAUCGGAGUAGUACUGGGAACGAGAUUUACCACAAACUCAAUCUCCCUAUCAGGUAGCAUGACCGGAAGCUCCGCUGGGAACACAUCUCCAAACUCCCGCACUACCGGAAUAUCCUCAAUCCUAGGGGCGUCGUCCCUGCGGCCGCCGGCUGCCUUGCUCCCUGCGGCUACCCUGCGCGAGCUCGGGCCGAGCCUUGGCCAGCAUCGCCCUCGCACGCCGCCGCUACCUACGGCCGGCCGAGUUGCCUUUCUCCGAACUCUGGCGACUUCCCACCGUCGUCUCGUAGCUUCCCGACCACCGCCUUGGCCGCUGCGACCCGCUGUACCCGAGCUGGGGCCGUACGGGCUCAGCUUCUCCCUGUGCCGCCACCGCUGCUUCCCGCUGCCGGCCGACCCGCGCACUGCCUCCCCUGGGUCGGCCGCACUCGGCUGCCGCCAGCUCUUUUGCCACCAAAGGCCCCUGACGGUCGUGUUGGAGCCGAGCUCCCCACCACCUUGUGCGGCUAGGGCAUCAGUGCCCGCCACUACCGCCUUCUAUCGCCGGCUGAUGCUCGCCCCGGCCUCCCUCCGUCGCCCGUGCCCCGCCGCUGAGCCGCCACCGGCCAUGCCCUAGUUCCCCUUGGCCUGGUAAGCUUUACUAUGCUGUUUGCGCACUGUUCCUUAUUCGGAUCCCUAUUCCGGCGACCUGGGGCUGUUCCAAUGCCACCGGAGGUGAGCAUGAUGAUCAUUGGUCAGCGCUGAUCACAGUGCUCACCUCAUUUAGGGUCAACGAGCCUCGGAUAAGUGAAUUAGAAGUGUUUUAGGUUCAGCGCGCAGGGUUCGCUGAAUUUCAUGUCGCUCCCACGCUCUCCACAGUGGUCGGCCAUGCUCCGAAUCGUGAACACGGCCUACGGCAUGUCGAGAUCUAUCAACGGGUGUCUCAGCCAGGCUCGGAAGCUCUCGAUUUGCACUGUCGGGCCGUAAAACCCCGAAAAUCACAUAAAAUGAUGUGAUUUUAUGCAGUCGCAGGGGCUUAUGUGCAAAUUUACUUUUCGUGGUUGCUGUGCGCAGUAUGCGGGCAGUGGGUGACCUUCGGACUAGUUGUCCAAGGCCCCUGGCCUUUUCGAAAAUCGGAUGUUGAUUUUCGAUGCGUUUUUCGGCAAAAUCCGCCAACGGAACGUGAUUUCGGUUCAGAAUUCUUCUGACGAUGCCUCACGGUAAAUUAUGUUGUCGCUAAGCCUUGUUGGCUGGUCACUUGUGCCAUUUCGAGGGUUCGAAAAUGACGGGUGAGCGACGGUGGGUUCCGGUGUCGAAUCUGACACUUCCAAGAACCCGGAUCGGAACGAUUAUCCGACGAUAAUCAUUUCGAUGUGAGGAUAUUUGUUUGCUGCCAGCUCACACAAAUUAUAGUGUUUAGUGGCAGCGGGUGACUCGUGACACAAGUCGGUUGUAAGAUAUGGAUCCCGAGGAUCUAAAAGGUAAGUAACACCUAGAGGGGGGUGAAUAGGUGUAAAAACGGCAAACUCGAAAAUCUCGAUGCAAAUAAAACAAAAUAGCGGAAAUUAAAAUAGCACACUGAGAAUUUAACGUGGGAAAACUCCAAUUCGGAGUGAAAAACCCACGGGACCGAUUACGCGAAGAAAAUCCACUAAGAAAACUUGAGUACAAGUGAUUUUGACAAAAAUACACGACUCAAUUUACCGAUUUCUUGUUGAUGGUGAUCUUCGCCGGUCCUCGAUCGAUAGGAAUCCACCAAUCGACCUUGCUGCAACUCCUCGCAACGUCAACGCCUCAACUCCUCGAAGCGUCCACCGAAUCCUCGGCUUCACGCGAGAUUCACCUGUCGAACCUCCUUCCGGAGCUUGUAGAAUCGAAGAUUUGUGAUGAUUUAACUUUUGAAUACCAUAAGCUAUGGGGGUUCACCUUUAAUCAAAAAUCUACUUAAUUUUCGUAUGAGUUCUCGAGUAAAAACGAAGAAUCAAGCCGAUUGUUGAUUGUCAGAAACUCGUUAUGUGAAUCGAAACAUUGAAACGGAAAAAACAAGUUUCUAGGGUUUAGAAUCUGUAAAUAUUUUAAGCCUUAAACUUUUAGAUGACCCACAUAGCUUAUUUAUAUGUUUAGAAGACUUAGAAGUAGACUAGGAUUGCAAAAAGUCCUUUUUUAAAAACCUGUGUCGUCCUCAGUGACCGGUCUUCUCGAGGAGACCGGUCUGUGAGAGAUCGGUCUCUCAAGUGAGGAACCGGUCCCUCACUGCGUGACCAAAAUCACAACGUUCGGGAACCGGUCUCUCAUCACAGGGGACCAGUUGCAUCAAAGUUCACGCAGUGAGGACUUUAGGGGAACCGGUCUCUUGACCUUAGGGACCGGUCCCUGAAUACAGAAAAGUUCAGUAAAGUAUUUUUAAAGCAAUCUAAGCCUUCUGAACUUAUUCUAAUCAAAUAUCUUCAUCACAAAUGAUCUUUUCUUCAUACCUUAGGUGCCGAACUUUACGAGUGAGUCUUUUUCCUUCAAUUUAGAUCUUUUCUUCAAUCUUCUGCAAUCAACUCUUCAAGACUCCAUUCAACAUUACGAAAUCCGCCAACCUAUAAAAUCCUUAACAAUCUCCCCCUUUGGCGAUUUCAUGACAAAAUAUAUUUACAAAGUUCGUACACAACUCAUAAAUAAUAAAAAGAAGAUCAUCGCAAUCACCAAACGAUAAUCUCCUGCAUGAUCGAUCCAAUAAAUGAAAAUUACACUUUUACAACCUUAAUACAAACUCUAUGACUUAGACAUGGAGUCUUGAAGUCUUGAAUUAUUCCUGCAAAAACAUUCUUAAAACAUAAUCAAGAUUCAAGUAAACUUAUCAAGAUCAAACAUAAAUAAAGUAUCAAGUCAUAGUUCAGCAAGUCAAAGUUCAUAGUCAAGCACAAGUCAAAUUUACACAACUAACAUAACUAAGCAAAGCUAAGCUAAAUGCAUAACAUAACUAAGCAAAAUGCCAAAAUGACAAAAUGCAUGCUUCAUCAUCAUCUAAGCUAAAUGCAUGCGUCAUCAUCAUCAAGACCAUCAAGUACCACCACCAUCACCACUUUUUUGUCAGAAAGCGCCAAAUUGACAAAAGAAGGAACCUGGUAACUCCUAAUCGGAGGCAUCCCCUGGAGGUAAAUCUGCUCGGCAACACCCUAACUUGUCAAAAAUCAUAUUCAAUAAGCGCUUCAUCUUGCUCACAUCCUUCCGAAUCGCAGCUUGCUCCGCAGACAAUUUCUGAAGCUCCUCAGAUAGACGUUGUUGCUCACGAUACACAGAGGAAACUGAGAUAUCUUCCUCGGAAAUGUCCAUAGAAGGACGUGAAGAAGUAGCAGUAGCAGGAGGUGGAGCAGCAGGAGGGGAAGAAGCACGCUGAGACGGUGUACGAAGCUGCACCGAGGACUUCACAAAUGUCCUUUCAUUUAUCCGACCCAAACUAUGCUCAUAAGAUGUACACCGGACAUCCACGUCAUGAAGUCGCAGAAUCCUCAUGAUUAUCAAUGGAAAGGGCAGUCUCUCAUUUUGCCCAGAAGUCUUGAUGUCCUUUGCCAUUCUCCGCCAGAUCAGAAACGGAAUAUUCAUGUUAAUAUUUUUGGCACUUACAAUAUCCGGCCUUCCCAAGAGAUACAUAUACAGAAUACGAUCCCAUCUCAGAAUCUUCGUGUUCGCAAGAGGCAAAAUAUUGUAGCAAACCACGAAAUUCAGAAACCUAUACUCCAUUUUGAAAUCUUUGGACAUAACCAUAAUUCCAUUGGACUCAGUGCCCGGCAUACAAAUAGUGUUCACAAUACGGUUCCAAUCGCGAAGUGAGUCGAACCCGGCCUGCAGAUAUUCCACUCCCUCAGUUCUUGCUUCCAUUCCUAGCACAGACGCUAUCGUAUCAGGAGUGAUUGAUAACUCAACACCACGUACGGAAGUCUUAAAUACGUACGGGCCGCCGUCGGAGUCACUCAGGUGACCUGCUCUCAUAUAAAAUUCUCUGAUCAACUCCAAACAAAAACCGGUUUGCUCCGGGAAAUCACAAAUCUGAUGAAGAUUUCCCUGUUCAAAUAAAUCCUGAAAUCCCGGCACACAGCUAAUGAUACUGGCAACGCCAACAUCGCGUUCACCAAUACAAUGCUUCGACGAGUACAUGGACCGUCGAGCAGAAGGAAUAUCCUGCAGACUGUGACAUGGUGGCUCAGAACCUGGUUCUCGAAUUUCAACACCACCAGACUUGCGACGACCGGGACGUUCAGUCGCCUUUCCUUUGCCUUUAUCCACGGCUUUUCCUUUUCCCUUACCUUUCCCUGUAUCCUUAUCCUUAGCUAAUACCUCGGGAACAAAAGCCUCCCAAACCGGCUCGUCCUCCUCAGAGUCGUCGCCAGGAGCAUAUUCGCUCUCUUCAUCUUCCGGUUGAUACUCAAUCGGCCGUUUAGCUUUGGAGCGCUGUCGUUUGCUUCCACGACCACCCCCGGCCAUCAGGACCACAAGCACAAGUAACAAUGAAUACAUUUUGAAGAAUUCCCCUGUUAAACAUAAAAAUAUUUACAUAUGAAACAUAAGAACACUUAAUUUAAUUUUUUUUUUAAUUCCAAAAAAAAUUUCAGCAAAUUGAUAUAUAAAUACUAGAUAAUCCUAGGAGCCACAUAAUCAUCAAAAACAUGGACUAAUCAUGCAACUAAAUCAGCAAAAACAAAUCUUUUUAGGAAAACUUGGAAAACCUAGGUUUUGAUGAUGAAAAACCCACAAAACUUGUUCCAAAAAUAAAGAAAUACUAGAAAAUAAGAAAACAACAGUUCUAAUAACAAGAUCGAAGCAUAAACAUGCAUCUUUCAGCAAGAUCUCUAGAGCAAGCAUCAAAAAAUCUGAAACGAAACACAUUUUCGGAGUAUAUGAUACAAAUGCAACAAACUCCGAAAAUCAAACCUCAAAUCGGUGCUAAACCACGAGGAAUGUGAGGAAAAAAUGCUCUGGAGGCAAGAAAAGUGCAAGAGGAAAAAACAGGGAAAGUUGUGAAAUGCGUACAAGACACACGAGCAAAAACCCCUUUAUUGGGUCGGGCGGAGGGACCGGUCUCUUCUGCCUGGGACCGGUCCCAGAGACCAAAAUUUUUUAAAAAAUUUCAGAUAAGCUCCAAAAAUUCCAGAAAAAAUAUAUAAUAGUCCACAAUGAUAAAUCAACAAAAAUAACCAAAUUUCAUUCCCAAUAACUUCAAAGAAAAAUUCAUAAAUAAAUUUGAAAGAUCAAUUUCAAAGAUACUCAAUUUGGCAAAAUUGUUGGUCCGAAAAUCAAUGACAAUUCGAGAUACAUAUAAAAUCAAAUUCUACACAUCAUGCAAGACCUAGAAAUUGAUUGUAUCAAUUUAUCAUCAUAUUUGUUAAAGACAAUGUAUAAAUAAUUCUCAGAAUUGUGAAAUUAAAAUAAUAUUUUUAAAUUGAGUUAUGCACAAUAGUCAAGACAGGAGUGGCUCUUUAAGCAUCUUUUUAUUAACAUUCCACCUUAUAUCAUCCACAUGAUGUAAAGCUCUUUGAGCAAUUUCCUUUUUUUAUCUCUGAAAGGUACUUCCCUUUUGUUUCAUAGAGAUACAUUAAUCAACAUGUGGUAGCUGCACACACUGACCGGACGACCGGGGUGGUAGCUCUUUCCUCCAGGUGGUGGUAGUUUUCACACUCCCAGUAGGGAUGUAACUCUUUCCAUAUCUUGAAAAUUAGAAAUUUUCAUAACCAAAAUCGGAAAGACUCCCCCUAAAUUAGUGCAACCCUCAAGUCAAAAAUAUUAUUUCAAUUUCAAAAACAGAGAAAAAGUUAUUCAUCUCAAAACUCAUAAUCAGACAAACAAUAGCAACAUUUAAAGUUCGAAGCAUGAGGUAUUAAAUUUGAUUCAGUAUGCAAAACAGAAUCUCAAUGACUUGAUCAUUCAAAAAUUAUGACAAUAUAGAACAAACUUGACAGUGAUCAAUCAAAAAAUAAAUAUGAAAUAAUUAAAGUUACGGACCUAGUCAUCUCCCAAAAGUAGGAACAAUAAUCAGGAAAUUCAAUCAUCUCUCAAGCACAAUCAGGAUAUAACGGAAACCAUUCACAAAAACAAAAAUGCAAUAUGCACAUGAUCUAUGGCUCAAUAGAAUAUAUCUCGAUUGAAGGAUUCAUACCAAUUGCUUUUCUUAAAUGCAGAAAACGCUUUUGAUCCAAAGGUUUGGUUAAAAUAUCUGCAAGUUGAUUUUCAGUUGAAAUAUAUUCAAGUUGUAAAAUGUUUGAUUCAACCAGUUCUCUUAAAAAGUGAUAUCUUAGUUCGAUAUGUUUUGUUCGAGAAUGUAAAACAGGGUUUUUAGAAAUAUUAAUUGCACUUGUGUUGUCACACAGAAUAGUAAGAGUAGUGGAAGGGAUCCGAUAGUCGCUUAGUAAGCUCUUCAUCCAGAUCAAUUGAGUAGAGCAACUUCCUGCCGCAAUGUAUUCAGCUUCUGCAGUGGAAAGUGCAAUACAAUUCUGUUUCUUACUGUGCCAAGCAACCAAACAGUGACCAAUGUAAAAACAAGCUCCACUAGUACUUUUCCGAUCAUCUGCGGAGCCUGCCCAGUCAGCAUCUGAGUAGCCGAUUAGAUCAAGAGAUGUUCCCAUACGAUACCAGAGCCCAUACUCGGUUGUUCCUUUAACAUACCUAAUGAUCCUUUUAACAGCUUUCAGAUGUACUUCCUUAGGGUUAGCCUGAUAACGAGCACAAAUUCCAACACUAGACGCAAUAUCUGGUCUGCUCGCAGUCAAGUACAAUAGGCUACCAAUCAUGCUUCUGUAUUGUUUCUCAUCCACACUCUGACCUUCUGAAUUCAAUCCCAGUCCUUUGUUGCUUGUACCCAUUGGAGUGUCAAAAUCCUUUGCAUUGUCCAAUCCAAAUUUCUUAAUCAGUUCCUUUGCAUACUUGGUCUGAGACAAAUGAAUUCCAUCUUUUGAUUGUUUAACUUGAAGUCCAAGGAAAUAAUUAAGCUCCCCCAUCAUCGACAUCUCAAACUCGCUGGUCAUUAACUUUGCAAAAUCAGCGGCAUCCUUAUCUUUAGUAGCCCCAAAAACUAUGUCAUCCAUAUAUAUUUGUGCCACAAUGAAAUUAUCCUUCAAGUGUUUUACAAAGAGAGUUCUAUCCGCUCCCCCUCGGUUAUAGCCCUUUUUCAAAAGAUAUUUUGUCAAGCAUUCGUACCAUACUCGCGGAGCUUGUUUUAGUCCAUAAAGUGCCUUUUUCAGUCGAAAAACGUGAUUUGGAAAUUUUGAAUCUAUAAAACCUUUCGGUUGUUCAACAUAGACUUCCUCUUUUAAAAAUCUAUUUAGAAACGCACUUUUAACAUCCAUUUGAAAAAGCGUGAUUUUAAAAUGGCAAGCAAUCGCAAACAAGAUACGAAUAGAUUCAAGAUGGGCAACCGGGGCAAAUGUUUCGUCAAAGUCUAUUCCCUCAAUUUGUGAAUACCCCUGAGCAACAAGUCUCGCUUUGUUCCGAACAAUAGUACCAUCCUCAUUUUUCUUAUUCUUAAAGAUCCAUUUGGUACCAAUUAUGUGUUGUUGCUCAGGACGCGGUACUAAUUCCCAUACAUCAUUGCGAACGAAUUGACCAAGUUCUUCUUGCAUGGCAUUUAUCCAAUAUUCAUCAUGAAGAGCUUCGUCGAUAUUCUUUGGCUCGAUCAAAGAAACAUAACACGCAAAUUCACAUUGUAACUGACUUCUUGUUCUCACACCAACAUUAAGAUCCCCAAUGACAUUUGAUAAAGGAUGAUCUCUUGACUCCGUCAGGGGUGUAGUCUCAUGAGAUACGCUAGGGAUUUCAGAUGAGAUGAUUUGAGGCUCAGAUGAAUCAUUUGAUGCAAUAUUUUCGGAAGAUGCAAUAGAAUUAUCAGGUGCAGAAACAUCAUCAUUCACAGGCAAUACAAACGGAGAAUCAUUAUCAUCAUCAUUCAUAAAAGAGUUAGAGGAACCAUUCACAAAAGAACUUACAGAAGAAGCUUCAUCUACUUUUAUAUUAAUGGAUUCUAUCACCGUCUUAGAUCGUAAAUUGUACGCACGAUAAGCACGACUUGUAGUAGAAUAACCAAGAAAAAUUCCUUCGUCACUUCGGGAAUCAAAUUUUCCAAAAUUUUCACGAUCCCGAAGGAUAAAACAUUUACUCCCGAAGACACGAAAGUAUUUAACAUUAGGUUUCCUACCAAGCCAAAGUUCAUAAGGAGUAUUCAAAGUACCCAGGCGCACAUAAAUUCGAUUGAUAACAUAGACAGCCGUGUUCACUGCUUCGGCCCAAAAGUGUAAAGCAAUUUUCUUACUAUGAAGCAUAACGCGAGCCAUCUCCUGUACAACCCGAUUCUUGCGCUCAACCACUCCGUUUUGUUGGGGUGUAUAAGGAGCCGAGAAUUCAUGUUUAAUGCCAUUUGAAACACAAAAAUCAACAAAUUUUGAAUUUAUGAAUUCUCCCCCUUGAUCACUNNNNNNNNNNNNNNNNNNNNNNNNNNNNNNNNNNNNNNNNNNNNNNNNNNNNNNNNNNNNNNNNNNNNNNNNNNNNNNNNNNNNNNNNNNNNNNNNNNNNNNNNNNNNNNNNNNNNNNNNNNNNNNNNNNNNNNNNNNNNNNNNNNNNNNNNNNNNNNNNNNNNNNNNNNNNNNNNNNNNNNNNNNNNNNNNNNNNNNNNNNNNNNNNNNNNNNNNNNNNNNNNNNNNNNNNNNNNNNNNNNNNNNNNNNNNNNNNNNNNNNNNNNNNNNNNNNNNNNNNNNNNNNNNNNNNNNNNNNNNNNNNNNNNNNNNNNNNNNNNNNNNNNNNNNNNNNNNNNNNNNNNNNNNNNNNNNNNNNNNNNNNNNNNNNNNNNNNNNNNNNNNNNNNNNNNNNNNNNNNNNNNNNNNNNNNNNNNNNNNNNNNNNNNNNNNNNNNNNNNNNNNNNNNNNNNNNNNNNNNNNNNNNNNNNNNNNNNNNNNNNNNNNNNNNNNNNNNNNNNNNNNNNNNNNNNNNNNNNNNNNNNNNNNNNNNNNNNNNNNNNNNNNNNNNNNNNNNNNNNNNNNNNNNNNNNNNNNNNNNNNNNNNNNNNNNNNNNNNNNNNNNNNNNNNNNNNNNNNNNNNNNNNNNNNNNNNNNNNNNNNNNNNNNNNNNNNNNNNNNNNNNNNNNNNNNNNNNNNNNNNNNNNNNNNNNNNNNNNNNNNNNNNNNNNNNNNNNNNNNNNNNNNNNNNNNNNNNNNNNNNNNNNNNNNNNNNNNNNNNNNNNNNNNNNNNNNNNNNNNNNNNNNNNNNNNNNNNNNNNNNNNNNNNNNNNNNNNNNNNNNNNNNNNNNNNNNNNNNNNNNNNNNNNNNNNNNNNNNNNNNNNNNNNNNNNNNNNNNNNNNNNNNNNNNNNNNNNNNNNNNNNNNNNNNNNNNNNNNNNNNNNNNNNNNNNNNNNNNNNNNNNNNNNNNNNNNNNNNNNNNNNNNNNNNNNNNNNNNNNNNNNNNNNNNNNNNNNNNNNNNNNNNNNNNNNNNNNNNNNNNNNNNNNNNNNNNNNNNNNNNNNNNNNNNNNNNNNNNNNNNNNNNNNNNNNNNNNNNNNNNNNNNNNNNNNNNNNNNNNNNNNNNNNNNNNNNNNNNNNNNNNNNNNNNNNNNNNNNNNNNNNNNNNNNNNNNNNNNNNNNNNNNNNNNNNNNNNNNNNNNNNNNNNNNNNNNNNNNNNNNNNNNNNNNNNNNNNNNNNNNNNNNNNNNNNNNNNNNNNNNNNNNNNNNNNNNNNNNNNNNNNNNNNNNNNNNNNNNNNNNNNNNNNNNNNNNNNNNNNNNNNNNNNNNNNNNNNNNNNNNNNNNNNNNNNNNNNNNNNNNNNNNNNNNNNNNNNNNNNNNNNNNNNNNNNNNNNNNNNNNNNNNNNNNNNNNNNNNNNNNNNNNNNNNNNNNNNNNNNNNNNNNNNNNNNNNNNNNNNNNNNNNNNNNNNNNNNNNNNNNNNNNNNNNNNNNNNNNNNNNNNNNNNNNNNNNNNNNNNNNNNNNNNNNNNNNNNNNNNNNNNNNNNNNNNNNNNNNNNNNNNNNNNNNNNNNNNNNNNNNNNNNNNNNNNNNNNNNNNNNNNNNNNNNNNNNNNNNNNNNNNNNNNNNNNNNNNNNNNNNNNNNNNNNNNNNNNNNNNNNNNNNNNNNNNNNNNNNNNNNNNNNNNNNNNNNNNNNNNNNNNNNNNNNNNNNNNNNNNNNNNNNNNNNNNNNNNNNNNNNNNNNNNNNNNNNNNNNNNNNNNNNNNNNNNNNNNNNNNNNNNNNNNNNNNNNNNNNNNNNNNNNNNNNNNNNNNNNNNNNNNNNNNNNNNNNNNNNNNNNNNNNNNNNNNNNNNNNNNNNNNNNNNNNNNNNNNNNNNNNNNNNNNNNNNNNNNNNNNNNNNNNNNNNNNNNNNNNNNNNNNNNNNNNNNNNNNNNNNNNNNNNNNNNNNNNNNNNNNNNNNNNNNNNNNNNNNNNNNNNNNNNNNNNNNNNNNNNNNNNNNNNNNNNNNNNNNNNNNNNNNNNNNNNNNNNNNNNNNNNNNNNNNNNNNNNNNNNNNNNNNNNNNNNNNNNNNNNNNNNNNNNNNNNNNNNNNNNNNNNNNNNNNNNNNNNNNNNNNNNNNNNNNNNNNNNNNNNNNNNNNNNNNNNNNNNNNNNNNNNNNNNNNNNNNNNNNNNNNNNNNNNNNNNNNNNNNNNNNNNNNNNNNNNNNNNNNNNNNNNNNNNNNNNNNNNNNNNNNNNNNNNNNNNNNNNNNNNNNNNNNNNNNNNNNNNNNNNNNNNNNNNNNNNNNNNNNNNNNNNNNNNNNNNNNNNNNNNNNNNNNNNNNNNNNNNNNNNNNNNNNNNNNNNNNNNNNNNNNNNNNNNNNNNNNNNNNNNNNNNNNNNNNNNNNNNNNNNNNNNNNNNNNNNNNNNNNNNNNNNNNNNNNNNNNNNNNNNNNNNNNNNNNNNNNNNNNNNNNNNNNNNNNNNNNNNNNNNNNNNNNNNNNNNNNNNNNNNNNNNNNNNNNNNNNNNNNNNNNNNNNNNNNNNNNNNNNNNNNNNNNNNNNNNNNNNNNNNNNNNNNNNNNNNNNNNNNNNNNNNNNNNNNNNNNNNNNNNNNNNNNNNNNNNNNNNNNNNNNNNNNNNNNNNNNNNNNNNNNNNNNNNNNNNNNNNNNNNNNNNNNNNNNNNNNNNNNNNNNNNNNNNNNNNNNNNNNNNNNNNNNNNNNNNNNNNNNNNNNNNNNNNNNNNNNNNNNNNNNNNNNNNNNNNNNNNNNNNNNNNNNNNNNNNNNNNNNNNNNNNNNNNNNNNNNNNNNNNNNNNNNNNNNNNNNNNNNNNNNNNNNNNNNNNNNNNNNNNNNNNNNNNNNNNNNNNNNNNNNNNNNNNNNNNNNNNNNNNNNNNNNNNNNNNNNNNNNNNNNNNNNNNNNNNNNNNNNNNNNNNNNNNNNNNNNNNNNNNNNNNNNNNNNNNNNNNNNNNNNNNNNNNNNNNNNNNNNNNNNNNNNNNNNNNNNNNNNNNNNNNNNNNNNNNNNNNNNNNNNNNNNNNNNNNNNNNNNNNNNNNNNNNNNNNNNNNNNNNNNNNNNNNNNNNNNNNNNNNNNNNNNNNNNNNNNNNNNNNNNNNNNNNNNNNNNNNNNNNNNNNNNNNNNNNNNNNNNNNNNNNNNNNNNNNNNNNNNNNNNNNNNNNNNNNNNNNNNNNNNNNNNNNNNNNNNNNNNNNNNNNNNNNNNNNNNNNNNNNNNNNNNNNNNNNNNNNNNNNNNNNNNNNNNNNNNNNNNNNNNNNNNNNNNNNNNNNNNNNNNNNNNNNNNNNNNNNNNNNNNNNNNNNNNNNNNNNNNNNNNNNNNNNNNNNNNNNNNNNNNNNNNNNNNNNNNNNNNNNNNNNNNNNNNNNNNNNNNNNNNNNNNNNNNNNNNNNNNNNNNNNNNNNNNNNNNNNNNNNNNNNNNNNNNNNNNNNNNNNNNNNNNNNNNNNNNNNNNNNNNNNNNNNNNNNNNNNNNNNNNNNNNNNNNNNNNNNNNNNNNNNNNNNNNNNNNNNNNNNNNNNNNNNNNNNNNNNNNNNNNNNNNNNNNNNNNNNNNNNNNNNNNNNNNNNNNNNNNNNNNNNNNNNNNNNNNNNNNNNNNNNNNNNNNNNNNNNNNNNNNNNNNNNNNNNNNNNNNNNNNNNNNNNNNNNNNNNNNNNNNNNNNNNNNNNNNNNNNNNNNNNNNNNNNNNNNNNNNNNNNNNNNNNNNNNNNNNNNNNNNNNNNNNNNNNNNNNNNNNNNNNNNNNNNNNNNNNNNNNNNNNNNNNNNNNNNNNNNNNNNNNNNNNNNNNNNNNNNNNNNNNNNNNNNNNNNNNNNNNNNNNNNNNNNNNNNNNNNNNNNNNNNNNNNNNNNNNNNNNNNNNNNNNNNNNNNNNNNNNNNNNNNNNNNNNNNNNNNNNNNNNNNNNNNNNNNNNNNNNNNNNNNNNNNNNNNNNNNNNNNNNNNNNNNNNNNNNNNNNNNNNNNNNNNNNNNNNNNNNNNNNNNNNNNNNNNNNNNNNNNNNNNNNNNNNNNNNNNNNNNNNNNNNNNNNNNNNNNNNNNNNNNNNNNNNNNNNNNNNNNNNNNNNNNNNNNNNNNNNNNNNNNNNNNNNNNNNNNNNNNNNNNNNNNNNNNNNNNNNNNNNNNNNNNNNNNNNNNNNNNNNNNNNNNNNNNNNNNNNNNNNNNNNNNNNNNNNNNNNNNNNNNNNNNNNNNNNNNNNNNNNNNNNNNNNNNNNNNNNNNNNNNNNNNNNNNNNNNNNNNNNNNNNNNNNNNNNNNNNNNNNNNNNNNNNNNNNNNNNNNNNNNNNNNNNNNNNNNNNNNNNNNNNNNNNNNNNNNNNNNNNNNNNNNNNNNNNNNNNNNNNNNNNNNNNNNNNNNNNNNNNNNNNNNNNNNNNNNNNNNNNNNNNNNNNNNNNNNNNNNNNNNNNNNNNNNNNNNNNNNNNNNNNNNNNNNNNNNNNNNNNNNNNNNNNNNNNNNNNNNNNNNNNNNNNNNNNNNNNNNNNNNNNNNNNNNNNNNNNNNNNNNNNNNNNNNNNNNNNNNNNNNNNNNNNNNNNNNNNNNNNNNNNNNNNNNNNNNNNNNNNNNNNNNNNNNNNNNNNNNNNNNNNNNNNNNNNNNNNNNNNNNNNNNNNNNNNNNNNNNNNNNNNNNNNNNNNNNNNNNNNNNNNNNNNNNNNNNNNNNNNNNNNNNNNNNNNNNNNNNNNNNNNNNNNNNNNNNNNNNNNNNNNNNNNNNNNNNUGCUACCGCCGUAUCUGCGGGGUGUGUGAUUUGUGGAGGAUCCCACCAGGCGCGGCGGUGUGCACUGCGAGAGGGAAGGUGUUUUCGUUGUGGGCAGUCUGGCCACAUGAAGUAUGAUUGCCCCUUGGACGAUGGACGACUCCCGCCGACAGCGUCGACAUUCACCUCUUCAGGACAGAUGGUGGAUGUGCAGCCUGUGGCACAGUUUGGAGGGCUGGGGGUGGUCGAGCAGCCGGAGGAUUCACAGGAGGCGCCAAGCGGCCCUGGAUACGCGGCUCUUGUCGAGGGACCUGCUGCUGUUGGUGAUGUUACCGCAGGUAUGAUUUAAUUAAGGCAAUCAUACAUUCUAGCAUGAAGUAGUUUGAGCAAUUGCAUGCAUUUUCUUGUGGUCUUUUACUACUAUUUACAUAUUAGUAUAGUAAAGACCAGGACGUGGGUCAGAGGAGUUACCCAGCAUGCAUAAGUCGUGGUGGUAUGUCGCCUACCUAAAGGAAUUGGUGAUUGGUCGGUGCCGGCAAGCUGCUGGUGACGAACCGAGAGUGAGACUCCCUUUGGGGUCUAUGCGUUGUAGAGUGAGGAAGGGCGCAGCUGGCCGUAUGCUGCUUGUAAACAGUCGGCAAAGGUGUGGUGGAAAGGCAUUCGACGGAACCGAUUGCCUGGUAUCCCUCCUAUGGUCGGGGAUAAGUUCGAGAAUUGGUAUUCUCCGUUCACUUUCCCUGACGGUAAGCGAGGAAGCUUCAGAAGGGUUUCUGAAGCUGUAGCAGGUAAACAGCACCGUGAGGCGAUACGAGCGGGAAUUCUCCCGUGUCGUGCGUUGCGUCCCGAACGUAGCGCGGGAUGACAAGGACAUGGCCGACUGCUUUGUGCGUGGACUUCGGCCAGACCUUUGCAAGACAGUGCUUGCACAUAAGUUGCAGACUUUCGCCGACGUCCGGGAUCGGGCCUUUUGGAUAGAACAAGGUGAGGAAUCCCUACGGGAGGAGCGCGAGGCAUACUACAAGGAAAGGGGAAAGGACAGCCAGUGAAUGGACAUGAUGGUCAGUCAAGUUCCCAACGAACUUCGAUAAGUUUGCGCUUGCGAUCCCGAGCUCCAGGGACUUACCACAUUCGGUCCUCGGCGAGAUGUGUGAUUUGUGGGGGCCCUCAUUGCCAUGGCAGUGUGAACAGCGUGAGGGCAAGUGCUUCAGGUAUGGGCUGCCGGGCCAUGUGCGGGACGAGUGUCCGCAAAGGCGAUAGCCGGGCCUUGACGCUAGCGAUGGCCUAUUCCUCUCUGGGACAGCCUGCAGGUGUGCCACCUGCGGCAUGGUCAGGAGAGCGGCUGUUGAGAACAAUGCAAUCAGAGGGUUCGCGACGAGCGCCAAGUGGCCAUGGAUAAGCGACCCGAGUUGCGGUGCCUGCUGUUGUUGGCGUCGUUGUAGCAGGUAUGAAUUAACUGAGCAAGUAUAUUUUUGCAUGAUCUCAAGUUGAUGCAUAGCAUGCAUUUAUCAUAUGGUCAGUUACUACUAUUACUACAUUACAUAGUAGGGACCGAGUGGUCGGGUAAGUAGGUACCCGAGCAUGCUAGCAGGAUGAGAGUAUGACGCCUGCUGGGGCAGGUAGAGAGCCAUUGGGCACUAGCAAAUGGCUAGUGGUGAUUUUGGAUAAGAAACGAGGCUCGUAAUGGGAAAUCGAAAAUAUAAGAGAAUUCUCGAUGCAACAGAUUAGAGAUUGCGAGAGUUGAGCCUUGAUGUUUGGGGACACCCGGAUAUCCCAAGAGUAUUUCGAACGUGGACUCGAUAGAUCGAACAAUGGUGAUGAACCACUGUUGCGAAAUUGGUUGAUUAACGCCGAACUUGGCCUGUGGGCCUAGUAGUACCUCAAACUGAGGAGGACGAGUUGUUGCUCGUGUGGCCGGCGUGCAUAGGCUAAGUUGCCUGAUGCUAGACUUCGUGCGAGACGCUGUAGAGACGUAGAGCGCUCGAGUGUAGUUACGCGUGAAGUGUGGUUUCGAUUCAGCCGGUUGAGUGAAUUGGCAGUAGCACUUUAGCAGGGCUAAGUGUGAAGUAAGCCAUAGAUCACUCGUAGGACUAGUGGCUCGCACUAGGUGCCUAGGAGCCGGUAGAGUGCGUAGCUCUAUAAAGUGUGUCGUGUAGGACGACGUUAGCGGGUAGUGCUUGGGGACGACCCGUGCCUGGACCCUUCGUGGACUGUGGAGCCUGGGCCUAUUUGGCAGGCACAGUCAGCUGCGAGACGCAGCGGCCCAAUACCUAUAGGUAGGGCGGAGAGUUUUGGUCAGGACGGUAGUCCGAGCUUAGACCCGAGUGCGUGGAAUUCCACGUGUUGGAUCGUGAAAUCGAUGAUGCACUGAGAGUGCGGUUGUGACCCAACCCGAGGACUUGACGUGGUUUGGGGGUCUUGGUUGCUCCUAGUUGGAGUGUGUGCGAAUUCUCCAAUGAGAAUUUCGCCCAAUGAUGAUUGGGUCUACGAUGCGAGCGAGAGACGCUAUGCGUAGUGCGACGGGUUUAGACAGUAGGCCUACGUGGUGUUGGUGACCGUUGGUCCACCUGUGGAAGCCGACGUAAUCGGUUUAGCCGAUAACUCCGUGGGGGAGUUGGUGCAAGGGAGGUAAAUUCUCAAAAUGCGAGAGUUGGACUUCACUUAAAAUCGACUAAUUGUCGAGUAGGGGUGCUUCGUGAAAGCCGAAGAAGUCAAAUGCACCAAAAGUGCAUUACAAUGGAGUCCGCGAGAGCAAAUAGUGCAAGAAUUUGCACUUGGCAAACUUGCUCUCGGGGACCGGUCCCUGGCGGGAGGGACCGGUUCCCGAACGUUGUCUACGCGAGCUUGCUCUCGGGGACCGGUCCCAGGAGGGAGGGACCGGUUGCCCCGAGGCUGAGGGCUGUGGCAAGCGCGAGGCAACCGGUCCCUAGGCCAGAGGGACCGGUUCCCGAACACGUUAGAUUUAGGAGGUCCCUCUGGGACCGGUCCCAGGCAGGGAGAGACCGGUCCCCAAGUGUGAAUUUGCCCAGGCAGGCUGGGUUAUGUUGGAAAAAUUUGGAAAACUUGGAGACAACGCUCUUUCAUGGAUUAAGAUUCGAGAUGCGCCGGAGUAGGCCAUCUCUCAAUAGAGCAAAGAUCCAAAUGCGAUUGGAGCACUCGCAGUGGGUCGAUGCACCAAUGAUAUUGCUUCUAAGCGAUAUUGGUGAUCGAAUUGGAGUGUGACCCCUAGAGGGAUGGUGGAAGUGACGAAGAGUCGUAAAUGAGAAAUACGAACUCUUGGAUAGCCAAAGUGGCGGAGCGCCGCUUUGUUGACACUCAGGUGAUUCGAGAGGGCUUACCCCGUGUGUGUUGUGUCGUGGUGGUGGACCAUAUGACUAUUGGUGCGUUCUUGAUAGCUCCACACCAUGGGGAUAGCGGGUAGUCCCGGUCUCGAAGGAAGUGGUUUGGCCUUAGUGGGCCAGUUAGUGAAUNNNNNNNNNNNNNNNNNNNNNNNNNNNNNNNNNNNNNNNNNNNNNNNNNNNNNNNNNNNNNNNNNNNNNNNNNNNNNNNNNNNNNNNNNNNNNNNNNNNNUGAAUUCUAAUUGUUGUUUCCAUCAUCAAUAUUUUAAGCUUUUAAAUUUAUGUGUCUAUUUUCUCAUCUUAGUGCAUAAAUUGUAAAUUUGCUCAACAAUGCAUGCUUUAUCUUUUCAAUCUUUGCUAUGAAGUUGGUCCAACAGAUGACAGUCUUAUCAAUAGUUGUUAGAUAUUGGCGUGGCUUUUCCUCUUAAAAUUUUUUAAAUUUUCUUCUUUGCGUUUACUAGUUCAAAGCAGUUGGCAUAUUGUUAUGUGAGCUUGAGGGUUUAUUGGCUGCUGUCUUCCUAAUAUGCAAAAUUUGAGGAAUCAAAUGCUGCAAUUGAUAUAAUAAUAUGGUAUAAAUGAAAAUUUUGUUCAACAUUCAGUUAGACAUUGCAAUCUAAGCCUAGUUUCGAAUCCAAGGUUUGAGCGUAUUUUCUUCUCAUGUGAUUCAGAUCGAAUGAUAGAAUCAGAUUUUCUUUUCCUUUUGGGUUUGACCUAAGGAUGUGAUGUUCAAAUCAUUAGUUGGAGGAUUUGUACACAACUAUCCCAAAAUACCGGCACCAUUAUUUGGGCAGUAUUAUGUAUCUUGAUAUUGUUUUGAAUUUAUGCAAAUUAGAAAAGGUCCAUGCUGAUGAAAUUCCUUUUGACUUUUUUGUUGCAGAUGGCGGGAUUCUUCAUCUUCUCCAUUGUCUAUCUUUAUCAUAAGUAGAUGGUAUCAGGAGAAGAUCCGGUUGCGGCCGCUGUUUUUUUCCAGUGUUAGUCAUAUUUUGACUGCAAUGGGAUAGGUGGCUUUUUAAGUUAUUCAAGCUUUUAGCUUUAGCUCAUUUAACAUGCACUAUCAUUAUCUCUAGUACUAGUGUAGUGUUUGUUUUAGAUCAGUUUUUAAAUUUUAUAUGCUACAAUCCGUUCGUUUUUCCCCCCUUCUCCAGUGCUAUGCAAAGUACGAAGGGACUAGAAAAGGUUGGAGCUGCGGAAUGCCAACAACAUUACUAGUUUAACAAACAUAUGAUUAUUGUUCCAUGUUUUUGUCUAUUUGUUCACAUUUCCGCCACUAUUUUAGCAAAAUUGUAUUUUUCUAUUUGUAAUAACCAGAUCGCCUAUGGGUGGUGAAAGGGCCUUGCACUUGGUUCGUAUUGUAAAAGAUUCUAGGAGUUGCUAAAUUAAAGGAAUGUCAUUCAAACAAGAUUUACUAGGCAAUAUAAUAUUUUUGUGUUUGGUUUGAUUGAUGAUUUUUCGUAGAUUACUAGAGGGAUAAUUUUCUGAGUACCCCUUCAAAAGCUGAUAAUUACAUAAAUACUUUUCUAAAAAUUGAAAUAUCAUAAAUGCCGCUCUAUAUACGAAAAACUUUUAAAAAUAGCUUUUAAAAUAAUUUUCUGUUAAAAUGUUAACUAAAGGACCUAUGUACCAAUUUUACCCUUAUCAUAAUUGUCCUUACAAAAUUUUCAAAGGUCACUGACUUAUUAUAAAUUUCAUAAACGCCCUUCAAAUUUAAAAAUUUCACAUCAAAUUUAGUUUGGCUCAACGGUCACUCUUUCAAAAAUGCUCUUCUAAAAUUAGUACAUAAUCCUUCUUUCAUGCCUUUAAAUAAGACCAAGCGAUUGAGCAAAGAAUCUCACGCCUUAGAAUGCAAAGUCAUAUUCUAUUUAAAAAUAUUGAUCUUCGUUGUAAGAUUUAUAUUGUGUAAGACACUUCGUUAGAGAAAAAUUAUAGGUUUUUAACAUAAUGAUUUAGAUCUAGAUAUGAAACCUAUGUAAGUCAUUUCAUCAGAAUUUCUCUAUCGAUCAGCUAUUCAAAUAAGAUAAUACUUCCAUCAUGUUAAAUAUUUUCAAAUGUUUCAUUGUGCAUCUCGUCUUUUAAAAUAAGCUUGAUGUUCUUAAACUUUUAUAAAUAUGCCAAAAUAGCCCACUAUGUCAUCUAAUAUUUAUUUGUCGGUAGAAUUUAGAAUCGAUAGAGAUAAAAAGCAUUAUAAUUAAGAAAAUUGGCUAAUACAAUCUAUAACAUAGCAAAUUAACACACAAACAGACUAACAUAGACAUAUGAAGAAAUUGAUACCACUAAAAUACAAAAUAAAAUAGUGCAAGCCACCAACAUACAUUAGUUUUAUAUUUCUCCAAAUACAUUUUGUUUCACAUUUACAUCACAAUUUUCUUUUUAAAUGCUUAAAAACCUAUAAUAACCAAAAAGUGCUAAAAAGUAUUUGAAAUUAUCCACAACCAAAACAACCAAAAAGUAUGUUAAGAGUUAUGCAUCACUAAAAUACCACUUUGAAGUUUGUGCCAGAAUAAUGAUAUCAACAAAAAAGUAGUUUUUGAGAUAGGAAUGAGUGUGUUACCGUGCAGUUGAAGGUUCAAUAUUGGAGAAUAUAGAAAAAGAAAGGCUACCAAAGAAUGGAUUAUGCGCGCAUUGGGUCUUCCAUUACUUCUGUUGUCCGUUAGAGUCCUUCACCGUUGGUCGAUUCUCUAGUGCUUUGUGGUAUGGAAGAGAGCAAGGUCUCUCUUCCCCUUCUUUUUGGGCCUUUUUGGGAUUGUAUUUGGCGUUGUACAUGUAAAAUAUGUACCGGUCUUUUGUCACUUUCUUUUUUUGGCUUGGCUACUACAACAUGCAAUAAUUAAUAAUCGGAUUAGAUAGAUGCAAAAUGUGCAGUUUAAAUAGAUGCUUGAAUUCAAUUAGUAAUAUGAAUGUAACUCAAUUAAGAUCCAAAAGGAGUAUCAGCGAUGGAUGCUUGAGUUCCACAUUAAGGUACUACUUCUAAUGGUACUGGAUUCUUGCAUUUUUUACCAUGAUGCCCAAACUGUUCACAUCUUUUACACUUAUGCAUCCUUUUUGUUGGUUCAUCAAGGGCUCUUAAUUCUUUUCUUUUUUUUAGGUCUACCAACUGGCCUAGACAUAUUUGGUUGCAAUAAAUUAUAGCUAAGAGCAGAUUUUACCCAACCUUCCUUAUUUGGCAUUGGUGCUACCUCAAAGGCAUAAGCUUCUUUGAGUUUGUGUGUGGUAAAAAUUGGGUCCACAUAUUUCUCUAUUUCUAUACCUCUAAGACUGCCUAUGAAGGCAAAAGCACGCGCACACGGUAGCCCCGUUACCUGUUAUAAUUAAAUUAUAUUAUGAAACAGCUAAAAGUAAUCCAACCUAAAAUAUUUAGUUAAAAUGUGUUAAUAUUGUUUAGAGUUACUGCUCUAAAGAGCCUAUUUGACUAGAAAAGUAGCAAAAAGAAUCCAAUAAUACUAAUAUUAAAUGAGUUACCCGCUAGACCCUGCAUGUACAACUACCUUGAUCCAAUAGAACCUCACAUCGGUAAUUGGGACCAAUUAUUUCUGCUCUAUUGUUUGCACUUCUGCAUAUUUUUAUGAUCCCAGUCCCUUGCAAUAAUUAGAAAAAAAAAAUGAAUGAGUUAAUAAUAUAUUAGAAUAAAGAAUGAAUUAUUCUAUAGUAACAUUUGGGUGCAUACCAUAUUUGCACUUCUAAUGUAUUUCAAGAAACUGAAGAAUUGCGAAAUAAACUAAAAUUCGUGAAACUUCAAGCUCGUUACCUUAGAAUAUUUGAGCCCUUAAAUCCUUUUAAAAUUAGACCCAGGGCAAGGAUUUUAUAAAAUAGAGAUUUCAAAUAUUUUCUUGUGAGAAAUAAGGAGUGUUCAAAAUAGAGAUUUUACUUGAUGUAUACUUGUUGGAGAAUAAGAUAAAACUUCAUCCUGUUUAUCACAUUAUUUAGGGAAAACUUCAAAUACCCCUCUUGUGGUUUCACUCUUUCUCAUUUUAGUACCCCGUGGUUUAAAGUGUAUCAAAUUAGUAUCCUGUGGUUUUGCACUUUUUCACCUUAGUAACCUAUGGUUUAAAGUGUAUCAAUUUAAUCACGCUUUCUCACUUUAGUACCCUGUGGUUUAAAAACCAUAGGGUACUAACUUGAUACAAAAAUAAAAUCACGGAGUACUAACUUGAUACACUUUAAACCACAGAGUACUAAAAUGAGAAAGUGCGAAACUACAUGGUACUAACUUGAUACACUUUAAACCAUAGGAUACUAAAAUAAAAAAGAGUGAAACCACAGGGAGAGUUUUUGAAGUUUUCUCCAUUAUUUAUUAUCUUCACGUUUCAAAUGUUGUUUUAGAUUGAAUGUUUUGUUGUUAUUGAUAAGCUUGUAUGGCUUUGAUUGUAUUAUAACGUGAUAUUGUGUAUAUAUAAAAAAGACUCUAUUCGCUUAGACAAAAAAUCUUUUAUAUAUAUAUAUAUAUAUAUAUAUAUGUGACGGAACUGUUCACGCCUUUGUCAGAUUUCUACAAACUUUGAUUUUCAAUAAAAAAAUUGAGCCCUUCCGAUAAAAACCCUUUUUAAAUUAGGCCCGGGGCAUGAUACGCUUGUUUAUACAUACAUCAGAUUUGUUUGGCAACAACAGCCAGAGAGAUAAUAGUAACUUUCACUUUGAACUUUCUUAAAAAAUAACAAACAAAAAACCCUUUUGCAAUCAAGUCAAACUGUACUGCAAGCUACCAACAAUAACAAAAAUAAUAAACUCCACCUAUUAGCACAUCCAAUUAUAUAAAAUUUUCAUUUAUUAAAGUAUAAAAUGGCAACAUUACAAAUAAAGCCCUACCUAUUUCAUGUUGUGCUACAGUUCAGGUAAGAUUGAUACUUAGUUUACCAAUAAUAUUAUCAGCAUAUUCCCAUUAGGAACUGUAAGAAAAGAAAAAAAUUAAAAAAAUGCAGCACUGCUUCAGACAUUUUUCUUUCGAGUAAAAGAUAAUAAUCUUGGAUUAAGAAACUGUGGCCAUCUGAUAUUCAGGUAAAUGUAUGUGUUCUUUCACACAAAACAUUAUCCGUAAAUUCGAUAGGAUAAAUCAGAUCUUCCUGAGCAAGGCCUUGAGAUGCGGCUGCAGGCUUGUCAUAGUAGUAGCCAUCUGAACCACAUAAGAUAGUUCUCCAUCAACCACUUUAAAAUUUCUUGUGAUUUCCUUCACCUGUCGAGAUAAAUUAACAUGAAUAAACGACGAUCUUAUUUAAAAAUUGAACACCAUUGAAGAAUUCCUAAUAGAAAAAUUAAUUUUGGAAGAUUAGCUUUUAAUUGUUUUGAUAGUGUUCUAACUCAAUUAUGUACAAUUAACGCAAAAUUACUGAUAACAUUAAAAAGAUUCUAGUUUAGAAGCAUCAAUACAACAACGUCCUUAUAAUUUAUAACAACUCGAUUAGUUGCUUCUAUAUAAUGCAACAAAGUUGCUUUGCUGUUAAAAUAUUUUGCAUCUAUUAUUAGUCAAUAACAGUUACUUAUGCCUAAAUACUAGUGUAUAUCUAUGCUAUUUUCCUGAUUAAGUAUUACUACCUGAAAAUUGUUUGAUACUUGGAGUUGACUCAAAUUUCCAAAUUACAAUUAUUGGCACAGAUGGUAUUUCACCGGCCAAUAAAAGAACUUACUGGCACUGUUAAUAUAAAGCAAUUGCACAUCAUAUGGUAAACUGCAAAAGAUUUUGAAUAUGCCUAUAAAAGUAAUUAUAUUAAUCAGGAUAGCAGUACUGUAGGUAUCCAUAUCAAAUAUUACUGGAAUAUUUUAGUAAUCAUAUGUUUGCAAUUACCCUCAGUAAAAGAGUAAAUGACCAUUAACAUCUGCUACUCUCCGCUAAGCAUGUUAAUGGAAAGUUAAUAAUUGACCGAAAGUGAGAGGCAUCGAGAACAAAUAGACACAAAAAAAAAUAAGUUCAAGAACUGCAAUUGCACACAUAAGAAGCAGUAAUGUCAUUUUGGAGGGCUGUCCCGUUCUGUGUAUGUGUAUUUAAUAGUCUUGUCAGUGAUGCUGUUUUUGCCAUUUUUCUGCUUUACAGAAAUUAGUUCAAUUUCAUAUCUCACAAAGGUGCUAUGUUCUGAAAACUUAGAUAAUCACAGAUUAUAGGCCAGGAAAAUAAAGGCGGAAAGAUUAAAUACAUACUCUAGAGAACAGAAAUCAUGUGUUUGUAGAUGUUAAACAAAGUUAGAUUGUGUGAAAAAUCUCGGCUCAGGAUCGAUUUAUUUGCAAAGUGAGUGUAAUCCCAUGCAUUCGUGCACUUGUCUAAACAUGUUUCAAACUCAAUCUGCUUCGUGGUGUUCUGAUGGAUAGCAAUAGAGGUUACUAUAAUUAUUUCACUUAGUGUUUGCUUUUGUUGGAGGUUCAACAAAAGCUGCCCAAUGCCUUAUUGAACAUCACUGCACACGUAAUCAUAGUCAAACUAUCGUAAAUGCUUUAAGACUCAAAUGCCGCAUGUUUACUACCCUAAGAGUUUAUUACUACAUUGAGAGUCUUAUGCAUUGUAAGUCUUUAUAGCAACUAAAAGCAAGGAUUGUAAGUGCCGUGGCACGGGGAUCGUGCGCGAAAACUUGCAAAGCACGGCACGGCAUUGUGCGUGCCGGCCGUGCAAUGCGUGCCGGUCACAAAAAAAUAUGAUGUGGCCGACACGUAAUGGCAUGUUAAAUUUAUUUAUUUAGCAACAAAAUAAGCCUCAAUUAAUAUUAUAUAUUUUAUAAAAUCUUUUGAACUUUAUUGAGAAAAUACUACUAAAUAUUCUUAAAUAAGAGAUUUGAGUUGUGUCAUCGGCACGGGGCGUAUCGUGCCGAAUCUUGCGCACAUACAGCAAUGGUAGAUAGCGUGCCCUGCGCGAUGAAGCACUUUAAAUCUUUGGAUAAAAAGCAUUGAAACACAAAAGUAUUGAAUAGGGCUGAAUUCAUUACUCUUUCUCGACUAUAUGUGGCAAUCGAUGUACGAAAUGCAGUAGGGUAGGUUUCAAGAGCAAGCAAUUCUAGGUGUUUUUUCUGAAUCCAAAUGUAAAGAACAGGAAAACAUAAUAUAGUUAAAAUUGAUUCUAUCACUGAAGAGUACCUUUGAUGCAUUUCCAACAAGCAUCGCUUUUGAAGUGUUAACAAUUUUUAUGGCAGCAUGCCAUAGAGGCCUUCGCAUAUUGUGGAACCAAAAAUGGUCAAAGACAUAAUACUGUUACUACUAUAAAGAUGGACAAUCUAAAUGACAGAAAGAAACCUCACUAUAGCAAUGUCAUGCAGUAUAUGACCUCAAUCAAUUAAAAAUUCAAAUAAGAUUAAACCUAAUAACUUAGGCUCAGGGCCUCCUGAAAAAUUUUUUAAACAACUAACCGAUUACAUAUCUGCUUUAUAGUGUUGACUAACAGGUAAUAGGAGGUGAACAUUUGUUUCGCAAAUAUGCUAACUGAAAGGGGGGGGGGGGGGGGGGGGGGGUUGUCUUGUUUUGCCCACAAAUCAUAGGAAAGUUAAUAAUGGACCCUAAAUGACGCAAACGCAUACUUCUUCGUCCUUUAAAAAAAAACCUUGAAAUUCCAACUAAAAUACCUCAGCAGUAAACAAACUUUAUCAUCAGACUAGUGCACUUUCAAAGUUAUGUUCCGAGUCACAUAAUCGCAUCUUAUUUGUGUGAGAUUAACAGACCAAGGUCAAGACAAGGCAAGUUUGUGUAGGAUCAAGAAUCAACCUAGAAGUCCAAUCAGAAAAACUCGCCAGUAACAAUACUGUCCCACCAACUAGAACUACCACUUCCAACUUUCAAUUGAUCCUAAAGGCACCAAUCUUGGUUAAAAAAGCAAUAUUAGUUCAGCGUACCAUGUCCAUUUAAUCAAUUAGAUCAUGUUCAAAAAAGAUCUUUGGAAAACAACAUCUGACCACCAAAUCUUUUGGAUCUAUGAUUUUCCUGGAUUUUCCUUCCCAACUGAUCGUUAGGCUAUGCUGAGGCUUGAUAUUGCUGUUUGGCUAUUAUAUUGUAAAAACCCACUUAAUAUGUCAUGAAUAAUACUUUGUAUAAUUAUUUUACAUAUUGAUAUUUAAAAAAAUGAGUAAACUAUGGAGAUACUGCUUGGGAAAAAUUCUGGUGUACUUAUGUUUACUUUGAUAGAAGGCUCAUUAAGAUGAAAACCCUGCGAAAUAAUCUAAAACAGAUUUCCAGCUUUUAUUUGCUAAAUUAGGUAAAGAUGAUGCUUAAGGUAUAAAUCAUAGUGCAAGACAAAUUUCUCGCAUACAAAACACAAAAGCAAAGAAAGUGAAACAUCAUUAUCGAUACGGUUCAUCUAGGCAUAGCUCAUGUCCUUCAAAUAAUUAUGUAUUUUUAUGCUCUCUUCUAUCUGUUCUAUCACAAAUGUGUAUAUAUAGGCGAUGUAUGUACUUUAUUUUCAUAAAAUCUGUAUCUCUGUAUAUUUCAGUUCACUAUUCGCUGUUGUUAUCCCUGUCAAAUGCAGAACAAAAAAGGGUCCCAAAACCAAACCCUUCCUUAUAUAGCGGUCACCGACUUCAAUUAAGUUAUAAGCGCAAUAUUGAAGCUUUAAUUAGUGUGUUCUUAAUUGGAUUCCCAAUAAUAGCUUGAUUUGAGAUUUUCUCUACGAGGUGUGCCAAGAUUUUAUAUUCAGAUCUAAUGUUCAGUUGUCCCUAACUUUAGACUAACGUUGUCUAGAAUUUUCUCACCCGUAACAUCAGUUUCAAUCUUAAUGAUGAUCUAUAGAAAUGCGGUUAUCUAGGGUCCAUUAUUAAGGAAAUAAUUUCGUAGAUCCUUUCUGAGCAUAGUAAUUUAACAGUUGGAUUAUACGACCUCCACUGGAGUGCAAGGCUACUUCCUGAAUUAAAUAUUUGUCGGCACUGGUACAUGAAGUCUUGAAGACUAAGAAUGCCCCUGUAAAAAUGGAAUAAAAUCAUUCAUUGGAUAUCCUCUUGCGACAUCGCAAAAUAGGUACUUUGACGCUGUCCAUACAUAGUAAAACCAUUGAGGCAGUAGUCAUCAAACAGGGCCUUGUUAUAACCUUGACACUCGUGGGGCAUUCGUGCAUAGUGGAUUUGAGUGGAGUUGUUUCCCCAUAUAACAAAAAUACCAUUGAGGGAGUAAUAAAUUUGAAAUAAAAGGCCCUCAAACUCAUAUAUCUCCAGACAAGAAGAUAACAGAAAUAAAGGCGUAGUGAUUAGUAGACUAGCAUCAUUUUUGUUUUAUGUUUAUAUCAUUCCCAUUCGACGUACUAAAAAAGAGAACCUCAUUUUAAAAUAUGUUCUUUGUCCCCAACUGAAAAGAGAAAAAAGGCAGCUAAGUAUUUAAGGUCUCUCUUUUGUCUUAACACAAGGUGUUCAAGGGUGUAGAUAGCAAACUAGAAGCGCCUCUACGGUGCCUACCAUACUAAUUCAAAUCAAACAGGCAUACUAUAUUCCCGCAUCAAUCAUUUCAAAGUUUAAAUAUUUUUUCGCUUAAUCACAGUCUAUGACUUUUAAAGGUAUUUUGCAUCUUUAGAGAAGUAUAUACGCGUCCCUAUCUGCCAAACAAAUAUCAUUAUAGUUUUGUUAACACGCAAUACUCUUACAAUAGAUGUGGUAAUAUGCAGUUUAACAUGCGCUAAUAAUUAAUCUCGUCCAUGUCAACGUCGCCUUUAGAAGGAGAAAGUGAGAAAAUCCUAAUCUAAACUUAAACCGACCUUAAGGAUUUCGAAGCUCUAUGGUAAUUUCAAUAGCAAAUCUCGCGAGGGAGUGAUACACCACAAAAAAAAAGGAAACGGUUGAUGGUGCUCACGUCAAAUAAAACCUAUUAUUUUAACUACUGUCUAUUUUUGUGACAACACAUGAAUUGUUCUCUUCUUCCUCUUACUGUCCUCUUACUUCCUCUUCUCAGUCUCUAUAAUUACUUUCUCUUUACGCCUCCAUACAAAUCUUCAAUGUUAAAUUACAAUGUAAUAAAACUAGCAACAGGAACAAAAUAAUGGCCAGAUCAUGCGAAAGAGCAUAUAACGAGAGUGGCGUCAAUGUUAGUUUAACGCUGGACCUCGACGAUGCCGGUGCUUUGCGCGAGACGACUCGAGGGAGCCGUCGGGUUUGGGGCGCCAGUAGCCGCUCUCGCGCGUGCAUCGCCUCCCCUCCGACGCAAAGCUUCCACGUCUCUGGCUGUAACGCUAUCACCGGCUACUUGGAACGAAAUUAGAAAUUAAUAAACUCAACAAAUACCCAAAAAGAAAGAGAAAGAAGAAAGAGAAGCAAACAGGUGAGAAGACAAAGAGCAACGCUUUCGCGGAGUGGGAAGAAGAGGACUCCUCGCCGUACGGAAGAUUGAUGGGGGAAGCCGCCCUCGCCUCUGCUCGCCAGCGACCCAAAGGUGGAGAGGGGACGAAGGGCUCCGGGUGCAGCGGCAGCGGAAAGAAACGAUCUGGCAACCUGCCUUUCCCAUGAUUUCCCGGCAGCUUCUUCAAGACUUCAACUGUCGACGGACUCUCCCAUGUUUUACAGUCUUGGCGAGCUCAGCUGUGGAGGAAGUCCGUCGCUCUUACAUGGGGCAUCGGACGAACCGCCGUUCCAGCGAACUCUUACUCCGAAUCAUCGCUCGUCUCCUUUGCAGAUGUCGCCAGGCAGUUUUUGACCAGCAUGUAAAGUUCGAACACAUAGUGUAGCGUUUGGUUUGGGAAAAAACAAACAGUCAACAAAACACAAUAUAAGCAAGAACUAGUUAAAUAUAUAGAUCAUACAAAAUAUCAGAAUAAAAAAAUUAGGCGUUAGAUAAAAAAUUGGAUUUUUCUGAGAAUUAAAAAAAUAUGUAUUUGGUAUAAAAUAAUUGGAAUAAAAAAAUAGCUGGUAAUUUAUAUAAGAAAAUAAAAGGUUGAGGGAUACGUUUACCCGGUAUGAUAGAGAACCAGAACUACUGGUUUAAAAAAUAUGCGUUUGGGAGAUAAAAGAGAUUUACUCCUAUCGCCUCAUCCCUACCAAUUUGCACAUUCAGGUUUUCAUUUCAAUUUUAAUUUUUAAAUUUUAGUGAAUAAAAAUGUCUCAAUUUUAUUUUUCUUUUCAAUUCGACUUGGAAGGUGGAUUGAAAUUAAAUUCGGACAGGAAUAAAUUUAUUCCGAUUAAUUUAAUUUUUUUAAAGCUUCAUGAUUCGUUAAAUUAAAAUAUAAAUUUAUUAAAAAUUAAUUUAGUAAAUUUAAUUUUAAUUUGAUCUUAAAUUAAAAAUUAAAAUUCAAUCAAGUAUUUCGAAUCUAAUUUAUAAAUUUAAAUUUAAAUUUAAAAUCUAAAGUUUUAUUCAAAUUUUAUUUAAAUAUAAAAUAAAUUAACGGAUUCAAAUUGAAAUUGAAAUUAUAAUUUUAAAGUUUGAAUUUGAAUAAAUCGAAAUUUAGUUUUAUAUUUUGAAUUAUCUGUUCAAUUUCAAAUUUUAUAUUUUUUAAAAAAAAAUAUUUAAAAUUUUGACAAAAAAAUUUAAUAUUUAAUUUUCAGUUUGAAUUUCAACUAAUAUAUUAUAAAGAUAAAAUUGAUAUAUUAAUUUGAUUACGUUUCUGAUAUCUAUCUGAACCAAACACUGAGAGUGAGAAUGAUUUAUUCUGAUUCUGAUUCAGAUAGUGAACCAAACAAAAUGAGAUAAUGAAUCAUUCAAAUUUCAUUUCCAGUUUAUUCUCAUUCUGACUCCGAUAUCAAUUCCGACUUCGAACCAAACACACCAUAAUAUUCAAGAGCUAAUUUCAUACAGCACCCCUAAAACAUAUUGAAUAGAAAAUAUAUUUAUACAAAAUUUAACUUUUUAUAGUUAUUCGUUCAAAAAUUCAGUGAUAUUUAUAUUAUUCCAAAAACAUAAAGAAGUUAGUACUUCCGACUUUUUGACCUAUAAAUUAAGAAUUAUAGAUUUGAAUGAUAAUGAUCCCCUAAAUCUUUAGUGAUUCCCCUAAAUUAGAAUCACUAUAUGAGUGGUGCUUCUAAAAGUAUUAUAGUAGGACUCAAAUUUGUAUAGGUAUAAUCAAAUUUAGAACCUUUUUCGGCCCUGCUUUUUUUGGUUCCAAAAGUCCAGUUAACUACAAAAAUUCGUUUGGCAUUUAUGUAUUGCGUUCGUGGGCUGCAAAAACUUGCUUUUUAACAUCCUAACAGCAUAAGCUCCGAAGCUUUUGUGUUGGGAUGUAAAUGGAUACGAAUAUCUGAAUUUUAUUCGAAUCCAAAUUCGAAUAAAGCAGAUUUUAUCCGAUAUAAAUGGAUAUGAAUUCAGAUAUGAUAUUAAAAAAAAAAAAAUCUGAUGGAUUCAAAGUUUGGAUAUGAAUAUUUUAAAAAAACACGAACCCGAUCCGAAAUCAAAUCCGAACCCGAUCUGAAUCCGAACAAAUUUAAUUUGAUAUAAUAUAUAAAAGAACUCAAACUACUAGAUCUGAAUCUAAUGAUCCGAAAUCAACAACCAUUUGUUGGGCUAUAGAACUAUCCUUUAUUUUUUAACUUUUUUAAAAUAUUUGUUUUGUUUCUUUUCUUUAUUACUAUUUUUAAUUUUAGUCUUCAAGUUCUUAUGAGUUGAUUCUUCAGAUCUAUAUGUCAUUUUUAAUUUUUAUUUUUCUCUUAUAGUAUGAAUGUUUAAAAUUGUAUUUGAAUAUGUAAUUUGAAACUUUAGUUUUUUGUAUAAUAUGUUUCGAAAUUUGGUAAAUAUUAUUUUCGGAUUCGGGUUUUCGAGUUUAGAGUUAGGUUUUGAGUUUUUGGUCGGGUUCAGGUUUGUUCCGGAUUCAGGUUCGGAUUCGGAUUUCGAAUCUUUGUCGGAUUCGGGUUUGGAUAUGAAUUUUUAAAAUUCGUCCGAUUCGAAUUCGGUGUCGGGUUCGGAUUUCGGAUUCCGGCUUUUAAAAAUCCGUCCCGAAUCCGACCGGUUGACAUCCCUAGACGUCGGCAGUGGGAAAAAUGAAUCGCAUAUCAGUCCGUACAUCCAUUUUGCAUCCAACGACUCUAAGACCAUCGUACUCCAACCACUCCUCGUGCCUUAAGAUUGAGAAGGAAGUAAGUUAAUUUUCUUUUAAAUAGCGAAAAUACUCGUAAAUAAAAGUUGCAAUUCAAAAGGAAUACAAGCAUUGCACUACAUUGUUUAUUUAAAAUACUUUUUAAUUCAUAAUCCUAUUUUUUUAAAAAAAAUAAUAAUAUAAAUACAUGGCCAUUUUUAAAAUUUUAGUGCUUAUUUUUAGAUUGUAAUCGAGCCCUAUAUUUUUAGUUUCUUUUCUAAUUUUAUCCUUUCGAUUGAAAAAUUGGAUAAUCAAGCGUGAAGCUUUUUAGGUUUCAAAAACGAAAAAAAAAAAAAAAAUGUAUAUGAGAAUGGAGCACCUCGCACCCGAUUCAAGCGCAAGGCGUUCGACACUGAAUUAGGAUCUGAUCUAAUCUUAUCCUAUAUCGGUACAUUCUUAUUCUCCAUCCUACUAAACUGGACUUGCAUUAACUCAGCUAGGGAUGCAAACGGGGCGGAUCCGGGGGCGGGAGAGUUUCCCCACCUCCCGCUCCAUUUCUUAUCGGGGCGGGGCGGAUUCGGGGCGGGUUACUUUUCAUUUUAUUUUUCGCUUCCACUUACCGCUCCAUUCGGGGCGGAUCGGGGCGGGAGCCGGAUUUUUGACGGAUCGGGGCGGAUUGAAGGAAGAAAAGAGUCUCCCACCUCCAGCUCCAUUUACUUGGCGGAUCGGGGGGGAUUCGGGACGGAUUAUAUUUUUUUAUAUUUUUUGUUCCCACUUACCACCCCAUUAGGGGCGGAUCGGGGCGGAGCUCCACCAACCCGGAUCCAUUUGCAUCCCUAAACUCAGCGUGCUCUAUUUAAUCUCCAUUCUACAUAACACAGUACUCGCACUGUCAUAAAUAAACAUGAUUAAAAAGAAUUUUGAACAUUUUAGAAUUAGUUUGGGUUGAAUUAAAUCGAAUUCAGAUCAAAACAGACUUCAGAGGUUCAAAUAUGAUGGAACUGCAGAAAUUAAACAAAGUACCAGAACUAAAUAGCAGUACUACUACCCAGUUGCGCAGCGAGGAAAUUAACCCCCAUUUGGGUUUUGCAAAACUCUUUUCAAGUACCGGCAUUAAUAUGCCGAGUACCGAUACUGAUUCGAGCGAGUAUUGAUACGCGGUAGAAAGUUGAUGAAAUCAACAUUCGAGUUUUGCGAAACUGGACUGAGAGUGUUGGUACUGUUUGCCGUGUAUCGAUACUAGAACCCAAGUACCGGCACUCAUUACUGUGAACAAUAGCUUUUGAGGGAUUGCAAAUAUGAUUAAAUUGGAGAUUUAGGUGCUAUCUUAUAGGCCGAUUUAUGAAGAUCCUAAAGUUUACUCAAAAGAAACAAGUUUAAUCAAAACUGAAGCUUCUAAAAUCGAAAAUUUUUGUUGAAAGAAUAACAGAUGAAAAAAAGAAAAGAAUUGUGCCGAAUUGUCGGCCCAUUUUGAAAGGACUAACCAACUUUAAACAUCAUUUGUUUUAACAUUCUAAUCAUUCAAUUAAUUUGAUAGAAAUUACAUAACUUAGAUGUAUGUUUUAUUGGAGCAAUUAUCCGAGUGACAGAGCUUCUUUUGCAAAUGUAUCAUGGAGAAACUUUUCAUAUUUUCUCAGAUUCAGCAUCCAUCACCAAAGCUUUGCAACUCAGGAGUUAUCACUCAGAUUCGCUAACACCUGAAGCUUGGACAAGAAUCACGGAGCUAUAGUUGCGGAUCGCUUAGCCACUUGGGGACACGCACGCAAAAAGUUUUCUUUAUGAUCGUCUAUUGGUGAUUUUUCUCGGUCUAUAUUCAUUGAUUAAUUAAAUAAAAUCGCCUUAGGGUAUGUUUCCCUCAAAAAAAUACAAAAAUGUAUGUUUUAUUAAACAGGCAUUUAGUCAUCUCAGUUCCAUUAUUUAUCUAAUCAAACGGCAUGUCUAUAUCCAAUUAUUGAAGAAUCACUGCUCAAAUCGGAUAAAAGUUGAAACUUUUAUAUAGAUUUAGUAAUCAUCCCAAAUGGAUCAAAAAGAUUAGUUUCCUUUGUUUUCCAAAAAUAAAAAUACUAAAACAACAAUUUGUUUUUCUUUUGUAGCUAGAAAGGUUAGUGGAUAACAUAUCCUUCAAAAAAUAAAAGAAGGACAAUAAAUCAGAUAAAUAUAAGUGAUUAAAGCCUAAAUACUUCUCAAAAUAAAUCAGACAGUUAACUUUUAUGCUAUUCGCAUCGACACAACAACCAAAUAAAUGAUCAAAAUAGUUAAAUACGAUUCAGACUAUUUGACCUUUUUAGAAAUUAUAUUUAAUGAUAUUUUUCGACCCAGUGUUUGAAAGAAUAAAAUCUCAUUUCUUACGAAGUUUCAAUAGCAGAUUGAAAUUUAAAGGGAAAAUUUCUUGACUACCCCUUCAAAAAUCUGAUAUUUACAUAAAUACCUCUAUAGAAAUUGAAAUAUCAUAAAUGCCCCUCUAUAUAUGAAAAACUUUCAAAUAUAACCUUUAGAAUAAUUUUUCAUUAAAAUUUUCACUAACGGAUGUACAUACCAGUUUUCGCCUUAUCAUAAUUGCCUUUACAAAAGUUUUAACGGUCACUGACUCACUAUAAUUUUUAUAAAUGCCCUUCAAAUUUAAAAAUUUAACUUCCAACUUAUGUGGCUCAACGGUCACUUUUUCAAAAAUGCCAUCCUAAAAGUAGUAAUGUAUUUCUUUCAUGCCUUUAAAUAAGAACAUUCUCCUCUCCUCCAAUAACUUAAAGGAGUUGCUCCCACUUCAUCAAAAUGAGCACUUCGCCAAGUGCUCACUCUGUUUCUUCCUCUUAUCAAGUUCCAUCUUAUCAUUGCGACACACUCUCGAGUUUGGGUAUCAAUGCAACCACAUAGUAGAGGUAAACAAUUUUAUUGUGCUCACUAUGUUUCUUCCUCUUAUCAAGUUCCAUCUUAUUAUUGCAAUACACACUCUUGAGUUUGGGUAUCAAUGCAAUCACAUAAUAGAGAUAAAUGAUUUUAUCGUUGUUCAGACUGGGGAAUAAGUCGAAUUUGACCACUUUAGUUUCAGAUAAUUUUAAUCUCUAAAUAAACUAAUAUUUUGGCAACAUGCAUAGCUUGAGGGAAAAAGGCAUUGCAACCUUUUCUCAUGGGUAGAUGAUGCUCAACAUACAACAAUUGAAUUGAAGUACUAGAUCGAAGGCUUGGAGGAAACGAUUGAGUAAAGAAUCACAUGCCUUGAAUGCAAAGUCAUAUUCUAUCUAAAGAUGUUGAUCUUCAUUGUAAUACUUGUAUUAUGUAAGAUAUUUAGUUAGGGAAAAAUUGUAGGUUUUUAACAAAACGAUUUAGAUCUAGAUAUGAAAUCUAUGUAAGUCAUUUCAUCAGAAUUCCCUCUAUUGAUCAUUGUAAGAUCUGCAUAUUCAUAUAAGAUAAUAUUUAUAUUUUCAAAUGUUUCACUUUGCAUCUUGUCUUUAAAAUAAGCUUGAUCCCUGAACUUCUACAAAUAUACUAAAAUAGUCACUUUGUCAUUUAUCGUUCUUUUUAUUGAAAGAAUUUAGAAUCGAUAGAGAUAAAAAGCAUCAUAAUUAAGAAAAUUAGCUAAUCUAUUACUAUAUACUAAAGUCCGUGGAGGUAGGUUACUAUACUGCCACGUGUCGUCGGGCUACUUUCGGUGCACCUGGUGCACCAUGUGUUAGAAAAUUGCGUGCGAAUAAGCGUAGCGGAAAAAAAAAAUAAAACAAAUUUGGUUUUUAAAACUCAAGAUCCGAUCUCAAAAACUACGUAAUUAGGAUCCCUUAUGUUUUUUAAGAUUAAAAGAGAAAAGAAAGAUCCAAUAUUAACCUUUGCGCUGGUAGAUCUUCACCACAAUUUGAUGAUCGUGAAAUUAGGUUUUCUUGAAGCCGCAUACACUUCUGGCCUCUAUAGGUAUACACACGAGAUUGAUGAUUUGAUCGAUGUCCUUACCGGAAUGCUAGCUCAUUUUCAAAGAGCGUCUUUUUUGCUAGACGAAAAGAGAUAAAGAAAGAGAGAGGAAGAGAGAUGACGGCUAAAAUUUUCGAAAAACUCCCGUAUAUUAAAUAGAGAGAUAUAAUCCUCUUUUAAUAAUAUAAUAAUCAUUAAGGAUAAGAACAAAUUUAGAUUUAAAUUUAUUUUUUGUUUAAUUGGUUAGAUCGAUCAAAUCCUAAUUUGAUUAGAUUUGAACUUUAUCCUAAUUUGAUCAUAUCAAAUUAAUAAUGCAAUAUUUGCACAUAAGUCAUCUCAUAAUUUACUAACCGUUAGUAAGUCCUCUCUUGUAACAUUUAUACUUUGAUACCACUAAUUUGUAACAAUUACAAAUUAGUCCAAUUAUCAAUAUAUUAACAAUUAGGUCCUUUCGACGAUUCAAAAAUCAUUAUCUAGCUAUCCGAUCAGUCAUAAUUUCUUAUGUGUGUGACUCCAUAGGUUCGAUUCUAUUGGGUAGUUAGAUAUAAUUUGAUCACUAUCAACAAUAUCACUAAAACUCCUUUCAGUGGAUCAGAAAAAUUCCAACUCAGCCCAAUGAAAAUUAUAAAUUAUCUAGAUAAUUCUUAUGAGUCUCACAAUCCACCAGUGACACCUAACAGCAUAUAGUGGCAUCCAAUAGAAUGGAAUAUUGAACUACUUGGUGCAGUUAUCGUGUGAUACAACACUUCUAUCAUGAGUCCCGACUAGAUGGAGAUCAUAGAAUAACUCGUCAAACUCCAUCGUCUGUCAUGUGUCAAAUUUAUUCGAAUCGAGUUUCUUAUAUCGAAAACCCUUUUCCGCUAUUAACUUUGUCUUGGCCAAGGUCUUCUAAACUUGGUCUCAUAAAUCAUAUAGGACUAACGCCUCUACCUAUUAAAGGAGAUAGAUUCUAUAUAAGUGCACACCCUAUUCCUAUAAUGAACCUAGUGCAGCCAACAUGUACCGCAAGGAUCCGAAUGGCUAGGGACCAAGUGUAUGUAUAGUCAAACUACAGUAACCUUAUUGUGAAUAGCCGAGGCACUGCAGGUCAAAGGAUCAGUCACACUAUUGCAAUAUUAAGUAAGUCACUGACGAGUGAGUAAACAUAUAAGUGAUUUCUCACGUUGGUCACACUCGGUACCCUUGUUCUAUAACAACCACCUGCAUUUUUGCUCAGUGUUCCUACACUGUUGACUUGAGACUCGUCUGUCGAAAAUGAAAAACGACAUAUGCACCAAUCUCACCGGAUCAAUCACCAUUUCCGUGAUGAUCCAUCGAUCGGGAGCAUUUAGGAAUUAACCACCAAUGUCUCAAAUUCUCAACUCUUGAGAAUACAUGUCAUCAUCUUAUUAAUUUCCUGAACGAUUCAUGGAUACAUACAUCUCCAAAUUUAUUCAUAAUAUUUUUGUCACGCCCCAGAUUCCUCGUUUUUCCUGGUACGCUAACAGACCCGCCGUGUACAAAAUUUUUUUUCCUAUAUACAAAGCGAAGCUGUACAUGUACUUGCAAUCAUACAAUACUACAACCAGUAGUAUAGAGCUGCUAGAAAGGAACAAAANCUAAUCAUAAAUUUAGAAUUUUCUUUAAGUGAUCUAUAAGGUGAUAAGAUGAAUAGUUUAAACUUAACUCAAAGUUUCUCAUUCUAAUCAUAAGCAUAAUAUUAAUCAAUUAAGAAUGGAGAGAGUGAGUUUGUCUAUUUGACAAAAGAAGCAGAAACAGCUUCAAGAGGUGAAGCUUGGUGCCAGAAUAUUGCCCAUCUUGAAUCCUUUUUGAAGAUAGAGAGAUCUAAAACACAAGACUCAAGAUAAAAAGAUUAGUCCAAUAAUCGUGAUUAUUUGUUAUCAUCAAAAUCUAAUAGACGAUUAGGGCCACUAGGCCAACAGGCAAGACAUACCAUACAAAUCACGGCUUCGGCUGCUGCUCCCUUUCCAUCACACCUUAACACCUUUCCAUCUUAUUUAUUUAUUUAAAUUUUCUCGUUUUUCCGUCCGUUCAUUUUUCGGGAAAACACCAGGAACUGUGAGCACACUCAUCCCACCUGUCGAAACUAUACAGCUACCUCCACACUGAACAGUUCGUGGAGAGCAAGUCCAACCAGGACACAACGACACCAACACAAACGCACAAAGCCCUACUCCGGAGUGGCACUCGUGGGCGCUACCCAACUGAGUAUGCAAGCGUAUCUCUGUCGAGCUCAAUCAGGCUCUCAUAGGCUAAGAUCCAAGUAAACAGGAUCUAACUGGUCUAACAACCAAACUCACGUGCCCUAGGCACAAUCUGAUGCAAAAACAGCAAUCUGGGUCCAACGUCAACCUCAACGGCACCCGACAGUCCGAACAACCUAAACACUGCUGUAAAAAUGAGCUAGGUAUCCCAGCAUGAUCGUAAUUAUAUUCUACACUAUCCUAGGUAUCCACCGCCCACAAACUGCGGUGAUACAAUUAAACUACGGCUUCUAGAGCUAAAUCUGGUAGUUUAAGCAUAUGACGGUGUAGAAUCGCUGGUUUUCUCCUAAGUCAUAUCCAAGUCCAACAUGUAUAUAUAUAUAGCUAACAUACUAGGCUCCAAUUCAGAUUUUAAUCAUGCUAAAUCAAUGAAUCGAGCAACUACAAUAUGCUAAACAAAACGACGAAUACAUGUCGACUAUUUCAACUUAGAAGGAAAUCCGCAGAAUUCGGUAAGCAUCAUAUUUAACCCACCUCUCGCGCAACUCCACGGCAGCAAAAAGGUCACGAAUAUGCUUGGAUCCUCAGCCGAACACACUCUCAACCAGCAACAAACCACUUCAAAGAUCUAAACACCAAAAAUCACCAAAAUCCAUCAAUCUACUAAAAUUCAGCACUUAAGCUUAAUUUUCUCACAACUCUAUGUCAAAACUCACCUAACAAUCUUCAAUUCAAGUGAGGAAGGUUCCAAAUCCAGUAGACUAUGAUGGAGAAUCACCCUCUGAUCCAAAAACCCAGCUUCCUCCAAAGAUUGCAUCAAGAACACCAAAACAACUCAAAUCAGCCCAAAACCACCAGCAGCAGAGUAAAACUCAAAAUCAACCAACCUAACCUCAACCAAAAUCUGUCAAAAUAGGCUCCACGAAUUCCUCUUGAAGUCCUGAAUCCACCAAACCAACUUUCAUGGAAAACGGAGCUUCCUACGUUGCACACGAGCCAAAAUGCCGGAGGUCGCUGCUGGAAUUCUGCUGAAACUACAGUCCUCAAGUUUCAAUUUGUGGAAUUUGGAGAAAUUGGAGUAAUUUGAGGAGUUUGGAUGCAAUCUAAGCCUUCACUGUGAAGAGAGGAUGAAAAGAGUUCAUUGGGGUCGAACUCCAGCUAUUUAUAGUGAGCUGGAAGGAUAAAAUAAGCCCCAUGAACAAACACUACAAACCUGCUACACCUGCAGGAAUGCGCACUUUCGGGCGCCCAAAACCCCUUUCUAGGUGUCCGAAACCGCCAGGCUACACCAAUCCUCUUCGUCGGUUUCUCCGCCUACGGUCUGCUGCGCCCAUAUCCUGGUCCGGCGGACCUCACCUACCACCAACCACGCGUCAGCUCAAACGAUAUUCACGAGGUGAACUUUCGAACCCACAACCGGGCGCCUGAAACCAAGAUCCGAAUUGGCUUCCAGUUCAGUUCAAACCAGCACUCAAGUUCUGGGCGACCCAAAUCCAGUUCUGGGCGCCCGAAUCUGGCAAAACUCCAGUUUUGCUUAUUUGAGUGCGCCAAGUCCAUUUCUGCAUCCAUUUCGUGCAGAAAUGACUCCGACUCAGUCCGACACUCUCCAGAUAUAUCGACCAGUCACUAGUACUAUAGCCAAUCCUAUCCAAACCUCAGAAACACUACAUCCGCUUCAUGAAAAUCAGUGACCCAGCCUCGCGUUGCAAGUUCCAGCCUCGUUCUAUGUGUCGACACUUGGAAUCGGGGCCUUCCUUUAAUUAAAGAAAUAAAUUAAUUAAUUGCAUAUUUUUUUGUAAACUUAAAUAACAUGACUAAAUAAUAUAACCGUGCGAACCAAACGCAGGAAUGACACAUUCUUAGUAAUAGGAUGAAUAGGAAUAAGAUUCUCGGACAUCUUUUUAUUGCUAGUAAUAUUUCAUAGUGCGAACCAAACGCACCCUUAGAUAUAUACAUACCCUUAGAGAAAUUUUUCCUCCAAACAAGUCAUAAUCAUUCUUCGUAUUUAAUUAUCAAUAUAACGCAGCGAAUUCAACACGGAUAGCAGCUUAUUUAAAGAAUGAUUGAUCACACUGAGGUUUGAUGUUGAUGAAGAAUUAAAAGAUAGAUCAAGAAGAUGACGAGGAAAUAAAUUAAUGUGCGCUUAAUUUUAUGCACCCAAAUUGUAUACAAAUAGAGGAUAUUGGAUAUUUGUGUAGCAUUUUUACAUCGUAAUUACCUUGAAACAGGCAAGCUUUUCUUUCUUAUCAAAGACGAGAACUCGAUCGGAAUAAAUCAGUAAUUCCAAUGCUGUGUGGUGAAAGAAAGGAAAAGCUAAAUUAUAAAUGAGUAUUGCUAUUCUCGCGGAUUCACCAAAUUUAGAUUUUCCCUUUACAAAUAUCUCUCCCUGUGCUAAAAGUUUGCAUCUUAAUUACUUAUAUAUACUAAAAAUUGCACUAAUUUUCAUCGUGUACUUAAUUUGCUACUAUUUUAGUAAGCCCUAAAAAUUCAGGUUGAUUAUUGAGUUAAGGCGUACAUUUGAAUUAAAAUACGUUUGCAAAUAAUUCUAGUUAUAUUUAAUAAAGUCAGUCACGUAAAUCGAAUAAAAUUAUUCAAUAAUCUAUCAAUUAUAAUAAUUUUAAUAAAAUAGGAGAUAUUUUUCUUUAAGUUUAGAUUUUUUAUUUAAGCUACAAAUGAGAUCAAUGUUGACAUGUGGAAUGAUAUAAUAUUACAAUUGAUUUGAGCAAAUUCUUUUUUUUUUUUUUUUUUGAAAAAAAGGUAGCACGCUACCCGCUUCAUUCAUUGAAAAAGUGAACUCGACUACAUGAGUGAGGCAACAAGGGCCUAAAAAAAAAAAAAAAAAAAAACGCUAAGUAGAUAGGAGAUUUCAAAACUUCGCCAAUUGCUUGGCCGUGUGGACAGCUACCAAUGGGUCCGGCUGAAUUUUACGAAAAACCAAAUCAUUCCUAACUUUCCAAAUGCUCCACCAGCAGGAUAGUAUAUUAGAAAUUCUAUGGCACGCAGUCUGUCCUCCUACCCCACUUUUCCAUCUAUCCAAUACUGAGAUAACAUCGUCACCCAAAUCCCUAGUCUGGGCGUCCUUCCUACCCAUUACUAAGGUGAAUUUGGUGAAAACACACUAUGCAAACAAGUGAUCCAUAGUUUCCCCUUCCGUCCUACACAACACACAAGCUGUGUCUCCUAUCCACCCUCUCUUUACUAGGUUGUUUGCAGUAAGGGGCCUCUUCCUGAUAACCAGCCAGCAGAACACUUUAACUUUUAGCGGUACUCGAAUACUCCAAAUCAGAUUUGCACGUGGAUCUCGCAAACCCCCGUCAGAUAGCGCUGCACAAACCGAUUUGACAGUAAAUCGCCCAUCUGAGUUCCAUCUCCAGAGAAUUUUGUCUGGUCCAUGCUCAACUUUGAGACAGGACACCCUAUCCUUGAACUCAAUUAGGCUAGAACUCAGCCCUUGCGAGAUUCCAGCCUCGUCACCUAAAAUCCUAUUCCAAUGUAAUAUACUGAACUUAAGCAAAUUGCGAAGUUCGAGUGUGUGGAAUGAUAUUUGGAGCUAUCAUACAUUUUCUAAAGGGUUUAGAGAAGAUAUUGGACAAGUUUGAGAGUGAUUGGAAGGCCAGAAGCAAGAAAGUGCAUUGUUCUCGCGAAAUUCAGUAUUUUCUGCAUUGUGUACCGGUACAACCAUCAUUGUGUACCGGUACACAAUGGCAGAUACGUGGCAGCAAGGCUAAUUCGGUAAUUUCACUUCUUAUACCUAUCCUUAUCACCCCAGCAUGACUUCUUCAGCUUUGUGGAUGAUGCUGGAGCUCUGAGAAGUGGUCUUGCACCUCCCUCCUUCUCUCUCUUUAGGGUUUCUCUCUCUUCGAGUGGAAAUCGCCGAUUUGCGCCUAUUUCUUGCCGUUCUUCGCGCUAGCUAGUUUGCGGGCCUUGGAGCAACUGCGGGUGGGUGGAAAGGACUCGCAGGGGAGGUAUUUUCGCAGCUCCAAUUCACAGGAAAGCUGAGUUGAAGUCUAGUGAGGUAAACUAAUUAGUUUCUCUCUAGUUUGAGAUUAGUGAUAGUUUUUUAUGUUGGUUCUUGAUUCUUGCUAUCAGCUGGAUUAAGAUGGUUUAAAGCAGCAAUUGAGGAGUGGCUUUGCUGUAAUUCUUCACCCCAAAGUCAGAUUUAAAGCCAUAGAGGUAAUUAAUGAGCUUUUUCUCUAUUUCGAUGAUGAAAAUGACGAUAUUGGUGAAGUAGUAAUGCAGUUUUCGAAUUUUAUUCACAGUAGGUUUCUGAAUCUAUUGGAGCGGAAUUUGUGACCUUGGGGGCUGGUUUAGAAGGUGUUUCAACCAAGGGUAAGCAGAAUUUUCAGUUAGAAAACUGAUUUCGCAAGAUUCCGGCUAUAUUAGCUAGUAUAUGAGCGUUUUGAUGCCGUUUAAUGUUUGUUCGCAGCGAGAGUGCAAUCGACCCUUGGAUCGUCUUCAGCUGACUUGUGAGAGCUUUUGGAGGUUGAACUUGAGGUAUUAAAGUGAACCAAAACAGGGAUUUAAGUUACUACUUUGUAUUAAGUGAGAAUUAUGCCGAAAUUGGAUAUUUUGGUCAUAGUUUCAAUGCGAUUUUGAUAACUAGUUUUCAGCAGACUUGAGACCCAGUUGAGCUGAUUUUCGGGACUCACUUGGGCUGGUUCGAGCUUAGUACUAAUUAAGUACUUUCACCUAGAUUGAAGAGUAGAUUCGACUGUUCUCUCAAUCUAGGUAAGAUAUUGCUUCGCUUUCGAUAUUUGGACGAAGUGUGGUUCGAGACGUUUUAAUUCAGCUUUUAGCUGAUUUUGAAUUGUUUAUAGGGGACUUGAAGGCAUCGGAUUUACCACGAGUGUGAAUUCUCCGACAAGGGUUGUCGACUUAUAGGUAGGUUUGACCUAACCAAAGCAAGUGAAGCUCCUCUAUGUUCUAUAUGAUACUAUAGAAUUGACACAUAUGUGCGUUUUUGUGAUUAUGUGAUUAUGCGAUCAUGCGAUCGAUAAAGCACUUGGAACAUAUCACCAUAGUGUUUGAUAUAUUUGAAAUAAAAUCUCUAGGAAGUAGAGAACACUAAUGCAUAAAAGUAUUUAUGUUUAUGUUUAGUUCAAUUGAAUAACUAGUGGACAUAUCUAUUAUGCUUCUAUAAAGUAGAGAAUAAUGACAUUCCUUGUGACUAUUUUGAUAGUACCUUAAUAGUAGAAAGUUUCUAAUGUCAUAUGUAAAUUAGCAUUACUUUCAUGUGCUUAUUAAUCUAGUGGAUACUAGCUAUUGUCAUUGUUCAUUGUAUUGAGAAUUCUGAUCAAUAGAUCGAGAGUGAGAACAUUGCAUACUAUGACGUGAGGUUUGAGACAUCUUGGACUAUGGACUUUGCUUGCUUGCCAUUGUGCUCAUUCGCACACGCUUGUGAGGGUAGCUCCCUACAAGCCGGCACUCCGGAGUUGGCCUAUGCGACAGAUUGCUUGCCCGUGUGGGAUUGGGUGCCGAAGUGGAUUGCCGUGGGGAGUGUAUACUACCACGGGGCCAUUAGGCGCGGCGCAAGCUGGACUACCUUGUGUAGGUCCUUAUGAAUGGAAUCAAAGUUCUAAAUGACAGAUGAUUGUAAGGAUUGAUUACCAGUUAUAGUGUAUAGUAUUUACUUACACGUUUAUGCUUAUGUUCAUGUUUAUGUUCAUGCUUACAGUAAUUGCUAUGCUUUAUUAUUCAGUUGAUUCAUUACUGUAGAAAGUAUGAUUACAUGUUGAUUACAUGUUCAUUACCUGUUAGCAUUGUAAAUAUAUCAUGCAAUUACUCCUUUUAUUUUCAUUUAGUAUAUCAUGAGCCUAGUGGUGUAAUUCGCCGAGGCUGGCGGCUUACCCACUGGGAACUAUUGUUUAAUAGUUCUCACGCCCUUUUUAUUGUUGCUUUUACAGAGCCACCUACAGGAGAGGCUAGGGAUCACGGCAAGGGAAUCGCGUCUAGCUAGACCUAGCUUGCGGUUUUACUAGGUGAUCACCUUGCUACUCAUGCCACGGCCGAGGGUGAUGUACCCGUGUAUAGAGAGACUAUCAUUGUAUAUGUAUUUUGAGUAGCCCUGUGAUGUAUGUGAUUAGUUGACUCGAGGAUUAUAGUUUGAUACUUCUCUAUGAUGUUGAGAUUUUGGGUUGAAUACUCUUUGUUUUUCUGUUGAUAGUAUUAUCGACUUAUACUUUGCUCUGAUAUCAGGAUAGGAUUCUUCUAUGUUUUCCUCCUAUCGACAUGUGCUUUUUGUAGACGCCUUAUAUACUGCAGGUGUACGGCGGGUCUGUGCACGUGCCGGAUAUGCUUCCGCUGGUACCCGGGCGUGACAGACUAUAGUGGUAUCAGAGCCUAGGGUGGAGUCUUAGUGGACCUAGCAAACCUUAGGCUGGUUGGACGAUAAGAAUAGGCUCGUGAGAGACGAGGUCUAGUCAAGUUUUUAGCGAAAGUACUUUGAUUGGGUAACUUAUAAACUCCGAAUGGUAGGAGUUUGAUCGGAAUGUACAAUUACUAACUUUGCAGCGGGCCACAUUGGCGGCCGACAACGUGACAUCGGAAGUUUGUAUAUGUUACAUUUCAUUACUUUCGCUUGAUUGGGUGGUCUAUGUCAGAAGUGGGGGUUCCAUAGUAUAAGUUUUAUUAAUCCAUGUUUGUUUAUGCUGCAGCUUAAGAUGCCUUCGACUCGUUCGAAGACCGCCGGGGCGGCUGAGGCGGCUGAUGUGGAGGAAGUGGAGACCUCCGUUACCUCCGAGUUCAGUGGAGUCCGUGAGUUGCAGGAUCAGCUUGCGAUGCUGACAGACUUGGUGACUCAGCAGGCUGCGGCAGCACGACAACAGAUAGAUGCUGCGCGCCGACAGGAUGAAAGAAUGAAGCGGUUAGAGGAUUUAUUACUGCAGCAGACGACUGAUAAAGAGAUUCCUGAUCCCAUGCUGACAGUACCAGAUAGGGAUACGACAGUAAGAGCACAGUCACCAGUGCCAGAUACCUCACCAGUAGCUCCGAGGGCAGAGACACGACAGGAGGUAGUGGUACCACCACCCGUGCAUGUGGCUACGACAGGGACAGUGUUGCCUGAGAUGGUGGGGGCUGAGGAGCGAGAGCGGAUGAUGGAACAACUGAAUGAAUUCCGUCGUUGCAACCCUCGUAUCUUUGACAGGGAAAAAGCAGAUCAUUGGAUGGUCGAGAAAUGGCUGAUGCACAUGAAGAUGCUAUUCUAUGAUACUUUUGUUGAGGAGCGAUACCGGGUUUGGUUUGCGACACACCAUCUUGAUGGCGAGGCUUACAAGUGGUGGCUUGAUAUUCGUGAAGACCGUUGUGUGGACUUGUCAUCGAUCACUUAGAAAAGGUUCAAGGAAUUAUUGUUGACAACUUAUUUCCUGCAAAGUGUAAAGAGGCAGAUGGAAAGGGAUCUGAGAAAUCUGAGGCAGGGGGAUAGAACAGUAGUGGAGUCUGAGCGAGAGUUUUCUCGACUGUUACAUUGUGUUCCUUUUGUGGUCCGAGACGAUGAGGACAAGGCCCGUAUUUUCGAGGUGGGUUUGCGGCCUACGAUUUUCAGGUUGGUCCAGACGUCAAACCUUUCUACUUACAGGGAGGUGGUGAAUCGGGCAUUGAUUGUGGAGAAAGGGGCAGAAAUUAUGAAGGAAAGAGAAGUUGUGGACCGAAGCAAAGGAAAGAGACCAGUGGCUGAGAGUAGCGGUCAGCAAUCCUUCAGGAGACCGCCGAAGUAUCCGAGAGGGCAGUCGGGCUAGUCGAGGGGUCGAGUUUCUUCAGCACCCCGUGGAGUACUCGAGCAUCGUCGACAGCCACGUUGUGUCAUUUGUGGUGGGCCUCAUUUUCCCCCACAGUGUCCACAACGUGGGGACAAGUGUUUUAUCUGCAGCCAGGAGGGCUAUUUUCGCUCAGAGUGUCCGAGAGGUUCUUCGCCUGCCCCAUCAUCAGCAUCUGCACCUGCAUCUUCAGCUCUAAGUCAGGGGACCCCGACAGCACCGUAUCAGUUUAGACGACCACCGGGACAGCGGCAGUCUGAGAGUUCUCGGCAGGGUUCGAGUGGACGUAUGUAUGCCUCCUAGACUGAGGAGGCGGCAGCAGCAGAGGAGGUCGUGGCAGGUAUUAUUAUGAUUUAUGAUGUUCGUGUUCGUGCAUUAUUUGAUACUGGUGCUUCGCAUUCUUUUAUUGAUCGGCAGUUCACCGAGUUGCAUAGCAUUCAAUUAGUACCUACUUUGCAUCCGGGACGAGUGAUCGUGCCCAACCAUACCCUAGAUGUUCAUAAGUUCUGCCCUCGCUGCCCCGUUCGGGUAGGCGACUAGAUUAUGCCAGUGGAUUUGCUAGCACUACACAAACUAGGUGAGUUUGAUGUAGUAUUGGGUAUGGAUUGGUUGACACAGUAUUAUGCUACCAUUGACUGCACGAACAGAACGGUGACCUUUAGGGAAUCGGGUCAGCCUAAGGGGUGUCAGAGUUCACUAUUCACAAUGACUAUUAGCUCUUCGCGAGCACGACAGUUGAUACGGAGGGGUUGUGUAGCCUAUUUGGCUAGUAUUUCUGUGAGUGACGGAGAAGUCGCCAGGAUUGAUGAUAACUCAGUUGUGCGGGAGUUUGGGGAUGUGUUUCCAGCUGAGUUGCUCGGCAUGCCACCUAAUAGGAAAGUUGAGUUUGUGAUAGACCUUGUCCAUGGGAUUACCCCAAUCUCAAAAGCACCCUAUAGGAUGGCACCUGCCGAAUUGAAAGAGCUGAAGGCACAGUUGCAAGAUCUCUUAGAUAAAGGCUUCAUUCGACCGAGUGUGUCACCUUGGUGAGCACCGGUGUUGUUUGUUAAAAAGAAAGAUGGAUCUCUUCGAUUGUGUGUGGAUUACCGAGAAAUCAACAAAGUCACAAUCAAGAAUAAAUAUCCAUUACCCAGAAUUGAUGAUUUAUUCGAUCAGCUGCAAGGAUCGAAAGUGUAUUCUAAGAUUGAUUUGCAAUCAGGUUAUCAUCAGCUUAAGAUCAAGCCUGAAGAUGUUUCCAAGACCGCUUUUAGGACACGAUAUGGGCAUUAUGAAUUUACAGUUAUGCCAUUUGGACUGACAAAUGCCCCAGCAGCCUUUAUGGAUUUAAUGAACCAUGUCUUCAAGCCAUAUUUGGACAGGUUUAUGGUCGUAUUCAUCGACGAUAUCUUGAUCUAUUCUCGAAGUGACGAGAAGCAUGAAAACCAUUUAAGAGUGGUGUUGCAAGUACUUCGAGAAAAGAAACUGUUUGCAAAGUUAAAGAAAUGUGAAUUUUGGCUUCGGGAAGUGGCAUUUUUUGGACAUGUAAUUUCAGAAGCCGGGAUAGCUGUGGAUCCAAAGAAGAUUGAAGCGAUUAAAGAUUGGCCUAGGCCGACCAAUGUUACAGAGAUUCGGAGUUUUCUUGGUUUGGCGGGAUACUACCGAAGAUUUGUAGAAGGGUUUCCGAAGAUGUCUACUCAUCUCACUCGACUCACACAUAAAGGAGCUAAGUUUCUGUGGAAUGAGGUCUGUGAAAGAAGCUUUCAGGAACUGAAAGAAUGGCUGACCACCGCCCCUAUUCUGGCAUUACCUGUUACUGGAGUGGAUUAUGUGAUUUACAGCGAUGCGUCACUGAAUGGAUUGGGGUAUGUUCUAAUGCAGAAUGGCAGAGUAAUUGCUUAUGCAUCUUGCCAAUUAAAGAAUUAUGAAAAGAACUACCCUACACAUGAUCUAGAAUUGGCCGCUGUAGUUUUUGCUCUAAAGCUUUGGCGCCACUACCUCUACGGCGAGCGUUGCGAGGUUUAUACAGAUCAUAAAAGCUUAAAGUAUCUGUUUACUCAGAAGGAAUUAAACUUGAGACAACGCAGAUGGUUGGAGUUGCUCAAAGAUUAUGAUUUGACUAUUCUAUAUCAUCUAGAAAAAGCUAAUGUUGUAGCAGAUGCUGUAAGUCGAAAAUCGACGGAAAAUUUGGCAAUGUCGAUAACUAUGCAACCACUUUUGAUAAAGGAAAUGGAACAGUUGAAUUUGGAAGUUGUAGCUCCUGAUACGCCUGGGCGACUUAUGUCAUUAGUGGUGCAACCUACCCUGGUCGAUCGAAUUAAAGAAAAGCAAGUUCAAGAUGAAUUUUUGCAACGGAUUCGAGCAAAGAUCACUGUUGAUCAUAUUGGUGACUUUCAAGUGGAUGACCAGGGGUUAUUAAGAUUCUGCAAUCGACUUCGUGUAUCAGCAGACUCAGAUAUUAAAGAAGAAAUUUUAAAAAAAACAUUUCGGGCGCCGUAUACUUUGCAUUUUGGAAGUACGAAAAUGUAUAAAGAUUUGAAGUUGACUUACUGAUGGUCUGGAAUGAAAAAGGAAGUCGCAGAUUUUGUGGCUAAAUGCUUAACCUGUCAGCAGGUUAAAGCUGAACAUCGACUUCCUGCAGGAAAACUUCAGAGCUUACCCAUAUCAAUGUGGAAGUGGGAGAGGAUUACUAUGGAUUUUAUUGUUGGAUUACCUCGCUCACAGGCAGGUCAUGAUGCGAUUUGGGUAAUUGUGGAUAGAUUGACCAAAUCUGCUCACUUUAUUCCGAUCCAUACAGUUUGGUCGGGAGAGAGACUCGCACAAGUAUACCUUGAUGAAAUUGUGCGAUUACACGGAGUACCUGCCUCUAUUGUUUCAGACCGCGACACCCGAUUCGUAUCACAUUUUUGGAGGAGUUUACAGGAGGCCCUGGAUACUCGAUUAGAUUUUAGUACUGCUUUGUAACGUACCGAAACCUCGGUAAACUAUAUUUGGACUUUAGCCAAAUGAACUAAAGUACGUGAACGAAAUGGUUGGCCAAGUUCCAAUUGACAUCCCAACCAUGUUAGAAGGGUUAAAAAUGAGUUCUAAAAGAGUUAGAAUGGUGUUAGCGUUGUUCGGUGCGAAAUAGAAUAGAAAACGAACUAAAACUGCACUCUGGAGCAUUGUGUACCGAUACAGGUUGAUGGCUGUACCGGUACAGCAAGCGACCCGAGGUAAAGGCUGCUCUCGGGUUGGCCUCCGCGAAGUCGUGUUACCGGUGACACCAGCCUGCGUACCGGUACACAGUGUCCCCGACAGCACAAUGAAGUCUGCUGCAAAUGUGAUUGUUUGGGGAGUUUAUUUGCAAUUGUUGCAACAUGUAAAAUAACCCAAACACCCUCUCUCUCCCUCUCGUGUCCAUCUCUCUCUCUCCCAACCGUGAGAAGGAAAAGAGAAAGAAAAGAGAAGAAAAAGAGAAGGAAAAAGAGAAAGGAAAAGGAGAAGGAGCUCAAGAGGAGGAAGAUCACCUUCAUCUUCUUCUUCCUCGUGCUUGGAGCAAGCUAGUGAGGUAAGUCCCUUGCCUCCUCUCAUGGUAGGAUCAAGGUUAGGGUCGGGUUUAAAACCCUAGAUCUAGAGAUUUGAUCUCUUUACAAGCUUUAGAACCAUGUAGAGGCCGAAGAACACAUGAAAUCCAUGGUUUCUUCGUAGUGCUCUAAUGGUGGAUUUCUAGGGUUUAUUCCAAAUGCCCUAGAAAUGGUUCAAAUGGUUUGAAAAUGGGAUUAGAGAGCUUCUCGGGUGGUUCUAAGCUUAAUUAUGCUUAGAUAUGAGAUCAAUCCCCAGAAAUUUGAUUAUGGCAUUGUUAGAUCACCAAAUUUGAGGCUUUUGCCUCCGGAUGUUUUCGAGGUAAAUUGACCACGUGGAAACCUAAUUGGGGACCUAACGAACGCGUUGGCGAAGUCAGUUUGACCAUUCGUCAAGUGUACGCGAAGUUAUUGACAAAAUAGUGUUUUGUCGUACAGAUGGCCGCAGCACGCGGAAUAAAGGUCUAAAAAUCAUGAGAUCGGAACCGGAGCACCUUGGAGUCAAGGAAUAAAUUUCGGAAAAGACGGAUCGCGGUUCGGAGGUCGUUUGGAAGUCGUGCAAGAGUUCGGGCCAAACCGGGCAAAGGUUGCCGCGGGAGGCCGAUUGCAAGUGACAACAAGCAAUCGGAGCGCAAGUCAAGGUGGGUUGUGUUUACCGAAAUGACUAGGUCGCCCUUAUGUCUAAGAAAUAGUAAGAAUCCCUAUUGAUGCAUAUAAGUGUAAAUGAGGCAUGUGGAUAAUGUAUGUAGUCAAUGCUAGUUCAUGCAUGUUGAUAGUAUAAUGCAAAAUGCUAAGUAUUGCAUGAGAAUAACGCUAUGAUGUAAAUGCUAAAGUAAAUGCAUGAUUAGCAUUGUGAGACUAUAUGUUUGUGAACUUGUUUGAUAACUCUAGGAUGAGUAGAGAACUCAAAAAUGGAAACGGUAAUGUAGAACACCUAAUUGGACAUAAAUGCACCUAUAGAUCGAGUGGCAUCGAACCUAGAGUCAAGAACAUAGGUUGAACAAAUACGGCAAGAACCUAAUGUUGGUAAAUAUAGGUUGGACAAGAGAAACAAUAAACCUAGUGUCGAUGAACAUUAGGUUAAAUAAGAAUGGCAUUAAACCUAAUGUUAGAGAACAUAGGUUGUGAGAUGAAGAUAAUGAACCUAGAAUCACAUGAACCUAGGUGAGCAAAGGUAAUGAACCUAGAGUUAAUAACCUAGGCUAUGAGUAUGGUAAUAAUGAACCUAAAGUAUUAACUUAGGUUGAGUAAAGGCUUGGACCUAGAUAGGUCAACUCCUUAGGGUUAAGACUAACCCUCGAGUUGUGUGAAAUGGAUUCCGGAAUUCCAAAGCUAAAAGAAUGCGCCGAGAGUGGCAAAAGGAUACACCCAAAGUGGUGUUGGGUGUGUGCGACGAUUUCGCCGCCCAGGGCUAACCAUUGUCGUGGCGUGUGCGACGAUUUCGCCGCCGGAUGGUUGAGCCAGUUGAGGAUUGUACCGCCGGUUGACUUGAACCACUGUCGUGGCGUUUGUGCGACGAUUUCGCCGCAGGGUGGUUAAGUCAUGACCUAGGCCGUUGUUGGGUGAGGUGCGAUUCGUUCGCCGCCAGACGACUAGAGCAGGAGGGCGGGGGGCUGAUGAGCAGCCAGAGCGCGGAUUAUCCGCAGUUGAUUGACUCAAGACCGAGUCGGGUGGCAUAGAUGACUAAGGUAGAGAUAACCUUAGAUAUGAGUUGCCAAUGACUAUGGCAAAGAAUAAGAAUGGCUAGCAAUAAUUAAGAAUAUUAACGAAUAAAGAAUCGCCAAUGGGUGUAGUGUAAAGAAUGAUAAUGAAUAAAGAGUAAAGAAUGAAAGAGCAGGGUAGGAUUAAUUACCCCACUGGGCUAGUUUCAUGAUCGUUGCAUAUUGCAUUUCGGGAGGCAGGACAUCUUAGUUCAAUAUCUGCUAUAUAUCUGUUAUAUGUUAUUGGACUAACUUGUUGCAGGGCCUCAUUAGACAUAUCGAUCGAGCUUUUUCCUUGGGUGGUCGUACCCACUGGGAACCAUGGAGUUGGUUCUCACCCCAUGUUGUUUUGGGGUGUUUGCAGGUACACGCGUGAGCGGCGCUGCGGCGCGAGGCAAGGGCGUAGCUCCGUAGAUAGCGCCCUACCCCAGAGACUGAGGUAGCAGUACCCGAGUCGGUGGUCUAGCUUGGGAAGUUUAAAGACAAGAACAAACUUAGAUCAAGUUGUAAUAAUUGGGAUUGUAUUUGGAAGAUGAGUGUAAAAGAAGAUUAUGUGAAAAAAUGUAUGUAUGUUGAAUGUUGUAAUAACUUAGUAGUAUUAUAUUUUUGAUACUUCCUUAUGCAAUCUAUGAAUGAAUACUGUUCCUGGUUGGAACCUCUUGUAUUGUGUUGAUUGCAAUGCCUUGGACGUACAGGGGAGACUCUGUCCGUUCGGCGGUCUGUUAACGUGGCCGAACUCGACCAAAUAGGCGGGGCGCGGGGCGUGACAGCUUUCCACCCCCAGAGUGACGGGCAAUCUGAGCGUACCAUCCAGACCCUUGAGGAUAUGUUGCGGGCCUGUGUGAUUGAUUUUCAGGGCAAUUGGCCACAGUUCCUACCUAUGGCGGAAUUUGCUUAUAACAAUAGUUAUCAAGCAAGUAUUCAAAUGGCACCGUUUGAAGCUCUUUAUGAUAGGAAGUGUAGAUCACCACUUCAUUAGAGUGAAGUAGGUGAGAGAUUAGUCUUGGGUCCAGAUGUGCUACAGGAGGCUGAAGCUAAAGUUCGACUUGCACGAGAACGUCUACUGACAGCUCAAAGUCGACAAAAGAGCUACGCGGAUAAACGUCGGCGAGAAUUGGAAUUCCAAGUUGGAGACCAUGUGUUCUUAAAGAUUUUCCCAACAAAAGGAGUUAAGAGAUUUGGUAUUCGAGGGAAGCUGAGUCCUUGAUUUAUUGGAUCCUACGAGGUUUUGGAACGGAUAGGGCCGGUAGCGUAUCGGCUUGCGUUGCCGCCGAACCUAUCAGGAGUGCAUAAUGUGUUUCAUGUAUCUACACUGCGAAAAUAUGUUUUUGAUCCGACCCAUAUAUUGGAAAGUAUUCCAGUAGAAUUGCGAGAAGAUUUGAGUUUUGAGGAACAUCCAAUGAAAAUUCUAGCUCGAGAGGUGAAACGGCUUCGAAACCGCGAGAUACCCUACGUGAAGAUCCUUUGGAGCAACCAUGAUGAACGAAAAGCCACGGGGAACUGGAAAGUGCAGUGUUGGAGCACUAUCCCCACCUUUUCCCGAUUGAAUCUUGAGGUAAUUGAUUAAAGUUUCGCGGACGAAACUCCUUUUUAGGAGGGGUGAAUGUAAUACACUGAACUUAAGCAAAUUGCGAAGUUCGAGUGUGUGGAAUGAUAUUUAGAGCUAUCCUACAUUUUUUAAAGAGUUUAGAGAAGAUAUUGGACAAGUUUGAGAGUGAUUGGAAGGCCAGAAGCAAGAAAGUGUAUUGUUCUGGCGAAAUUCAGUAUUUUCUGCCUUGUGUACCGGUACAGCCAUCAUUGUGUACCGGUACACAAUGGCAGAUACGUGGCAGCAAGGCUAAUUUGGUAAUUUUACUUCUUAUACCUACCUUAUCACCCCAGCACGACUCCUUCAGCUUUGUGGAUGAUGUUGGAGCUCUGAUAAGUGGUCUUGCACCUCCCUCCUUCUCUCUCUCUAGGGUUUCUCUCUCUUCGAGUAGAAAUCGCCGAUUUGCGCCUAUUUCUCGCCGUUCUUCGCACUAGCUGGUUUGCGAGCCUUGGAGCAACUGCGGGUGGGUGGAAAGGACUCGCAGGGGAGGUAUUUUCGCAGCUCCGACUCACAGGAAAGCUGAGUUGAAGUCUAGUGAGGUAAAUUAAUUAGUUUUUCUUUCUAGUUUGAGAUUAGUGAUAGUUUUUUAUGUUGGUUCUUGAUUCUUGCUACCAACUGGAUUGAGAUGGUUUAAAGUAGCAAUUGAGGAGUGGUUUUGCUGUAAUUCUUCACCCCAAAGUCAGAUUUAAAGCCUUAGAGGUAAUUAAUGAGCUUUUUCUCUAUUUCGAUGAUGAAAAUGACGAUAUUGGUGAAGUAGUAAUGUAGUUUUGAGAUUUUAUUCAUAGCAGGUUUUCGAAUCUAUUUGAGCUAAAUUUGUGACCUUGGGGGCUGGUUUAGAAGGUGUUUCAACCAGGGGUAAGCAGAAUUUUCAGUUAGAAAACUGAUUUCGCAAGAUUCCGGCUAUAUUAGCUAGUAUACGAGCGUUUUGAUGCCGUUUAAUGUUUGUUCGCAGUGAGAGUGCAAUCGACCCUUGGAUCGUCUUCGGCUGACUUGUGAGAGCUUUUGGAGGUUGAACUUGAGGUACUAAAGUGAACCAAAACAGGGAUUUAAGUUACUACUUUGUAUUAAGUGAGAAUUGUGUCGAAAUUGGACAUUUUGGUCAUAGUUUCAAUGCGAUUUUGAUAACUAGUUUUCAGCAGGAUUGAGGCCCAGUUGAGCUGAUUUUCGGGACUCGCUUGGGCUGGUUCGAGCUUAGUACUAAGUACUUUCACCUAGAUUGAAUAGUAGAUUCGACUGUUCUCUCAAUCUAGGUAAGAUAUUGCUUCGCUUUCGAUAUUUGGACGAAGUGUGGUUCGAGACGUUUUAAUUCAGCUUUUAGCUGAUUUUGAAUUGUUUAUAGGGGACUUGAAGGCAUCGGAUUUACCACGAGUGUGAAUUCUCCGACAAGGGUUGUCGACUUAUAGGUAGGUUUGACCUAACCAAAGCAAGUGAAGCUCCUCUAUGUUCUAUAUGAUACUAUAGAAUUGACACAUAUGUGCGUUUUUGUGAUUAUGUGAUUAUGCGAUCAUGCGAUCGAUAAAGCACUUGGAACAUAUCACCAUAGUGUUUGAUAUAUUUGAAAUAAAAUCUCUAGGAAGUAGAGAACACUAAUGCAUAAAAGUAUUUAUGUUUAUGUUUAGUUCAAUUGAAUAACUAGUGGACAUAUCUAUUAUGCUUCUAUAAAGUAGAGAAUAAUGACAUUCCUUGUGACUAUUUUGAUAGUACCUUAAUAGUAGAAAGUUUCUAAUGUCAUAUGUAAAUUAGCAUUACUUUCAUGUGCUUAUUAAUCUAGUGGAUACUAGCUAUUGUCAUUGUUCAUUGUAUUGAGAAUUCUGAUCAAUAGAUCGAGAGUGAGAACAUUGCAUACUAUGACGUGAGGUUUGAGACAUCUUGGACUAUGGACUUUGCUUGCUUGCCAUUGUGCUCAUUCGCACACGCUUGUGAGGGUAGCUCCCUACAAGCCGGCACUCCGGAGUUGGCCUAUGCGACAGAUUGCUUGCCCGUGUGGGAUUGGGUGCCGAAGUGGAUUGCCGUGGGGAGUGUAUACUACCACGGGGCCAUUAGGCGCGGCGCAAGCUGGACUACCUUGUGUAGGUCCUUAUGAAUGGAAUCAAAGUUCUAAAUGACAGAUGAUUGUAAGGAUUGAUUACCAGUUAUAGUGUAUAGUAUUUACUUACACGUUUAUGCUUAUGUUCAUGUUUAUGUUCAUGCUUACAGUAAUUGCUAUGCUUUAUUAUUCAGUUGAUUCAUUACUGUAGAAAGUAUGAUUACAUGUUGAUUACAUGUUCAUUACCUGUUAGCAUUGUAAAUAUAUCAUGCAAUUACUCCUUUUAUUUUCAUUUAGUAUAUCAUGAGCCUAGUGGUGUAAUUCGCCGAGGCUGGCGGCUUACCCACUGGGAACUAUUGUUUAAUAGUUCUCACGCCCUUUUUAUUGUUGCUUUUACAGAGCCACCUACAGGAGAGGCUAGGGAUCACGGCAAGGGAAUCGCGUCUAGCUAGACCUAGCUUGCGGUUUUACUAGGUGAUCACCUUGCUACUCAUGCCACGGCCGAGGGUGAUGUACCCGUGUAUAGAGAGACUAUCAUUGUAUAUGUAUUUUGAGUAGCCCUGUGAUGUAUGUGAUUAGUUGACUCGGGGAUUAUAGUUUGAUACUUCUCUAUGAUGUUGAGAUUUUGGGUUGAAUACUCUUUGUUUUUCUGUUGAUAGUAUUAUCGACUUAUACUUUGCUCUGAUAUCAGGAUAGGAUUCUUCUAUGUUUUCCUCCUAUCGACAUGUGCUUUUUGUAGACGCCUUAUAUACUGCAGGUGUACNGACUUGCUUUCUUCGUAGACGCCUUAUAUACUGCAGGUGUAUGGCGGGUCUGUGCACGUGCCGGGUAUGCUUCCGCUGGUAUCCGGGCAUGACAUCCAAUUCCAAUCGUUGUUCCCGAAACUAUCUUUGACUUUUAGGUUCAUACUAUUCGCCAUUUCAAACACUUCCGGAAACGACUAUUGUAACGAGGACUCUCCACACCAUCGAUCCGACCAAAAGUUGAUAGUACUUCCGUUACCUAGUUUAUAAGAUGUUCCCAAUUUGAAAACUUCUUUAAGGUUCAAAACUCCCUUCCACCAGAAAGAAUAAGGUCUAAAGGAUCUUCCCUCCAUUAAAGGUCUACGUCUUCGAUAAUAUAAAUCCUGUAUAAUCUUGUUCCACUGUAGAUGAGGUGCCGUGUGGAACUUCCACCACCAUUUGACCAGGAAAGCUUGGUUCAUAGUGGCUAAGUCCAAGAUUCCUAGCCCACCUUCCUUCUUGCUCUUACAAACAGUCUUCCAAGCCACUAAACAGCCCGUUCUAGGGGAGUUACUUCCACUCCUCCAGAAGAAGUCUCUUCGGAGAGCUUCAAUAUGCUUGAUCACCCAUUUGGGCGCCUUGAACACCGACAAAAAGUAAAGGGGUAAAUUGGUUAAAAUUGCGUUCACCAGUAUGAGCCUACCCCAUCUUGAGAGGAGUUUGGCUUGCCAUCCCUCAAUUUUGUUUUGAAUUUUCUGGAUGAUCUCCAUCCAUGUGUCUUUAGUAGGAGGUUUGGGGGAUAGGGGAAGACCAAGAUAUUUGGUAGGAAGAGUGCCUACCCGGCACUCAAGUAAGGUCGCCAGUCCGGUCGCUUUUUCCACGCUUUGUCCUAAAUAGUAUAAUUCUGAUUUCUCUUUGUUGAUUUUCAUUCCGAACGCCCAUUCGAAAAGACACCAUAGAUGUUUUAGGUUUCUCAAAUACUUCUUUCUCGCCUCACAGAAGAAGAAUGUAUCAUCCGCAAAUUGGAUAAGGGUAGUUUUGCUCGUUUUAGCUGGCCCAAUUCCCUUGACCAUAUUAUUGGAGAUUGCUUUGUCCGUCAUACGGGCAAGACAGUCUGCCACCAAUAAGAAAAGGAACGGAGAUAGGGGGUCCCCCUGCCGCAUACCCCUCUUUGUUUUAAUCCAGUUGGUCGUCUCUCCGUUAACUAGAAUAGCUACUUUCGCGUAGCACACACAAAGUUUGAGCCAUUCACACCACUUUGUAUCAAACCCCCACCACUUCAAAAUACUAAACAGGAACGGCCAAUGGAUCCUAUCAUAAGCCUUCUCAAAGUCUACUUUGACGCCGACCCCCUCGAUGUUCUUCUUACUUCCCCAUCCAAUUAGUUCUGAGACUGCCACAUACGCGUCAGAGAUAUUCCUCCCCUUCAAAAAUGCUGACUGCGACGAGGAUAUCAAAUCAUUCAUAACCAGUUCAAGUCGAUUAGCCAAAACCUUUGAUAAGAUCUUUUGGAUCCCGUUCAGUAGGCUUAUUGGACGGAAAUCGUUCGCCCGCUUUGCCCCAUCGUUUUUAGGGAUUAGACAUAUAAAAGUGUAAUCGAUUGGUGCGGUAGGCAACCUUACCUCAUACAACUCCUGGAAAAUAUUAAAAAUAUCCCCCUGUAAGGUAUCCCAAAAGGUUUGGUAGAAUAUAAGAGGGAAACCAUCAGAGCCCGGCGCCUUGUCACUUCUGAGUUGGAAAACCGCUUGCUUAAUUUCCUUCGCAGUGAAAGGUUUCGUAAUCCACGUCAAAUUGGGGGCCGUUACACGAUUAGAGGAGAAAAGCUCACUCCACUCCCCAAUUAAAGGAGGAUGGGACUUUCUCAUCCAGAUUGAAUUGCUCCUUUAAGUUGCGAAAGAAGUAGUUCUUUAUUUCCUCGUCUGUUUGAUACAUAGCAUCAUCCUCGACAAUCGUACCAAUCCCAUUAGCUCUCCGUCUACCAUUGGCUAUGGAAUGAAAGUAUUUUGUGUUUCCAUCUCCUUCUCGUAACCAAUGUUGUUUGGCUCGGGUUCUCCACAUCGCUGCUUCAUCAUUUAAAACCCUUCUAAGUUUAGCUUUAAGGUCGUCUCUUUUCCUUAUUAGAUCUAGUGAGAUCUCGCUCUGUUCUUCGGCUUUGUCGAUUUUCUGGAUUUCCCUCAUAAAACAAUUCUUUAGACCUCUAAUACUGUAGAACUCAUCCACGCACCAUUCCUUAAUUCUAUUUCGAUAGUGUCGCAGCUUCACCGUAAAGGUCAGCACUGCCGAUUGUUUCUGUGUACCUUCCUUCCACCAUCCCGGUAGUUUGGAUACAAACUCCUCAUGAUUUAGCCAUGCGUGUUCAAAAUGAAAUAAUUUCUUCUUCUUCACCUUAGCACUACUUUUCGCAGUAAGUAGUAUAGGGCAGUGAUCAGACGUAAUCCUGGGGAGGGCUUCAGCCUUCGUCAAAGGAAAUUCCUGGUCCCAUUCCGUCGAAAGAAGGAACUGAUCGAGUCUAGCUAGCAAGAGUUGGCCUUCGUUUGCAUGUUGGACCACGUGAAGGAUUGAUUAGACAGGGGUAAAUUAAUCAGUGCUAAUCCUGUGAUAAGAUCGUUAAACAACGUCGAACUUCAUUAGUUAUGUAUCCAAAAGUUUUUGGCCUAUUUGGAAUCGUGAUAAAGUAUCGUUUGAAAAUUAAUGCAAUUUUUUAGGUAUAGUAAUUCCAGAGGAGCAAAUGUGUGGGUAGAAUUUUUGCAAUAUAAGCUAAAAGCAAUACUAGAACGCUUCAAAAGAUAGAUUAAAUAAAAAAGAAAGAGAGAGAACAAAAGAAACAUUCUAUUUUCGCAUCCUUUCUCAAUGAUCAAGCAUCCAAUUCACACUAAAAAUUGUUAGGCACUAGUUGAAUUUUAUUUAAAGAUUAAAUUUUAUAACUUUUCGAUAUUAUUUAUUUUAUGAAUAAAUAGUUUUAGAUACGAGGCGGUACACAAUGUAGCCAUUGCAUUAUAUUAUCUAUGUCUAAAUUCAAUCAAAUCUCCCGUCUUGAGAUAAAAGUAUAAUAUUUUUUUUUUUUACAAAAUAAAUCAUGGUGAAAUUGGCAAAUUCCUAGAAACACAAUCUAAUUGGUGUAGUGAGUGUUUAGCGUAUCUUUUGGAAAAUGAUUAUGGACCCAAAAGUAUUUUUUGGCUUACAAGAGCAUUUUACAAUCUCGUUUUCAAAAUUUGAUUCUAAUUUUUAGAAUUAAUUUUUUGAUUUUCGAAGUCCAAAAUUAGAAAUAGGUAAAACCCGCUUCUUGAAAUCUAAUUCUAAUUUUGGAUUCAAAUUUUAAAUUUCUAUUUUGAAUUUAGCCUCAAAUUUAAAAUUUUAAUUUUAAAUUCGAAUUUAAUUUUUGAAUUUAAAAUUUUAAAGUUUUAAAUUUUAAAUUUUAAUUUUAGUUUAAUUUUAAUUUAAAAUUUAAAAUUUAAAUUUAAAAUUUAAAAUUCAAAUUUUAAUUUCGAAUUCUCAAAUUUUAAUUUUAAUUUUAAUUUAANUCAAAUUUAAAAUUUUAAUUUUAAAUUCGAAUUUAAUUUUUGAAUUUAAAAUUUUAAAGUUUUAAAUUUUAAAUUUUAAUUUUAGUUUAAUUUUAAUUUAAAAUUUAAAAUUUAAAUUUAAAAUUUAAAAUUCAAAUUUUAAUUUCGAAUUCUCAAAUUUUAAUUUUAAUUUUAAUUUAAAAUUUAAAAUUUAAAAUUUAAAAUUUAAAAUUUAUAUUUUAAAUUUGAAAUAGAAAAUUUUAAUUUAGAUUUAGAAUUCAAAUUUUAAGUUUUAAAUUUUGAAUUUACAUUUUAAACUAAAAAUAAAAUUUUAAAUUUUUGUGCAAAUUUUAAAUUUUAAAUUUAAAUUUACGAGUAUCUAAUGAAUCCAAGCAUAUAUGCGGUGCCAGAGUCAUGUUUUGUUUGAAACAUUGUAUUUUGAUGCCGAAUCCGACGUGGCUUAAUUUAAUUAUUGUCACCCGUCACUACUCCUACAGUCCUACUCCAACAAACUUAACUAAAAGUGAAUGGAGUUUUGGUGUUUUCUCAAAAUGCGCGUGCACCUCCAAAGUUGAAAAAGAGUGCACCACGGGCACGUAGCUAUAUAUCCAGUGUUUGACCAUUGGACCUUCUAGAAGUAAUUAUAUAUGUUGUUAUAUAUAUAUAUAUAUAUAUAUAUAUGACGAUUUUUUAUUUUUCAAUCAAUUCUAUUUAAUUAGUAACGCUCCUGCUUUAGUUAUUAGAAAAUAUAGCUCAACUUCUUUGGAUCGAUCUUUGACUACGUACGUCGAUGGUCCGAUGAAGACAAACACAGAAAAACGAUCGAGGCAAAAAGAAGACUCAUUGACUGUGGAGUUCGAAAGAGUGGAAUCUUUAAAUUAAUUGAGCGAAAUGUAUAUUGACUUGGAAUCCAUUAAAGGGGCGUUUGGAUUGACGUAUUUGUAGAUUCAACGUAAGUCAAGAGUAGUGGUAUUUGAGUUUUUCUGAAGUGUGAUUAUCUUUUUGUUGUUUGUUUUGACGUAACUCGUACUGCCUGAAAGUUAAAUUCAAUCACUUCUGUUGUUUGUUUUGAUGUAACUUGGUGCUGGUAAAAUUAGUUUUUUAAGUUCCGUUGUUUGUUUUGAUGUAAGUAAGUGAUUCUCAUUAUCUCCUAAAUAUAGUAGUAAAUUUAUCACUAUAAAAUUUAAUCUUUUAUAUAAUUAAUUUUAUUAUUAUUAUUUAAAGAUAAUCCUAAUUUAUUAUAAAUAAGAUAAUUCUAACCCAUUAUAAAGGAAGUAGAGUUUAGAUUUUACUGUUUAAUAAAUUUUUUAGAGGAAGUUAAGUGUAGUGAAAGUCGAGUUCGGCACUUUAGAGGAGGAAGUCGAGAGUAGGUGAAGUGGAGCUCUAACGUAACUUGAGUUAUAUUAUAUUUUUCACUUACAUCAAAACAAAUAACAAAAGUGAUGGAACUUGAGUUCCAUCACUCCACUUACACCAAAACAAACGGGCCCUAAAUGGCAAGUACAACGCUUAAGAAAAAAAAAAAGAUAAAAUAUAUAUAUAUUAAAUUUAUCGGGGUUAUAUAUGGAUUAUUUUGAAUUGACUAUCUAAUCUUACAAAUUUUUAAUUUUACUAUCUAAUCCGUAAUUUAUUUGAUUUGAGUUAGUCAAUUAACAUCACCUUGACUUCACAAUUUUAGACUACUUAAUUACUUAACUUAAUAAAUUUGUAGUUGCGAGAACUGUAUAAAAUAUUCCAACUAAAUCUCCAAAGGUAAACGACGAAUUCAAAUUUGAAAGUCAAAAUAUCGACUCAAAUCAAACAAACUGAAAGAUUGGAGAGUAAAAUCAAAGUUUUGAAAAUUUGAGUAGUAGCCAAAUCAAAAUAGUCUAUAGUUCAGAUAAGUUUUAUAUUAUUUUACUAAAAAAAUAAUAUAUUUGCUUUUGUAAGUGAUUACAUGUUAUCCAAAUCUCACUGGUUGGUUUUUUAAUAUUUUGAUUUUUGGGAAAACUUCAAAAUCCUUCCAUGUGGUUUCACACUUUCUUAUUUUAGUACUAUGUGGUUUAAAGUGUAUCAAUUUGCCCUCCUGUGAUUUUAUUUUUAUCUUUUCGGCUACUUUUUCCUUAAUAUUUCGUUAAAUUGUAUACAAAAAACUUAAGAUAUCCAUAUAGAUUAAUUUAUCGAAUAUUUACUUUAGUACCCUUUAAUUUUAACUUUGUCACUGAUUUAAGAAAAAAAAAUAAUAAAAUUGAUACUAAAAAGUAAAAAACGAAAUCACAGAGGGGCAAAUUGAUACACUUUAAACCACAGGGUACUAAAGUGAUAAAGUGCGAAACCACAUAGGGGGUUUUUGAAGUUUCCCCUUGAUUUUUUAUUACCUUACUGGAAAAUAGAUAACCACAUCUUAAUUAAUUAUACACUUCCGUCUCAACUCUUUUAAUCAGAUAGUGCAUUCCGCAAUCCUCAAUACCAAAUGGGCUAUAUUAUAUCUAUUUCGGUCUGAGUUGUCAAAUUGCUUGUUUAAUUUGUUAUGUAGUACCGACCGUUUCUAGAGCAAGUGGCAAAGAGUUUAGUGGUUGGUACUCGAAAUCUCAAGUUUGAAUCCUAGUUGAUUCAUAUUUUCAGCUAAGUUUAUUUCUAAAUGAAAUAAACGAAACGAAUAGCGUGCUACCUAUCUCUCUCAAAAAAAAAUAAAAAAAUUGCUAUGUAGUGGUUGGAAGGUUUUGGUAUGACGGGAAGGUGGAAUGUACUUGUAGCUAGAUUGAUAAAUAAACAAAUUUAGACGAAAAUCUGGUUCUUGAUUGUACGAAAUAGAGAAAGUUAGACGAAACAAGCCCUAAAUCUCAUAAUCCCCCUGAACCUACUUAAUACUAUAUACAGCUAGUGGGGUAGCAACAGCUGGUAAUAUAUUAUAACUUUUGCAGAAUAAGAUACAUUAUUGUAGCAGCAUUCCAGUAAUUGGCAAGGAGUGGGUCUUAUAGAGUGGAGCUAGAAUACCUUUACAAGUAUCACCUCGGUGGUGCUUUAGUGUUUUUAGCCCUUGGAUGGAGAGAUGUGAAGUUGAGAUGAUUGUGGCAGGUGGUGGUGGGUGGAAUAGUUUUUGAUCCAAGGACUAUUAGUAAUUAAGAAGUAGAUCCAAUGGCUAAAAACCUAAUAGCAUCAUGGGGGUGAUACUUGUAAAAGUAUCCUAGCUCAACUCGGGUCUUAUAUAUAUAUAUAUAUAUAUAUAUAUAUNCGUGCUCCUAAGCCGUUUUCGAUGAUGGAGCUUCCGAAUCGACGAUCGGCUCCGUUAAACUUUAAUCUAGCGUAUUUGAACUAUCUAGAAAAUAAUUUUUGUGAUUUUUCGGUAUCAUUUUCCUAGCGAUCGAAAGGGUUCAAAAUUAACAAUUUUUAAUGGUUGAUGUAUACCGUUUGCAAGUUUAACGGUGUAAAAGUAUUCAAAUCAAAUGAAAUUUUGAUAGAAAAUUCUUUAUACUAUUUACAGCAAGAUCAAUAUGUUUGAUCGAAAAUUUUAAUGCUAUAUCACCAUUUUUUGUGAGAUUUUUAUUUUCAGCCGUUGAUUUUGAACCCUUUCGAUCGCUAGGAAAAUGAUAUCGAAAAAUCACAAAAUUUAUUUUCAAGAUACUUCAAAUAUGUUAGAUUAAGUCUAACGAAGCCGAUCGUCAAUUCGGAAACCCCAUCAUCGAAACAGCUUAGGAGCACGGAGGCCUCCGUGCUCCUAAUAGCAUACAAGACCUACUCUACAUAUAUAUAUGGAUCUAAUCUGAAUUUGUACGCAAUUAGGCUUUUUUUAAAGGAUUGUAGAGAUGAGUGAACAUUUCGAGUUACCGAAUGCAAAUUUAGUAAAUUAGUCAUAAGUCGAAUAAUUAACCAAAUACUAAUCCAACAAUAAUUAUACGCACUUCAUUAAUCCUGUUUGGAUAUUAUAUUAAAUAUCCAAUAAGCUUAUUGGGUAAGAAGAUUUUUCUAUCUUGCUAUUCAUGAUCUAAAGCAAUAAUAUAUUUUACAAAAGAGUGAUUUAUUUUAUACCAAAAUAAUAAUUUAUAUGUUGAACUUUUUGUCUAUCGGUAUGCUUUUUAAGAUGACAUUAAAAUACUGGAAAAAUAUAUAACCCAAAUAAAAUAAGAAGAACUGCAGCAUUGCAUUUGUCAUAUUUGAUUGAUUGGUACUUGGUUCAAUAUCUUCUACUGGGAUCGAGUGAUAUUAUCAGUCAAACAUGCGCACUCGCGUGAUUCGCGUUCCAAAUUUGAUGAUGCGAAAGAAAGGGAUGGCUUUGUAUUGAGACAUAUAUUUUGCGGCGGAAUUUUCAUACGAAGUAAAGUGAGAUGAGAAGAGAGAAAAUAAAGAGAAAUAAAACAAAAAGAGAGUGAGAAGAGAGAAAGCAAGGAGACAGAAAAUGAUGCGGAAAGAAAAAUGAAGGAAGAUAAACCAAGAAAAAAGAGAUCCGAGAGAAAGUGAAGUGAUAAAAAAGUAAAAAGAAAGUGAAGACAGAGAAAAUGAGGAAAGAAAAAAAAUACAAUGAGAGAAAAUGAUGAAAGAAAAAAAGAAAAGUGAGAGAAAGUGAGGAGAGAGAAAGUGAAGAGAGAUGAAUUUUUCUCUUUCACCUUCUUUAACUUUUUUUAAUCUAGUAACCCCCUAGGUCAACAAAAUUAUAUUGUUGGGAAGGGGUAAAGAAAGGUGAAAUGAUUAUCACCCUUAAUAGUUAACUAUGCGUACCAAAUAUAAUUAAUAGGGGGUUGAAAACUUAUAGGAAUAAUAUUUCACCUCCUUUAACCUUAUAUAUCAAACAUACCCUAAAUCUUAAAAUUGAGAGGAUAAUAUUAGAUAAAGUUUAGAUGAAUAUUUUAAAAAUAGUUGUAUUUUGAAACUGAGACACAUUAUGGAAGAAAAACUUGACAAACUUUUACUCUCUCUUUUAUAAAACUAAUCUUGAAAGAAAUUUUAAAUUCUAGAUCAAAAAAUUAAAAAAUAUAUAAAAAAUGAAAACAUUAAGUCAUCUUGCUUUGACACAAUACCAGCCAAGAUUUUUCUGUGCCUUAGACUAAGAAAGGUAGGUAGGCCUAACAUGGUUCAAAUUCUUAUUAUGUUUGGCAUCCAUCCCAAUGGCAUGGCCGUGUCUUAAAAAGUGUGGCUUUUUAUCGUACUGGCAUUGAUCCCAAUGGCCUGGUCAUGUCUUAAAAAGUGUGGCUCAUACCAGUCUGAUAAAACCCACAUUACAUCCCCACAGGCUAUAUGAGUGAAGAAAAUUUGUAAAUUCUUUAUAUAUUUCUAUGUGCUUAUGUGUAAUUAUUUAUAUUUGAUUCGUACUUAAGAUUACGUUGAAUUGGAUAAAAUAGGAAAAAUUAGAGCAGGAGGAUUUAGCGACUCAAAGGUGGUCCGGGUCGUUCACACUCAAUUGAUCUCAAAGUAUUACCAAAUCAUAUUCCUCUCUCUAAUAUCACUAAAAUAGGAAAAAUUAGAGCAGGAGGAUUUGGCGACUCAAAGGUGGUCCGGGUCGUUCACACUCAAUUGAUCUCAAAGUAUUACCAAAUCAUAUUCCUCUCUCUAAUAUCACUCUUUAAUUUCAAAGUUAAAUGCAUCAGAGCCAUCCGAACUUUUGGCCGUUUGUGAAUAGUCACUUAAACUUUGUAAAUUUAUAUUUCCCAUCUAAACUUUCAAGAGUUCGAAAAUAACCAUCUACAUUUAUAUUUUAACAAUUUAAAAUAACUAUGAUUAAGAAUAUAAGGGCAUAUUUGCUUCAUCUAUUUAGAAUAUAAAAUCAAAAUGGAAUUCAUUGAUUCGAUAGUUGUCGUUUAUUUUAUAAGAAUCGGAUUCCGGUUACCAUUUCAUUCCAGAAUGAAAAUGGCCAAAUCCAUUUAUGGCCCAAUCCGAUUUUUAUCCCAAAUUGGCCCAUUUCAAAAUAAACUAUUCAAAAUUAUCUUUCACCAACACCUACCUUCUCUCCCUUCAUCACUUUUCUCUCUCUUAAUCAAAAUUCUCUCUAAAAAAUUCUAAAUUUUCAUUCUAAUUUUCAUUCCAAUAAUGAACCAAAUAUUUUUUGAUGAUUCAUUAUUCAAUUAUCCAUUCCAAAACAAUUCAGUUUCAUUUCUCAUUCCUAUUCCAAUUAUGAACCAAACAUGCUCUAAAUGUGCAUAGCUAAUUGAGAAAAUUUGAGAGUAUGAGUUAAAAAUAUAAAAUUUUGAAAGUUUUGCUCGCUAUCUACAAACGGAAAAGAGUCGGUGGUUCUAAUUGCAUUUACUUCUUAAUUUUAUCCUAUGCUACUACCCAAGCUUUUUAUGCAUCCGAUAUUGGAUUAUGAUAUCCUUUUAAAUUAGACCAUGUUUGGAUAUAUAGAUAAAUAAGUAAUAUUCUAUUCAGUAUGAGAAUUUUUCAUUGUGAUCGAAGCUACGAGUAUUCUCAAAUGUCUAUAAUGGAAUAGCAUAUUUGGCCUUUAAGGAAAAGAUAUAUUACUUUGUAGGUAAAAUUUAUUGUCCCACAAAAUUAUAAAUGCUAAGACCUUUUAAGGAAUGAAAUUCAAACUUGUAUUAUCCCAUCAUACACAAAAAAAUUUUAUAUCGAAUAAGAUAAAUUACCCCAUAUGUUAAACUUGUGCUAUCAAAUUAAACGUUUAAAGAUAGAAUAUCAUAUUCAACUUUCAAGUUAUUUUUUCAGAAUAAAAUAUCUCAUAGGUAAAAUAUAUUAUCCUACCAAAUCAUGAAUAUCAAGUACUUUGAAAAAACAAAAAUCAAGCUCUUAGUUACAAUCAUACUACAAAAGUAUUAUAUCGAAUAAGUUAUCCUUGGAUAGUAUAUUCUUAUAGGUUAGGAAUCUGGUACUCACCCUGAUACCAGAUUUUGAGAAUUUGUAACCUGCUCUGAUAGCAACGUUGUUGAUCUGGUACCGAUUUGUUGGAAUUCUGCAACAAAAAUAUUAAAUUGAAUUUUUACCGUAAAACUGUCUCCUCAGCAAAAGCUAAUGCGAUCACAAUAGAGAGAAAAUCAAAUAAAAAAUAUACAGGUAAAAUAAAAUUUAUUAAACAAGAGAAGAAUUACACUUGACUUCUCUUCUACACAUAAUAGCUGUGGCACCCUACUUUCCAGGGAGUCACCCAUCCUAGGACUACUCUCGCCUUAGCAUGCUUAAUUCUCUUAACCUCUUGGGCCUAACCACCGUCUAAAAUGCUAUAACCGGGUCAAGAGUCUUAGCCCUAUUAUCUCUUAUAUAUAUGACUAUCUAGGGUCUCACAUUCUCCCUCUCUUUAAGCCCUGAUGUCCUCGUUAGGCUCAAACUUACAAGCAUCAGGUUAUGUGAGACUCGUCUCGUUAGUCUUAACUGACCUUGUAGGGGAGUCAUGCUCUACCCACAAUGGUCAUUAGCAUGAGAGUUUCGCUCUCCACGAUGUGUAGUCUAGCUCAGCCGAGACUUAUCUUAUAUUUUCAGCUGGUAACUGACUCUGAUACCAACCGUAACACCCUACUUUCCAGGAGGUCACCUAUUUUAGGACUACUCUAACCCUAGCAUGCUUAACUCUCUUAACCUCUUGGGCCUAGCUAUUGCUCAAAAUGCUAUAGCUGGGUUAAAAGUCCUAGCCCUAUUAUAUCUUAUAUAUAGGACUACAUAGGUCUCACAGUAGCUUCAACUUGAGCCCUCUUUCUGAAUCUCUCACCUUUCUCUUGUCUUCUAUAAAUUCAGAAAACCUCUCUCUCAUUCUGUGCACCCAUGCACAAGAUAUACUAAUGACCCACGAUUAUAAAAGCCACACACGUCCUCUUGCACUCAUACACUAAGAGCAUCCAAAAUCAUAACCACCUUGGCCGUGCCAUAUAGGUGUGGCUAAGUCGUACCACUACCACCAAAAUAAUAGCACCUAUGCUAUAUUUAUAGCUUACAUUAAAAAUUUUCCAAAUGCUAGUCCAAUUAAAUUUAUACUCUAAUUAAUAUUUAAAUCUUAAUAUUUUAUCUCCAACAUAUUUAAAUAUUAAUCCUAAUCUAACUAGGAUUCAACUACAAAUCUAACCAAAUCUAACAAUCCCCAUUUUGGUUUGAUUUGUAGUCUUUAGUCGUUGCAUCGAGCUCGCCACACAAGCUCCACCUUUAGCUUGUCUCCUUUGCUCGAUUCUGCCACAUUCGCCGCUCUAGUUCAGAAUGUAUAAGCAUCUCCAUGAAAUUUUGAAACCCAAAUUGUCCUCGCUCUUGUUCUAACCAUGCUCCAGUUCAAAAAGUAUAAGCUUUUUCGCCUCGCACAAGACUCGAUCUUGCUUUUGGACCCUCAAAGCUCCACCUGAGGUUAAAAAAUUGCAACUCUUCAAGUCCAACGCGCCUAAUGAGAUCAAAUUAUGCUUUAAACAUCGAUCACUUCCAACGAUAGGUAACAUCGUGCUAUAAUGUCAAUCUUCUACAAGGAUCGGUAAUCCGGCCAGUGCUUUGGCAUCGAUCUCUCCCAAGAUCGGUAACCUCAGGCUCUAAUACCAAUUGUUGGAAAUCUAGUAUCGGUUGUUCGGAUUCUACAACGAAAAUGUCAAACCGAAUUUUUACCAUAAACCCCUUCCUUCUUCUCGGUAAAAGCUAAUGCAAUCACAAUAGAGAGAAAAUCAAAAAAAAUAAUAUACAGAUAAAAUAAGAUUUAUUAAACAAAAGAAAAAUUGCACCUGACUCUUUUUCUACACAAAGUAGUUUCCACUCUAGCCCUCUUCUGAAUCUCUCAUCCCCAUCUCAUCUUCUAUAAAUUCAGAAGACCUCUUUCUCAUCAUGUACAAGAUAUACUAAUGACCCACAACUAUAAAAGCCAUAUACGUCCUCUUGCACCUAUACACUAGGUGCAUCCAAAAUCAUGGCCAUCUUAGCUAUACCAUAUGGCUGUUGCUAAGCCGUACUACCACCACUAAAUUAAUAGCACCUAUGCUAUAUUUAUAGCUUACAUCAAAAUCUACUCAAAUCCUAGUCCAAUUAAAUUUAUACUCUGAUUAAUAUUUAAAUCUUAAUACUUUAUCUCCAACAUAUUUAAAUAUUAAUCCUAAUCCAACUAAAAUUCAACUACAAAUCUAACCAAAUCCUAACAAUCCCCAUCUUGAAUUGAUUCCUUAGCCAUUGCGACGAGCUCACUAUUGGAUUUUAUUGGGUUUUAUUGGGUUUUUGUGAUUUAAAACUUGUUAAGGCCUCUUGAGAGCCCAAUAAUUAUUAAUGGGCUUUGCUUGGGAGCCCAACUAAAGUUUUCAUGUGUGUAGUUUAGUCCCACAUUAGAAACCAAAAGGGUGUUAUUGGCAUAUAUAUAUUCCUUUAUUCUCAAGCUAGUUACUUGGGAGAAAAUGAGAGUUAUGCUCUCGUUUAAAUACACACAUGCUCAACAUGAGCACGAGCUGGGCCGGGCUGGGGGGGCGGCUGCUCGCGCGGUCCAUACAUCCGGUUUAUUUUAUUUUAUUUUUUUAUUUUUAAUUUUUUGGUUUUAUCUUUAUCUUUAUCUUUAUCCUAAUCCUAAUCCUUAUCCGUAUAAUCAUAGGCUUAUCUUGUUCUACAUGAAUUUAACGCGUUGAAGCAAGAUUCUUGCCUUGGUUAUAAAUACUGGACGAGGUUGCACGAGUUCGGGGUGAACUGACGUAUACCUAAGAGAAAAACCUACCAUCUACCUCGUAUUUCCUGCUUUCUCGUCAUUAAUCUUUUCCGCCGAUUUUCGCCGAGCUUUCAUUGCUGGAUCUGAAACUUGUUUGGUUCAUCUUGCGGCAACUUGAAAUCGUGCCGACGGGGUGGAACGUGGUCGUUGUAUCGUUGGAUGUAAUUGCCGGGAAGCCUCGCACGUGGAGGGGCAAUUUCGCUUCUAGGACAGUGCUCUGCACGCCUCGAUCCACAGGUCUUAUCUAAACCUUUUCUUUACAAUAUUUGUUAUUUAUUUUCUUUCUCGAAAUUUUUCUAAAUCUGAAAUUAAAUUUCGAAUUAUUUUUAAAGAAUAUUGUAAUAAAAGAUCAGAAAGAUUUUUCCAACACUCACCAUGCAAGCUCCACCUUUAGCUUGUCUUCUUUGCUCGAUGUCGCCACAUCUGCCGCUCCAUCUCGAGCGACUGCUUCUUCGUGAAUUUUUGGAACCCAAAUUGUCCUCGCUCCCAUUCUGAUUGUGUUCCGAUUUAGAAUGUAUAAAUUUUCAAGCUUGUUCUUCUCGCACAUAACCAGAUCUUGCUUUUGAACGCCCUAUGACUUCACCAGAAGUUAAAAAAUUGUAACCUUUCGAGUCCAACAUGCCUAACGAGAUCAAAUUGUGAUUUAACAUCGAUCACUUCCAACGAUUGGUAACAUCGUGCUAUGACGUCGAUUUUCUAUGAGAAUCGGUAAUCCAGUGCUUUAGCGUCGAUCUCUCCUAAGAUCGGUAACCUUAGGCUAUGAUAACAAUUGUUGGGAAUCUGGUACCAGUUGUUGGGAUUCUGCAACGAAAGCAUCAAAUUAGAUUUUUACUAUGAACCCGUCUCCUCAGCAAAAGUUGAUGCAAUCACGAAAGAGAAAACCCGUCUCCUCGGAAAAAGUUGAUGCAAUCACAAAUGAGAAAACCCAUCUCCUCAGCGAAAGUUGAUGCAAUCACAAAUGAGAAAAAAACCAAAACAGAAAAUAUAUAGGUGAAAUAAAAUUCACUGAACAAGAGAAGAAUUACACCUGACUCCUCUUUUACACAGAAUACCUUCACGCACUAAAGGCGUCCAAAUAUUAUGACCACCUUGGCCAUACCAUAUGGGUGUGGCUAAGCCAUAUGACCAUCACCAAAAUAAUAGCACAUAUACUACAUUUGUAGCUUACAUAAAAAUCUAACCAAAUCCUACUCUAAUUAGAUUUAUACUCUAAUUAAUAUUUAAAUCUUAAUACUUUAUCUCCAACAGAUUUAAAUAUUAAUUGUGACUCAACUAGGAUCCAACUAUAAAUCUAACCAAAUCCUAACAUUACAUUCAAACAGGAUCUUAAAAAAAGAUGCAAUAUUUAAUAGAUUAGAACUGUGAUCAAACUUUUGAAAUGAAUACUACAUUUGCUUUUGAAGUUUUUUUUGAAUAAAAUAACAUUGUAGGUGAAUUACAAUAUCCUGUCAAAUUAUAAAUGUCAAUAACUUUCAAAGAGCAAAAAUCAAAUGUAGCUUUCAAUCAUAUAAAAUAAUUUAGCCAAUUUGCAUAAAAAAUCCACUAGUUUUGCGAUUUUGAAAAAGUUGGCCACUAUUUUGGGUUUUGCAGAUCCAUAUCGAAUUUUCAACAAACUGACCAAAAUACCCUUUUUCCUUUCUCUCUUUCUUUUUUUUUCCUCUUCGUUUUUUUUUUCCCUCUCCGACCCUCAUCGCCUCCUACACCGCUUUCGCGGCCCUCGGCGAUGAUAACAAGGGCGGCGCCACUUCCUCUUUUUCCGUCUCCUCCUCUGCUGGCAUCGGCCGUGUCACACCCCGGGGUCCCUUUUUGGAUUUAAAACGAAUGCGGAAGUGCCUUUUUUUUUUUUUUUUUUUUGAAAACCUUGAUCCCCGGUUAUACCAGAUCCGCCACAAAUAUAGGGAGUCCACUGUUCACACGGACAGAGUCUGUCCUGUAUUUGCACGGCGUCGCACAAGUACAAAAUACAACAACACACAUAUAAAUAUCCAUAUACAUUCACCAUUCGCAUCCACAUCCAAUUCAUCACAAUAUUCAUAUAUCCACUUCUAUUAGUUUAAAAUGUUUCUUACCCGAAAAUUCAUUUUGAAACACUAAGUCAUGAAAACCAAGAAAUUUUUUUUUAAAACCGUUUCCCACCCAAAACCCUUUUUCUUUUAAAAACGCACUACCACGAGGGGUAGAAAACUAUUUCCAUUUUGUAAGAAAUCCAUAAAUCCUUUAUUACAUUCACAAAAUCCCAAUUAUUCAAAUAAAGGAAACCGUUGAAUCAAUAAGUCUAAGUAAAUUAUUUGAAAGACGAGUUUGAAAAUUUAACCAAAGCAACAGGCCGAUGGAUCUAUCGAAUGCUAAGCUAUGUACCUCACGGACCGUCCCGACUUAGACCUGCAAUGUCACCUGAAGAGGGUGGGGGUUGAGAACAUGUACACAUGUCUCCCCUCCCAUUGGGUACCGCAAAUCGACGAGGGCGAGGGUACUUACUAGUCAAGAAGGAUAAAUAAAAGUAUAGAUAAUGAUAAUACAGUAGCAAUGAUAAAUAAAGAAACGAGAUAUAUAUGAAUCACUAUCGCUACUGUAUGCAUGCAUCAACCGGACGACUAGUCCAAAAGUACCCAAUCAGAAACCUGCCAUAUCAGUCCGUAGACCUUAAGCCUGUGCCACAACUACUCUAACAUGUAAAUGACCCUCGCAUAAGCACCCGGAUCUGAAAGGUAUACGACUCUCGCAUAAGCAUCCGGGUCUGAAAGCAUAUAACCCUCACAUAAAGCACCUGGGCUCACGAGCUGGCACUCCCGACCAAUUUUUCGGAAAAGAACACCCUCUUGCGGUGGAUUAGACUACUGGUGUUCGUGAAAUGCGUACGAGCAGUGGAGAUCGAUACUGAUAUGCUCAAUGGCCAACAGUCGGCAACUAGCUGACAAUCCUACCCCUCAGGGUGUAUCGACCGUUGUAACGCUCAGCCCACUAGCAAUAAUAACUCAUUGGGCCCAACCACCAGCCCAAAAUGCUUAAGCCCAGUUAUUAUUACUAGUGUCUAAGUCUCUUAUAUACUGAAUCACAUCCCUAUUCAUAUCCGAUGUGGGAUUAGUAGGGUGUGACAGACUUCCCCCGUUAAGACCCUGACGUCCUCGUCAGACUUCUCCCGUUAAGACCCUGACGUCCUCGUCAGUCCAGUUAGUCCAAUCAUACAUAAAGCCCAAGAUCACCAGGCGAUUUGAGACUCAUCUCGUUAGCCUUGUCAUCCAGACCCUGGCAUAGCCGGUCACCUUGUCAUUUAGACUCCGGCAUAGCCUAUCACCUUGUCUUUCAGACCCUGAGACUCCUGCAUAGCCUAUCACCUUGUCUUUCAGACUCGCCACACAUUUUCGGCUGGUAACUAGCUCUGAUACCAAAUGUAACGACCCAGCCCACUGGCAACAAUAACUCGUUGGACCCAACCACCGACCGAAAAUGCUUAAGCCUAAUUAUUAUUACUAGUGUCUAAGUCUCUUAUAUACCCAAUCACAUCCCCAUUCAUAUCCGAUGUGGGAUUAUUGGGGUGUGACAACUAUAUAGGUUACCAAGUAGUCCAACCAACCAAGUAUGCCAUAAUGCUCGAUGCAAUAAACAGACCGAAUAGGUCAAAGUACGAGAUACAAUAACCAACCAACUAGGUCACAAAUCUCACAUGUAGUCAUAAACCUACUCUACUUCUACUCAUGAUGCUAGAUAUGUAAACAAACCAAGUAGAGCGAUAAAGACAUAAUAAAGGUGCAAGGCUCAACAAAUAAAUACAACAUGAUAGUAGGAGAAGGGUGGAAAGGAUGUCAUCGAGCGUGCACCACUGUACCGACUUCGGAUCGAAGUAUCUACCUGUAGGUACGUACGUAGCACUGGUCUCUCGAUUGCGGAAGAAUAUCAACAGGACCUACGAAAGGUCCACCAGGUUAGAAUCCAACCCACGACUAAGAACCACUAACCCACAAUCCGACCUGUAAAACCAACGGGAAUUGAUUUCCCAAAAUCGAUUACCGUAACUUGCUAGAAGUCCCGAAAAUCAUACCAGGACUUCGCCGGGACCCACGAACUGUCCCAGAACUCACCGACUCGUGCCACGAGUCACCCGUUGCCACUAAACACAAUAAUUUGUGUGACCUAGCAGCAAACACAUAUCCUUACAUCAAAAUAAUUAUCGUCGGAUAAUCGUUCCAAUCUAGAUUCCCGGAAGUGUCAAUUUCGACACCGGAACCCACUGUCGCUCACCCGUCGGUUUCGAACCCUCAAAACAACGCGGGAGAUCAGCCAACAAGGCUCAGCGACUACAUAAUUUAUCGUGAAGCACCGUUGGAAGAAUUCUGAACUAAAACUGCGUUCUAUCGGUGGAUUUUGCCGAAAAACGCAUCAAAAUUCGACAUCUAAUUUCCGAAAAGGCCCGGGACCUUGGACAACCAUUCCAGAGGUCACCCGCUGCCCGCACACACUGCCCACAGCAGCCACGAAAUGUAAAUUUGCAAAUAAUCCCCCGUGACUACAUAAAAUCACAUCAUUUUAUGUGAUUUUCGGGGUUUUACGGCCUGACAGUGCAAACCGAAGACAUUCGAGCCAGGCCGAAACACCCACUAAUAGGUCUCGAUGUGUCGGAGGCCGUGCUCAUAUUUCGGAGCAUGGCCGGCUACUACGGAGAGCGCGGGAGCAACGCGAAAUUCAGUGAACAACGCGCAUAGUGACUAAACCGUGAUUGAUACUCAGACUGGGGCUAUGCUGACCCCAAAGGAGGUGAGUACGAUGAUUGACACGGAUCAGGGAUUGUCGUGCUCACUUCUGGGAGUGUCAGGGUGCCCUCGGGUCAUCGGAACAGUGACUCGAACCCGAAAUAGUGCACAGAAAACACGAAAUUAAGCUUAUCAGAACCAGUGGGAGCACGGGCUGGCCGGCGGUCGCCGGAUGGCGGGCACACCGGCAAGGGACGGGUGUGGCAGGUCAGUGGGAGCCGGGGCACGUGCUGGCUGGCGGCGGGAGGCAGCCGGUGGCGUGGCGGAGGAGAUCAAGCCCGCACGCUUGGCCUUGGGUUCACGGGUUGGCAGUGCUAGGCGGCGGCCGGGGGAGCUUUGGGGUGGCGGCAACUCGUCGCCGGAGGCCGAGGGAGGCCGACAUGGCCGUCCAAGGGCGGUGGCGGCGCGCGGGGGUUAAGAUUGGGACCACAGCCAGGCGAGGGCCUGAGGUGUGUGGGCCCUUCUCUGUGGUCCACGGCAGAGAGGAGAGGUGCUCGGUAGAUGUAACAUAUGGAAAUUUGGAGUUGCGAUGUCAACUUUGAUCUCGGGGAUCAAAGUGAGGAUUGAGCUAGUUGGACAUCAUCCUCGAGUGAUUCGUGAUGCGUUGGAAUGAAUUUCGGAGAUAAAUAAGUGUUUCGGCGCAAAUUGGGCGCGAAACGAAAUGUAAAAAGAAUUUUCGGAUUUCCGACGCUAACUUUGAUUAAAAGAAUUAAAGUAAGGCGUAAGGAUAAAUUGUGGAAUCUCUGAAUCAAUUGUGAAGUUUCAGAAAAGCCAAGGGUGUGUUUCCAAAGGGUUUUGAAGUGUUCAGUGCGAAGUGGUAGUGCAAAAAGGAGAAAUUUCUGCCGUGUAAUGAAAUUGGAGCCGAUUCUAUUGCUAAUUCGGCUCAAAUAAUGUCAAAAUGAAAAGNAUAUAUAUAUAUAUGAAUGAGAUAUCUAUAUGUGAAUGAGAUGGAACAUUGUGCUAUAUGAUGUGGGGAUCGGAUGCGGACAAGGGGCUCUAUAGUGGUAUGACAACAAAUUGAACAUUGUGGCAUUGGAAAGUGGCAAUUGACAUGUGAAUGGGAAAACUUAUGACAUUGUGGCAUUAGCUAUAGACAAUGUGAACUUGUGGCAUUAGCUAGAGACAAUGUGAACUUGUGGCAUUAGCUAGAGGCAAUGUGAUUACUCGGAUAUGAGGUUGGGAUUUGUGUUAUUCCCGGAUUGGAUUACCACUAGUUGGUGGGGUAUCCUCGGGUUAGAGGAUUGGAUCAUGCUCACAUUCGUCUGUUAGCUUGGUAGUGGUAGCUCCACCCAAGUUGUGGUCUUUGAAGUACUUCACGGUUAGGGACAGACGUAGUUGUCCCGCAGACGGCUCCGGGUGAGAGUAGCGGACAUCUCCUCACAAUGCGUAGUUGGUUGUGUGAGUCAAGGCUUAACCUUCGGGUGAGCUGGUAUGAUUGGGUUAUGAAAAGAAAGGUAAAUGGCAUUCAUCAUGAGCAUAGUAGAUACUAUUACAUGUUUACCUUACCUGUUCUUUAUUGUUCAUAUUGCGCAAGUAUAGUAGCAUGCUAGAUGUUUACAUGUUUAUCGCUAACCCUUUACUACUUAUGCCUGCUUAGACCUAGUGGGAAAAUCGGCGGCGUCGGUGGCCGCACCCACUGGGAACUAUUUAUUUAGUUCUCAUCCCACUUUGAUGCAGGGUCAAGUUCGAGCGCGUCGGUCGAGGACCGCGGUAAGGGCAUAGCGCCCUAGUUAGCUAGCUACCUCCUACUUUGCAUUAGGGUCGAGUACCACUUUGAUAUAGCAUGUAUAUAAUUGAGAGAUUUAUGUAUUUUGGUGAGGUUGCUAGAGAGAUCAUGUAUUAUGAGAUGUUAUGUAUCUAUUUGAUGCAAGAUGUAAUCAAUGAUGUAUAGCUUGAUGGGAAAUAUGUAUUAAAUGAUUGAAUGCAAUGUAAUAGUUAGACUCUCUCUCUUGCUCGCUUGUAUUUUAAUACUCGCUUGAUCAUGUAUGUUGUUGAUGUUAUUCCUGGGUAACUAGAUGUACAUGAUGAUAUUUGUUCGCCUUUGGCGGACAGGGGAGACUCUGCCCGUUCGACGAUUGUCGCCGAUCCCGUGCUGACCAAAUAGGCGGUCGCGGGCCGUGACAGAUUAUAGUAUCAGAGCGGUAAAAGAGAGAAGUCUAGGAUGUACCCAGGAGACCCUAGGACGGUAAACUCUAAGGACAUAGGUGCGUUAGUGACGUGGACCUAUGUGUCGUGGCGGAAAAUAAGUUAAUUGGGUAUAGUUGUAUAUGUCUCUAGUGGUUAGUAGAGAUGGAUUCAAGUAAUAUUUGUCCUCACUUCGAGUGAGUUGUGUUGGCGGCCAACAACAUAACACUAGGAAUUGGGAAUGAGUAUGCUUGUGAGCUUCCGCCGGAUUGGGUGUCGAGUCGUUUGUUCCUAUUUUGCGUAGGGUCGUGGGUUAUGGUAAUUAACGUAUGUUGUGUUUCAGGAGCUAUGGCACCACCGAGAUGCCCCGUGACGUGAUCCACUCUGGCACCGCCUUUGGAGGUGCCUGAGCAAGUUGGAUCUAGUGAGGUGCAGGAGUUGUGGGCGCAGAUGACUGCACUAGUUGGUGUGGUGGAGUGCCAAGAGGAUCGGUUUGAGCGGCUCCAAGAGCUUAUGGAGCGGCAAGUAGCGGCGACGGCGACAACGGCGACUGAAGGCCGUGAUCCGCCCGCGCCCUCGGCUCGCGCGCCCAAUGCGAUUGAGGGUGUGGGCAUUGCGGCAGCCCCGAUUGCGGCAUGUCCUUCGCCGGCUUGUGUUCCUCCCGUGGCUUCGGGUUCGUCAGUACUUGAUGCGGCCGCUGAGGAGGCUGAGCGGGAGCGUGGCUACACGGCUCUUACCAAGUUUAUGAAAUUCCACCCUCCGACGUUUGAUGGCGAGGUAAUAGACCCUUGGGUCGUGGAGACUUGGUUAGCCACGAUGGAGACAUUGUUCGAGGACAUCUACACCUUGAAACGAGAUAAAGUACACUUGGCCACUCAUUGCUUCGAGAAGAGGGCUCGAGUCUGGUGGAGGAGGGUGAAACAAGAUCGAUCUCUGGACCUUCCCCCGAUUGAUUUGGAGGAGUUUCCGGGGUUGAUAUUUGUGGAGUAUUUUCCCGACAGUAAUAAGAGAAAGAUGCGGGAGGAUUUUCGGAAGCUCAAACAGGGCAAUCGUACAGUUCGGGAGUAUGAGCGAGAGUUCACUCAUCUCCUGAAUUGUGUCCCGGAUGUGGCACGGACCGAGCAGGAUCGGGCGGAGUGCUUUGUGGGGGGACUCCGGCCCGAUAUAUUUCGGAUGGUGCAUGCUUUCAAGUUCCGCACUUUUGCGGAGGUGUUGGAUCGUGCCUUAUGGGUCGAGCACGGGAACGCUUGCGUGCAGGAGGAGCUCUAGGCGUUCGAGAAGGACAAGGGGAAGAAGCGGCCCGGCGGUAGUUCAGGGGGACAGUCAAGUUCCAAGAAGCCCCCGAAGUAUCCAAAGGGACAGUCCAAGAGCCGUGGACCCUUGAGGUGUGUGAUCUGUGGCGGGGAGUAUCGGCCAAUCAACUGUGAACAUAAGGCGAGACGGUGCUUCAGGUAUGGUCAGGCGGGACAUAUAGGCCGGCAGUGCCCAGAAGGAUCGUCGCCUGCCCCGUCUGUUGCAUCCGCUCCGGCGACUCCGAGAUAGUUUGGUGGAGCUCCUCCCGCUGCGAUGUCUGCUGGAUGUGUGUUGGCGCCACGUCAGUCUGAGGCGCCUCAGCCGGCUCCAAGUGGCCGAGUGUUUGCGGCGCAAGUGGAGGAACCUGCGGAGGUCGUCGACCGUGACGUCGUGGCAAGUAUGGUUUUGAUUAACGGAGUUCGCUCCAGGGCUAUGUUUGAUACAGGUGCUACGCACUCAUUCAUCAGUAGGCCAUUUGCACAAAUGCAUGGUAUAGAGAUACAAUUGAGUGAAAGCACUUGGCGAGUAAAGGGCCCCGGGCAUGCAUUUGUUAUUCGGAAGGAAUGCUUGGCGUGUCCAGUGCAGGUGGGCAACUGGAUCAUGUCGACACGGAUGUUAGUGCUCAAGAAGUUGAAGGACUUCGACAUCAUAUUAGGCAUGGACUGGCUCUCGAAGUAUUAUGCGUCUAUCGACUGCAAGAACAAGGUGAUAACUUUCGUGAGCCAGGAUAGGAGGAGUUCGCCUAUCGAGCAUGCAAGAGCUCAUGCUUCGCCGCGACGGUGUCGGCGACAAGGGCGAGAAAGUUGGUUAGCAGCGGUUGCGCAGCUUACUUAGCGACCGUUGUGGAGGUCAAUAAGGUGACUCCGGCACUUGAGGAUAUAUCCGUGGUCCGGGAGUUUCCAGAUGUCUUUCCUGCGGAGUUACCGGGAUUGCCACUGGAUCGAGAGAUCGAGUUCGUUAUAGACUUGGUCCCCGGGACGGCGCCAAUUUCGAAGGCUCCAUAUCGAAUGGCACCGACCGAGUUAGAGGAAUUGAAGGCUCAAUUGCAGGAUCUAGUCGAUAAAGGGUUCGUGAAGCCGAGUGUAUCACCUUGGGGAGUCCCGGUGCUGUUUGUAAAGAAGGACGACGGAUCCUUUCGUCUUUGUGUUGAUUAUCGUGAUCUCAAUAAAGUCACGAUUAAGAAUAAGUACCCGUUGCCUGGUAUCGACGACUUGUUUGAUCAGUUGCAAGGGUCGCGGGUUUACUCGAAGGUUGAUCUCCAGUCCGGCUAUCAUCAGUUAAAGAUCAAGCCAGAUGAUGUGCAUAAGACCGCGUUUCGAACAUGGUACGGGCACUACGAGUUCACGGUCAUGCCAUUUGGGCUUACAAAUGCCCCGGCAGCGUUCAUGGAUUUGAUGAACCGUGUGUUUAGAGCUUAUUUGGACCGAUUUGUGGUGGUAUUCACAGAUGACAUCUUGGUCUACUCACGUAGCGACGAGGAGCACGCGGAACAUUUGAGGAUUGUGCUACAAGUCCUUCGGGAGGAAAAGCUCUAUGCAAAGUUGAAGAAGUGCGACUUCUGGCUUAGGAAGGUUGCUUUCUUAGGGCACGUCAUUUUCGAGGGUGGUGUAUCUGUUGACCCAAGGAAAGCGGGGGCGAUUAAGGAUUGGCCUCGCCCGACUAAUGUGUUAGAAGUUUGUAGUGCUACUAUAGACAGUUUGUGGAGGGAUUCUCAAAAAUCGUGUUCCACUUACUCGUCUCACUCAGAAGGGCGCGAAGUUCGUUUGGAGUGACGAUUGUGAGCAGUGCUUCAAGGAAUUAAAGGAAAGGUUGACGUUGACUCCGAUACUAGCCCUACCGGUCCAGGGAGAGGACUUUGUGGUUUAUAGCGACGCAUCCUACCAGGGGCUUGGGUGUGUUCCGAUGCAAUGCGGGAAGGUGAUUGCUUAUGCAUCCCGCCAGUUGAAAAACCAUGAGAAGAACUAUCCCAUUCAUGACAUGGAGUUGGCAGCGGUGGUCUUCGCACUCAAGUUGUGCAGACACUACCUUUAUAGAGCGCGUUGCGAGUUAUACACAGACCACAAGAGUUUGAAAUAUCUGUUCACUCAGAAGGAACUCAAUAUGCGACAGCACAGGUGGUUGGAAUUAUUAAAGGAUUACGAUGUUACAAUCCUUUACCACCCUGGGAAGGCAAAUGUAGUAGCGGAUGCGCUUAGCAGAAAGUCGAUGGAGAACCUCGCGUUAUGGGUCACCAAUCAGGAGCCCUUGUGGAAGGAAAUGUGGCGAAUGGACCUUGAAGUUGUAGCUCUGGAGGUUCUGACUAUACUGUUGGCUCUCGUUGUCCAACCGACCUUGUUGGAACGAAUCAAGGAAUUGCAAUCCGCGGAUAUAAGUCUCCAAAAGGUGCGGCGCGACAUCGAGAGUGGUCGCCUUGGGGAUUUUAGCAUUGGCACCGAUGGCACUCUUCGGUACCGAAACCGGUGGUGUGUGCCGGAUAAUGAAGAAAUCCCAAGGUUGAUUUUGGACGAGGCACAUCGGUUUUCCUAUAGCGUCCACCCGGGCGGCACCAAAAUGUUCGAGGAUUUGAGAGCGCACUAUUGGUGGCCGGGGAUGAGAGGAGAUAUUGGACGCUAUGUGGCGCAAUACCUUGUAUGCAGCAAGUCAAGGCGGAAUGCCGAUUUUCAGUGGAAAAACUUUAAAGUUUACCAAUUUCUGUUUGGAAAUGGGAGGAUAUCACUGUGGAUUUCGUGGUCGGGUUGCCCGUUCGUCGAGUGGCCACGAUACUAUUUGGAUAAUGGUGGAUCAUUUGACCAAGUCGGCGCACUUUUUACCGAUCCACACUACUUGGUCGCGAGACAAGUUGGCACAGGUUUACCUCGACGAGGUAGUGAGGCUUCAUGGGGUUCCAAAGUCAAUUGUGUCGAAUCGAGACCCCCGGUUCACAUCUCACUUUUGGAAAAGCUUGCAACAGCACUUGGCACACGACUCGAUUUUAGCACCGCAUUUUAUCCUCAAACCAAUGGACAGUCAGAGAGAACGAUCCAAGUGUUAGAGGAUAUGUUGUGAGCGUAUGUCACUGACUAUCGGGGUGGUUGGCAUGAGCACCUAACGAUGGCCGAGUUCGCCUACAACAAUAGUUAUCAAGCUAGUAUAGGAAUGGCCCCGUUUGAAGCUCUCUACGGGAGGAAGUGUCGUUCCCCUAUACACUGGAGCGAGGUGGACGAGCGGAUAGCCUUGGGCCUCAAUGUGUUGCGAGAGGUGGAAGAGAAGGUCCGCCUUGCUCGCCGAAGGAUGUUUACGGCGCAAGCUAGGCAGAAGAAUUAUGCGGAUCGGCGUCGGAGAGACCUUGAGUUCGCGGUUGGAGACCGCGUCUUCUUAAAAGUUUCGCCUAUGAUGGGUGUGAAGAGGUUUGGAGCUCGGGAAAAGCUAAGUCCCCAUUACAUCGGACCGUAGGAGGUACUAGAACGGAUUGGUGCGGUGGCUUAUCGGUUAGCAUUGCCGCCCGAGCUUGCAGAAGUUCAUAGUGCAUUCCACAUUUCAAAUAUCUGCAAAUACGUUCACGAUCCCGAGCAUGUGCUCUUGUUCGAACCGCCCGAGCUUCAAGAGAAUAUGACUUAUGAGGAGUUCCCGGUGCGCAUCAUUGCUCAUGAGGUGAGGAAGCUGCGGAACCGUGAGAUUUCAUAUGUCAAAGUCCAAUGGAGCAACCAUGAUGAUCGGGAGGCUACUUGGGAGCUCGAGGAGGCGAUGAGAAAGCACCAUCCUCAUCUUUUCUAGGAUUUGGAUUAAGGUAUGCGUAUUAGUUUAAGCGCGUGGUGUUUCGCGGACGAAACUCCUUUUAAGGAUGGGAGGAUGUAAGAUAUUGGAUUCUCGGUACGUACGAAUCCGAACUUCGGUCGGAAUUGACCAAAGUGCGGAGUUAUUGGCUUCGAAACGCUUCGGAAAAGUCCGAAUGCGUUAGAAUAGCUUCUAAGGGUGUUGAGGGCCUCGGAGAGCAUUGAGGAGAAAUCCCAAAAAUUUUGAAAAGAAAUUUGCUCUCGGGGUCCGGUCCCUCUAGAGGGUCCGGUCCCCGUAGCCCGAAAAUGCCCAGUGCGGACAGUGAGUAACUUUGGUUGUUUGAGAGGUUUUAUGCAAUUGUGGCAUGAGAAGGGGCUAUAGAACUGGGUUGGCCUUCUCCUCUCUCAUUUCCCUCACACUUGCAACCUAAACUAGCUCUCUCUCUCUCUCUCUAAGAUAGCUCUCUCUCUCUCUCUCUCUUAGGGUGGAUCCAAGAGGAAAAGUUAGUGGAGAAGGGUGCUAGAAGGUAGAGUUUCAUUUUCUUCUUCUUCCUUGCUAGUGGAGAAAGCUUGUUGAGGUGAGCUCCUAGAUCUCUAAUGGUAGAUCUUUGAGGUUUGGUUUAAAUGCCCUAGGAUUUGAUCUAGAUGGGUUUCUAGAUGCUAACUAGAUGCUAUUUGCUUGAAUCAUGGGAUUAUUUAGUGUAUUCUUGCAAGUAGAGGAAUCUCGGAUCAAAGAGGGGGUUUUGCUAUAUGUUAGGUAAAUUGAACCUACGUAAACCUAAUUUCUAGGCAUUCUGACGCAUUGGUAGCCUCGGUUCGGCAAUCCGUUGAGGCUACGCGAAGAUAUUGGAGAAAAAGACCAUUUUGGCUUCGUUUCCGCCUGGAAGACCGAGGCGGUGUUCAAAAAUCACGAAACUAGGAUUCUCACACCUUGGGACUAUUUAGAGGUGGGGGGUGCUAUCCGGAACAUCCAGAUUUCUUUCUAUGCCUUAGUUGCUUCUUUGGCCAUUCUAGUUCAUGUAGUAUGCAUGCAUUAUAGAGUAGGUUGUCAUUUAUUCCUUUCCUUGCUUGCUCUCAUGAGAUUGAUAUAUAUAUAUAUACAUAUAUACAUAUAUAUAUAUAUAUAUAUAUAUAUAUACAUAUAUACAUAUAUACAUAUAUAUAUAUAUGUGAAUGAGAUGGAACAUUGUGCUAUGUGAUGUGGGGAUCGGAUGCGGACAAGGGGCUCUAUAGUGGCAUGACAACAACUUGAACAUUGUGGCAUUGGAAAGUGGCAAUUGACAUGUGAAUGGAAAAACUUAUGACAUUAUGGCAUUAGCUAGAGACAAUGUGAACUUGUGGCAUUAGCUAGAGGCAAUGUGAUUACUCGGAUAUGAGGUUGGGAUCGGUGUUGUUCCCGGAUUGGAUUACCACUAGUUGGUGGGGUAUCCUCGGGUUAGAGGAUUGGAUCAUGCUCACAUUCGUCUGUUAGCUUGGUAGUGGUAGCUCCACCCAAGCUGUGGUCUUCGAAGUUCUUCACGGUUAGGGACAGACGUAGUUGUCCCAUAGACAGCUCCGGGUGAGAGCAGCGGACGCCUCCUCACAAUGCAUAGUUGGUUGUGUGAGUAGAGGCUUAACCUUCGGGUGAGCCGGUAUGAUUGGGUUAUGAAAACAAAGGUAAAUAACAUUCAUCAUGAGCAUAGUAGAUACUAUUACAUGUUUACCUUACCUGUUCUUUAUUGUUCAUAUUACAAAGGCAUAGUAGUAUGCUAGAUGUUUACAUAUUUAUCGCUAACCCUUUACUACUUAUGCCUGCUUAGACCUAGUGAAAAAAUCGGCGGCGUCGGUGGCCGAACCCACUGGAAACUAUUUAUUUAGUUAUCAUCCCACUUUGUUGCAGGGUCGAGUUCGAGCGCGCCGGUCGAGGACUGCGGUAAGGGCAUAGCUACCUCCUACUUUGCAUUAGAGUCGAGUACUACUUUGAUGUAGCAUGUAUAUAAUUGAGAGAUUUAUGUCUUUUGGUGAGGUUGCUAGAGAGAUCAUGUAUUAUGAGAUGUUAUGUAUCUGUUUGAUGCAAGAUGUAAUCAAUGAUGUAUAGCUUGGUGGGAAAUAUGUAUUAAAUGAUUGAAUGCAAUGUGAUAGUUAGACUCUCUCUCUUACUCGCUUGUAUUUUAAUACUCGCUUGAUCAUAUAUGUUGUUGAAGUUAUUCCUGGGUAACUAGAUGUACAUGAUGAUCUUUGUUCACCUUGGGCGGAUAGGGGAGACUCUGUCCGUUCGGCGACUGUCGUCGAGCCUGUGCCUACCAAAUAGGCGGUCGCGGGCCGUGACAUCGCCUCUUCUUCUUCUUCUUCUUCUUCUUCUUCUUCUUCCUCUUCUUCUUCUUCUUCUUCCUCCUAUUUCCUUGACCUUUUCCUUCCCCUCCCCCUUCUCCUCUCCCUCCCCCUCCUAUCGCCAUCCUUACUAAUGCGAGCCUCUCUAUCCAGCACGCUACACCGGAGCGACGAAACACGAAAACGACUUACCUCUCUUUUCUUUUUUUUUUCCUUCAUUUUUUUUCUCUCUGACCUUCAUCGCCUCCUCCGCUGCCUCCGUGGCCUGCGGCGACGGUAAGGGCGGCGCCACCUCCUCUUCCGCUGGCGCUGGCGGCCCUUAACGAAGGUAACGAGGGUGGCAUCGCCUUCUCUUCAUCCACCUCCGCCUCCGCUAACACCGGAGAAGGAGAAAAAGAAGGAGAACUCAGAGCGGGGCUAGGUGAGUGCGGAGUUGACAGAGGCGAUAAGGUCGUUUUCAUGUUUCGGCACUCCAAUGCGGCGUGCUGGGUAGAGAGGCUCGCGUUGGUGAGAAUGGAGGUUGGACGGGGAGGGAGGGGAAGUGGUCAAGGGAAGAAGAAGAAGAAGAAGAUGAUGAUGAUGAUGAGGAGAUAACGCCGAUAAGGGUUGGAUAUAGUACAAUUUUCUCUGAAAUUAUGUAAUUUUUGUUGAAAUUAAGAGUGCAACUUUUAUUUCAAAGAGUGUAAUUUUUAUUUCAAAUCGUGAAAUGUUAAUAUUAAACAGUGUACUUUUCUUAUAAAAUAGUGCAAUUUUAUUUUAACAGUGCAGCAUUCAUCUUCUUCUUUUUUCUCUGAUUCUUAAACUUUUCGGUAACAGCAAUAAUAUAUAAUGGCCUUUUAAAGAGAAGAAAAGCUUCUUCUUCAUUUUUUACUUUUUAUUCUUUUUUUUCCCUACUCUUUCCAUCUUUGUUCGCUCCUUAGAGAUGGACCGUCUUUUUUCCUCACUCUCAUGAAUGGCGAGUACGUACCUCCUCAGCAACGGCCUCAUCACCUCCGUUUGCUCCGCCCUCACCUGGGCCCGCUCCGAGUUCUUCUUCUCAUUCUCCGGCAUCGACAGAGGAGGAGAUGGAGGAAAAGGAGGUGGCGCCGUCCUUGUUACCGUCACUGAGGGCUGCGGAGGCGGUGGAGGAGGCGAUGAGGUCAAAGAGAAAAAAAAAGAACGAAAGAAAAGAGAGAGAGAGAGAAAGAGAGAGAGAAAGGAAUAAAAAUAUUUUGGUCAGUUUGUUAAAAAUUCGGUUCAAGUCAGUAAAAUUUAAUAUAGUGGCUCAUUUUUAUAAAAUCGCAAAAUUAGUGAAUUUUUAUACAAAUUGACCAAAUAAUUUUUAUACCGAAUAAAUUAUUUUUAAAUAUCUUAUUUGGAGGCCCAAAUAGGACUAGUAAACAAUACGUGAUAGUACACACUAUAGUAAAUCACUGGCGGUUGGAUCUCAUUUAUUUGUCCAUGUCCAUGCCCAAUGAAACUCGCGGUUAAUUCAGUGGGCAUUAAAAUCAUGAUUAAUUUAUCCACCAAAUUUCGGGGAGGGGGCGGGGAGGAAAGGGAUUCUAUAAAAGCUUAUAGUUCAUCUCAUAAAGGCCAUAUAUGCUCCCUUCCUUCUUAUUCUUAUUUCCCUAUAGGGCCUCUGCAGCGCCAUAUAAAUGGCCGAGAGCGCCGCCGCCACUGCCGCCGCUGCUGUUGACGCGGAGUCAAGGCGAGGGGAGUACACAAAAGAUGGAUCAGUGGAUCUCAAGGGAAACCCUGUUCUUAGAUCCACGAGAGGUGGUUGGACUGCUUGCUCCUUUGUUGUGGGUAAUCAUGAAUUGAACUCUCUCUCUCUCUCUCUCUCUCUCUCUCUCUCUAUCUCUCUCUCUAUAUGUCUAUGUGACUUGCCAUUCAUUUUCCUUCAUGUUCUUUUGUAGGAUUCAUUAGCUGCUUCUCUGCUUCCUUUUAUAUAAUAAUAACAAUGCUUACAUAGAAAUGCUGUUUAAGUACAACUGCUAGGAAAAGCACUAAUAAGUGACAUUUCAUCAAAAAUUUUCUACAGUAACUUCUACGCAACACAAGCAAAAAGACACCACAGCAAAACCUAAAGACUUUUCAUUGUAAUUAGAAAUGAAAAAAAAAAAAAAGGCUUCUUUUCCGGCUGGAGCUUAUACAGAAGUAUUAUUUUAGUAGAGCUACUUACUACAAGAUGCAUCAUUAGCUGAUUUUUCAUCAAAAUCCUAUUGCAACCACUUGUAGAAGUAGAAAAUCACAACAUCAAAAGCUCCGGACUUGUCCAUAUACCCAAAUUAAAGAAAUGACAACUUACUUCCGCUUUGUACCAUAGCAGAAGAUGUAAGCUUUUCAGCUAACCAAACAUUAAUUUUAUUAAAGCUAAAUUACAUUUGUAAUAGUUCUAUAUGUGUGUUCCAUUAAAGCUAAACAAUUGAAUUAAAUAUUAUAUUUUUGUUCUUGAAGUUCUAAGAUUAUGAAAUAUUCUCCUCUUUAGAGGGGGAAAUUGAGGCUCCACUCCAUUAAUGGUGUGUGUGAGUGAAAGAAGCCAGAGCAUCCAAGUGCACUUAAUUGCUUCGAUGCGACCAAUUCAACUUAAAUUUCUUAUUUAUUAGGCAACAUGCUACUGUAGACCCUUGAGACCAUUCCCAUACCUACUAGGCUACUAUUAAGUAUUAACCCACCAGAGAGAAGAUAUGGAAUUUAUGGGAAUAUUAAUUUUUUUUUCUUUCUGAUGUGCCGGAAUUUUAUUGGCCAGCAGGAUUAUCUUUUGGGCCAAUCCAAUCCACGUGGGUUGGCCGAGGAGUCACGUGAUUGGGUAUGGCAGUCAAGUUCAACCAAUUGUAGGUGCAUAUUUAUUAUUAAUUAAUUACUGCUCCAUACCUUAACCAAAUUUUAUGGGCUUUUUUUGCAAGUAGCCCUCUGACAAAUUUUAUUUACAAAAAUAGUCUUGUCCAAAAUUUAUUUGCAAAAAUGGCCCUGGCCCUGCCACGCCAGCGCCACGUCAGCGCCACGCGGGCAGGGUCUGGGCCAGGUAUUCAAGUUGAACACGGUGAUUGGUUCACCGUGUUUAGACACGGUGAACCAAUCACCGUGUUCAUGUGUUACUAACAACCCGCCCAGGGUGUUAGUAUUGCAUUAGACACGGUGAUUCGUUCACCGUGUCUAAACACGGUGAACUGUUCACCGCGUUUAGACACGGUGAACCAUUUACCGUGUCCUUCACUUCCAUAUUUGGCCAAAUACGGCCUGGCUAGUUGUAUUGGACACGGACUUAGCCGUUUUCGGGGGUGCUCAAUACAUUUGUAUUGGACACGGUGAACCAUUCACCGUGUCCAUUAGAUUUGUAUUGGACACGGUGAAUGGAUCACCGUGUCCAAUACAAAUGUAUUGGACACGGUGAUCCAUUCACCGUGUCCAAUACAAAUCUAAUGGAUACGGUGAAUGGUUGACUGUGUCCAAUACAAAUGUAUUAAGCACCCCCGAAAAUGGCUAAGUCCGUAUCCAAUACAACUAGCCAAGCCGUAUUUGACCAAAUAUGAAAGUGAAGGACACGGUAAAUGAUUCACCAUGUCUAAACGCGGUGAACAGUUCACCGUGUUUAGACACGGUGAACGAAUCACCGUAUCUAAUGCAAUACUACCACUCCGGACGGGGUGUGAGAAACACGAUGAACACGGUGAUUGGUUCACCGUGUUUAGACACGGUGAACCAAUCACCGUGUUCAACUUGAAUACCUGGCCCAGACCCUGCCCGCGUGGCGCUGACGUAGCGCUGGCAUGGCAGGGCCAAGGUCAUUUUUAUAAAUAAAUUUUGGAUAGGACUAUUUUUGCAAAUAAAAUUUGUCAGGAGGCUAUUUGCAAAAAAAGCCCCUUUUUUAAGCUUUUUGUCCACGUAGUACUGUCGCAGCGCAUUAUUCCCUGCUCGGAGGCGGCUUCACCGACGAGAGGUGCUGCUUCUACUUCGUCUCCGUACGUAGAAGGUUUGUGGGCUCUGGAAUGUUCCGUUACCAAAAGGGUCUCUCGAUUAUUCUCUGGAUACGUUCUUUGGCAUUUUCUAACUGAUGCUCUCUUCUUUUUUUUUUGGUUUUUUUGUUUUUUUUUUUUUUUUCGUUGUUUGCAGUGAAUCGCUGAUGGAGAGAAGGUUUUUUGUUUGCGGGAACUGGAAAUGCGUAAAUUAUCUCUUCCCGAUUCUCUACAUUUUAUGGUCGUUUUUUUUAUUAUGCUUUAAUAAUCCCUGAGUAGAACUUCUUUUUUUCUUUUUUUUUUUUAUUCCUCAUAUUUGUGUGCCGUCGAUAGAUUUUGGUUGUAGUAGUUAACUUGUACAAUUCAUUAACCUCUCGAAAUACCAAAUUCUCGUUAAUUUGCAUCAUCUUUUCUUGUUUGACACCAUCGACCUGUAUGUUUGUGACUAAUUGAUUUAUUUAUUUAUCUUUUUUGAAGGUGGUGUUUGUGACUAAUUUAGCGAAAAUAUCUACAAUAUUGUUUAGUUUAGAUGUUGCUGCAUCUCAUGUAUUAUCAAGUGCAUUUCAAAUGUGCUGUUAAAACUUGCUUAAUGCACUUUUCGUUUUCAAACUUUAAUUGGACUUGUGGUUUUUAAACUUUAAUUUGUUUCUCAAACUUUAAUUUGCUAUAAUUUUUUAUCCGAGCAUUUUAGAUUGUUGCAAUCAAGUCGCGAACAUUCUGGUUAGUGCAUGACUUUUACCAUUUUUCGUGAUUUCAUCAUCUAUGUUUGACAUAGAAGUCUGAGCAUAGUAUUUUGUGAACUUUACCUGUCGGGCCCAUUUUGCCCUGUUCGUUUAGGCCCUGUUUGGAGGUCAGAGUUAGUUAUCCAAGGAUAACUUAUUGAUAUAUAAAAAUUUUCUAGUAUGAUUGCAGGGGACGAAGCAAGAAAUUAAAAUUCGGAGGCCAAGAUUUAGAUUCGAUAGAAAAAAAAAUUCAACCUUGGAUAAUAAGAAAAAAAUUUUGUCAGAUUCACUGAUCAGUUAUUACUAGCAACAAUAAUAAUAAUAUGCUCAAAAAGGAACAAGACCAUAAGAGUUGAAGAGAAAGGAUCGAGAAAUUUGAAAAAAAAAUUGAGACACAAUUUUAUUAAAAGAAUUAAUUUGGCCCCCCAAAAUUAAAAUUUAUAAUAUUUUAUUUUUAUUACAAAAGACUUCUAUGUAAUUUGAAAAAAGUUAGGGGGGCCAUGGCCACUGUGGGCCCGGCAAUGGCUCCGCCACUGUUAAUGAUUGUAAGAAAUCUGGUUGAUUUCAGCUCUUUGAGAGGUCUUGAUAUUCAUGAUUUGCUAAGAUAACAUAUUUUAUCUAUAUGGUGAUUUAUUUUGUCCCAAAAAAUUAACUUAAGGCCAAAAAUAAUAUCCAAUUUUAGGCAUUUAAUCACACUUUUCGUCUACGAAAUAUACAAACUUCUUAAGAAAAUUAUGGAGAUAUACUGAAUAAGAUAUUUAUGCAUCCGUGCAGAGCCUUAGCUUAUCCCUUAUUCAGAGCUCAAUCUUAUUCACAUCAUUGUUCUAGCAGUUUUUUCAUGUUCUGUGACUAUUUGUACUUUCUACAGUGUAGAGAUGUUGGUAGACCUUGAUCUACAUUCGGUCGUUCUAGGACAUUUUGAAAGACGCAUGUUGUUCGGCGAAUCAGAUGAAGUAAGUUCCUCGACAGAGAUAGUUUAAGCAUUUAUAUUUAUUCAUAAGUUCAGUAGAUGCUUAUUUUUAUUAGUAAAUAGUGUUUAUAUUGGAUUACUUUUCGUCCGAUGGGCCUUACAAGAAUUUUACUCUGUUUUUCUCUUUUUUGGUUGAUCCGUAUUUUGACUUCUUGUUAUUAGAUGAACAUAGCCUAGGGAUGCAAAUUAUGUUUUAUUCAACUUCUUAUUGAUCUUAUUUUUGGGUUAUUUUUUUAAUAUGGAUUUUAUAUGAUUUUUGUUUUUUUUUUUUUUUUUNNNNNNNNNNNNNNNNNNNNNNNNNNNNNNNNNNNNNNNNNNNNNNNNNNNNNNNNNNNNNNNNNNNNNNNNNNNNNNNNNNNNNNNNNNNNNNNNNNNNNNNNNNNNNNNNNNNNNNNNNNNNNNNNNNNNNNNNNNNNNNNNNNNNNNNNNNNNNNNNNNNNNNNNNNNNNNNNNNNNNNNNNNNNNNNNNNNNNNNNNNNNNNNNNNNNNNNNNNNNNNNNNNNNNNNNNNNNNNNNNNNNNNNNNNNNNNNNNNNNNNNNNNNNNNNNNNNNNNNNNNNNNNNNNNNNNNNNNNNNNNNNNNNNNNNNNNNNNNNNNNNNNNNNNNNNNNNNNNNNNNNNNNNNNNNNNNNNNNNNNNNNNNNNNNNNNNNNNNNNNNNNNNNNNNNNNNNNNNNNNNNNNNNNNNNNNNNNNNNNNNNNNNNNNNNNNNNNNNNNNNNNNNNNNNNNNNNNNNNNNNNNNNNNNNNNNNNNNNNNNNNNNNNNNNNNNNNNNNNNNNNNNNNNNNNNNNNNNNNNNNNNNNNNNNNNNNNNNNNNNNNNNNNNNNNNNNNNNNNNNNNNNNNNNNNNNNNNNNNNNNNNNNNNNNNNNNNNNNNNNNNNNNNNNNNNNNNNNNNNNNNNNNNNNNNNNNNNNNNNNNNNNNNNNNNNNNNNNNNNNNNNNNNNNNNNNNNNNNNNNNNNNNNNNNNNNNNNNNNNNNNNNNNNNNNNNNNNNNNNNNNNNNNNNNNNNNNNNNNNNNNNNNNNNNNNNNNNNNNNNNNNNNNNNNNNNNNNNNNNNNNNNNNNNNNNNNNNNNNNNNNNNNNNNNNNNNNNNNNNNNNNNNNNNNNNNNNNNNNNNNNNNNNNNNNNNNNNNNNNNNNNNNNNNNNNNNNNNNNNNNNNNNNNNNNNNNNNNNNNNNNNNNNNNNNNNNNNNNNNNNNNNNNNNNNNNNNNNNNNNNNNNNNNNNNNNNNNNNNNNNNNNNNNNNNNNNNNNNNNNNNNNNNNNNNNNNNNNNNNNNNNNNNNNNNNNNNNNNNNNNNNNNNNNNNNNNNNNNNNNNNNNNNNNNNNNNNNNNNNNNNNNNNNNNNNNNNNNNNNNNNNNNNNNNNNNNNNNNNNNNNNNNNNNNNNNNNNNNNNNNNNNNNNNNNNNNNNNNNNNNNNNNNNNNNNNNNNNNNNNNNNNNNNNNNNNNNNNNNNNNNNNNNNNNNNNNNNNNNNNNNNNNNNNNNNNNNNNNNNNNNNNNNNNNNNNNNNNNNNNNNNNNNNNNNNNNNNNNNNNNNNNNNNNNNNNNNNNNNNNNNNNNNNNNNNNNNNNNNNNNNNNNNNNNNNNNNNNNNNNNNNNNNNNNNNNNNNNNNNNNNNNNNNNNNNNNNNNNNNNNNNNNNNNNNNNNNNNNNNNNNNNNNNNNNNNNNNNNNNNNNNNNNNNNNNNNNNNNNNNNNNNNNNNNNNNNNNNNNNNNNNNNNNNNNNNNNNNNNNNNNNNNNNNNNNNNNNNNNNNNNNNNNNNNNNNNNNNNNNNNNNNNNNNNNNNNNNNNNNNNNNNNNNNNNNNNNNNNNNNNNNNNNNNNNNNNNNNNNNNNNNNNNNNNNNNNNNNNNNNNNNNNNNNNNNNNNNNNNNNNNNNNNNNNNNNNNNNNNNNNNNNNNNNNNNNNNNNNNNNNNNNNNNNNNNNNNNNNNNNNNNNNNNNNNNNNNNNNNNNNNNNNNNNNNNNNNNNNNNNNNNNNNNNNNNNNNNNNNNNNNNNNNNNNNNNNNNNNNNNNNNNNNNNNNNNNNNNNNNNNNNNNNNNNNNNNNNNNNNNNNNNNNNNNNNNNNNNNNNNNNNNNNNNNNNNNNNNNNNNNNNNNNNNNNNNNNNNNNNNNNNNNNNNNNNNNNNNNNNNNNNNNNNNNNNNNNNNNNNNNNNNNNNNNNNNNNNNNNNNNNNNNNNNNNNNNNNNNNNNNNNNNNNNNNNNNNNNNNNNNNNNNNNNNNNNNNNNNNNNNNNNNNNNNNNNNNNNNNNNNNNNNNNNNNNNNNNNNNNNNNNNNNNNNNNNNNNNNNNNNNNNNNNNNNNNNNNNNNNNNNNNNNNNNNNNNNNNNNNNNNNNNNNNNNNNNNNNNNNNNNNNNNNNNNNNNNNNNNNNNNNNNNNNNNNNNNNNNNNNNNNNNNNNNNNNNNNNNNNNNNNNNNNNNNNNNNNNNNNNNNNNNNNNNNNNNNNNNNNNNNNNNNNNNNNNNNNNNNNNNNNNNNNNNNNNNNNNNNNNNNNNNNNNNNNNNNNNNNNNNNNNNNNNNNNNNNNNNNNNNNNNNNNNNNNNNNNNNNNNNNNNNNNNNNNNNNNNNNNNNNNNNNNNNNNNNNNNNNNNNNNNNNNNNNNNNNNNNNNNNNNNNNNNNNNNNNNNNNNNNNNNNNNNNNNNNNNNNNNNNNNNNNNNNNNNNNNNNNNNNNNNNNNNNNNNNNNNNNNNNNNNNNNNNNNNNNNNNNNNNNNNNNNNNNNNNNNNNNNNNNNNNNNNNNNNNNNNNNNNNNNNNNNNNNNNNNNNNNNNNNNNNNNNNNNNNNNNNNNNNNNNNNNNNNNNNNNNNNNNNNNNNNNNNNNNNNNNNNNNNNNNNNNNNNNNNNNNNNNNNNNNNNNNNNNNNNNNNNNNNNNNNNNNNNNNNNNNNNNNNNNNNNNNNNNNNNNNNNNNNNNNNNNNNNNNNNNNNNNNNNNNNNNNNNNNNNNNNNNNNNNNNNNNNNNNNNNNNNNNNNNNNNNNNNNNNNNNNNNNNNNNNNNNNNNNNNNNNNNNNNNNNNNNNNNNNNNNNNNNNNNNNNNNNNNNNNNNNNNNNNNNNNNNNNNNNNNNNNNNNNNNNNNNNNNNNNNNNNNNNNNNNNNNNNNNNNNNNNNNNNNNNNNNNNNNNNNNNNNNNNNNNNNNNNNNNNNNNNNNNNNNNNNNNNNNNNNNNNNNNNNNNNNNNNNNNNNNNNNNNNNNNNNNNNNNNNNNNNNNNNNNNNNNNNNNNNNNNNNNNNNNNNNNNNNNNNNNNNNNNNNNNNNNNNNNNNNNNNNNNNNNNNNNNNNNNNNNNNNNNNNNNNNNNNNNNNNNNNNNNNNNNNNNNNNNNNNNNNNNNNNNNNNNNNNNNNNNNNNNNNNNNNNNNNNNNNNNNNNNNNNNNNNNNNNNNNNNNNNNNNNNNNNNNNNNNNNNNNNNNNNNNNNNNNNNNNNNNNNNNNNNNNNNNNNNNNNNNNNNNNNNNNNNNNNNNNNNNNNNNNNNNNNNNNNNNNNNNNNNNNNNNNNNNNNNNNNNNNNNNNNNNNNNNNNNNNNNNNNNNNNNNNNNNNNNNNNNNNNNNNNNNNNNNNNNNNNNNNNNNNNNNNNNNNNNNNNNNNNNNNNNNNNNNNNNNNNNNNNNNNNNNNNNNNNNNNNNNNNNNNNNNNNNNNNNNNNNNNNNNNNNNNNNNNNNNNNNNNNNNNNNNNNNNNNNNNNNNNNNNNNNNNNNNNNNNNNNNNNNNNNNNNNNNNNNNNNNNNNNNNNNNNNNNNNNNNNNNNNNNNNNNNNNNNNNNNNNNNNNNNNNNNNNNNNNNNNNNNNNNNNNNNNNNNNNNNNNNNNNNNNNNNNNNNNNNNNNNNNNNNNNNNNNNNNNNNNNNNNNNNNNNNNNNNNNNNNNNNNNNNNNNNNNNNNNNNNNNNNNNNNNNNNNNNNNNNNNNNNNNNNNNNNNNNNNNNNNNNNNNNNNNNNNNNNNNNNNNNNNNNNNNNNNNNNNNNNNNNNNNNNNNNNNNNNNNNNNNNNNNNNNNNNNNNNNNNNNNNNNNNNNNNNNNNNNNNNNNNNNNNNNNNNNNNNNNNNNNNNNNNNNNNNNNNNNNNNNNNNNNNNNNNNNNNNNNNNNNNNNNNNNNNNNNNNNNNNNNNNNNNNNNNNNNNNNNNNNNNNNNNNNNNNNNNNNNNNNNNNNNNNNNNNNNNNNNNNNNNNNNNNNNNNNNNNNNNNNNNNNNNNNNNNNNNNNNNNNNNNNNNNNNNNNNNNNNNNNNNNNNNNNNNNNNNNNNNNNNNNNNNNNNNNNNNNNNNNNNNNNNNNNNNNNNNNNNNNNNNNNNNNNNNNNNNNNNNNNNNNNNNNNNNNNNNNNNNNNNNNNNNNNNNNNNNNNNNNNNNNNNNNNNNNNNNNNNNNNNNNNNNNNNNNNNNNNNNNNNNNNNNNNNNNNNNNNNNNNNNNNNNNNNNNNNNNNNNNNNNNNNNNNNNNNNNNNNNNNNNNNNNNNNNNNNNNNNNNNNNNNNNNNNNNNNNNNNNNNNNNNNNNNNNNNNNNNNNNNNNNNNNNNNNNNNNNNNNNNNNNNNNNNNNNNNNNNNNNNNNNNNNNNNNNNNNNNNNNNNNNNNNNNNNNNNNNNNNNNNNNNNNNNNNNNNNNNNNNNNNNNNNNNNNNNNNNNNNNNNNNNNNNNNNNNNNNNNNNNNNNNNNNNNNNNNNNNNNNNNNNNNNNNNNNNNNNNNNNNNNNNNNNNNNNNNNNNNNNNNNNNNNNNNNNNNNNNNNNNNNNNNNNNNNNNNNNNNNNNNNNNNNNNNNNNNNNNNNNNNNNNNNNNNNNNNNNNNNNNNNNNNNNNNNNNNNNNNNNNNNNNNNNNNNNNNNNNNNNNGGAGUCCCGUAAUAAAACUCCAACAUCCAAUCAAUGUAAUACUCAUCUCUCCAUGUCGCAAAUGGAAACUCUUGUCUCCCGCGCCACCUCAGACUAAUGCCCAGUAAUAAAUGAACCGAUCGAGCUGUAGCGGCGCAAAUCGUGAAAACGCUAAUAAAAUCCUGCUGCGCAAUAAGUCCAACACCGCAGAUGCUCGCACUGGCCAAUCUGCUUCAACUUUGCGCACAUACUUCCGUAUUGAACAGGAGAAUAUCCCUGCAUCGAUUGUGAAUUGCCAGCACGGUAAAUUAGUACAUAAGUUAAAGAAGAUUCUAGUAAAUUUGAAAAUGUUUUUAAAAAUUUACCUCCCCUCUUGAUCAAAGUAAUCUAUGUCGUGGCUGGCUCAGUCAGCACGGAUGUAUGCAAUAGGUCCGGUCGUCAUGAUCGUCCAUCUGAAUAUUGGCACAAAAAAAAAACAUUAAUUAGAUACAAUAUGAUUGUAAAAUGUGCGUAAGUAAAAAGAUUAAGAGUUAUAGUGUCCAUAUUAAUAGGAAAACCUAUCGACGGACGUCCUCUCGAUUUCUUCUUUGCCUGAUUUCAGGACAACUGCUUUAUAAUGUCCAAGCUGUACACAUACUACAGCUGCCCUCCCUAUUCCCCACUGGCUUCCGUCAUAACACUUACGGUAUACGGUUAUCAGCUAGGUCGUCCUUUUUUCUUCUCCCGCGUGUGGCAACUAUAGCGGAAUCAUAUGGAUGUGAUCCAAUAACACGAUCGGGUACGCCGGUAGAAAUUGGCGCGUUCAUAAGGCCUUACAUAUGAUCGACAGAUAUAUCAGGAGAAUAUUAAGCCAUAAUAAUCUAUUUCAAUGUGUGAUGACAUACCAACAUUGAGCAAAAUGGUGAACCAAGAGGAUUCCUGUGAGUUUCCAAACACAAACGAUGAAAUCAUGUAGAACUGCUUUCCAUUGAUAGUCACUUGGUAUUGAUCUCUCGCCAAAGUAAUGUUGAACAUAUGAAAUGCAAAUCGUUGAACGGCAUAUCCCUCGGCACUUUCGAUCCGGCUAUUGAUGGUUUUUUUCAACGUCGUGCAAACUGCGGAGCAUUGCAGCGCCUUUCUGUCCGAAUGUUUUAGAAAAAAUUCAACAUACUCGAUGAAAUGUUGGCCAUCAAAAAAGCUUGUAAUUGGUAAGCCGCUGCGAACUUCCCCUCAACACCCUAUUUUAAACGUUCGAUCGAGUUAGUUUCAUAUACCAAAUUGUCGACCACCAUCAAAAGCUUCUAGCCCAUAUGUCCUUAUCGUUCAUGAGAUGUCAACCCAACGCCAAGCUUCGUUCAUCCAUAGCCUUCAAUCUUCCUUUUAAUGCGUAAUAUUGCGUUUUCUGAAGCACUCCCAAUUCGAUAAAAAUUUAAGUAAGUGUUUCCUUUGAAAUGAAAUAUUCAUAUUGGCCUUCAUAUUCGCGCAAACACCAAUCGAUGAGCAUGACCUUCAGACUGGUGGGAAUACAACGUGCAGACCGACGGUUCGCUAGGCCUUUAAACAUCUGAAAUAGUGUAAUAACUCGAGAUCUUGUUAAUCAUACCUUUCUUAGGCAACUUAAAAACUCACUCCACAACUCGAGCAUUCCACACCCUCCACCAAAUUGCGAAACCUAGCGGAAAUAAACCACCAUUUCCAUCGACACUGUGGCAAUUAAUGCGUGCCUCCGUAUUUCCCAUACAGAUGAGUAAGCAUAAGAUAACUAAGUAAUGGCCGUCAAUACUCCAACAUGAUCGCACGUCCAAAAGCCCAAAGGCUCGUGAAAAACCAUUCUCGUUAUUGCUCCACACUUAACUAUUACUAUCAAUCUUUGUAAUAGUGUCCUGGAUUUGUUGAUUUGCCAACAUAGAAGAAGGGUAUCGAGGAAGGCUCUGGAAGAUUGAUUUGCUCCCAACUACCGUAUAUAAUUUUAGUGCCUUAUAUCUGUGCCGCCAAGCUUAACUAUAUGAUAUGCUAUGUGUAACGUCGCUCUGAACUCAGAGCUUUGAAUGUCAUUGACCUAUUGUAAGCGCUUGCCCUUAGUGUCAGGUAGUUAUAAAUGUUGCCAUAUGAAAGAUGUGUACAGAUUUCGAUGUCUUGUAUUUGAAAAUUGGAACCAAACAAGUGUGCAGACGCUUUAUCAAUCUUUAUUGUUAAAAAUGAACUACCUUUUGGUUGAGGAGCAUGUAUCUCCAGGCGAUAGAAUCGACACCACAUUCGCACAGUAAUAUCUAGUUGUAUUUGACUUAAAAACUUUAAGCUCGCACAUUAUGUGCAAUGUGCCAAGGCGUUGCCAAGGCCCUACUAGCUAGGAUGAUUUAUGAAAAGGCGAUUAGCCACUGCGUCAUCACUUGGAAGCGGACCCUGAUCAAGUAUUUUUGUUCACUAUAUGCAUAACAACGCUUUUGAUUAAUUAAUGUAUUACCGCAGGUAAACCGUUGUGCGUUGAUCGUCAAAUUCAACGAGAUUCAACCGGUGUCCGGUACAUCUUCUGUUGUUGGCCAUUGGAUGUUUCAAUCCAAUUCAACAGCCUUACAUCUCGUAAUGGCGCGGAUGACAGAGGGCAUUCAAGCCCCCCGCCACAUCAAUGAUCGAGAUCCAAAAGAAACACGCCCAACAAAACUCCUCGUCAUCACUAAAUCAGCACUCAAUUCGCCUUGAUCCUCUUCAUCAGUUCACUAACAUACUCCUCAUCAACUUCUACUUACGGUCCAAUAGAUCAGUUGUAGUCACUCCCGAUUGGUCCAUUCACGAUGAGUACAUAAUAAUUUCUUUUGAUAAGGAGGGAUAGUAUUUCUUACUGGCCAAGCCGAUCAUUUGAGAAUACUAGAUGUGUCCUGGACCUUCAUCUACAUAAGGAGAGUUAGUAUUUCUUACUUCCCAAGCCGGCCAUUCAUGAACACUAGAUGAUUCUGGACUCUUCAUCUACAUAGGGAGGGCUAGUAUUUCUUUCUUCCUAAGCCGCCAUUCAUGAACACUAGAUGAUCCUGGACCUUCAUCUACAUAGAGAGAGCUAGUAUUUCUUUCUUCCCAAGCGGCCAUUGAUGAACACUACAUGAGGACUUCAUUUUGAUAAGGAGGGAUAGUGGUCUUGACUUCCCAAUCCGUCCAUUCGUGAACAUAAGAUGAUGGUCGUGGACUUUGAUAAGGAGGACAGUAGACCUGUAGAGAUAUAUAAUGAUUAUUAUUCACAUUGAUUUUUUACGUAACUAAUUAUACAAUCACCUACCACUCAUUUUGAUAACCACAGAGACGGAUCCAUACAGCAGAUGCAAUGCUGCAUAACUGGCUGAGAUGGAACUGCAAACUCUCCUGAAAACACUUACAAGACAAAGUAUUAAUUUCGCGCGCACCUAAACUAUUGAGAAAUCACGAAAAAGAUUAUAAAGUCAUUACUUUAUACUUGAUGUACGACCUCGUUCGCGAUUGACGUAAUUUCUUUGAUCAUUGCGGGUACGACACAUUUCCGUUUGAUAACGGCUAUUUGGACGGUCGUGUGCCGUCGACCCAUCUUUCUCCACGUAUAAUUUUAUACAUCCAUGGAACGGAAAUAUACUCGUCACGCCAGAUAGUGUAUUGUUAUUUGAUACGUUAACAAAUUUCCAUUCGCCUCCCAUUAAACAUUUCACCGUGAUGCGUAGACGGUCUGUCCACUCGAUCAUAAUUAGUAACAUUGUAUAUUUCCAUCUCCUAAUCCCGAAAUGAGAUAUUGCGUCGGACGCAAACCAAUUCUUUACGGCACCAAUAUAUCGUGGUCAUUAUUGUUUCGACAAAUUUUCCGUCCAAUAGAUAUAGAAAGGAACAAGUCGCCAGAUAUAGAGUUCUAAAGUUAUAUAUUAACAUGUAAAAAUAUUAAACUCAAGACAUAUCACAUUUCUAACAUACAACAAAAGAGAGGGUAAAAGAUGGUAUUACCAUUGUACAAGCACGGUCGGCGGCGCGACUACUUUGCCAAUUAAGAACGCAGGAAUAACCUGUGACAAAGAGACAGAGAACAAUCAGUGAAAGAGGGGGGUGGGGGGUGCAGAGAGUUGGGUAGGGGGAGGGUAGUGGAAAGGCUUCUCACUGUGAGAAGCUACAGAGUCUUGGGGGUGGGGGCUUCUCACUGUGGAAGCUCACAUGGCUUCUCACAGUGAGAAGCCAUGUGAGAGUGCUUGGGUGGGGGGGGGAUUCUCACUGUGAGAGCCUCAAACCCCCGUGCUCACAGUGGCUUCUCACUGUGAGAAGCCCUCCCGCACCUCACAGUGAGAAACCUCACAAGUGCUUCUCACUGUGGAAAGAGUGCUGAGUGGGGGGGAGGGAUUCUCACAGUGAGAAGCUCUGCUUGAGGCUUCUCACUGUGAGACCAAUGUGAAGGGGGGGUAGAGCCCCGCCGCCCGCCCCCCCGCACAGUGAACGCACCCCCCAGCACUCUCACAACACUGUGAAGGGGGGUGGACUUCUCACUGUAAGAAGCCUAUUCUCACUGUGAGAAGCCUUACAGAGGCGGGGGGGUGGUGUGGGUGGGGUGGGGCUUCUCACUGUGAGAAACCUCACAGCGGCGGGUGAGGGCGACGUCGCGGCGGGCGCGGUGUGGGCCCAAGCAGAGAGAGAGAGAGAGAGAGAGGAGAGAGAGAGAGAGAGAGCUUCUAGGGCUAGGGCUAGGGAGAACGAGGAAUGAAGCUACCUUGGGCAAUAAAGGGCGACGGCGAUCGGCUAGAGAGGAGAGAGAGAAGAGGAAGAGAGCGAGAGAGAGAGAGGAGAUCGAAGAGAGAGAGAGAUCGAGACAGAGUUCGGGGGGGGGGGGGGGGGGAAGUGUAUUCAAAGAGAACACGGUGAAUGGUUCACCGUGUCUAGAGUGUUUGCUGUGGACACGGUGAACCAAUUCACCGUGUCCAAUAGAUAUUGCAUUUAGACAGAGAGAUCGAGACAGAGUUCGCGGAGGGGAGGGGGGGGAGGUAUUCAAAGAGAACACGGUGAACCAAUCACCGUGUCUAGACACGGUGAAUGGUUCACUGUGUCCAAUAGAAAUACCAUACCCUUAGCCAUUUUUGUUGGUGCGAUAUUUCUAUCGAACACGGUGAACCAAUUACCGUGUCUAGACACGGUGAUUGGUUCACCGUGUUCAAUAGAAAUACCGACCGCCGCAUUCCUAUUGAACACGGUGAUUUGUUCACCGUGUUUAGACACGAUGAACCAAUCACCGUGUUCAACUUAAAUAGCUGGCCUAGCCAUGCCCGCGUGGCACUGACGUGGCGCUGGCGUGGCAGGGCCAGGGCUAUUUUUGCAAAUAAAUUUUGGACAGGGCUAUUUUUGCAAAUAAAAUUUGUUAGGGGGCUAUUUGCAAAAAAAGCCCAAAUUUUAUAUUACUGCUACGUUGUUAAUAGUACAUAUAUAGAGACCUAGCAACCAAAGUCACCAAAUUUAAUUUAAAGGGCUCUUUUUUUUUUCCUUUUUCUUUCUUUAAGUGUAAGAUGGAUAACUUCUUGUGAAAUUUUUUAGUAUAAAAGCAAAAAUAUGCAAUGUAAAUCUUCAUUUCAAACAAUCACAUUUCAAUUACAAGUUUAGUGCCCUCGAUCGUUAUGACAAUGGCAAAAGCGACUCGAUAGUUCGAGACCAUUUGAUGGGGCCACUUACUAUAGCUCUAGUACCAUUAUACACUAAAACUCUUUGUGCACCGCAUUUAUAUACCUUGAUCGGACAAAACAAGCCCUAAACGCGCGAAACCAAUUACUAACCCUUUUUCGAUCAUGUGUUCCAUGUUUCCUAGCUAAACUUACAGUCCAUUUUCAUGUGUUCUUUUCUCAAGGAAAAAUAAGAAGAAAUAGCUAGAUGAGGAAUUUUGUGUUCUUUAAUGCUUUCCUAUUGCAAAUAUAGCUCCAAUACUAUUGUAUAUAUAAAGUAAAAUCAAUCGCUAACUAUAUUAAGUGAUUAUAUAUAUAUAUAUAUAUAUAUAUAUAUAUAUAUAUAUAUAUUGUGCAGUGUAUGAAGUGUUUGAGAGGAUGGCAUAUUAUGGGAUCUCAUCAAACUUGGUGUUGUAUUUAACCACUAAAUUACACCAAGGCACGGUCUCAUCAGCUAAUAAUGUGACUAAUUGGGUUGGAACCAUUUGGAUGACUCCGAUUAUUGGUGCCUAUGUCGCGGAUGCGCAUCUCGGCCGUUACCGCACAUUCAUUAUCGCAUCCGUUAUUUAUCUCUUGGUACGUUUAAUUUACAUAUAUCCGCAUCAGAAUUUUUACUUAUUUAUUUACUUAUUUUUAAGCAAAUGCAUCUCUUUUUAGAUUUUAAUAUGCAUGAACAAAGUCGGGCAGUGUGAAAAAGAUGAGAAUUUCCUGCUAACAGUAUAUGAAUGUUGUUUUAAACAUGUUUAGAGCUUAACGGAAACUCUAAAGCGAAUUCGAGCUCCAUUCUCACAUUAACAUAAACAUCGUAGCAUCGUGCAUAGAAAAUUCAUACUUCCCUAACUCUUUUAUGCUUGUUCUUGUACAAGAAAAGUGAUGUCUACAUAUCUAUAUUACUACGGACAGAAUAAAUUUAUUGAAUCAGAUCCAAUCUAAUCAGUUUAUAUAAACUGUGAUCAAAAUUUUCAAGCUUGUGAGCAAUUUCACGAGUGUAUAAAAAAGAAUAGUUAUUUCGGAGUCCUUAUUGUUGCACUGACCAAGAAAUUAAGACGAAAAUGAAUAUAUGCUUGUGCAUGCAAGCUAUCUCACAUAUAUAUAUAUAAACAAUUCCCAAGUAGCAUAUAUACAAGUGCAUCAAUUAAUGAGUAAAUGCGACAUAUAUAUAUAUAUAUAUAUAUAUAGAAUACCCUUAAUUUGUACAGUACUGUAUCUAGGAAGGGGUGUAGGAUGAUUUGACCAUUCAUCAAAUUAUUUUAUUUUUGCAAAGGGAGGCACGGCCAUGGCACCCAAUUCAAAGGUCCGACUUGGUAAGAAACCAAAACUUAUCAGGCGAAUCAUUUUCAUAAGUAAAAAAAAAAAAAGAAAAAAAAAUCCUUUUACGCAAACAAAUUAGAUAAUGCUACUAGCUAGUAUCGAAGUGAGCUAGCUAGUUGUAUGUCCGAAUGGCCUAUCGGAGAUUUUUUUUUUUUUUUUUUGAGAAAAAAGUAGCACAUUAAUUAUUUGUUUCAUUCAUUAAAAAUAUAAAUUAAAUAAUAUUGGUGAGGUAAAAAGACCUCGGUAGAAGCGAAAAGAAAAAUAAACACUAGGAAAGUUGCCUCUUAGUUACCAUCGUAUGGUCUGCGUAAUCAUUUCUAAAAAUAGUAUUAUUCCUUAAAUUUCGGAUGAUUCACUAGCAGGCUAUCAAGCUGGUCAAUCUUAUUCGAAUAGGCUAUGAUCUGUUUCUUAACAUCCACCUAUCCCACAUGCUUCUCAUGUCGCCCCUCAAAUUAAUUCCUAGACUGAACCCCUUCUAGGGCCUAUCGGAGAAUAUUCAUGAUCAUCUCAUCUUUUCGUUGAACAGCGAUAUUUGACGAAUAUGCCAAGAAUUCUCUAAGCAUCAAGAUUGGUGAAAAAUUGCCAUCCAUAAAUAUCUUGUAUGUGAUUUAGACAUCAACUUUCCAACCGUAAACCAGCUGCUACAUCAGAAAUUAAAUUUGGCCCAUAAACCCUCCAAAUCAUUUUGUUGUUACGAAUUAGAUGUCCUCUCAUUAAUUUGUUACUCAAUCCAUCUAAAUCACUUACCAACCCUUGCCUAGACUCUUCUCCUAGCUAGCUAUCACCUCUCUUUCUCACUUCCUCCAGACUUUUUGCUGUACAUCCAUCAUCUCCCGGUUUGUUGCUCAAACCAAUAGGUGUUUUGUUUUUUUCGUCUUAUUAUCUCCCACUUAGUCUUUCUCCUUUUUUGACUCUUUCUGUAUGGUGGCGCCGAGUUUGACCCUUAGUUUGUUUGCAACUUGCAUGUGGACCCUUGUCGCCGAAAAAAUCUUUAUUAUAACAAUUAUAAUAAUAUAUAUAUAUAUAAUAGAAUUAGGUUAUUAUACUAUUAAUAGUAUCAAAUUUUAUUUUAUUUUUUUGAGAGAUAGGUAGCACGCUACCCGUUUCGUUUAUUUCAUUUAGAUAUAAACUUAGCUGGAAAAAUGUGAAUUAAUUAGGAUUCGAACUUGGGUCUCGACUACUAACCACCAAGUCUUUUGCCACUUGCUCUAGGAACGGUCAGUAUUAAUAGUAUCAAAUAUUAAUAAUAUCAAAUAUUUGGUGCUAUGUAUUAGGUUUUCAGCUCUUAAGGGCAUGUUUGGUUCGGUCGAAAGUGAAGUAUCGAAAGUGGCAUUUUUAAAAAGUUACGUCUUAUAGAUUGUUUGGCUUGCAAAAAUGAAUAUGAAAGUCACCUUACGAAAGUGGACUGAUAAAAUGAGUUAUACCUAAAUCUCACUUUUAUGACUUCAGCUCAAAAUAUUCAAAAGUCCCCGAAAGUGGAGAGCUUAGUUAAGAGAUUACAUUUGGUCUUAACUUUAAUAUUUAAAUUUAUUUAUUUUUAAAGUUGAAUUUCACUUUAAAUUUGAAUGAAAUUUAUGAUCAAAUUUUGAAUUUUAUUUGUAAAUUAAAAUUCAACAUAAAAUUUUAGAUUCAAAUUUGUGACUUUAUACUUAAAUUUAAAAUUUAAAAUUUUAUUUUUAUUUAAAUUUGAAUUCUAUAAUUUAAAUUUAAAUUUAAAUCUAAAUUUUAAUUUUAAAUUUUAAAUUUUAAUUAAAUUAUUUUUAGUUAAGAACUUCAAUUUGAAAUUUGAAAUCAAAAUGUUCCAACUAUAAAUUCAAAUUAUUGACUGAAAUUUGAAUUUAAAAUUUAAAUUUUCAAGUUCAACUUCAAAUUUAAAUUUGCUAUCUACAUUUAAUUUCAAUAAUUAGUUUCAGUUUGAAUUUGAAUUCAAAUUAUCAAUACAAAUGUUCAAUUCGAAUUAUGAUUUAAACUAAAAUUUUAAUUUUAAUUUAAAUAUUGAUUUAAAUUGUGAAUUUAUAUUUGAAUUCAAAAUUUAAGAUCAAAGAGUAAAUUAAUAUAUGAUUUAAUUAAAAUUAUAAAUUCAAAUUUGAAUAAAUGUUCUAAUUUUUGUGUUGAACUUUUAUUUUAAAAUUUAAUUUCAGUUAAGUUAUAAUUUAAAUUAUAAAUUCAAAUUGUAAAUUAAAUUUAUGCCUUAAAUUUUAAUUAUAAAUUCAACUUAGAUUUAAGUUUAAAUUUAAAUUUUAAAAUAUAAUAUUGAAUUCUAAUAGAAAUUAAAUUUAAAAUUUUAAUUUAAAUUGUGAGUAUAAGUCGUUUGUUUAUAUUUUCACCUCUUUAUAUAUAUUUUAAUAAUCAAAAUUACAAAAUUACAAUUUUAAUAUUUUUACUUUGUAGCCAACUAAACAAUCGAACUGAAAAGUCACUUUUGUAAAAGUUAUUUUUAUAAAAGUGAUUUUUUUCACUUCACCUACUUUUGAGCAACCAAACAUGCCCUAAAUGAAAGGAUGUCCAGUUAGAAUCAUAGUAGUUUUUUAGAAUUGAGUGAGUGGUUGGUUGAAUAGGAUGAUUUAAUGAGUGAGAAUAGUUAAAAGGGUAAAUCUAACGGCGAAAAACUCAAUAACAUCAAGCGCUUGAUACUAUUAAUAUUAUAGUAACCAGACUUUAUUAUAUAAUAUUAAUCUAAACUAAUUAUACUGUGUCAUAUAAGAUAGCAAAGAAUCUAAUUAAUACUAAUAUGAUUAGUCCAUAUUAGAAUAGUAUCUUAGAAAAAUUUUGUUCUUGUAUUUAUGUGCAACACGAGAAUAUCUCAGUAAAUCGAGCCUGAUAAGAUUCGACUUGAUGGAACCCAAUCCCUCUAAGUUGUUUUUUAAUGGGUCGGCCAGGUUCGACUUGCGCCCUGUUUUGCCUAGUUUUCUAGAAGUGAUUUUGGGCUUACAAAACUUUUGGGCUCUUUAAAGCGUUUGACAAUGCGAGCUAAAAAAUCUGAUUUUACGUUUCAAAAUCAGAAAAAUGAUUUUGAACACUCCAGAAUAAGAAGCAGAAAAAACUGAUUCUUGAAAUCUGAUUUUGAUUUACAACUCAAACUUUAAAUUUUUAUUUUAAUUCUAAAUUCAAUAUUUAAAUUUAAAUUUAAUUCUAUUUUUUAAAUUUUAAAUUCAUAUUUAAAUUUUUAAAUUUUAACUUUUCAAAUCUAAAAUUUAAAAUUUAUAUUUUAAACUUUAAAUUUUAAAUUCUAAUUUUAAAGUUCAAAUCUCAAAUUUUAGAUUUUAAAAUUUUAAAUUUAAAUUUUAAAUUUUAAUUUAAAAUUUAAGAUAAAAUUUAAAAUUUAACAUUUUAGAUUUUAAAAUUUAAAUUUAAAAUUUUAAAAUUUAAAAAUUAAAGUUACAAGUUUUAGUCUUCAAAUUAUAAAUUCAAAUUUUUAAAAUUAAAAUUUUAACGUUUACAUUUUAAUUUUCAAAAUUAAUUUUAAUUUUAAAUUUUAUUUUAAAUUUUAGAUUUUAGAUUUUAAAUUUCAGAUUUUAAAUUUUAAAUUGUAAAUCUUCAAUUUAAAAUUUAAAAUUUAAAAUUUAAAAUUUAAAAUUUAAAAUUUAAAAUUUAAAAUUUAAAAUUUAAAAUUUAAAAUUUAUAUUAUGAAAUUUUAAAUUUAAAUUUAGAUUUGAAAAUUCAAUUUUUAAAUUUUAAAUUUUAGAAUUUUGGAAUUAUUUUUUAAAUUAAAAUAUAAAAUUUAAAAUUUUAUAUAAUUUUGAAAUUUAAAAAUUUUAAUUUUAAUUCAAAUUUAAAUUUAGACUUUAAAUUAUUUUAAAAUAAAAUUUAAUAAAAAUACUAAUUUAUGCAAACAUUAAAAAUCUAUAUAAAUUGAUCAUGAGUGUUUCAUUUGUUUGGUCAAUUAGGCUCUGCUGGAGAAUUUUCGUAAGCGACCGAGCACGACUAGCUAGGCUUGGCCCACCAAAUUUAGACUUGGCUAGAGCUAAAAAUUAGGUCCGAAUACAUACAAGGGGGGGAAAAAACGUUGAAAAUUAACCAAAAAGAUAAACUAAUUAAGUAAAGGUUGGGAAUUAGUAAUGAUCUUAAACUCCGAGCAGGUCGAUUGAAACCCAAAAAAAUGUAAUUAAUGAAACAAAAGCUGAUAUAUUUUUUCUUUUUCACGUACCCUCAAACAGGGAAUGAUACUAAUAACACUCUCAGUCUCCCUCCCCUCACUCAAACCCCCACCAUGCAAUCCCCACACCACCACGGCCGCCGCCGCUGGCCCCACAGCAUGCAGCACAAAGGCCUCCUCUCUGCAGCUCGGCGUCUUCUUUGCGGCGCUUUACAUCCUGGCAGUCGGCACGGGCGGCACAAAGCCAAACAUCUCGACGAUCGGGGCGGACCAGUUCGACGAGUUCGACCCGAGAGAGAAAGCCCACAAGCUCUCCUUCUUCAACUGGUGGAUGUUCAGCAUCUUCAUCGGGACGCUCUUCGCCAACACCGUGCUCGUUUACAUCCAGGUAAGCGCGCGCGUAAGUUAAUUGUUACAGUUUGUGCAGGAUUCGAUAAGUUCAAUUCUUUAACGGCGCAUCCUUAUAUAUAUAUAUAUAUAUGAAAAGCAAGAUUAAGUUCCGGCAGAAAAAAAAUUUGCAAUCAAAAUUUUCUUCUCCCCACGUACGGCUGCAGGACAAUGUAGGGUGGAGCCUGGGGUACGCCCUGCCGACGGCGGGGCUGGCAGUGUCGGUGGCGAUCUUCGUGGCAGGCACGCCCUUCUACCGCCACAAGCUGCCUGCCGGCAGCCCCUUCACCAGGAUGGCCAGAGUCCUCGUCGCGGCCGCCCGCAAGUGGCGGGUCCCGCUGCCCACCCAUCCCGACGACCUCCACGACCCGGACCUGCAGGACUACGCUAAUAAGAACCGCAAGUUCCGCCGCAUCCGCCCCACUCCCGCCCUCAGGUUUUGAACUUUAAUUCAUUCAAUCAUUCCCCACUGUCUUUAAUUUUCUCUUUUUUUUUCUUCUUUUUUUUUUCUUUUUUUUGGUAAAAAUGUACAGAGAGAGCGCGCAGCCUAAUUACCUAUAUACAGUGCCCUUCUGAAAUUGUCCCCUCCACCUUCUUUUUUUUUUUUUUUUUUUUUUUCUUUUUUAUGGUAAAAAUAUAUAAGUGGAACUAACUUAAAUAUUUCAAUCUUUUGGAAACCAACUAUCUAAUUUUCAUUUUUUUUUAGCUUUUACUACACAACACUUUGUUUUAUUUUAUUUUAAUUAUGUAUUAGUUUUGGAAAAUUAUUGUGUACACUCGGUACGUACGUAUAUGCUUUCAUAUAUCGUAUUUCGAUUAAUCAUUUAUUUUGCUUGAUUGUUCGAUCUUCACCACCCAAUAAAUUAUAGUUUUUCUUUUGUUUAAUUAAAAAUUGAACGUCGAUUGAACUAACAACAUGAUCAGAUUCAUAUUUUUUCUUAAAAGAAAUUGGAAUAUGGUGUAUCAAUACCUGGAAGCACCAGAUGCAGGCAAUUACUUUUAAGAAGUUUAAACGAUUUGAGGAGCCACGUAGUAAAAUCAGAAUUUUUACAAGUUGAAUGUCAUUUUCAAAUUAUCCAAAGUUUAGAUCAGCUCUAUACGAUAGAGCAAUGCAACGUUACUGGUAUAUAUACUCCAAAGUGGGGUAUAUAUCUUAUUUGUCGCAUUAAUUUUUUUUAUAUUUACUAUUUGAUUUUUUAUCAAACCUAGAAUGAAGGGUGUAUGGUAAGUUUGCUUACAAAAAGUUACAAUAGAAUUCCUAAACAACAGCUAGCUAGAGAUAGAUGCUGGAUCCUCACGUACAUACACCAACUCUUUUGUGAACAAAAGUUCAACAAACUGAUCAUAAUGGUGAUUGGGAAACUUAUUCUGAUGUUUUCACUUAUUCCUGCAGAGCCCUGAAUAAAGCCGCCGUAAAGACGGGCCCUGCAACACCAUGGAUGCUGUGCACGGUAACGCAAGUCGAGGAGACCAAGCUGAUAUUGAAAAUGAUACCGAUCUUAUUCGCGACGUUCGUCCCGAGCAUAAUGGUAGCUCAGAUCAACACUCUCUUCGUGAAGCAAGGCACCACUCUGAACCGCCACGUCGGCCCGCACUUUCAGAUCCCCCCCGCCACCCUCCAGGCCUUCGUCACGAUCUCAAUGCUUGUCUCCGUUGUGAUCUACGACCGAUAUUUCGUGACUUUCAUGCGGCGGUGGACCAAGGACCCCCGCGGGAUCUCUCUCCUUCAAAGAAUGGGAGUUGGUCUGGUCCUGCACAUUUUUAUAAUGGCGAUCGCUUCUGUCACGGAGCGUCGGAGGCUAAGCGCCGCGAGAGAGCACAAUGUAGUCGAGAGCGGGGGAAAGGUUCCGCUAACCAUUUUCAUUUUACUGCCUCAGUUUGUGCUCAUGGGCGUCGCAGAUUCUUUCUUAGAGGUGGCCAAGAUAGAGUUCUUUUACGAUCAGGCGCCCGAGGGGAUGAAGAGCCUCGGCACGUCCUACGCCAUGACGAGCUUGGGUGUUGGGAAUUUCCUUAGUAGCUUGCUUUUAUCCACGGUUUCGCGUAUGACCGAAAGGAAUGGACACAAGGGGUGGAUUCUUAACAACCUCAAUGAGUCUCACUUGGACUACUACUAUGCCGUUUUCACUGCCCUUAACUGCGCGAACUUGAUUUUUUUCUUCUUUGUAAGCCGAUUUUAUGUGUACAAGGCUGAGAUUUCGGAGUUCGCCGACGAAUCCAGAAGUGAAGAGAAACAGGUGCCUGUGCCAACAUUGACGAAUCGUAAUGGUCAGGUCUUGCAUUCGUAGAAUAUAUAUAUAUAUACCAGAGAGUUAUAAGGAAAAAGCAAAUGCGCAUGUUGGAUGCUUAGAUUAAUUUCAGCGUAUGUUGGAUGCUUAGCUUUGUAGGGGAUAUAAAGGCAACGAGAAAUCAAUACACACCUGAUUUAAUGUUACAUAUAUAUAUAGGCGAUGUAAGGGAAAUUUAAUUUACAGCUGUAUCACUGUGUGGAUGAAAUAGUUCUAAUUUAAAUUAAACAGGUAUUCUAAUUUAUUUUGCAUGUCCAUCAGUAUAUAUGUACAUGUCGCGUAUGACCGAAAGGAGGCAAGAGCUGCAAUUCAUUGGUCAGCGGAGAGUUUAGUAUUGCUAAGUUAAUCUUGUUGAUAUACACUAAAUAAAUGUGUAACAUUUUACAGCAGAUUUUUAAGGUGCUUUUACGGGCUCAUUUGGUUCGUGCUAUGAUAGAUUACUAGAAGUAGAAGAAUGCCCAAGAAUUUGAUUCCCACUCAUCUUAUUACUAAGAAUAUAGCAUUUCGAUGUUUGGUUCGCACAGUCAUAUUAUCUGAGAUUACCAGAAAGAUAAAUUAAUGUGUUUGGUUCGCGCAGUCAUAUAAUCUGAGAUUACCAGAAAGAUAAAUUAAUGUGUUUGUUUUAUUAGCUAGUAAUGUUAGUAGUAAUAUAAAAUUAAAACUAACCGGUUCAAACAAAUUCGACAUAUUUAUUGCAAAUUAACUACAAAAUUUGCAUCAUAAUUGUCAAACAAGCUAAAAAAUUAUAAUAUUGAAAUAGUAAUAGCAUCAUCAUCAAUAAAGACAAUUGUUCAAAAAUAAAAAUUUAUAAGCAACAUCAAAUAUCCAUAACAAGUCCAAACAAGAAAGCAACAUCUAUCAUAGAAAGUAAACAACAAAUAAGUUCAACGCUUCAUAGACAUUGAAAACAAAAACAAAAUACCAAAGUUUGACAUCCUCUAGUCAUUGCAAAAUAUAAAACAACUUUAUCUACGUGUAGUUAGAAUAUACUCAAUAUAUUCCUUUCUAAACUCUGACGGAAUUCCGUAAAAUCCAGUUAGUUUGGUUGUAUCAUGUUAAGAUAUCGUAAGCAAUCAUACGAUCCUUAUCGACGAGUCCCUCAACCUUCAAAAGCUCUUCAAACAACUUUUCCUUUCGAAUUGCAUCAGUUGCCGGGCAAGAAUUCAUUUGAAGUUAGAUCCAUCUUCAACACAACUAAAAUAAAGCAAAUAGAAAGAAAAAAUUCAGUCAAACUAAAUUAAAAAGCAGUUAACUCAAUUUUUUUUUGCUAGUAUCAAAGAAUUAACUUAUUCAUCUGUUCAAAUUAACUAAAGCAAAUACUUUUCUAGCAUAUUCAAAAGCAUGAUGUUAAAUACCUAGGAAUAACAAAUAUACUCAAAGAAUAGUGGAUCUUGUAGAUAAAACAUCAAUUAGCUAUAGAUUUAGUGCAUAAAACAAGGAAUCUGAAAACUAUUGAUCACAAACAGAAGAAGCAUAAAACAAGGACAAUUAAUUGAACAUAUGCCUUUUACAAAUUAAGACAGAAACUAUAGGUUUAGUGCAUUAUUGAAACUAUAGGUUUAGUGCAUUAUUUGUUUUGCCUGGGAUCAAUUGGAUUAUCCAGCUCUACUCAUCUAGCUAAGGCUAGAAAUGAGUAUCUUUACAUGUGUAUUGGCAAUUUGAAUUAUUGCUGAGGUCCACAUUGAAUUAUUGGAGAGGGUCGAAGUAAGGUUCAUGUGCAUUGGCAAUUUUCUUGGUUAGCGUUCACUUCUAAAAGCCCAGCUACGCUAUGUAAACAUAUACCAAAUGGGCUUUCAAUAAAGCCACAGGUUAAGAGCACUGGAAUUUAGCAACGUAAAAUUUUUACAGCUUUAUGUAUCAUGGGAACCUUGAGAAAGACUAAGAUAUUAUGAGCAGAGUAAAUUUUAUUUACAUAAUAGAGAAUAGAAAAACAUUGUAGACAAUUACAGGAUUAACGAUGCCAGUAACACAACACAAUCUCAGAUUCUAGCUUAGAAUAAAAGGAAGAGAUGAAAGAUACAAGUCCCAAAUAUGAGACUCGAAAAAAUUAUUGACAAACUACUAAUUAAGACCAACUAUUAACAUAACAUUCAAUUCUUAAGAGAAUGAUUCAAAUUGCCAAUACACAUGUAAAGAUACUCAUCACCACAUAAAGUGGUCCUUUCAACUGGAAAUUCAUCAUCAUAAUAUAGAGUAUCUUUGUAGGGUUUUUAGGGCGCAGGUUUGCGGGCGUGUUCAAAACAAUACAAUUAGUUUGUUUUCCUCAGAUUCUAAUGAUUUUUUUUUUUUGCUGCGACAGACACAAUAGCUUUUUAAACUAGAUAUUUUGCUUCUGAUUUUUACAGGCUCAUUUUAACUUUUCCUGGAGCACAAACUUUGGACAUUUAAUUUAAUUUUUUUCCGGAUGCUGCUUGGAGUAGAGAAACUAUAUAAAGAUCAGGCAAAACAAGGGCUAAAAAUUAUCCUCAAUAAAUUCCAUCCUUAACAUGUGGGUCGGAUGCUUUCAACCUCCACAUCAUUAAACAAGAGAGCAUUCUCUAGCUCUGCCCAUGGACAAGAUCUUAACUCUAUAUCCGAACAAUUUUUGCAAUAACCAAUCAUAGUUAAAUGCCUAAGCUUUUUGUCUCUGAAGUGGUAGACAAGUAAACAAGAUUAAGUUUUACUCUGUUUCAUGACUCUACCUUUUAGUCUCAGCCAAAAAUCAGUGAAAAAAGUUAAAUAAUAUCAAAGAUAUUUUCAUUUCCCAUCACGGCAGUUUCAAAUCCUUAAUUAUCCAUGACAAUUUGUUGUAUACUAGCUUUACCAGAAGUAAGCACAGAGUAAAACACAAACUAAGAUGUUACAAAGGGGAAACACAAACAGAAAUUCAUUUAAACAAUAAAUCCAUUCAAAAUCAAAACAAAUAAUGCACUAAACCUAUUUAAACAACAUUUUAUAGCAUCAAUACAAACUAGAAAGAUUUUGCUCAUGGCAUAACAAUAAAUCCUUCAAAAAAUCAAAAAAAAAAUUUGGGAUCUGACAUGGGAAAAGGAAAUGGAGAAGAAAUUACCUCACGAACCUUGUUUUGGAGCAAGUAAACCUCAGAAAUGGCGAGCGAUGCCGCUGCGAUUGGUGGAGGUGAUCAUGGCAUGGAUGCCCUAGGUCGAGAGAAGAGGUCGGGGAGAGUCUCGCAUGGUGGAGGUGAUCAUGGCAUGGAUGCCCUAGGUCGAGAGAAGAGGUCGGGGAGAGUCUCGCAUGGUGGAGGUGAUCAUGGCAUGGAUUCCCUAGGUCGAGAGAAGAGGACGGGGAGAGUCUCGCUGUCAGAGGGAAUCGCCACGGGGUCGGGGAGAGUCUCGCUGUGAGAGGGGAUCGGGAUGGGUUGGGAGAGAGGAGAUAAUAGGCUAGGUUAAAAAACAUUUAACAUUACCCCAAUAAUUAAUGUGAGAUACCUAUCUCCUUCCAAGGGAAUAGGAUUAGCACUUUAAAUUAAUCUCAUUAUCAAAUGAAUUUAAAAUUACCAAAUAGAUUACUUAAUGUAUUUACUCAAACAUCGUCAUAUUUUUACAUUCCGAUUGGAUUACUAGAUAUCUUAAAAAGAUAACGCGAACCAAACGCGCCAUGAAAUUAAUCACAUUACCAAGUGAAUUUAAGAUUACCAAAUAGAUUACUUAAUGUAUUUAGCCAAAUAUCGUCAUAUUUUCACAUUCCGAUUGGAUUACUAAGUAUCUUAAAAAGAUAACGCGAACCAAACGCGCUCUUAAUCUAAUAGUGAAAAUUUGGAGAAAAUGUAAUACAUGCUUACCCACGGCUUUAUGUGCAAGAGUCUCUUUGUUUGAGAUAAAAAAAAAUUCAAAAUUCAAAUUAAGAAUAUAAAAGAAAAAAAAAUAGAGAAAGGAAAGAAUCAACAAAAAGGGAAAGUAAUCCAAUAUUUAUAAAUUUUUGAAUAAUUCCCAAAAGAAGGAAAAUCUUAGCUUAUUUAGAUUCUUCAAAAAAAAGAAAAAAAGAAAAAAAAGAAAAGGAAUGAGAAAAAAAAAAAAGAAAAGAAAAAAUUUUUCUUCUUUUGUUGAUUCCUUCCCACUUGACCCCCCUCCCCCCCCUCUGCGCGCUACAAAAGGAGGGGGGUGCGCUGUGCCACACCCCUCUCCCAACCAGUACAAAAAAAAAAGGAAGAAAAAAGAAAAAAGCUUCGCUCUUUCAUUCAGCUAGGGUACACCACGAUGAUUCUGAUGACGACGACGACAAGGAUAUGGCGACUUCUACGGCAACAAAGGAUAUUGCAUGCAAACAUAUGGUGUAAAUAUGAUUUUUUUGUCGGUUUGUUCAACACUACAGUCUUCGCGAUAGAUUCGAACAAAUCAAAUUUGACAUUAAAUCGUCACUUUCAUCGUGCGUAUGUAUCGCUAAUCCCUAUACCGAACGGCUAUUUUCGUGAUAGCCUCGACACGGUCAAAGGAUUGAUCGAGCGGCCAUCUUCGUGAUAGGCUCGACAUGAUCAAACCCACGUAUGCAUCGCCAAUUCUUAUACUGAGCGGUUAUAUUUGUGAUAUACAAGCUCGACAUGAUCAAAGGGGUGAUCGAACGACCAUUUUCGUAAAAAAAGGCUAAAUUAUAUAAAACUCCCGUGUCAAAAUCUGAUUUUUCACUCCCCCCCUAUCAUUUAAAAAUCUAUAUUUUGUCCCCUUGUAAAAUGAAAAAUUUUCACUUCGCCUCCUGCAGAUAGUAAUCUGUUAGGGUUCCGUUUAUAAAAUAUUAUUAUAUAUUUUUUAUGCCAAAAAUGCCACCAGCCUUUUCUUCUGUGAACAUGGUGAGGGGCAAAAUGGUCAUUUUAUCAUCACAGUUCACACCGUACCCCCUGUGAACAUUUUUCAUUUUACAAGGGGGUAAAGUGUAGGUUUUUGAAUGACAUGGGAGGAAAGUGAAAAAUCGAAUUUUGACAGAGGGGUUUUCUGUAAUUUAGCCAUAAAAAAAUAAUUAAAAAUAAAAUCGAUGAACAUAUUUUGAUUUGCUAUUUACGUGAUAGGCAUUGUUCGAAUCAUUCGCCAUUUUCAUAAUAGACACGAUUCGACUUGAUCAACUCGCCAUCUUUGUGAUAGGCACUAUUCGAACCUCAAGCCAUCUUCGUGACAGGCACAAUUCAAUUCAACUACGUUGCUCUCAUGCCAUCUUCGUGAUAGGCACGAUUCAAUUCAACUACAUCGCUAUUUUUGUGAUAGGUACAUAUUUGAUUAAAUCGUCAUCAUCGUGAUAGGCUCGAUAUGAUCAAAUUUGCAUAUUUGGACAAAAAAAUAAAUAAAUAAAAGGAAAAAAAGAGCGGAAGAAAAGAAAGAAAGAAAGAAAGAAAGAAAAAAAAGGGAAGAAAGAAAGCAAGAAAAAAAGAAGAAAGAAAAAAAAAAGAGAAAGUAUGGUCCUCUACCUCAGUCAAAAAAAAGAGAACAAAGAAAAAAGAACAAAGCCGACGUGCAGAUUCAAGCCCAAAACCUGUAAAGCCCGAAAUCUCGCCCACAUGCAAAUUUGGGUCCAAAACCAAUAAAAAUUCAUAUGAAUAAAUUCCUCAAUCCAGGCCACAUGCAAAUUCGGGCCCGAAACAUGUAGAGCCCAAAACCUAUCUCAGCCCAAAACAAUUAAAAAUCCAUAUGAAUAAAUUCUUUAAUCCAAAGUCUACAAAUAAAACCCAUAGUCCACAAAUAAAACCCAUGAACUCAAAGUCUACAAAUAAAACCCAGUUUAAUUUAUUCUAUAAAUAAACCCACCAAAGCCCAAGAGCAUAAAGUUGAAAAUUUCUAAAGCUAUAUCAUCCAAAUGCCUCCAACCCAAACCAAAUUCAGCCAAUUAAUUUCAUGGGCUUUCCAAAUGGACUUCUAUUAUAAAUCAAUUUCAUGAACCCAUUUAAUGGGAUUCCAAAUGGGCCCCUAUCAUGAGAUAAUUUCAUGAACCCACUUCAUGGGCUUUCCAAAUGGCCCCCUAUCAUGAAAUAAUUUCAUGAACUCAUUUCAUGGGCUGUUCAAAUAUGCCCCUAUCAUAAAUUAAUUUCAUAAACCCAUUCCAGAGGCUUCCCCCCUACCAUGAACUAAUUUCAUGAAUCAAUUUCACUAAAUUCAAAUUCAAAUCGACCAUCAAGUCGUUAAAAUGAACAUUUGACUGUCAAGUCGUUAAACCGAACAUUUGACCAUUAAGUCGAUAAGCUGAAUUCAAAUUCAAAUUGACUAUCAAGUCAUUAAACUAAACAUUUGACCAUCAAGUCGUUAAACUGAACAUUUGACUAUCAAGUCGUUAAACUGAAUUCAAAUUCAAAUUGACCAUCAAGUCGUUAAACUGAACAUUGACCAUCAAGUCAUUAAACUGAACAUUUGACCAUCAAGUCGUUAAACCGAAUUCAAAUUCAAAUCGACCAUCAAGUCGUUAAAUUAAACAUUUGACCAUCAAGUUGUUAAACUGAAUUCAAAUUCAAAUUAACCAUCAAGUUGUUAAACUGAACAUUUGAUCAUCAAGUCGUUAAACUGAAUUCAAAUUCAAAUUGACCAUUAAGUCGUUAAACUGAACAUUUGACCGUCAAGUCGUUAAACUAAUUUCAAAUGUAAAUUGACCCUCAAGUCGUUAAACUGAACAAAUGAUUAUCAAGUCAUUAAACUGAAUAUCUGGCCGUCAUGUCGUUAAACUGAACAUCUUACCGUUAAGUCGUUAAAUUGAGUAGAAAUUCAAAUUGACCGCCAAGUUGCUAAACUGAGCAAUCAAAUUAAACUCCUUUUGACCGCCUAGUCGUUAAACUGAGUGAACUGAAUUCAAAUUCAAAUGACUAUCAAGUCCUUAAACUGAAUUCAAAUUCAAGCCAACCGCCAUGUUGUUAAACUGAGCAACUUAACUCAAAUCGACUGCCAUGUCAAUAAACUGAGCACCUUAAUUCUAAGCCCGCUAUGUUGUUAAACUGAGCAACUUAACUCAAGCCGACCUCCAUGUCGUUAAACUGAGCAACUCAACUCAAGCCGACCUCCAUGUCGUUAAACUGAGCAACUCAACUCAAAUCGACCGCCAUGCCCUUAAACUGAGCACCUCAAUUUCAAGCCGACCGCCAUUUCGUUAAACUGAGCACCACAACCUUAAGCCGACCGCCAAGUUAUUAUAUUGAGCACCUCAACCUCAAGCCGACCGCCAAGUCGUUAAACUGAGUAUCUUAACUCCAACCGGCUGUUAAGUCGCUUAACUGAGCAAAUCACUUUCAGAUAUGAUCGUCAAGUUGUUCAACUGAUCAAAUGAUCGUCAAGUCAUUAAACUAAAUUCAAAUUCAAAUUGACCGUCAAGUCGUUAAAAUGAAUUAAAAUUCAAAUCACCAUUAAGUUGUUAAACUGAAUAUUUGACCGUCAUGCCAUUAAACUGAAUUAAAAUUCUAAAUAACCUUCAAGUCGUUAAACUGAAUUAAAAAACAAAUUGAGUGCAAAGUUCUUAAACUGAGCAAAUUAUUUCAAACUCUUUUGACCACCAAGUCAUUAAACUGAACAAAGUAAAAUUAAACUCAACCUUAACUUACUUUAACCGACCGCCAUGUCGCUAAACUAAGCACCUCAGCUUUAAGCCGACCGCCAUGUCAUUAACUGAGCAACUCAACUCAAGCCGAUAGCCACGUCGCUAAACUGAACUACUCAACUCAAGUCGACCGCUACGUCACUAAAGUUAGCUACUCAAAUCAAGUUGACUGCCAUGUCACUAAACUGAGCUACUCAAAUUAAGUCGACCGCCAUGCGUUAAACUAAGCAACUGAAUUUCAAGCCGACCGCCAUGUUGCUAAACUGAGCCACUCAACUUCAAGUUAACCGCCACGGCGUUAAACUGAGUGACUCAACUUCAAGCCGACCGCCACGUCGUUAAACUGAGCGACUCAACUCAAGCCGAUCGCCACGCUGUUAAACUAAGCAACUCAACUCAAGCCGACCGCCACGUCGUUAAACUGGGCGAUUCAACUUCAAGGCGACCGCCGUGUUGUUAAACUGAGCAACUCAACCGCCAUGUCAUUAAACUUAGCACUAUAACUUCAAACCGACCGCCAUGUCGUUAAACUAAGCUACUCAAAUCAAGGCGACCGCGAUGUCGUUAAACUGAGCGACUAAAUCUCAAGCUGGCUGCCAUGUCGUUAAAAUAAGCAUCUCAACCUCAAGCCGACUGCCAUGUCAUUAAACUGAGCACUUCAACCUAAAGCCGACCGUCAUGUCGUUAAACUAAGCAACUUAACUCAAGCCGACCGCCAUGUCGUUAAAAUAAGGAACUCAACUUGUAAUACACUGAACUUUUGCAAAUUGCGAAGUUCGAGUGUGAAGAGUGAUAUGUGGAUCUAUCCUACAUAUUCUAAAACGCUUGGACAAAUUUUUGGACAAGUUAGAGAGUGAUUGGAUGGCUAAAACCAAGAAAGUGCAUUAAUUUGGCGAAAUCAGCAUUUUUCUGCUUGGUGUACCGGUACAGCCAUCAUUAUGUACCAGUACGCAAUGGCAGAAAUAUGGCAGCAAGGAUUUUUUGGUCAUUUCACAUCUUGUUCCUAUCUAUUUGAUCCCAGCACGACUCCUGGAGCUUGCUGGAGUGUGCUAGAGCUCAGAGACAGGUUGCUUUCACCUUCUCUCUCUCUCUCUAGGGUUUUUCUCUCCCUCUCUCUACGUAAAAGCCGCCGAGUCGAGUCGAUUUCGCGCUCCGGCCGACGCUCGCUGUUUUGGUACUCAAGGGACGCUUUCAGCACGUGGGGAGGAGGACUUUUCUCUGAGUUUUCUAUGAGGUUAGUACCAGAGAAGCUGAAUCUCAGCUUUCGAAAAGGAAUUAGCUCAAUUUUCUCUCUAGUUUGUGAUUUUGCAUUGGAAUUUGAUGCGUUUUGGUUUCACUGUUUCCAACUGAAUUCAAGGAUGUUUUCAGCAGUAAAGAGGAGUUAUUUUGACUGUGAAUUAACCACUCUAGCUCAGUAAAAGUUGCUUUAAAGCUGGACUAAGAUAAUUAAUUAUUUACAAAGUUAAUUCGGAACUAUACGAAGUUAAUCGAGUUAUUGAUGCAGUUUGGAACUUGUGUCUUCACAGCAGGGUUUUGAACCAAGUUGAACUAAAUUGGUGACCUGGGGAACUUGUUUACAGGGUGUUCCAACUAGAGGUAAGCUGAAAUUUCAGUUAGAAAACUGAAUUCGCAUGGUUUCGGUUAUAGGAACUAGUAUACGAGCGUUGUGACACCGUUUAAUGUUUGCUCACAGCAGGGUUGCGAUCGGCCCUUGGAUCAUUUUCAGUUGAUUGGUGAGAGCUUUUGGAGACUUAACUUGAGGUAUCUAACGUGACCCCAAAACAGGGAUUUAAGUUGCAAUUUAGUACAAUUGAGUUUUUCGCCGAUAUUGGACUUUUAGUAAUCUUUGUGACGUGGUUCUUAUGUUUCAUGUUCAGCAGGGUCGAGGCCUAGUUGAGCUCAAUCUUGGAAUUCUUUUGGGCUGCUUGAGCUUAGUAGUAGGUGGGUUUGACCUAACCAGAGCAAGUGAAGCUCCCCUAUGUUCUAUAUGUCACUAUAAAAUUGGUAUCAUUGUGUGCUUUUGUGGUUGAUAUAGGACUUGAGACUAGUCACUAUACUACAGUGUCGAUACAUAAUUGAAUUGAGAUCUCUAUGAAGUAGAGAACAUUCAUGUAUACAAGUCUUUAUAUUCAUGUUUAAUUUAGUUGAAUGACUAAUGGACAAGUUAUCAUGUUCCUAGAAACUAGAGAACAAUGACAUUCUUAUGACUUCAAUGAUUAUAAAGUAUAGAACCAUGACAUGCUUGUGACUAAAUGAUAGUGCCAUGAUAGUGGAAAAGUUUUUAAUGCCAUAUGUAAAUUAGCAUUACUUUCAUGUGCUUACUAAUCUAGUGGAUACUAGCUAUUGUCAAUAUUCAUUAUAUUGAAAUUCCGAUCAAAGGAUCGAGAGUGAGAACAUUACAAGUUAAAUCGUGAGGAUUCAAACAUGUUGGACUAUGGGCUUUGCUUGCUUGCCAUCGUGCUCAUUCGCACACGCGCUAGAACACAUCACCCNUCCUUACAAAAGAAAAUGAUGAAUCGUUGAGACUGCACCUUUUCCCCGCUCGCAAGGCUCUCGCAAAAAAGGUGGGGGGCACUUUGUUUGAGAUAAAAAAAAUUUUUAAAAUUCAAAUUAAGAAUAUAGAAGGAAGGAAAUAGAGAAAGAAAAGAUUCAAAAAAAGGAAAGAAACCAAUAUUUAUAAAUUUUUGAAUAAUUUCCAAAAGAAGGAAAAUCCUACCUUAUUUGGAUUCUUCAAAAAAAAAAAAGGAAAAAAAGAAAAGGAAUGAAAAAAAAGUAAAGAAAAAAAAUUUUCUUUCUUUUGUUGAUUCCUUCCCACUCGUGGACAGGGGGAUUUGACCCCCCUCAUCUGUGCGCUGGCAGUAAGAAAAGGAGGGGGUGUGCUGUGUGCACACCCUUCUCCCAACUAGCUAGUACAAAAAAAAAAAAGGAAAAAAGAAAAAAGCUUGGCUUUCUCAUUCGGCGAUGGUACACCACGACGAUUCCGAUGACGACGACGACAACGAUCAUGGCGACUUCUACGCCAACAAAGGAUAUCGCAUGCAUACAAAUGGUGUAAAUGCGAUCUUUUUAUUGGUUUGAUCAACACAAUCAUCUUUGUGAUAGGUUUAAACCGAUCAAAUUCGACAUUAAAUCGUCACUUUCACUGUGCGUAGGUAUCGCUAAUCCCUAUACUGAGCGGCCAUCGUCGUGAUAGGCUUGACACAAUCAAAGGGUUGAUCGAGCAGCCAUCUUCGUGAUAGGCUCGACACGAUCAAACCCACGUAUGCAUCGCCAAUCCUUAUAUCGAGCGGCCAUCUUUAGAUAGGCUCGACAUGGUCAAAGGGUUGAUUGAACGGGCAUCUUCGUGAUAGGCUCGACACGAUCAAACCCACAUAUUUGGACAAUAAAAAAAAAUAAAAAAUGAAAAUGAAGAACAUAUUUUGAUUUGCCACCUUCGUGAUAGGCAUUGCUCGAAUUAUUCGCCAUUUUCGUGAUAGGCACGAUUCGUCUUGAUCAACUCGCCAUCUUCGUGAUAGGCAUUAUUCGAACCUCAUGUCAUCUUCGUGAUAGGCACGGUACGAUUCAACUACAUCGCUAUUUUCGUGAUAGGCACAUAUUUGAUUAAAUCACCAUCUUCGUGAUAGGCUCAAUAUGAUCAAAUUCGCAUACUUGGAUAAAAAAAAUAAAUAAAUAAAAGAAAAAAAGGAGAAGAAGAAAAGAAUGAAAGAAAAAAGAAAGAAAAAAAAAGAAAGAAAAAAAGAGAGAAAGUUGGGUCCUCUCCCUCAGUAAAAAAGAAAAAAAAAAGAGAACAAAGAAAAAAGAAAAAACAAAGAAAUAAAAAAAAAAGAGGAAAUAGGUUCGGAGCUAUUUAAUUGAAAAGGGCUCAAUCCAUAAUUUACUUAUGAGCCCAAUAAACAAAAUUUCAUAAGCAGUUCACAAAGAAAAAUAAAACCUAAAGCACAAAGCCCACAUGUAGAUUCGGGUCCAAAACCAGUAAAGCCCGAAGCCCAGCAUAUAUACAGAUUUGGGUUCAAAACCAAUAAAAAUCCAUAUAAAUAAAUUCCUCGAUCUAGCCCUCAUGCAGAUUCGGGCCCAAAACCUGUAGAGCCUGAAACCCAGCCCACAUGCAGAUUUGGGCCCAAAACAUGUAAAGCCUAAAACCUAUCUCAGCCCAAAAUCAAUAAAAAUCCAUAUGAAUAAAUUCGUCAACCCAAAGUCUACAAAUAAAACACAUAAUCCACAAAUAAAACCCAAAAACCCAAAGUCCACAAAUAAAAUCCUAUUUAAUUUAUUCUAUAAACAAACCCACGAAAGCCCAAAAGCAUAAAGUCCGAAUUACUAAAGCUAUAUCAUCCAAAUGCCUCAAACCCAAACCAAAUUCAGCCAAUUAAUUUCAUUGGCUUUCCAAAUGCACUUCUAUCAUGAAUCAAUUUCAUGAACCCAUUUCAUGGGAUUUCCAAAUGGGCCCCUAUCAUGAGUUAAUUUCAUGAACCCACUUUAUGAGCUUUCCAAAUGGCCCACUAUCAUGAAUUAACUAGUGAAGGACCCGCGCGUUGCGGCGGAACGAUUCUGCAGAAAUAAAUAUAUAAAUAAAAUAAAUAAUAGUAAAAAAAAGAGUCAAAAAAUUGUAUAAAAAAAUAACUAAAAAAUAAACAACUAUUGCUGUAAUAAAAUUAUAAGAAAGAUUACAAAAAAUAAAGACAAAAAUCAUACUAAUAAGAAAUUAUAUAUAAUUAUAUUUAUACUUAUAUAUAUUAUAAUUAUUAUUAUAAUUAUAUAUAAUUUUUAGAAAAAUUGAUUUAUUGUUCUUACAUUUUGCCUCUAUUCUUCUUUUAUCUAUCUUAUCCUUUUAUUUUUAUUUUUUUUUACUUUUUUUAUGUUUCAUUUUUAAAUUUCCUUCAUUAUUUUUUAUAUAUUUUUAAUAAUUCUUUUAUUCAGCUUAAUUAAAAUUUAUAUUGAAUACAAAUAAUUUAACUUAUUUAAAAAUUAUUUAUAUAUUUUAAAUUUUUAUAAAAAUAAAUAAAAAUUUAGAUUGAAUUAAAAAAAUUUAUAAAUUUUUUUAAUCAUAUAUUAAGAGAACAAAUAUAUAAAAAAAUAAUUAAAAAGAAAAAAGUAGAAACAGACAAAAACAGAAAAAAAAAAAAUCCCUUCUCUCUCCUCUCCUCUCCCCUCAGCUGGGCCCCGCCCUCUCCUCUCUCUCCUCUCCUCUCCCGUUCUCUCCCGCGCCACGCGGCGGCCCCGCCGAGCGCGCCGGCCUGCCGGCGCGCCGCCCGCGCGCAGGUCACGCGCGCCGGCCGCUCUCUCCCUCUCCUCCCUCCUCUCCCCGCCGCACGCGGUGCCCCGCCCCACGUGCCCGCUGCCCGCCAGCCCGCUUCCGCCCGCGCCACGCGCGCCCCGCCAUAGCACGCCCGCGCGCCCGCGCCCCGUGCUCACCCCUGCCGCGCCUCCGUCGCCGCCACCUGUCCCGCCGCGCCCGCGCCGCUCGGCUUCCUGCCGCCCCGCGUGCCCGGCUCGCCCGCGUCCCCGCGCGUGCCCGCACCACGCGGCGCCCCGCCACGCACGCCCACCUGUCCGCGCCCCGCGCUCGCCGCUGCCCGCGCCUCCACGCUCGCCACCUGUUCCAAAACUGAGAAUUCAUGUAUGUUAUAGAUUUCAUGAACCCAUUUCAUGGGCUUUUCAAAUGUGCCCCUAUCAUGAAUUAAUUUCCUGAACCCAUUUCAUAGGCUUUCCAAAUUGGCCCCUAUCAUGAACUAAUUUCAUGAAUCAAUUUCACUGAAUUCAAAAUCAAAUCGACCAACAAGUCGUUAAACUAAACAUAUGACCAUCAAGUCGUUAAACUAAACAUUCGACCAUCAAGUCGUUAAACUGAACAUAUGACCAUCAAGUCGUUAAACUGAACAUUUGACCUUCAAGUCGUUAAACUGAAUUCAAAUUCAAAUUGACCAUCAAGUCGUUAAACUGAAAUCAAAUUCAAAUUGACCAUAUAGUCGUUAAACUGAAUAUUUAACCGUCAAGUCGUUGAACUGAAUUCAAAUUCAAAUCAACCAUCAAGUCUUUAAACUGAACAUUGACCAUCAAGUCAUUAAACUAAACAUUUGACCUUCAAGUCGUUAAAUUGAAUUCAAAUUCAAAUCAACCAUCAAAUCGUUAAACUGAACAUUUGACCAUCAAGUCGUUAAACUAAACAUUUGACCAUCAAGUCGUUAAACUAAACAUUUGACCAUCAAGUCGUUAAACUAAAUUCAAAUUCAAAUUGAACAUCAUGUCGUUAAAUUGAAUAUUUGACCGUCAAGUCGUUAAACUAAUUUCAAAUUCAAAUUGAACCUCAAGUUGUUAAACUGAACGAAUGACCAUCAAGUUGUUAAACUGAAUAUAUGACUGUCAAGUCGUUAAACUGAACAUCUAACCGUCAAGUCGUUAAACUGAGUUCAAACUCAAAUUGACCGGCAAGUUGUUAAAUUGAGCAAUCAAAUUAAACUCCUUUUGACUGCCUAGUCGUUAAACUAAGCGAACUGAAUUCAAAAUCAAAUGACCAUCAAAUCGUUAAACUGAAUUCAAAUUCAAGUCGAUCGCCAUGUCGUUAAACUGAGCAACAUAACUCAAAUCGAUCGCUAUGUGCUUAAACUGAGAACCUUAAUUCCAAGCCGACCGCUAUGUCGUUAAAUUGAGCAACUCAAAUCAAGUCGACCGCCAUGUCGUUAAACUGAGUAACUUAACUCAAAUCGACCGCCAUGUCUUUAAACUGAGCAACUCAAUUCAAGUCGACUGCCAUGUUGUUAUACUGAGCAACUCAACUCAAGUCGACCGCUAUGUCGUUAAACUGAGCAACUUAACUCAAAUUGACUGUCGUGUUUUUAAAUUGAGCACCUAAAUUUCAAGCCGACCGCCAUGUUGUUAAAUUGAGCACAGCAACCUCAAGCCGACCGCCAAGUCAUGAAAAUGCGUACCUCAACCCCAAGCCGACUGCCAUGUCGCUAAAUUGAGCAUCUUAACUUCAACAGACCGUUAAGUCGCUAAACUGAGUAAAUCAAGUUCAGAUAUGACCGUCAAGUCGUUAAACUAAGCAAAUGACCGUCAAGUCGUUAAACUGGGCAAAUGACUAUCAAGUCGUUAAACAAAAUUCAAAUUCAAAUUCAAAUUGAUCAUCAAGUCGUUAAACUGAAUUAAAAUUCAAAUGACAAUCAAGUCAUUAAACUGAAUAUUUGACUGUCAAAUGAUCGUUAAACUAAAUUAAAAUUCAAAAUGACUAUCAAGUCGUUAAACUGAAUUAAAAUACAAAUCGACCGCCAAGUCAAUAAACUGAGCAAAUCAUUACAAACUCUUUUGACCGCCAAGUUAUUAAACAGAGCAAAUUAAAAUUAAACUCAACCUUAACUUACUUUAACCGACUAUCAUGUCGCUAAACUGAACACCUCAGCUUCAAGCGGAUCGCCACAUCGUUAACUGAGCAACUCAACUUAAGUCGACCGCCACGUCGCUAAACUGAGCUACUCAACUCAAGCCGACCGCCACGUCGCUAAACUAAGCUACUCAAUUCAAGCCGACUACCACGUCGUUAAACUGAGCUAUUCAAAUCAAGCCAACUGCCACGUCGCUAAACUGAGCCACUCAAAUCUGGUCGACCGCCAUGUCGUUAAACUGAGCAACUCAACUUCAAGCCGACCGCCACGUUAUAAACUGAGCUACUCAACUUCAAGUUGACCGCCACGUCAUCAAAUUGAGCGAUUCAAUUUCAAUCCAACAGCCACGUCGUGAAACUGAGCGACUCAACUCAAGUCGACCACCACAUCGUUAAACUGAGCGACUCAACUCAAGCCGACUGCCACGUCGUUAAAUUGAGCGACUUAACUCAUGCCAAUCGCCACGUCGUUAAACUAAGCAAUUCAAUAUCAAGCCGACCGCCGUGUCGUUAAACUGAGCAACUCAACCUUAAGCUGAUCGACCGCCAUGUCAUUAAACUAAGCACUAUAACUUCAAACCGACUGCCACGUCGUUAAACUGAGCUACUCAAAUCAAGCCGGCCGCCAUAUCGUUAAACUGAGCAUCUCAUUCUCAACUUGAUUGCCAUGUCGUUAAAAUGAGCAUCUCAAUCUCAAGCCGACUACCAUGUCGUUAAACUGAACACUUCAACCUAAAGCCGACCGCCAUGUCGUUAAACUGAUCAACUCAACUCAAACCGACAGUGUAACAUACCACGUCCCUUGUAAAUCGUGCCGGGUUCCGUCAAAUGAGCGGAACGCGAAAUUGAACGAGUUUGGGUGGACCCUAAGCCCGUUAGAGUCCAUAAGUGAGGCUAGAAGGGACCCGAGAGAGUAAUCUGAAAAUCUGGCUAAGUCCCAGAUUUUGUGCUCUCGGGGACCGGUCCCUGAAGGAGAGACCGGUCCCCGUACGCGUAGCCUGUCAGGAAGUCCUAAGGCAACCGGUCCCUGGUGGUGAGACCGGUCCUCGGGAGACCGGUCCCUGAAGGGGCAGACCGGUCCCUCGCUGCGCAACAGCUGAAAAACCCGAAAAUUUGGCUAAGUCCUGGAACACCCACGUUCGGGAACCGGUCCCUGGUCGGGGAGACCGGUCCCCGAAGGCGAAAAAUGCCCAUUAUGGGCAGUUCAAGAAGAAACAAGUGGAGGGGCUUAAGUGCAAUUGUUACAACACUAUAUAUGACUCAUCCCCUCUCUCCCACAGCCAUUUCCACCCUUCUCACCCAUUUCCUCUCUUUCUCUCUCUAGAACUCAUGCUCUAGAACUUGGAGAAGAAGAAGAAGAAGUGAAGAGGAGGAGGAUUUGGAGGCUUUGGAGGCUUCUACAAGCUCCCCUACAAGGAGGACUUGGAGGAGCUAGGGCUAAGGUGAGUUUUGGUAGAAAUGAGCCUAGGGUUUGGAUUUUGGUUUACGAAAUGGGAGCUUUGUGCUCCCUAGAGGCUUUAAAGGCUCUUUUGAGCCAUGUACACCAUGGUUCUCAUGAGAGCUUAAAGUGCUCUCAUGGUGAAUCCUUGGAAGUGGUGUUUGGAGCCCUAGGGUUGGUACCAAAGGUCUAAAAACCUUGCUAGAAUGCUUCUUAGAUGAUCCUAAGCUAUUCCUUGCUUAGGGUUGGGAUCGAUUCUUGAGGAAAUCCUAAAUGACAUUAUUAGGGCGUGGAUUUGGGGCUUUUGCCCUAGGAUUUUUCGGGGACAAAUUGACCCCGUAGAAACCUAAUUGGGGGUGCCCUAAACACGUUGGACAACUCCGUUUAACCUUGCGAAAAUGAUAGAGUGUAGUUCAUGUACAAAAAGGCCUAAUAUGGCACUAUUUUGAUUAUAGGACGCGGAAUCGGCUUUCGUAAAGUGCGGGAGCUUUCAUAAUCUACACCCACACAACCAAUAAAGGUGGGGGGUGCACGCCGGAAUCGUUGGAUUCCCUUCUAUGUCUGUUUUCUCUAUUCUUGAGCAUAUAUGUUUUAUAAAUACCCAUUCAUGCAUAGUAGGGUAGUUACAUGUGGAACUUGGUUUGACUUCUUUAUAUGCUUCUAACGUAGUUGAACAUAGAGAACGAUAGAACCAAAAUGGACACGUGUGAUUGGACCCUCAAGUUGUGUGAAUGUGAGGAUGGACUUGGAUAAUAGAAAACAAGGGUGACAUUGACAUAGGAACAAGAUUUGCGUUGAGAGAUGAACCGUCGAAUAUAGUUUAACCCAUUUUGACAUCGUCAAAGGUAAAGCCUUGAGAUUGGAAAGAAUGAAUAGGUAGAGACCUAACAUGACAUCGACAUUGUGAUCAGUGGCUAUGAAUCCUCAAGUUGGGGAUUAGAUCGACACUCACAUUACGUCUUGGCUUGAGGGUGGUCGCUCUCCGUCGAGCGGUGCGCUCCGGAGUUGGUCACCACUGGGCAUGGUAAAGUCCCACCAGUUGACGGUCCCUAGGGAGGUUCGAGUCCCCCGUUAUUAAGGGAUUUUGGGUUGUGAGUUAUUGGGGUUAACAGAGUUAACCGGUAAAAUUGGGUAAGAGCCAAAACUUGAUUAUGAUUGGAGCAUGCAUGCAUUUCUAUUAUCGCAUUGAGAUUUAUAGCUACUGAUUUCUUUUUGCAGGCAUAGUAUUAGUUGCUUUCAGUAUUGGUUACAUUUCUUUCCUUUGAAAUACUUAUGCCUGGAUAGACCUAGUGGGUAAGUCGGCGAGGUCGGAUGCCGAACCCACUGGGAACUUCGUUGUAGUUCUCACACCACUAACCCUGCAGGUCCUAGCACGAGCGGGGCGGCGGAGGACCGCGGCAAGGGUUUGGCGCCGUAGGUAGCGGCCAUCGGGACUCUAUACAUUUUGUAGUCAUUCCCUUUUGUUAUAAAUGUAUCAACUUUAUUUCGUUGAUUUAGGAAUGAAAAGUGUAAACAAUCAUGUAUUUGGUGGAUGGCUAAAUGUAAAAGAUAUGAUGGCUGAAUGAAUGUAAUAGUUUUGUUUACUUGAAUUUGGUUUAAAUGAAAUCAAAUAUCAUGAGUGAUGUAUAUUUAGCUUAGAGCUUUCGCUUCCGUUGUUGCUUGCCCUCGUGCAAGCCUUGUAUUAUAUAUGCAAUUCUCUUGUUGAUUGUCUAUUUAUACUUGUGGUAGAGCCUUGGGCGGACAGGGGAGGCUCUGUCCGUUCGGCGUCUGUUGACGUGACCCGAACCCGACCAAAUUGGCGGGGAUUGGGGCGUGACAGACAGCCAUGUCGUUAAAAUGAGUAACUCAACUUCAAGACGACCGUCUUGUUGUUAAACUGAGCGCUACAACUUCAAGCCGAAAGUCAUGUCGUUAAACUGAACACUACAACCUCAAGCCGACCGCCACGUCGUUAAACUAAGCGACUCAACUGAAGCCGAUCGCCACGUCAUUAAAUUGAGUGAUUCAACUUCAAGUCGACCGUCGCGUCGUUAAACUAAGCAACUCAACAUUAAGCCGACCGCCAUAUUAUUAAACUGAGCACUAUAGCUUUAAACCGACAGCCAUGUCAGUAAACUGAGCUACUCAAAUCAAGCCGACUGCCAUGUCAUUAAACUGAGUGACUCAAUCUCAAGCCGACUGCCAUGUUGUUAAAAUAAGUAUCUCAACCUCAAGCCGACUGCCAUGUCAUUAAACUGAGCUUUUCAACCUAAAGCCGACCGUUAUGUCGUUAAAUUGAGCAACUUAACUCAAACUGACCGCCAUGUCGUUAAAAUGAGCAACUCAACUUCAAGCUGACCGCCAUGUCGUUAAACUGUGCACUAUAACUUCAAGCGGACCGUCAUGUCGUUAAACUGAGCACUACAACCUCAAGCCGACCGCUAUGUCGUUAUACUGAGCUGAUCAAACUAAACUCAAUUUGACUGCUAAGUCGCUAAACUGAGCAAUCAAAUCAAACUCAAUUUGACCGCCAAGUCGCUAAACUGAGCAAUCAAAUCAAACCCAGUUUGACCUCCAAGUCGUUAAACUGAGCAAUCGAAUCAAACUCUAUUUGAUUGCUAAGUUGUUAAACUGAGCAAUCAAAUCAAACUCUAGUUGACCGCUAAAUCGUUAAACUGAGCGAUCAAAUCAAAUUCUAUUUGACCGCCAAGUCGCUAAACUGAGCACUCAAAUCAAAUUCUAUUUGACCGCCAAGUCACUAAACUGAGCCAUCAAAUCAAACUCAAUUCGACCGUCAAGUCGUUAAACUGAGUAUUUUAAUUUUAUGGAAUUCAUGUACAGUGGAGGUAUGCCCUUGCUUAAGCCAUGUACUUGAAAUUUAUAUCAAUUCGAGUUCAUCUUUAUCCUACGGUCUCUUCGUAUCAUCGACAUUAAAUUUGGUCUCUUAAUCGAGGGUUCCUUAACACUAAAAGUGUGUGACAAUUAACAGCAGAUUCUUGAGUAUGUUGGAAGUAUGAACCUGUAAUCCUGAUUUCAAAAUAAAAUUUAAAUCAAUUUAAUCUGUACCAUGAACGACCACUCGCCGGAAAAAAGCCUGCGGCAGAACCGGUUCGUUCGCGGCAGACACUCUUUCCUUUGUCUCUCUCUCUUUCAGCAAUUUAAUUCUCAUGCGACAAUAAAGGAGCACAUUUAGAUGAUUAAGCCGACACUUGGAGGCGGUGAGACGUGUCCAUCGCACAAGAGCUCAACAAAGCUAGCCGAUUCAAGUUGGCCACUUGAAGACACGUACGGCUCUUCCUCUUGUUACUUGAGAAGCGCUGGAUGCACCGAGGUUAACUUUCUUGUUUUUGUAUUGCAUACUGAUAUAAGGUCAAUGUCAUAGAUGCUUAUAUUCAAGGAGCCUCUUCUUACAUGCUGUUGGAAUCAUUUUUUUCGUCGUGCUUAUAUGGAAUCAAUUUUUCUAAAUGUCCAAUGAAUAAUUUUUUAAAAAGGAUAGAGUUAUAAUAAUAUUUAGAUGCACAUAGAGCUAAGUAUUCUUGGCACAUUCUUUUGUUUUCUGGCCAUUUGAUAUGCAAUAUAUAGUAUUGAGUAGAUAUAUACUGAUGACUUCUGAAUUUUUGCUGUUGUUUGAUUGUAUUAGUAAGUAUCAACAGCUGGGCAUUAAGCUUUCCUUAAGAAAUUAAAGACUAAUGCUGGUUUAUUGCAUUUUUUUGUGUAGACUUUAAGCUAUAUAUUAUUUGGAUCACCUAUUACAUUUUUCUGCUCUGGACUCUCUCAAUUGUUUCGUUAUAUAUAUGGAAGGCAUCUAUAAUCAAUGAAAGUUUGGAGCCAAUUUUGCUAGUGAAAAGUAUCACUACAGUGAGAAACUUUAGGCUACAUUAAAGCAGGAUCAUAUAUUGACCAGGAAUUUCCAACUAGUACUGUUUUCAAAAACCAUCUGCACCGUAUGGCUGAGGUAGAUAGAGGCUUCGGACACGAGGAGGAAGCCACAAAGGAUGGUUCCGUGGAUCUUAAAGGUCGCCCCUUCAUUCGAUCUAAAGGAGGUCGAUGGACCGCAUGUUCUUUCAUUGUAGGUGAGCACUUGCUUAGCUACAAACCACUUCACACACAUCUUGCAAGGGUAUAAAUUAGCUUCUUACUUACAAUCUUAAUCACCUGCUCUUUAUUUGCAACUUUGUAGGCUACGAAGUUUUUGAGAGGAUGGCCUACUAUGGAAUAGCUACAAACUUGGUUCUGUAUCUCACCGACAAGCUACAUGAAGGAACAGUCUCCUCAUCAAACAAUGUCACCAAUUGGGUCGGAACGGUUUGGAUGACUCCAAUCCUAGGCGCGUACAUAGCCGACGCAUAUCUCGGUCGAUAUUGGACUUUCGUGAUUGGCUCAGCUAUUUAUCUUUCGGUAUCAACCUUCCUACUCUUAAUCAUUCUGUUGUAAGAACAAGAUUAGAACGUACAUGCCUUAACUGAACUAAUGGCUUGCUUGGUUGAAUGGUGGAAUUGGAAUGGAUAAUGUAAUGGAAAUAAAUUGGAAUGGUAAUUGGAAUGACCCACUCCCCCAAAACGUUUGGUUUAUUUGUGGAUUGAAAAUUAGAUUGAGUUAUUCAAAUUUCAUUAUUUGGUUCAUAUAAACUAAAAAAAUUAUAGUAUACUAUAAUACUAAUUUUACUCUCAAAUAUAAAUUUAUAUUAUUUAAAAUUUAUAAAAAAUAUAAUACUAUUCUCUAAUAAGUUUUCCAAAAAAAAAAAUUAAAUUUAUUUUUAAAAACUUUUAUUGAUGUGGGUUAGGGAUAGGGAUUUGAGAGAGGGAUUUGAGAGAGGAUAGGUAGGUUUUUUUUUUUUUUUUGAUGAGAAAGGGGUGAAGAGAAGGAGGGUGAGAUGGUCACAUGGGCUUUGGGCUUUCGGAAUGAAAUCUCAAUCCGGGCUAGAAGACCGGAAUCAAGUUGAAGGCUAAUGGGCCAUUCCCAUUCUAGUCCGGAUUAGAAAUCCCAAACCGAUUCAUGCAAACCAAACAAAAUUAACUGGAUUUGAUCAAAUCGAUUUCUAUUCCAUACCCAAAAUGGAUAAACCAAACAAACCCUAACAGUGAAAUUCCAGUUGGAAUCCAACCUUUAAAAUUUUGAUUUCACUCUCUAACAUUAGAAUAUGUCUGAAGUAAUUGUUUUUCCAUUAGAACUUCAUGGUAUAUUUAACUUUUUUGAUAAAAUACGCUCUGCGUGGAAUAUCUUGCAACUUUAUGGAAUAUUGUGUAUGUAUAGAGGUUAGAAAAUGCUACCUUUUAGUAGAAUUUGACGGAAAUUUUGGAAAGCAAAUAUGUUGAUAAAAUUAAAAUUUUUGAAAUUCAUGUACUCAUAGCAAUGCUCCUAUGCACCAAAAAGAUCUCGGCCCUUAAAUUUUUUAAAAUGAAUGGUGGAGAUGUCUUUUAGUUAAAAGGGUGACCGGCUUUUGUUGCCAUAGGUAUCAGUCACCCUUUUACCAAGGGUAAAUUAUUUCCUCGUAUAUAAAAUUAACAUGAAGGGCUUUUUUAUAAAUUUCUAUUUUUAUUCCCUUAAUGCCCUUCAAGUAAUUUGGUAAGAUAUCCCAUUUUAUUUUUAUAAACUUUUAACCCACAGAUAUUUUCCUCGAGGCUAUUUUACCUUUUUUUUUCUUUGUUGACAGAGAAAUUCAUGUCCAAUCUACAUUUAAAUCUAAAUUUAAAAUUUGAUUUUAAUCAAUAUUUUUAAACUUUAAUAUUGUUUUUACUAUCGAAUGAACAGUUGAAUUUAAUUUUAAAAAUAGAAGCCUUUAAUUUAAAUAAAUAAUAAAAGUUAUGUUUAUAAAUACAACAUAAUUUACAAUUUAAAAUAAGUUAAUAUUUGAUAUUUCGUGUCGUUUUAAUAUCAAAUUUACAAUUUGAAUUGAAAUAUACUAUUCAUUUAAACAUAAAUUUUUUUGUUCUAAACAUUUAAAUUAAAAUUAAAAUUGAAUUUAAUCUACACAAUUAUAAAGUUUAAAUAAAGGUUUAUUACUUAUCAAAUUAGCACUUGAAUUUAAUUUUAAAAUUAGAAGCAUUUAAUUUAAAUAAAUAAUAAAAGUAAUGUUUAUAAAUACAACAUAAUUUACAAUUUAAAAUAAGUUAAUAUAUUUGAAAUUUCAUGUCGUUUUAAUGUCAAAUUUACAAUUUGAAUUGAAAUAAACUAUUCAUUUAAACAUAAAUUUUUUCGUUCUAUACAUUUAAAUUAAAAUUAAAAUUGAAUUGAAUGUACACAAUUAUAAAGUUUAAAUAAAGAUUUAUUAGUUAUCAAAUUAGCACUUUCUAAUUUGGUAAGUAACAAAAUUAAAUAAGGAAACAAAUAUUUGUAUAGGGUUAAUCAAAUUUAGUAAUUAGCUUGUAUUUAUUUUUCCAUAUUACCCUUACGAAUGGUAACCCGUUGAACAGGUAACUAUUAUGCAAAAGUCAAUCUCGCCCCUCAAAUAUGAACGGCUAGAUUUAAUUUAGCCGGUGUAUUGAAGCAUUCCCCCUCAUUUAAAUCUGCGGUAUAUUCAGAUAAAGCCUGACUACACAUCCAAUGGAAUGAUCAUGCUUUUUAUGAUCUAUAAAUGUAAAUAAGAAAUCCCUAACUUCUAAUAUGAACAGGGUAUGAGCAUGCUAACCCUAACUGUCUCUCUCCACUCACUGAGGCCACCUGAAUGCUGCAACACCCAUGCAACACCACUCCAAGUGGGCAUAUUCUACUUAUCACUGUACAUAAUAGCGGUCGGGACGGGCGGGACGAAGCCCAACAUCUCCACCAUGGGUGCAGACCAGUUCGACGACUUCGACCCCAAGGAGAGGAAGCAGAAACUGUCCUUCUUCAACUGGUGGAUGUUCAGCAUCUUUUUCGGCACACUGUUUGCCAACACGUUGAUCAUUUACGUUCAGGACGACGUUGGUUGGGGAAUUGGAUACGGCAUUCCGACUGCCGGGCUUCUCAUAUCCAUCUUGGUUUUCUUAGUUGGGACACCUUUCUACAGGCACAAGAUACCAACAGGGAGCCCAUUUACAGUGAUUGCAAGAGUACUUGUUGCUGCUAUUAGGAAGUGGAGAGCCAUACUUCCUAAUGAUUCUAAGGAGCUUUACGAGCUGAGUUUGGAGGAGUAUGUCACGAAUGGCAAGUUCAGAAUAGACCAUACCUCUUCAUUAAGGUCCAAUCCUCUCCUUCUGAAAGUUUUAAGGCUAAUUAGUACUGAAACAUUUAUAUUUUCCUCGAAAUUAUACAAGAUCAUCAAUUAUGUCCCUUUAUCAGUGUUUGGUUAGGUUAUAAACAUCUCUUUGCUCUCGAUCAGUUAUAAAUCACGCAGUGUAAUGUGAAAUUCAGGAUAUGUGGAAUGUCUUGCAUUGUAGUCUAGUUAUGAACAGUACUAUUAGGUUAAAAUUAUUACCAAAGUUUACGAACUUUGAUCCAAUUGCAAUUUAACCUAUAUUACCAUUUGGUGCCCAUUAGCCUUUUCUUUCCACUGCAAUUUAACCCCGAAGCUUAACUUGAUUAAAAAAUUUACUAGUUCUAUAUCUGUUGUCACCGAGUGUUUAAACAAUUCACUAGUUAUCAUGUAUUGCCAAACAACUAAAUUCAGGUUAUAAGUUAUAAUUUGGUGCAAUACCCUCGUAACUAAGAUGUUUGACUUCGUAUUAAAAGAUGAUAGAUGAGUUUGUUUGCACCAAAUCAAGUUUUGUGCACAAAUUGGAUAAGAAACAAGUUAGCAGAUCAUUUUGCAUCAAAAUAAAGUAGGUGGAUCAAAUUAUAAGUAGGAUACGUGGGAAAUGCUAGCACGCUUUUAUAUAUGAUUUUAACCAUCAUUAUAAUUUCACUCUGAUUGCAUGAGCAAUGGAUGGUUGCAGAUUUCUCGACAAAGCUGCCAUGAAGAGCGGUCCAGAUACUCCGUGGAUGCUUUGCCCGGUGACCCAAGUGGAAGAAACAAAACGAAUGAUGAAAAUGCUACCGGUCUUAUUGGUGAGCAUCAUCCCGAGUGUUAUGGCCGCGCAAGUCAAUACUCUCUUUGUCAAGCAAGGCAAGACCCUAAACCGGAGCAUGGGUCCGCAUUUCAAGAUCCCUCCUGCUAGCCUUGCCGCGUUCGUGACCAUCUUCAUGCUGAUCAGCCUUGUCCUCUAUGAUCGGUUCCUCGUUCCCUUCGUGAGGAAGUACACGAAAAACCCCAGGGGAAUCACGUUGCUGCAAAGAAUGGGGAUCGGGCUCGCAAUUCACGUGCUUAUCAUGAUCGUCGCAUCGUUAACCGAAAGGUAUAGGCUCAAGUUUGUGAGAGAUCAUGGUCUAGUCGAUGAGAAGACCAUUCCUCUUUCGAUCUUCAUUCUCCUACCGCAAUUCGCGCUAAUGGGGAUCGCCGAUACGUUUGUGGAGGUCGCGAAGAUCGAGUUCUUCUACGACCAAGCACCAGAGGGAAUGAAGAGUCUAGGGACCUCAUACUUUACUACUACUUUGGGGCUGGGGAACUUCCUAAGUAGUAUUCUUUUGAAGGCAGUUUCUCAGAUUACAAUGAGAGGUGGACGUGAGGGUUGGAUUCAAGACAACUUGAAUGCGUCUCAGUUGGACUACUAUUAUGGUUUCUUUGCACUUCUCAGUGUGCUUAACCUUACCUUGUUCAUGGUUGUUUCCACGCUUUAUUCUUACAACAGUGAACGAAUGGAGGCCGGUGAUGAGAUCGUGGAGGAUGGCGCGGCAAGGCAACGGGAAGAUGAGAAAGAAGCAAAUAUUGAUAGAUAGAUAUUAAGUUGGUAAUUAUAGAUCAUUAUGUGUGUUGAUUGUUCAAUUCAAUAAAAAAAAAUGAAAAUGACAGAAGGAAAGCUGGGAGCCAUAUAUAGUUUUCUCAUUUUGAAUUUGCAAACAGUAUUAGUACAAUAGCAAUCCAGAUUUAACAUUUAAAUACCCUGACUAUAUAUUCUCAAUAUAUCAUUACAUAUAAUUAACAUAGAUUUAAAUAUAUUUAAAAUAAUAUUGGUACUUAAAUAUACCCAACAUAUCGUAUCCUAGAGAUUUUAUGAAUUGCCGUAUCGCUAUAUCUGUAUCGUGUCAUAUCCGUACGCCGUACCCCGUAUCCGUAUCUAUGCAAUAUAGGUAUGCAGUUAUGCUUUUGGUGCGCCGGAAUAUGCUUUCCAAUUUUGAUUGUUCUUUGGCAUCUCAUUCUUUAAAAAGUCUAGGAGGUUUGCAUAUUUUUGUUACGUUGAUGGUGAACAAGAGUACAAGACGAGCACUAGAAUAUUAAACUGCACAUUGUUAUAUUUGGUUUAGAUUUGUAGUUAUCUAAAUUGAGGAUAAAUCCUAAUCUAAUUGGGAUUAGAUAUUAUUUAGAUUUAAUUUGGCAUAUAUGGAUUAUAAUUAGGAGUGUAAUUCUAAUCUAAUUACAAUUAGACUCUAAUUAGGAGACAUGUAUUGUAUAUACAUGUUACGGCCAAGUUAAUGAAGCCGCGACCAAAUUAAGAGCCAUGCAAAAUUAAUUAAGUUAUUGGUGGCCUGCCGUGCUCUAAUUAGAGGCAAGCUCUAAUGACGCCGCAUCUAUGCUAAUUCUGUACGGUGGCAGCAACAUGAGCCGAGGGAGUUGGAGCUCUAAUUAGUUGAGUAUCUGAGAAGGAGCCGCACAUGCAAUGCUAAUUAAUUAAGGUGUUGUUCCGUACGGUUUGAGGCGCCGGUGACUAAUUAGAGGCCAUGCACUAAUUAGUGCUAAUUUGGAAUCCGUACAUAUUGGGUUGAGAGAAGCUCUUUUCGGAGUUGUUUGUUGCGGCGUUUCGGAUCUAAUUAAGUUUUGGUUCUUUUGAGAGAUUUUCUUGUACUCCGCCUUUUCGACAUUAAUAAAUUAUUUGCUCCGUCUUCGCCCGUGGACGUAGGCCGUUGGCCGAACCACGUAAAUAUCGGUGUGUUCUUUCCGCUUAUCUUUUCUUUUCUUGCAUUAAAUUAUUUUCUGGAUCUAUUUUUCGCGCAAUUUUAACACACAUAAGAGCUGAUUUGGGAGUCAAUAUUGUGUUAUCUUUCAGUAUAACGUUGAAUUAUCUGUGUUAAGUGUUAACUGACGAAUUCUUGAUUUUAUAAAGAAAUAUAUACUAAUAUAUAUUAGUUUGUAUUAUUUCUUUAAAUUAUUUCAUCAAAAAGAUACAAUCAAUCGUAUGAAAUAAUAAUUUAUAAAGUAUCAACCAACUAUCAUCCAACUUGAUCAAAUAAUAAAAAUAGAUAUUUAGUUGCACUAAAUAGAUAAUUAAUCAUUUAUUAUAUUUGUUUGUUUUAUUAGAUUUUAUUAAAUAAAAUGGCAAUAAACGAAAAUAUACUAACACUUUAAUAGAAAAAUUAAAAAUUAUUUUCUAAAGCUUUGUUGAUUAGUAGUAAGUUGACAAAGUAAAUAAAAGAAAGUCAAACCUAAGUCGUAAAGGAUUGAACCUAUCUUUUUUUUUCUUUUUUUUUUUUUUGAGAAAAGAUAGCACGCUACCUGCUUUAUUCAUUGAAGUAGUGAAUUUAGCUACAGAGGUGAGGCACCCAGGGCCUCGAGAAAGGGCGUACAAGUGUGCGAAAAAAAAAAAAAAUCGAUAUUGCGAUUAACUAGUAGAUUGAGCAAGUAGUACCCAGGAUUUCAGCAUCUCCUUUAACCUGUACACCGCCACAAGAGGAUCCAUUUGGGUGUUACGAAAAAUUAGGUCGUUCCUAGUCUUCCAAAUGAUCCACCAGCAUGCAGCCAAUUCAGGUAGGCUGUUCCUCGUGUUAAGCAGUCCUUUUUUGACCAUCCACCUAUCCUAGACAUAAGUUACAUCGUCUCCCAGCUCUGUCGCCUGAAAUCCUCUAUACCCAUCACCGUGAUAAACUUAGUAAAGACACACUGAGCCAGCAGGUGAUCCAUAGUCUCCUCCUGUGACCUACACAGCACACAGGUUACAUCUCCAAUCCAACCUCUCUUCGCAAGGUUAACAGCUGUUAAGAGCCUUUUCUUAAGAAAAAACCCACAGAACACUUUAAGCUUAAGAGGUAUUUGUAAAUUCCAAAUACUCUUAGCACGUCCGUCCCUCGUACCCCGGUCGGUUAACAUGGUAUAGGCCGAUUUGGCCGAGAAUAUUCCGUUGGUCGACCAUCUCCAACAUAAUGUGUUCGAUCCUUGCGUAACAUAGUAUCCACUGACCCUAGCCUGAGAUCCGAGAGGCUUGUUCUGAGCCCGGCCCUUGUAAUCGACUCAUCACUCAGCAUCCUCAUCCAGUUCCACCCCUGACUGUCAAAGCACUCCUUGACCGUUAACAAUUUGCGUUCCGUCAUCCCAUAUAUCUCCGGGAAAGACACGUGUAGGGUGGUUUCCCCACACCAUCUAUCUGUCCAAAAGUCAAUGGAGCUUUCGUUUCCCAGUAAGUAGGAGAUUCCCCAUUUGAACAAGACAGCAGUGCUAAGAACUCCUUCCACCAGUAUGAAUACGGUCUGAAGCUUUUUCCCUCCCUCAAAGGUCUUCUUCUUUGAUAGUACAAGGCUCUAGUUAUCUUGAUCCAUUGUAGGUGCGGUACGGUGUGGAAUCUCCACCACCAUUUGAUCAGAAGUGCACGAUUCAUAUUAGCUAUAUCCAAGAUGCCCAGUCCCCCUUGCAUUUUACUCAAACAGACACUCUUCCAUGCUACCAAACACCUCUUGCCUACCGAGUUGCUUUCACCGUUCCAGAAAAAAUUCCUGCAUAGAGCUUCGAUUCGUUUGACCACCCACUUGGGUACCUUAUACACAGACAGGAAGUAGAGGGGUAAAUUGGUAAGAAUAGCGUUGACCAAAAUUAGUCUACCCCCUCUUGAGAGAAGUUUGGCUUGCCAUCCCUCGACUCUGCACUGAAUUUUCUGAAUGACCGCUCUCCAUACCUCCUUCGUGGGGGUCGAGGAGAUAAAGGAAAGCCUAGGUAAGUGGUUGGCAGCUUGCCGACCUUACACCCCAGCAGGUCUUCAAGUCUUACCGCUCUGUCGUCCACCUGUCCCAUGUAGUAAAUUUCGGAUUUAUCUCUAUUAAUUUUCAUUCCCGAUGCCCACUUGAAAAGGUGCCACAACAGUCUGAGGUUUCGCAUAUAUUUUUUCCUCGCCUCACAAAAGAAGAAAGUAUCAUCCGCGAACUGUACAAGGGUAGUUCUGCUUUCAUUAGAUGGGCCAAUACCUUUAAGGAGAUUGUUAGAUGCCGCUACAUUAGUCAUUUUGGCCAGACACUCCGCCACCAGUAAGAAUAGGAAGGGUGAUAGCGGGUCUCCUUGGCGAACACCUCUCUUAGUUUUAGUCCAAUUUGUCGCCUCCCUGUUCACCAAUAUAGCUACCUUCACGUUACACACGCAUUGUUCCAUCCAUCCGCACCAUUUAUUGUCGAACCCCCACUACUUCAAUAUAGUAAAGAGGAAAGGCCAGUGAAUCCUAUUGUAGGCCUUUUCGAAGUCCACCUUUAUGCCGAUCCCCUCAAUAGCCUUCUUACAUCCCCACCCUAUUAAUUCUGAAACUAUUACGAACGCAUCAGUGAUGUUCCUCCCCUUCACAAAAGCUGAUCGAGAGGGGGAAAUUAAGUCGUCCGGAACCAUUCCAAGUCGAUUGGCUAGAACCUUCGACAAGAUCUUCUGGAUACUGUUAAGAAGGCUAAUAGGUCGGAAGUCAUUCGCUCUCUCCGCCCCGACCUUCUUAGGGAUCAAACAUAUGUAGCUAUAGUCGAUGGGAGCAUUAGACAAUCUCCCCUCGUACAAUUCCUGGAAAAGAUUGAUAAUUUCACCCUUUACUGUAUCUCAAAAAGUUUGGUAGAACCUUAAUGAAAAUCCAUCCGGACCCGGUGCUUUAUCACUCCCUAAUUGAAAGACUGCUUGCUUAAUUUUGUCAAUGCUAAAUUGUUCAUUUAGCCUCGUAAGCUGAGCCGCCGACACCCUACUAGUGGAGAAGAGUCCGCUCCACUCCCCAAAAGAAAUAGGGGUCGACUCGUCUGGUGUGAAGCGCUCAUCAAAAUAUCGGAAAAAAUAGGCCUGUUUUUCCUCCUCCGAUUGGUAAACUCUUCCAUUUUCUAGCACCUCACCGAUGCUGUUGGCUCUUUGUCUCCCAUUGGCUAUACUAUGAAAAUACUUUGUCUUCCGGUCUCCUUCCUGUAGCCAAUGCUGAUUAGCCCGAGUUCGCCACAUAGAUGCUUCAUCAUUCAGAAAUCCUCUUAAUUUCGCUUUUAACUCAUCUCUUCUCAAACCUCCUUCCUCUGUGAGAUUAUCUUGUUCCUCGGCUUUGUCUAUCUCGUGUAUUUCAGUCAUUAGCUCAUUUUUCAAUCCACUAAUACUAUAGAACUCUAGUUUGCACCAUUCCUUAAUUCUUUGCCUACAAUGUCUUAAUUUCUCAGUGAUAGUAAGCACGACGGAUUUCUCCAGGGCCUGCUCUUUCCACCAUCGAGGUACUUUAUCAAUAAAUCCCUCGUGAUUUAGCCAUGCGUCCUCGAAUCUAAACAUUUUCUUCCUCUUCUUGAAGUGUUUCUCCACCGUUAAGAGAAUGGAGCAGUGAUCUGAGGUAACACGGGGGAGCGCCUCAACUCUGGAUAGAGGGAAGUCCAAGUCCCACUCCGUUGAGACUAGGAAGCGAUCAAGUCUCGCUAGAGUAGGAUUUUUUUGCAUGUUAGACCACAUGAAUGAUUGGUUUCGCAUAGGUGGGUCAAUUAAUGCUAGUUCUCUAAUCAGCUCAUUGAAUCUAUCUGUAGCUCUAGCACUCCAGGUCUUCCCCUUUCGCUUUUCCUGACUCCUAAUACUGUUGAAAUCUCCGCAAAUAAUCCAUCUACCCUCACAACUCCUUUUUAGCUGAGCCAAUUCAGAGUAGAACUCCUCCUUCCCGUCCCAAGUAGCCAGCCCGUACACGUUAGUGACGUAGAAGUUUUUCCCAAUCUUGUCAUGAGUUAGGCGAACGGUAAUCGAAUAAUUUCUCACCAGUACAUCAUGACAAGUGUACGCACGAGAGCUCCAGCACGUAAUAACCCCCCCGGAGGUGCCAUCCGAUUCCAAAAAAAUGCAUUUGUUUAGAAAUGAUCUAGCUACACUACGGAGGAAAGAGCCCGAAACAUGUUUCACUUUUGACUCUUGUAAACAUACUACCCCAUAAUUAAACUUAAUAACGACCGCCCUAACAGCAUUACGCUUAGGGCGGCUAGUAAGCCCCCUUACAUUCCAACUACACACACUUAACAUAAUAGAAAGCCAAAAGACACCCUCUCAAGACUCCCCAAAAUGGUGUCCCACCAACACAGAAGGUCCCUCCUCCUACACGUGCUUGCAUAAGUACUCCACGAACUCCUUCGCCUCCGCUUCUUCCAGAUGCACCCCACAGAGACGGCUCUUACGUAGGAGCUUCCUAACAGUAGAAUUGACCCCGCUUCCUUUCCCUACCUCGCGCUGACUGACCUUCCUACUCAUUGACCGGUACAAGACUGAAGUCCUCUUGGAUUCCGCCAGUCGCUUACUGGUCCGAGGUAGUAAAGAGACAGCCAAAUCCCCACUGUUGACUGUAGGUUCCGUCCCAUUGACCUGCAUCUCCCACCCCGUAAGCUGAUCAGAUGGGCUGCCUUUCGCCUCCUCGACGCUCUCAGGGGCUUGCUGGAAACCAAAAUAAGGUACCAUCUCUGUCCCAGUGUUAGCAGAUACAGACUCCUCAUGGACGCACCCAAUCUCCUUGAGAGUCGCUUGAAGAGCCCACAGUCCAUUUGAGCACGCAUGCAGGGCCCACCCGCAGCGCUUCCCCCCAAAAAUGAGAAUCCUAUUUCCUGGGCUUGGUGUAGGCGCGACAUGCCAGGCCCGCUUCCCCACUAUCACAAUCCCUUCCCUAAUAACUGGUCUAUCCCACCCACCCAACGUAGGGUCCACCAAAUCCAAAACAAGUUUCAUAAUGCUAUAGAACUUGAUGGUUUGACUCCUCUGGUAUGAUUCCAAGAAUAGUCCCUGCUCAAACACUACCUCGGGCCCCCUACUCUUGGGAUUCGAACUGUGCACCUCCCCAUACACCAUAUCUAUCAAUGGUAGGGAAAGUAAGCUCAUCCCAAGUCCCUGUCUGCUAGUCUCCUUCAUCAUACAAGUCCCCUUUACUCCUCCCUGCUUCGUACCCUGUGCAUCCCUACCCUCGGGACCUGGGCCCCAGCUUCCCGUUGCACACCCAUCUCUCUUGCCGUACACCACGAGCUCGCCGCCUGGUACCCAUCCGGCUUGCCGACCUUGCCCGCCUCGACCAUCGGACAUCGGUCUCCACGUCGUCCGGCUCCUCGGUCGACCGCCGUGCUUCGCCGUCCACCCAUCCGUUAAGCCACCUUCGUCGUUCCCCCCUUUAACAGGCGUGGAUCGGGAACUCCAGCCAAGCGCCGCCAUUUCCCCCCCUUCCGAACCGUACACCUUCUUCCCUCCAGGCUCCCGCCUAGCUCUCCCGUCGUGGUAGGGUACCGGCCCCCCAGACGCCAGUCCGCAAGAUUGACCACCUCUCUCCCCCUCUACCGAAUCAGCCAUAAGUGCCCUGUUGUUGAGUUGGGUCGAGUCGACUUCCUCCAGCUCUUCUGCUUCGUCCCCCAUCUCCUCGUCCGCACUCGGCUGUCCGCCGCGAGCCUGUGGACUGGAAGCUCUAUCAAACCUGUUGGCACAAGAAAAAGUGGUGCCAGCUCAUAGCUUGCUUGGCUCAUUUGUUUGCCUAAGGAGGACAAAUCGAAAGAUGACAUAUAGUGCAUCAAGAACCAGAAAAGAAUGCCGAACGGGAAUGGUUAAAAAUGUGAGAGAGCAGUAGUUUCAUGACCAACAAGACAGUGGCUAAAGCAUUUCCCAAGAAACAAACCAUUCGAUAACCGCAGACUAACUAAAGAUUGGCAAAGAUUCUAUAAAUAGCGAGAAGUUAUUUGCACGAAAGGUCUUUUCCACAUACAAGACCACUUGUUUUUACUCUUUUGUUUUUUUUUUUUUUUUACAUUCCUAUAUUUACAGCUUUCUAAGAGUAUUUACUAAUUUUAGAAUUUUUAGCCUUUAGUUUCUCUGUAAACCAAGCCUCAGUGCUUUUCUUUCUGUAACAUUUUACAUCUUGAUUAAUGAAAUCUAUUUUGUUCUUUUAGUUCCAAAUCAAUUCUCGCUGUAACAUUAUGAUCUUUUCUCUAUUCUAAAAUUGGACUAUUAAUAUUACUUUAUUGGGAAUCCGGUACUUGUUUUGAUACCAGAUUUUGAGAAUUCGCAACCCGCUUUGAUAUCGAAUGCUCUUGAUUCGGUGCCAGUUGUUUGGAUUUUGCAAUAAAUUAAAACAUCAAAUUAAGUUUUUACUAUAAAUUUGCCUCGUCAACAAAAGUUGACACAAUCAGAAAAGAAAAAAACCUAGCACAAAAAUAUACGGAUAAACUAAGAUUAACUAAAUAAUAGAAAAUUACACCCAACCCCUUUUCUGUAAUAGAGUAGGUCAAAUCAGAGCCUUUUUUCUGGAUCUCUUCCACUCUUUUUCGUCUUCUAUAAGUCUAAAGGAUGACUUUUCUUUUUGUGCGCCUGCGCACUAGGUGCAUCAAACUUGGCCUAAGCCCUCUCUUUGUUAGGGCUCUUUUAUAAAAUGACCCUGUAGAAUUCUGAAAUCGGCAAAAUGACCCUGUCGAAAAUAUAUUUGUAAAACUAACCCUCCUUUCUCCACGUAGGCGCCACAUCAGCUAUUUCACACAAAGACGGUGAAUCGUUCACCGUCUUUGUAAUUCUGUUGUGAUUGGUGAAUGAUUCACGGCCUUUAGUGCAAAUAUAAUACACUGGACCUUUGCAAAUUACGAGGUUCGAGUGCUUGAUCAGUGUUCCGAGUUUUUUCAGAUAUUCUUAUCUGCCACCACGAAUGACGCACCUCGCACGGUCGAUAGGUUUUGGCCGUGGGGUAGUAUUCAUGAUUCAGAUUAAUAUGUAUAUAUAUAUGGGUAUUAGGUAUUGCGGGUCCAUGGCUUCCAAUAGACGCAAGCAUCUAUUGUUAAUUACCUCCGUGGCAUUGGGGCACCUUCGACUAAGAGACCUUUAUAGAUGGGAUGAGAUGAAUCGUAUCUUGGUUCAUUGAAUCCUAAGUAUAUGUAUUAGGAUUCACUUUGAGAUUGACUAGGUCCUAAAUAUAUGUGUUAAGACCUAGUCGAUAUUAAACUCUAUGUAUUAGAGUCUGGCUCUAAGUAUAUGUCUUAGAGUCCGACUAUAUUCACCUUGGUUGUAUAUUCCAAGAUGGAGAUAUGAUCAAACCCCAGGUAUAUGUAUUGAGGUAGAUCGGAUUUGAUAUUACCCGAGAGUGGCUAAUUCCUGAGUAUAUAUAUCAGGAUUAACCGAGUUUAAUAUAUUUUUCACUCUAGUUAUAUGUGCUAGAGUGAGGAUCUGACUAAACCCCGAGGUGUUAUGUUAGGCUUCGUCGGAUUUGAUUUUAUGAGUUCUAGGUAUAUGUAUUAGAGCUCGAUCGGGCAUGGAUUUUGCUCUAGGUAGGUAUGCUAGAGCAAAAGGCUGACUAGACCUUAAGUAUAUGGGUUAGGACUAGUCGAGCUUGGUUUGACUUUCACUCUAGGUAUAUGUGCUAGAGCAAAAGGUCGACUAGGCCCUAAGGGUAUAUACUAGGGUUAGUCGGAUGAACUCUAAGUAUGUGUUAGAGUUUGAAUAAACUUGAUAUCAUUUGACUGAAUUCUAAGUACAUAAUUUAGAACUCUGUCGGUUUAGAGAUGGUUUUGCCUUAGUAUAUAUGCUAAGGCGAUUGACUUAGCCCUAAGUAUAUGUAUUAGGGGUAGUCGGUAUUUAAUUUUUACUCUAGGUAUAUAUGCUAGAGUAAAGAAAAGGUUUAUGAUGAACUUUGGGCAUGAACUUGACAUAUGGUUUAUGAGAUUUGGGUACUGUCUCAUGGGAUUUGGUUCAUGGGUAUGGUUCAUGAGAUUUGGAUAUAGUUUAUGAGGUUUGGUUCAUGGAUAUGGUCCAUGAGAUUUGGGUAUGGUUUGGUGUAUGGCUCAUAGGAUGAAAUGUGGUGUAUGGUUCAUGAGGUUUGGUAUAUAAUCCAUGGGAUUUGGUCCAUGGAAUUUGGUUUAUGAACUUUGGUUAUGGUUUAUAAGGUUUGGUGUAUGGUCCAUGGAAUUUGGUUCAUGGAAUUUGGUUUAGUUCAUGAACUUGGUAUAUGGUUCAUGAAGUUUGGUAUAUGGUCCAUGGGAUUUGGUCCAUGAGAUUUGGUUAUGGGAUUCGUUUCAUGGUUCAUGAGGUUUGGUUUAUAAUUCAUGAGAUUUGAUUUAUGGUUCAUGAACUUGAUGUAUGGUUCAUGAGGUUUGGUUCAUGAAAUUUGGGUAUUGGUUCAUGAGAUUUGGUGUAUGAAUCUUGGUUUAUGUACUUGACUCAUAAUUCAUGAACUUGGUUUAUGGUUUAUGAAGUUGGGUAUAUGGGAUUUGGUUCAUGAACUUGCAUAUGGUUCAUGGUGUUUGAGGUUUGGGUCAUGAACUUAGGCACGGUUCAUGAACUUGAUUAUAGAAUUUGGUUAAUGACUUGGGUUCUAUUUAUAAUUGGAUUUGGAUUUAGGGUUAUUUGUUGACUGGAUUGGGUUUGAGUCUUUAUUUAUGGACUUGAUUUGGCUCAGGUUUGGGUUUUAUUUGUGGACUUAAUCAGAUUUGGGUUUGGGUUUGGGUUUUAUUUGUGGACUUGGUUGGAUUUGGGUUUGGAUUUGAUUUGGGUUUUGGGUUUGGGUUUUAUUUGUGGACUGUAUUUGAUUUUGGAUUUUAUUUGUGAACUUUGGGUUUGGAUUUUUAUGUGGACUGUAUUUGGUUUUGGGUUUGGGUUUUAUUUGGGUUUUGGGUUUGGGCUUUAUUUGUGGACUGUAUUUGGUUUUGGAUUUUAUUUGUGGACUUUGGGUUUGGAUUUUUAUGUGGACUGUAUUUGGUUUUGGGUUUGGGUUUUAUUUGGGUUUUGGUUUUGGGCUUUAUUUGUGGACUUGGUUCGGAUUUGGUUUGUAUGUGGACUUGAUUCGGAUUUGGUUUGUAUGUGGACUUGAUUCGAAUUUGGUUUGGUUUUUUUUUCAAUUCUAUUUCGGGUUCGAGGCAAUCCUCUUUUGGUUUUGCAAUUUUGGUUUGAUUUGGGGUCCGAAGAAAUCCCCUUUGAUCUCGAUUUGGUUUGAUUUGGGGUCCGAAGAAAUUUCCUUUAGAUUUUCCAAUUUAACUUGGAUUUGGGGUCCGAAGAAAUCCCCUUUUGAUUUUCCAAUUUGAUUUGGAUUUGGGGUCCGAAGAAAUCCCCGUUUUGAUUUUCCAAUUUGAUUUGGGGUCUGAAGAAAUCCACGUUUGAUUCUCCAAUUGGAUUUGAUUUGUGGUCCGAAGAAAUCCCCGUUUUGAUUUUAAUUUGGGAUCCGAAGAAAUCCCCGUUUGAUUCUCCAAUUGGAUUUUAUUUCGGAUUCGAAGAAAUUUCCGUUUUGAUUUUGAUUUGGGGUCCGAAGAAAUCCCGGUUUAGUUCUGAUUUGGGGUCCGAAGAAAUCCCCGUUUGGUUCUAAUUUGGGGUUCGAAGAAACGGGGAAUCUUUGAGUCCUCUCCCCUCUUCUGGCGAUACUUCCCCGGCGAUGCUGUAGAUGUCGUCGGCGAAGUUGUUGAUGGUGGCAUGGAUCUGUUCGGCCGUCGGGUUUGAUUUGACAUUUUUGAAGAAAUAUUGAAGGGUCCGAAGAAACGGGGAAUCAAAGAUUCCCCUUCCUUCUUCUUUCGAUCAAACCGACGAUGCUGUAGAUGUCGUCGGCGAAGUUGUUGACGGUGGCACGGAUCUGUUCGGCCGUCAGAUUUGAUUUGACAUUUUUGAAAAAAUAUUAAAGGAUCCGAAGAAACGGAAAAUCAAAGAUUCCCCUCCCUUCUUCUUUCGAAAGUAUCAAACCGACGAUACUGUAGAUGUCGUCGGCGAAGUUGUUGACGGUGGCACGGAUCUGUUUGGCCGUCAGAUUUGAUUUGACAUUUUUAAAGAAAUAUUGAAGGGUCCGAAGAAACGGGGAAUCAAAGAUUCCCCUCCCCUCUUCUUUUGAAAGUAUCAAACCGGCGAUGUUGGGGUGGUCUGUCACGCCCCGGGACCGGCAGAGGCCCUCCCGGUAGCGUGCCCAGACCCGCCAUAUGUCAACACAUAUAAGGCGUCUAGAACGAACACGGAAGUAAAAGCAAGUAAUAGAACAAAUAAAGAAGCGAACUAACAAGCCACUAAUGAUAUCAGAGCGAGUAAAGUUCUAACAUCUACACCAACAGUAAUAGAACAUAACUAAAACAUAAAAGUAAACAUAAGUUAUACAGUAUCAGCCUCUAAUACAAAAAUGGUGGUCGCCAGUACACUGGUAAAACUCUCAACCUCUCCAAAAGAAAUACAACGAGAGGUAGACCACCUAGCGAAUCGUCCUCGAAGGAAGCUAGCUCGAAGCAACUCCCUUCCCGCGGUCCCUGGCCUCACCCUGAGUGGAAGGCUCUGAAAAACAUCGAGAAAAAGAGGGCGUGAGAACUAUAAUUUAUAGUUCCCAGUGGGCAAUUACUGACCUCAGCUUCUGCUCCACCAGGCCCCAAAAAUAAGGGUAAGUAAUGCAAUAGCGAUAAGCGAUAAAAAGGAGCAUGUAAAUAAACUGCUGAAAGAGAGAGCAUAAGUAAAAUGCUAUACUACAAUAUCUCACAUAAGCAUAAUGUCGAAUGGUGUACAUCCAUUCUAUCAUAAGGAAAAGUGACCAAUGGCAAUAGUUUACGGUUACCAACCUUCAUCCAUACAUGAUGUAUAAGCUCUAUCAUGGCGGCCAAGUAUACUAUAUGUCUCAACCCUAUGCUAUAUGCAUGUAAAUGUAAUCCAACUACUAAACCUAUCUAGUAGUGAUUGUUCAUUCUCAAACCGUGUCGAUUUCUAUUUCCAAUCAGGGACCUACCCAAGGUAGUCCAGCUUGUGCCGCCUAAGUGCCUGUGGUAGCCCGACAUUCCUACACAUGGAAUGUGUCUGUCCCACUCGACCCCGUAGGCUUCUCGAUACCGCACGAGCGAACAAAAGUCGCAUAGGCUAACUCCGGAGUGCCGGCUUGUAGGGAGCGACCCUCAUAAGCAUGUGCGAAUGAGCACAAAUGGCAAGAAAGCAAAAUCCAAGUCUCAAGUAUCCAAUCCUCAUGUCUCUAACAUGGUAUAGUCACUAGCAUCCCGAAGAUCUAGUUUAAGUCACAGUGUGAAUUUUCAGCUUUUGCUACGCCUAGUGCCCCUUGAUGACACUUAGGCAAUUUGAUGUCCAACAUAUAUCCCAAGUUCCUCAAUGGCCCUAUCCACUAGGUUCACACAUGUCCCGAGCUCAACGCCGCUUGAUGACAUUAGCUCGCUUGUUCACAUACAUUCUAGCUCAAUACCUCUAUAUGGCAAUUUUAUCAUCUUUCAUGUCAAGUAAACUUAAGUUUAAUGCAUGAAUUCGAACUCCUUUACACUAUAGAAACAUGGAACCAAAUCCCAUAAAGAAUGCCAAAUGAAACCAAUGAUCUCCCAAGCAACUCUCUACUACAUAGAGGUCCAAAAUUGCACUAUAUAUAACAUAUGCAUUUUAAGCAUUCUAAAAAUUAUAAUAAAUACAUUUAGUAUGAAUAUGCAUGCUUUUUCAAUUUACGGAACAUAUAUAACCAUAUAUGAGAAUUUCUCAUAUGUAGGCUAGGUCAAACCCACCGAACCAUCGCGUAGGGUCUCAAUUCGCCGAAACAAAGUUGUCCCCGAGUCUCAAAAUACCCUAAAAAUGAUCAGCGAAGAGAUACGAGGGCAUUACGACCAUCCUAUAACAUCAAACAUUAACCUAGGAGCAAAAAGGGGCAAAACUCACCUCAAGAGUAGAAAUCUUCUCCUAAGCUCCAAAAGAGAGCUAGAACCCUUCCAAUCCAAGCCCUAGGAAGGUUCUAAACCAACCAAUCAAGCCUCAAAAGCCCUAGGUUCAAAAAGCCCAAAAUAAACCCUAAGUCUCAAAACUAGGGUUCCAAAUGGUAAAACCUACCAAAUCAAGGGUUCAAGGGUAGAAUCCAAGUACUAACCUCCCAAGGUGCCUCCAAACAAGCUCCAAAUCUUCUAGGGUUGAAGAUUGGCCCACCACCAAGCUCUACAAGCAAGCUCCAAGCCUUGCAAAGGUGGAAAAGAGAGAAUGGGGUUGAGCUCCAAGCUCCCUCAAGCUAGCUCCUCUCCUUCUUCUCUUCCUUCUUCUUCUUCUUCUCUCUCUAGGAAGUGUAGGGUGGGGAUGAGAAUGAGAAAAUGAGAGAGGAGAGAGGAGGAAAUGGCUAAUAAGCCCAUCUAAUGUAACAAAAUCCAACCAGGCCCCCCAAAAAACCAAUAUUGCAUCAGCCCGGUCUGGGCAGUUUUCGCCCAGAGGGACCGGUCUCUCCCCAGCAGGGACCGGUCUCUCGCUGCGAACACGAAGAACCAGCGUUCGGGAACCGGUCUCUCCCUGCGCGGGACCGGUCUCUCACUGCGAAGACGCGCUAGGGGACCGGUCUCGCCUGCCAGGGACCGGUUGUCUCAGGCUGCCUCAACACUGCUCACUGGGGGACCGGUCUCUCCUUCCAGGGACCGGUCCCCGAGAGUAAAAACUCUCAGGACUGUCCAGAAUUCCAAUUUUCGAACUUUUUAGGUCGGAAAACAUUCUACAACCCUCCACCAAGUGUGGAAAAGCUCGAAAUACACCAAACACUCGAACCUCGCAAUUUGCAAAGGUCUAGUGUGUUACAUGGUCGCGGCAAUGUAGAUCAUCCAUUCUAUCAUCAACAACUUCGAAUGGGGUAUUGAGAGGUCCGAAGAAAUGGGGAAUCAAAGAUUCCCCUCUAGUCUCCCAUCGAAGCCAUCUAGAUGGUAUGGAUGGCUACGAUCACAGGACCAAAAAAGAAAAAAAAAGAAGGGGAAGAAAAGAGAUUUUUUUUUUCUUCUUCUUCAUUUUUCUUCUUUUUUUUCCUUUACCUGUUGAUCAAAUGACGGAUUGGAUGAAUCAGCUCGACGAUUCCUCCACCUUUCCGCGGCUCGGCAAUCUCUCAUCCUUUUCGCGGCUCUGCGAUUUCUCCUCAUUUCCGUGGCUCGGCGAUCCUCCUCCUAUCCAUGGCUCGACGAUAUCUCAUUUUCUUGAAUUUUUUGUAUGUCGAAACGAGUGUAGCAAUCUAUCUUUUUUUUUUUUUGUUCUUUGUCUAUCGUAUCGUCUCCGUACAAAAAUUCUCCCAUGUUUGAUUUCGGUUCUCGUAUUUAUAAUAGGAGGGGUGAUGAGAGAUAUUUUGAGAAAUUCGAAAUUCGAAUUUGAAUUUUGAAUAGGUUGUUGGAUAGUUGGAGGAUUUUUGGGAAUUGGUUGAAGAUUCGAAAUUCGAAAUCGAAUUUUGAAUCGGUUGUUGGAUGGUUGGAAUUGGUUGGGAAUUCGAAAUUCGAAAUCGAAUUUUAAAUCAGUUAUUGGAUGGUUUGAGGAUUUUUGGGAAUUGGUUAGGGAUUCGAAAUUCGAAAUCGAAUUUUGAAUCGGUUGUUGGAGGAUAUUUUGAAAAUUAAUUGGAAAUUCGAAAUUCGAAAUUGAAUUUUGAAUGGGUUGUUGGAUGGUUAGGUAUUCAAAAUUCGAAUGAGAGAUAUUUUGGGUGUUCGUUCGAAAUUCGAAAUCGAAUUUCGAAUCGAAUUUGAAUAUGGUAUUCGAGAUUGAAAUUUUAAAUGUGGGUGAAAAUGUGGGCCGUUAUUUCAUGAAUUGGGCUGAAAUUGGGCCCACUUUGUUGAUGAAACUUGUUGGGCAUGAAUAUUUAUUGGGCUGAGAUGAGGCCCGAAUUUUUGUAUAGGCCUAAAAUCUUACAGGGCUUUCAUGAGGCCCAUUAAUUCACAGUUAUGAAUGGGCCUAUUGUGGAUUAAAAUCAUAAUUAUUGGCCCCAAGAUUUCUCGGUCAGCAUGAAACCUAUUGGGAUUGUAUGAAUCCGAAUUUAAUCGGUUUUAAUUACUUUAUCCAAAUUUUUUUUUCACUUCAAGCAAUUCUGGAGGGUCGUUGACAGUGUUCCGACCAAUGACUCGUAUCCCAAGAAUUGUAGUAAUUAAAGUAGCGCUAAGGUCACCAAAGUGAUGGACUUAGGCUGCUCUCGGGUUGCAUUUUGUUGGGCUGUGUACCGGUACACCUUGAUGGUUGUACCGGUACACCUUGAUGGUUGUACCGGUACAGAAAGUGUACCGAUGACACCUUGAUGGUUGUUCCGGUACAAAUGAAUUUUUCUGCCAACCCGAGCCUCGGGUUCGCGCGUACACUGGGUUUAUACUGGUACACUUUCCCGUGUACCGGUACACUUUGCAGAAAAGGCUGUUUUUGUAGAGGGGUGUAUUUGCAAUUGUUGCUAACUCUAUAUAACCCACCCCAGGCCCUUAGAGAGCUCCUUUGAGCCCUAUUUCGUGGAGAAACCUGGUGAGGCUUUCUCCUUUGAUUUUUGCUCCAUUUUGCUUGGUUUUAGCUAGUUUUGAUCUCCUCUCAUUGCUUCUCUUUGCUCUUUGUUGGGAUUUCACCAUUAGAGAAGCUUUGAAGCUUUUGUUAGAGCUUGGUAGAGGAAGGAUCUUCAACCUUUGGGCAUUCCAAACUUGGUUUGGAGCAUCUUAUGAGGUUAGUACCCAUGAUCCCUCCUUUGGAUCCUGUUUUGGAGGAUUUUUUAUGUUGUAACCCUAGGGUUGGAAAUUAGGGUUUAUUUUGGGAAUUUUGGAUUUGAAGCUUUUGGAAUCAAAUUGAUUGGUUUAGAACCUUUGUUUAGGUUGGAUUAGAGGGCCUCUAACUCCCUUUUGGAGAUCGAGAGAGGUUUCUUCGCAUUCGGUGAGUUUUCACCAUUUUUCUUGAGUUGCUUAAUGUUUGAGCAAUGGGUUGUUCGUAACGUUCGUGUAUCUCUCUUUUCUGUACCUUCAGGGUGCUAGGAGAGUAGUGGGCACUUUCGUCGGCUCGAACGAAGGGUUGCGAGAGUCACGGUGAGUUUGACUUCAUGGAAUAGGGGAGAAAUGUCUCCUAUGUGAUUUGUACUCGUCGUUUCAUCGAAAUGCAUGCAUAUUUAUGCUAGAUAGGAUUUUUAUAAAUUUUAGAAUACUUAAAAUUGCAUGUGUUAUGUAUAAUAAAAAUUCAACUCUAUAUAGUAGAGCCUUAUGUGGAUUAUACAUGCACGUGAGUAGUAUUCUUUCUUGUGGAUUGGAAACAUGUCUCAUAUGAUGAAAAUGACUCGAAUUAUGUAUUCCUGAACACUAAACGCAUGCUUGGACUUAGUGAACAAAAGUGCCAUAAAGGGGCACCUGACUCAGUAAACUGUGAAACUGCAACAUAGAGACAUAGUGAUAGUGUAACGCACUGGACCUUUGCAAACUGCGAGGUUCGAGUGUAUGGCUGGUGUUAUGAGUUUUUCCAGAUUUUCUGGUGGGUCGUAGACAGUGUUCAGACCUAUGGCUCGUAUCCCGAGAAUUGUGGUAUUUCAAGUAGCACUAAGGUUGCCAAAGUGGAGGACUUAGGCUGCUCUCGGUUUGCAAAUUUCGGGGUGGCGUACCGGUACGCGGUGAUGGCUGUACCGGUACAGCCAUCGACCCUGGCAGCCAGAGCGCCAACCCGAGGCUCGGGUUGGGCUGGUUCGUGGGAUGUGUACCGGUACACAAACCCGUGUACCGGUACGCAGUGCAGUUCGGGCUGUUUCGGGGAGGGGUGUAUUUGCAAUUGUUACAACACCUAUAUAGGUGACCCCAGCCCCCUUAGCUGCUCUCUUUGAGCCCUAACCAGUGGAGAUCAAGGUGAGUCUCCCCUUCCCUUGUUUGAUCCCCAUUUUUGGUGGAUUUUAUGGUGUUUUGAUCUCUCCCUUCUCCUCUUCUUUGCUUUUAUUGGGUUUUCUCCAUGAUUGAAGACUUGGAGCUUUGAGAGGAGCUUGUUUGUGAGGAGACCUCCAACCCUAGCUGAUUUUGGACUUGGUUUGAGGCUAUUUAAGAGGUUAGUAACAUGUAUUUUUCAUUUGAUACAUGUUUUGUUGAUUUUGGUUAGAGGAAACCCUAGAUUUUGAAUUUUAGGGUUAGAAAUGGGGAUUUUCGAGUUGAGGCUUUUUGAUCUUGAUUGAUCUUAUUUGAACCAUCUUUUAGGUUGGUUUUGAAGGAUUCUUGCCUCCUUUUGGAGAUCAAGAGAGAUAUUCACCAUUUUCGGUGAGUUUUUCCCACCUUAGCUUGAAAAGCUUAAUGUUUGAGCUAUGUGUUGUUUGUAGGGUUCUUGUGACACUUGUUUCCUUACCUUUAGGGUACUAGGAGAGUGGUGGACACCCUCAUCGGAACAAUCGAAGGGUUCCGUUGUCGUCGGUGGGUUUGACCUAGCCACAUAAUGAGAAAAUCUCAUUGUUGAUGAUUUAAGUAUUGUAAAAUGAAAAAGCAUGCAUAUUCAUGUUCGAUGCAUUAUUUGUGAAUUUUAGAAUGCUUAAAAUGCACAUGUUAUAUACAAUGCAUAUUUGACCUCUAUAUGGUAGAGAGUUUUCAUGUUGGGCUAGGGGCCUAUGGUUAGCAUUCUUACAUUUGAUUAAGAUCAUGUUGCAUAUGGUGCUUAUGGCACAUAGAUUACACUCUUGGGCUUAGAACGCAUACUUGACAUGGUUGGUCAUAUCGACCUUAAGUGACAUAGGUUAGAGUGUAUACAAAUGGUAAGCUAAUGUCAUAAAGCGGCAUUAGGCUUGGACUAGAGAUGGACUUAGCAAGCUAAUGUCAUAAAGCGGCAUUAGACUUGAUGGAUAUGUAAAUUGCAUUUGCAUGUUAUUAUUAUGAGAAAUUAUGCCAAGUGGAUAGUUGCAUUGGAAAGAACAUACAUGUGGCAAUAUGAGAACACGCUAGAGAGCAUGUGUAUUAAUCUAUUAUUGAUAGAACAAGUUAACGUCAUAAAGAGACUUAGAAGGUGAAAUGUGCUUAGAUUAUAGCAAUGUUUAAAUGUCAUAAAGAGGCACUAAACAUAGUGAAUGUGGGAACUUCACCUUGAGAUUUGGACUUAGUAAAGCUAAGGUCAUUGACAUCGAAAUUAUUGAACGGUUUAACCUUCACAUUGAGACAUAGUACUAGACCUUUGGGUUGCUAGUGACUGUUACCAUGUUAGAGACAUGAUGAUUGGGUACUUGAGGUUUUGACCAUGCUUGCUUGCCAUUUGUGCUCAUUCGCACAUGCUUGUACGGGUCGCUCCCUACAAGCCGGCACUCCGGAGUUAGCCUACGCGACAUAUGCUCGCUCGUGCGGUACUGAGAAGCCUACGGGGUCGAGUGGGACAGACACAUUCCAAGGGCAGGAAUGUUGGGCUACCACAGGCACUUAGGCGGCACAAGCCGGACUACACCCGUGUAGAUCCUGAAUGAGAUUUAACCAAAAUAUUAAACAACAAGUUGAUAAUCACUAAUAGACAGGUCAUAGUAGUUGGAUUCCUUAACAUGCUACGGCAUAGGGUCGGACAUUGAGAUUCAUAGGAUACUUGACGGUAUCGCUGAUGGCAUCGUAGUGUACUUGGUUGCCAGGAUAGUACAUACUAGAUAUGUAGUUGGCUUUGAGACAUAUAUCAUACUUCAUAGUAUUACACGUUGCAUCAUAGCAUAUUUGUUUAAGUACUGGCAUACUGGUUCAUGUAGAGUAGAUGUACUUCAUGUUGACAUUCUACAUACUUAUGGCAUAGUAGAGUAGCAUAUUAUUAUUAUGCUUCAUUUACCGCAGUUAAAUUCUAUUAACUUUAUCUGCUCUCUUUUGGGCCUAGUGGUGCAGUUGGUGCAGGUCAGUAAUUGCCCACUGGGAACUAUAAAUUAUAGUUCUCAUGCCCCCUGUUUUAUGUUUUCUUUCAGAGCCUUCCACUUCGGGAGGGGCUCGGGAUCGCGGGAAAGGUUUCGCCUCGAGCUAGCUACCGAGGGAUUUGGCGUUAGGUGGUCUACCUCUCUUUUGUUUUGCGUUGGAGAGGUUGUGAGAGUUUUGUACCUUAUUAUAGAGACCACCCUACUUUUGUAUCUGGAGACUUAUGAUGUAUUAGUUUCUUUAUGUUCUAGUGGUUUAGUCUCUUUCUCUUUCCUUUCUAUUUCCGCUUGUUGAUAGAACUUAGCUGCAUGCUUGCUCUGAUAUCGUUAGUUAUUGUUUAUUUUAUCUUUCAUAUCACUUUGUUGUAGACGCCUUAUAUGUGCAGGCAUAUGGCGGGUCUGGGCACGCACCGGGCAGGGCCUUUGCCGGGUCCCGGGGCGUGACAGAUAGGCCAUUUGGACAUCGACUAUAUUCUAUGUUUUAGACAUGAUGACAUAGUGAUAGGCCAUUGAGAUAUUUGCUACAUUUCAUGUUUUAGACAUGAUGACUUGAGACUUGAGACGGACUUUUAUGUUUGCUUGCCAUUGUGCUCAUUUGCACAUGCUUGUGAGGGUCGCUCCCUACAAGCCGGUACUCUGGAGAUAGCCAUCGCGACACAUGCUCGCCCGUGCGGAAUUGGGCGCCGAAAUAGGAUGCCGUAGGGGAGGCUCAUUUCUAGAGUGGGAAUGUUGACUACUACGGGGCCAUUAGGCAUGGCGCAGGCCGGACUACCCACGGGUAGGUCCUACAGGAUUGGAACAUUGGUGACAUAACAUACCAAGUGGACAUUGACUAGAAUAGUAAACAAUGACAUCUUACUGGUUACAUUGUGGAUAUUAUGUUGGGUGUAUAUUCAUGCUUAUACAUGUUAGAAAAGCAUCAUACUUAUGCAAAUCAUGCUAAGUAGAGAUAUCAUGCUUUAGUAAGUAUUCAUGUUUAAAUACUUGUCAUUCGUAUUGCUUAUUUAUUCACACUUACCUGCUUAGUUUUCGGGCCUAGUGACGCUUUUCACUGAAGUCAGUAAUUGCCCACUGGGAACUAUUAUUUAAUAGUUCUCACGCCCUUUGUUUUAUGGUUUUAUUACAGAGCUUUCAGCGCCGGUGGAGGUACGGUAUCGCGGCAAAGGGGUCGCGUAGCUAGAUAGCAAGGAUUUACAUUUUGCUUAGGUUGUUUUCUCUCUUUUGUUUUGUAGAGAGAGUGAGAGUUGUAUCCCUAUAUAGAGACCACCUAUGUUAUACUUUUGGCUCUUGUAUUUGGAUUUCAGUUGUUCUACUUUAUGGUUCUAUCUUAGUGGAUUUUAGCCUUUGUUUAUUCCUCUAUUAUAGAUUCUAGUUGUACCAUGCUCUGAUACUCCUAGAUGUUCUUUUAUCUUGUUUUAUUUACCGUUUUAUUGUAGACGCCUAAUAUGUUUUAGAAAUAUGGCAGGUCUGGNUAUGGCAGGUCUGGACACGUGCCUUGCGUGCUUCCGCUGGGUCCCGGGGAGUGACAACAACCCCCUCCCCUUCCCUCCCCCCCACUUUGCCUUACAAGACCGCCUUGCCAAUUGCCCCAGAGAAGACGGUGAAUGGUCCAAACCAGGUUCGAGCUCAAAAAGAAUAGGGAAUGAGAGACCACCUUUAUCGAACUGGCGGGGUUUCUAAAUAAGUUAAGUCUUAAGCAGACUGAAGCUAUAUAAAGAUAUGGAUGUCUGUCUUGUAUUGAGUAUGUAUGUGUAUAGAAAAAGGAUAACCUCAGUGGACUUGAAUUCCACAGGACAGAGAGUGACCUCUGUGGACUUAGACUCUACAGGAUAUGAGUUAAGUAUACAGGUAUAAAAGUGGUAGAUCUUUUAGCUCUUUAUCGCUGUGGAGGAAAAAUCGGACUAUUUUGGUGAGCUGGAGUGGGUAAAACAGUACUCAUCAUGGAAUUGAUCAACACCAUUGCCAAAGCUCAUAGGGGCGUAUCCGUAUUUGGCGGAUGGCAUUCUCCGAAUUAUUGGGUUGUUCGCUCCCAGAAUUUUUAGGAAUGAUUCUAUUACGAAGAUUCGUGGCGUUAUCAUCAGCCAUUAUUUACAUAAAAUGUAUAUUUACCUUAAAUGUUAGUCCCACUGGGCGUGCCAAAAAUUAUUGGUAGUCGAAAUCUACAAUCCCUAACCCGGUCAAAGAUCCUCCUCGGGGAGCGCGUAGGGAUGUGGAACGGCUGUGGAUAGUGACCCUCGAAAUUUGCGCCAUUCGAUUGGUCAAGCGAUUCGGCUGACGAGGGAUCGGGUCAACCGGGUUCGAAACCUCUACAGCAAAUUUGGUUCGGCUGGAUGAGCCGAAUGAGCAAGAGAAGUCAGAAUUUCAGCCAAGGAAUGAGCCGAAUGGCUAAUACAGCACAAGAGCUGGUCGGCCUGAAGAGCCGAACACUGCCUUCUAUUGAAAGAGAACGUAGAAAGUACAAGAAAAAGGGUUUUAGUUUACAACGGAGUGAUGCCCAAAGGGCAGACAGACUCCAGGACGCUAAGUUACAGGAACUACUCCUAAGAAAAGUAAACGUGAGAAAGAAAGAUGCAGGAAAAUAAAGGUGGUCUUUUGUGUGCAGGGAUGAAGACCCCUUUUUGGGGUAUUAUUAUACUAUUUAUAGAUAGCCCCCUCGGUCAGUUAUUGUUCUUACACGAUCGGCCACUAUCUCCUCAUAUUCCGGACCACUUCUAGCCGAUCGGAACCGCAUGUAACUGCUUGCGGUUACCGUAACCUCCUUCAAUUGGCGCGAUACACUUUUCCGGUGCUCCCUAUACACGACCGAAUAGAUGCUUUUGAAGGGAAUAUUCGCACCUAAAUCUCAUCCGCGCCUAAUUGGCUCAACAGAAACCCUAGGGGUCUUAUUGGGGUUUUUCUUAGAAUGAGAUCUAACUAAGGUUUGAUCUCUUGUAGUCCUAAUUGACGAGUAAGUUGAAACGUUAGGAGGCUCGGUUCGAAGAUCCGUCGAGUCUACGCCAAGAUAUUGAAGAAAAACCUCAUUUCGGCUUCGUUUGCCGAGGGUCGUGGGCGAUUGGCGACCAUAAAUUCUGGAACUUGAAUUCUAGCACCUUAGUGACCCUACGAGGUGGGUGGUGCUAUCUGAAAUCAUCGAAUCUCCUUUUAUGUCUAAAUGUCACUUAUUGAACAUGUAUGUGUAUAUAGGAUUCAUGCAUUGUAGGGUUAAGAUGAGAAUAUGUUGAUAUAUUGCUUGCAUGCUUUUAGUAUAAAGAUGCAUAUGAAUUGUUAAUGAGUUAUUGAACAAGUGUGAACCCUAUAGAUGUAUGAAUUGUGACAUGAACCUAGUUGAGGCAAAGAACAUAGUGACAUUAUGACACGUGAGUAAAAUAGCACAUUGUGGCAUUAGCGAGUAUAAUGAAUGCGAGAGAAUAGAACUCAUAGUGAGUUGUGACAUUGUGAACAUGGCAUCCUUAUAGUUAAGGAUUGAAUUGAGUAUGGCAUCCUCAGAGUUGUGGAUUUGAUUAUACUCACGUGUAAGUCUUGGCUUGAGGGCAGUCGCACUCCCUUGAGCGAUGAGCUCCGGAGUAGUCAUCACUGGGUUGGAGUUUUCCCAGAGGAUGGUCCCGUCGCGUUGUAGGAGUUUCUCCCCGAUAGUAGGGAUUUGAGUUGGUGAGUUGUUGUUCGUGGCGAAACCUACGGGUCAGCCAAGAGGAUUGGGUAUUGGAAAAUGGAAUUGGCAUACAUCAUGAGCAUCUUACAUUAUUAGCAUUCUUCUUCAGGCAUAAUAGCUGCAUUUGUUUAGAAUGGUUAUCUAUCUAUCUUCUUCUUCUACUUAUGCCUAGUUUAGACCUAGUGAGAAAGUCGGCGGGGUCGGUGGCCGAACCAACUGGAAACUUUCUUAUAGUUCUCACCCCACUGCUUUUGUAACAUACCAAAACUCGGUUGAGUAUAUCGAGCCUUAGUCAAAUGGACUAAAGUAUGCGAAAGAGAUGGUUGGACAAGUUUCAAUUAGUAUUCCAACAAGGUUGGAAGAGUUUAAAAUAAGUUUAAAAAAGUUAGAAAGGUUUUAGCAUUUAUCGGAGAGAAAUAGAAUCGAAAAGAUGCGAAAAUCUGAAAUCUGGAGUUGUGUUACUGGUUUAACAUCGAAAGUGUACCGGUACAUAGUGUAAACCGAGAGAAGUAGCUCUCGGGUUGAGUAAAAAAAGGUUGUGUACCGGUGACAGAAUUUCGUGUAGCGGUACAGUGCACGGUGGACCACAAGAGCAGCCUGCUGCAGAAUUGGAGUUUGAGGGCCUAACUACAAUUGUAGCAGCCUAAAUAAGACCCAAACCUUCUCUUCUCUUCACGGCAAGCUGAGAUUACACUCCUCUCUCAUUUUCUCUCUCUCCCUCUGUAACACACUAGACCUUUGCAAAUUGCGAGGUUCGAGUGUUUGGACUGUGUCCUGAGCUUUUCCAGAUUUUCUGGUGGGUCGUUGACAGUGUUCCGACCUAUGGUUUGAAUCCCGAGAAUUGUAGUAUUUUAUGUAGCGCUAAGGUCACUAAAGAGUUGGACUUAGGNACUUAGAACGCAUGCUUGACAUGGUUGGACAUAUCGACAUUAAGUGGCAUAGGCUAGAAUGGAUACAAAGAGUAAGCUAAUGUCAUAAAACGGCAUUAGGCUUGGACUAGACAUGAACUUAGCAAACUAGGGUCAUAAAACGGCAUUAGACUUGAUGGAUAUGUAAAUUGCAUGUGCAUGUUAUUAUUAUGAGAAUUAUGCCAAGUUAAUAGUCGCAUUGGAAAAAAAUCAUAUGUAGCAAUAUGAGAACACGCUAGAGAGCAUGUGUAUUAAUCUAUUAUUGAUAAGAACAAGCUAACGUCAUAAAGAGACAUGGAAUGUGAAUUGGGCUUAGAUUAUAGCAAUGUUUAAGUGUCAUAAAGAGGCACUAAACAUAGUGAAUGUGGGAACUUCACCUUAAGAUUUGGACUUAGUAAAGCUAAGGUCAUUGACAUCGAAAUUAUCGAACGGUUAAACCUCCACAUUGAGACAUAAUACUAGACCUUUGGGUUACUAGUGACUGUUACCAUGUUAGAGACAUGAUGAUUGGAUACUUGAGGUUUUGACCAUGCUUGCUUGCCAUUUGUGCUCAUACGCACAUGCUUGUGAGGGUCGCUCCCCACAAGCCGGCACUCCGGAGUUAGCCUACGCGACUUAUGUUCGCCCGUGCGGUAUCGAGUAGCCUACGGGGCCUGGAGGGAUAGACUCAUUCCUAGAGUGGGAAUGCUGGAGCUACCACUGGCACUUAGGCGGCACAAGCCGGACUACACCCGUGUAGAUCCUGAAUGAGAUUGAACCAGAAUACUACAACAAGUUGACAAUCACUACUAGAUAGGUUAUAGUAGUUGGAUUUUCUUGACAUGCUAUGGCAUAGGGUUGGACUUUUGGGAUACUUAGUGUACUUGACAUUAUCGCUUAUUGCAUUGUAGUACACCUUGCUGCCAUGAUAGUACAUACUAGAUAUGUAGUGGGCUCUGGAAUAUAUAUGUCACACUUUAUAGCAUUACUUGUUGCAUCAUGAUACAGUGUUUAAGUUUUGGGCAUAUUAGAUCAUGUAGAGUAGAUGUACUCCAUGUUGACAUUCAGAAUACUUGUGGCACACUAGAGUAGCAUCUUAAUUUCAUGCUUCAAUUACUGUUGAUAUUUCCUGUUAACAUUAUUUGCUCGUUUUGGGCCUAGUGGUGCAAUUUGGUGCAGGUCAGUAAUUGCCCACUGGGAACUAUAAUUUAUAGUUCUCACGCCCCCUGUUUUAUGUUUUCUUUCAGAGCCUUCCACUCCGGGAGAGGCUCGGGAUCGCGGGAAAGGUUUCGCCUCGAGUUAGCUAUCGAGGGACUUGGUGUUAGGUGGCCCACCUCUCUUUUGUUUUCUUUUGGAGAGGUUGUGAGAGUUUUGUACCUGGUUAUAGAGACCACCCUAUUUUUGUAUCUUGAGAUUUAUGAUGUAUCAAUUUACUUUAUGCUUUAGUAGUAUGAUUAUCUCUUGAUCCUACCUGAUGUUAGAACCUAGCUAUAUACUUGCUCUGAUAUCUCUAGUUGUAGAUCUUCUCAUGCUUUACUCUUCCGCUUUUGUGUAGACGCCUUAUAUGUGUAGACAUAUGGCGGGUCUGGGCGCGCACGGGGCGGGCCUAUGCCAGGUCCCGGGGCGUGACACCCUCUCUCUAAAAGCUCUCUACAAGGUGGAUUAAAGGAGGAUUGGGAGGAGAUUUGGAGCUUUUGAAGUUGUUGGUCUCUCCUACAAGGUGGAUAUUGGAGAGCUAAUGGGCUAAGGUGAGUUCUUAUGAAAUGAUGAUACUAGGGUUUGAUCUUGUACUCUAAAUCUCUGAGAUUUGAUCCUCUCACAUGGUUAGAAACCUAGUAGAGGCUUUGAAACACAUGAAAUCCAUGGUUUCUUCUAGUGCUCACAUGGUGGUUUGCUAGGGUUCAUGUUAGAUGCCCUAGGAAUGUUUGGAAUGGCUUAGAAAUGGUAUUAGAGAACUUCUUAGAUGAUUCUAAGCUAGUUUUUCUUAGCUCUAAGAUCAAUCUAAGGAAAAAUUACAAUAUGACAUUAUUAGGGCACCAAAUUUGGGGUUUUUGCCCCCGAUCGUUUUCGAGGUAAAUUGACUUUGUGGAAACUAAUUAGGGAUAUUUCCGACGCGUUGGUGCGCUCGGUUCGGCAAAACAAAAAGUCUAUGUAAAGAUAUUAAGUAAAAAGCCUAAUUUGGCUUCGUUUUGGUACAGAUGGCCGCAGCACGCGGAAUAGACGCCCAAAAAUCAUGAAAUUUGAACCGUAGCUUCUUGGCAUUCCUACAAGGUGGGGGGUGCACACUGGAAUCAUCGGAUUCCCCUUUAUGUCUAUUUCACAUUUUAUUGAGCAUAUUGAUGUAUAGUCAUUCAUGCAUAGUAGGGUUAAAUUACAUACGAACCUUGGUUUGAUUUUAUUUACAUGCUUCUAAAGUAGUUGAACAUAGAGAAUGAUAGAACCAUAAUGGACAUGUAUGGUAGAACCCUAAAGUUGUAUGAAUGUGAGACUUGGAUUUGGACAAUAGUAAACAAAGGUGAUAUUGACAAUAGAGACAUGACUGGCAUUGAGAAAUUGAUUGUUAAACAUAGUUUAACCAUAGUGGCAUUGUGACAAGUAUGACUUGGAAAGUAGCAUGAACAAAUAGGUAGAAACCUAUUAUGACAAUAGCAUUGUGACUAGUGGCUAUAUAUCCUCAAGUUGAGGAUUGGAUCGAUACUCACGAUUAGUCUUGGCUUGAGGGAAGUGGCUCCCCCUCGAGCGGUGCGGUCCGAAGUUGGUCACCACAGGGCGAGGUAAAGUCCCCCCAGAAGACGGUCCCUAGGGUGAUUCGAGUCCCCCGUUAUUAAGAGAUUUUGGGUUGUGAGUUAUUAGGGUUAACAAGGUUAAUCGAAUUAAUUAGGUAAAAGCCAAGGUAAAUUGUGGAAAGAGCAUGCAUGCAUAUUCAUCAUACAUAUGAUUAUCUAUCUGUUGAUAGUUUUCUUGCAGGCAUUGUAUUAGUAGUAGCAUUAGUUGGUUUGCUAUCUUUCUUUCUUGAAAUAUAUACGCCUGAAUAGACCUAGUGGGUAAGUCGGCAAGGUCGGCGGCCGAACCCACUGGGAACUUUGUUGUAGUUCUCAUCCCACUAACCAUGCAGAUUCUAGCGCGAGCGAGGUGAUCGUGGCUCGUGGCAUGGUUAUCGUGCUCUAGGUAGCGUACUACCCUUAUGUAUAGAGGCACCCUUUGUAUAUUUCAUCUAUUAUGUUGAUGAAUGAAAAUGUAAUAAAACCAUAUGAGAGAUGAAAAUAUAUUAAGUUCAUUUGAGAGAUGAAAUUGUAAAUUGGGAUGAAUGAAUGUAAAGAAAUUGUAUGAGUUUUGUAUUUGAUUGAAAGUGAUCAAGGUACAAUGUAGGAAUGUAAUAGUUGAAUUGCAUUCACUUGUUAGGUGGUUGUUGCUUACCCUCGUGCAAGUCGUGUAUACUUGCAUUCAUUAUGUUUGAAUUGCUAUCGUUAUAUAUGUGUUGUUGGAGCCUUGGGCGGACAUGGGAGGUGCUGUUCGUUCGACGUCUGUUGGCGUGCCCGAACCCACCAAAUUGGCGGUCCCGGGAUGUGACAGAUAUAGUGGUAUCAGAGCGUGAAAAGUGAAAGUAUAGGAUGGACCUAGGAACCUUAGGAUGGAAACCAUAAGGCUUUAGGUUUAUGAAAUGGAACGAAGAUCUGGAAUUGUGGCGAAAAGUUAAUUGAUUGGGUCGUAUGUGGUACGCCUCUAUAACGGAUGAUGGAGGUGGAUCCAAGGUGUAGUUUAUUUUCCUCAGGGUGUGUUCAUGUUGGGUGCACACAAUAUGAAAUCGAGUGAUGAAAAUAGAUUCCCUUGCAUGACUUUCGCCUGGAUUUGAGUCGUGGUUAGCGUUGCGUGUAGGUGUUGCGCGCUUGACCUUGAGGGUUGAGUUGUUGUGCGUUCGGUGGUUACGCGUGGCCGAUCUUUAAGGAGAUCGAUAUGGACCGGGACGAGUGAUGUCUAUGAGUUAGCCUAGCAUAGUAGAGACUCGGGGCUCUGAGGUUUAUUGACCGUACUAGUCGUAGUGGUGAAGUGACGAGCCGACAUGGUGCAAUGUCAGCAGGAGGCUGCAAUACACAAGGAGUAGAGCUAUUGGAGGCUGUAGAAAGUUGUGGAUGACUUUCCUCCCAAGAAGUUGAGCCGCUUGUUUUUGAUGGAGUGACAUUAGUGGGACGGAGAUAUGUGGACUGACUCCACGAAAAUUCUCUUGGAGGAUUUGCGUGUGCUGGAGCGGAUUGAGGUGUACUAGCCGUAUGUUAUUUGGAGUAGACGGCUUGUGAUUGAUCAUGGUAGUUUCAUGAGUAACCUAUGAUGGAUGACGGAGCAGCAGCCAGUUUUCAUGAGGCUGAGUUUCAGGGAGUUAUAUCAUUGGUUUACCUCCCCCACUAUGUGUGGAAGCUCCAGGAUAGGUUCUAGAAGUUGCGGCAGAGUGACCGCUUAGUGAUGGGAGUGUAGAGGCGAGUCCUUCCGUAUGCUGAGUUAUGUUUCAUACUUGGUGUGAGACGGUGAAAGGGAGGCCGAUUGUUUUAUUCUGGGGGCAUUGAUUGAAGGUGUUCGAGGUUGUAUAGUCUUGUGACUUGCAAGCCCCUGACGAGGCCAUGGAUUGGGCCUUGUAAAGUGAUGAGGUGUUGUUGUGAGAGAAAGGAGCGCAGGUCAUUUGGUUGCGAGAUGAGGAGUGACGCGACUGAUGAGUGGAUCAGGUGGUCGAUCAAAUUUUCGGCGACCCCAAGAAAGUCGUGGUUGCGACUUCAAGGUCUUUUGUUGACCUUAUAUGGAGGUGUUAGUUGUGGUGGUUCCUACCGGACGCCAUAGUGUGUUGCAAGGUAGAUGAUAUGGUUGGUGUUGGCUACCGACCCGAAUAAGGGUUGAGUGCUGUUGGCGGAUAGCCGGACCAUAGCGAUGGUGUCGAUCUCUUUCUUUUGAGGUCGCAUGUGAGUGUGUCGCCUACGGCAUGGUCUAGAGAGUAUGAAUGAUCGGUGAUGCGGUCAGAGGGUUCGCGACGAGCAUUGUGUGGCCAUGGAUAAGCGGCCCUAGUUAAGGAAUCCACUGCUACUGAGGGUGUUGCAGCAUGAGAAGUACUUCGAAAGAGGUUGUGUGAUUUGAUCUGAGGCAGAUUUAGAAUGUUGCAUGCAUAAGUAUAGUUGAGACAGAGAUUGUGGAUAAAAUUAAUCCCCUGGUAUGCAUGCAUAACAGUGAUAUCACCUACUAAGUGGAUAGGUGUGAGUGGAUUGUGCCGGCGAAUGGCUGUUUGCGAGUCGAGGGUUGGGCUCUAGACAGUGGUGGAACUGGUGGACUAACUCCCUAGGCAUUGUGAGUAGCUGAUUGAGAGAGUUAAGUUGGGAUGUUGAGGACAACCUUGUGGUUUGAGAAUUCCGGACAAUGUUGGGAUCGAGUGGUGGUAGUAGCGUCCCUGUUGUGUGGAUAGCUGAGCGAUCACCAAAUUUUGGCGAAUGGCCGAGUGAUACCUCAACGAUAGUGAGGGAAUUCAUGCUUGUGUAUCGUGGGCAUAGGCUAAAUUUCCAGUGCAUGACGUGUAGAGAAACGCACGGUAGCAUAGGACGCUUGAGUAUAUGUCACGCCCCGGGACCCAGCGGGAGCCCGCCCGGCGCGUGCCCAGACCCGCCAUAUGUCUACAACAUAUAAGGCGUGCGCGGUCUGCGGCUCUGUACCGGUACAAGCCCGAUGGCUGUACCGGUACAACCAUCAACCCUUGUACCGGUACAAGGCCAGUCUUGUUCCGGUACAAGCCCUGCUGCAGGCUACCCGAGAGCUGUCCAAUGAAUCCAAUUUUUGGAUUUUGGUACCAAGCUUCAAACCAACAUCCUCGGGGUGCGUGCCAGGGGUCGGAACACUAUCAACGACCCUCCAAAAACUGUGGAAAUGCUCCACACACAGAUCAAAUACUCGAAUCUUGCGAUUUGCAAGAUCCAGUGCAUUACAGUAUAGGUGUCCGUGGAUUGUGAAUUAUCGUUCUGCCGGGUGAGUAGGUUGGCAUUAGCACUUGAGCAUUGCUAGGUGUGAAGGUGCCAUGGAUCACUCGUGGGGCCGGUGGCUCGCGCUAGGCGCGAGGAGCUGACAGUGAUGUGGAUUGCUCAGUAGAGCGUGUCGUGAGUAUGACGACGGUAGUGAGUGUAGGUUGAGGACUAUCCGUGCCUGGACCAUGUGCAACUGUGGGCCUGAGGCCAUGUGGACAGGCGCAGUCGGCUAUGGGUGACAGCGGCCCCGAUACCUACGGGUAGGGCAGAGGGUUUGGUCGGGGCGGUAGUCCAAGUUGGACCCGAGAAUGUGGAAUGCCACGGGUGUGGUCGUGAGAUUGAUCGUACACUGAGAUCGUGAUUGUGACCCAACCCGAGGUUAUUUGGAGUGGCUAGCGGUUUGGAUUACUCCUAGUUGGAGUUGGUGUGCGAAGUCCCAAAUGUAGAUUUCGCCAAGUGAUGAUUGGGUCGGUGUUGCGAAUGAGAGACGCUGUGUAGUGUGAGACUUGUUAGGCAGUAAGCCUACGUUGGAUUGUUGGUCUGUGGACCACCAGUGGUAAUUGAGAUGAACGAUCUAGUUGAUCGAUUAUGACUUGGUGGUUUGAGUGUAGCAACCAUUGGAGCGGAGGCUCGGUCUAAUUGCUCGCAUUUGGAAUCGCCAAAUUGGCGCUGUCAGUGAGUUGAGAUUGGAUACGUGAACGAAGUGUUCGCGGGAAUUCAUCGCGAGAAUAAGGUGAUGUUGAAACGUGGUAAAAGAAUGGAAAGGUUCUCUUUGAGACAUUGGAAAUGGCGAUAAGCCACGUGAGAUUCGGAAAGACUAGGUCCUUAAGGAACCAAAAUUGGUGGAUAUGCCGAAAUGAGCCAUCUUGUCGUGGAGCUGAAGUCCAUGUGUAGUUGAGCAUUCGCGGUUGAGCGAGGUUUGGUGCAAUCGCAUGAAGCGAUACAGAUUGAGAAACCGGAGUGAGUUUCCCCGAUGAGUAGUAAGAUAGACUCUUGAGUGGCUAUAAUAGUAGAGUGCCAUUUAUGGACUCUUGUGUGGAUUAUGGAGUUCUACCUGUAAGUGUCGGGUAGUGGUGAUGAGCCAAUCGAUGGGUGAUAUUGCUCUCGAAGGAGAGUGGUGUCUAGUGGAAUUCAUUGGUGUCGGCUAGUGAAAAUGAUUGGUGAUGACACGGAGCCGAUGAGCCGAAUGUGCGGGCAAUGGUCAGUGAUGUGGAUAGAGGCAAUCGAAAAGUGCCCGGGUUGGAAUAUGCCAACUAGGAAAGAGUUGAGCUAAAGUGGUGAUUGAGGUAAAAUAAGUCCAUCGUGUGAUACACUGAGGUUGGAUUAUGGUGAAUCGCUGGCGAUCGAUUCGCACUGCUCAUGGGACUUGUGGAAAUUUGGAAUGUAAUCGGUGAGAAGUGUACCGCAUUUCAUCCUUAGAAUGAUGACUAGUCAAGGAGGACAAGAUGAGUUUGAGCAUAGGUGCUUAACCAUAAGGAUGUGAGAGUGUGCUAGUGAUUAUGUGGCAAUGGCAGUUGAGACUCUCGCUGCGAGGAUAUGUCAGUCCCUGUCCAUUAGGACGUGGUGAGCGAAAGGAUUGUUCCUGGACCCGAGGUAUUGUGGAGGUCGGCGUAGUGGUUUGCCGUGUGCGACCUUGGUGAUGAGCUGGUGUGGUUGUCUGCCGACGAAGUUUUUAAUUCGCGUAUAAAGGCGAUAUCUUCAAGGGUAUUACCAGUGUGGCAUAGGGUGUGUGGGUGUUGAGGAGAGUGUGAUUCUCGACGCAUUGGACCCUAGAAAGGUUUUGGGAGUGUGUGGGCGCGGUGGCCGCGAGUUGACAUUGCCGCCUAGUUGAGGGAAUGCACUGUUGCAGGAGUAAGUGACUCGUGAAGUAAUGGAGGUGCAUUCUGGACUCGUGAGGAUAGGACUCUACAGAACCUUAUGAUUCUGUAUGAUGAUGAGCGUGAAGUGAGCGCAUCGAGUGCGAGGUCUUGGAAACUCGAGAUGUAGCGUGUGGAUUGGUCCUCAUCUGAUUGAUGAGUGGAAUUAUAGUGUGGAUUCUAGUUUCGCGGAAAUGUAACAUAUCAAAUUUCCGUCGAGUUUAGCCAAGCUUAUGUCAAAUCGAACGAAGCGUGGAUUUGGACAAGUAGAGUGGUCCGCAAGUAUAAAACGCUUUGGAAUGAGUCGGUGCAGUGGCAUACAAGUUUGCACUACCAUCGAGGCUUGCGGGAGUUCACAAUGUGUUUCCUGUAUUAAGUCUCCGCAAGUAUAUUCGUAGUUCAACUCACAUAUUGGAGUAUGAACCGGAAGAGUUGUGCGAGAAUGUGACUUAUGAGUUACGGUAUGUGUUAGUUUCGGGGACAAAACUAAUUUUAAGGGGUCGAGAAUGUAACAUACCGAAACUCAGUUGAAUAUAUCGAGCCUUAGUAAAAUCGACUAAAGUAUGCGAAAGAGAUGGUUGGACAAGUUCCAAUUAGUAUUCCAACAAGGUUGGAAGAGUUUAAAAUGAGUUUAAAAAAGUUAGAAAGGUUUUAGCAUUUAUCGGAGAGAAAUAGAAUCGAAAAGAUGCGAAAAUCUGAAAUCUGGAGUUGUGUUACUGGUUUAACAUCGAAAAUGUACCGGUACAUAGUGUAAAACCGAGAGAAGUAGCUCUCGGGUUGAGUAGAAAAAGGCUGUGUACCGGUGACAGGAUUUCGUGUACCGGUACAGUGCACGGUGGACCGCAGGCGCAACCUGCUGCAGAAUUGGAGAGUUUGAGGGCCUAACUGCAAUUGUAGCAGCCCAAAUAAGACCCAAACCUUCACUUCUCUUCACAGCAAGCUGAGAUUACACUCCUCUCUCAUUUUCUCUCCCUCUCUCUCUUUAAAAGCUCUCUACAAGGUGGAUUAAAGGAGGAUUGGGAGGAGAUUUGGAGCUUUUGAAGGUGUUGGUCUCUCCUACAAGGUAGAUAUUGGAGAGCUAAUAGGCUAAGAUGAAUUCUUAUGAAAGGAUGAUGCUAGGGUUUGAUCUUGUACUCUAAAUCUCUGAGAUUUGAUCCUCUCACAUGGUUAGAAACCUAGUAGAGGCUUUGAAACACAUGAAAUCCAUGGUUUCUUCUAGUGCUCACAUGGUGGUUUGCUAGGGUUCAUGUUAGAUGCCCUAGGAAUGUUUGGAAUGGCUUAGAAAUGGUAUUACAGAACUUCUUAGAUGAUUCUAAGUUAGUUUUGCUUAGCUUUACGAUCAAUCUAAGGAAAAAUUACAAUAUGACAUUAUUAGGGCACCAAAUUUGGGGCUUUUGCCCCCGAUCGUUUUCGAGGUAAAUUGACCCCGUGGAGACCUAAUUAGGGAUAUUUCCGACGCGUUGGUGCUCUCGGUGCGGUGAAAUGAAAAGUCUAUGUAAAGAUAUUAAGUAAAAAGCCUAAUUUGGCUUCGUUUUGAUACAGAUGGCCGCAGCACGAGGAAUAGGCGCCCAAAAAUCAUAAAAUUUGAACCGUAGCUUCUUGGCAUUCCUACAAGGUGGGGGUGCACACCUGAAUCAUCGGAUUCCCCUUUAUGUCUAUUUCACCUUUUAUUGAACAUAUUGAUAUAUAGUCAUUCAUGCAUAGUAGGGUUAAAUUACAUGUGAACCUUGGUUUGAUUUCAUUUACAUGCUUCUAACGUAGUUGAACAUAGAGAAUGAUAGAACCAUAAUGGACAUGUAUGAUAGAACCCUAAAGUUGUAUAAAUGUGAGACUUGGAUUUGGACAAUAGAAAACAAAGGUGACAUUGACAAUAGAGACAUGAUUGGCAUUGAGAAAUUGGUUGUUAAAUAUAGUUUAACCAUAGUGGAAUUGUGACAAAUAUGACUUGGAAAGUUGCAUGAACAAAUAGGUAGAAACCUAUUAUGACAAUGGCAUUGUGGCUAGUGGCUAUAUAUCCUUAAGUUGAGGAUUGGAUCUAUACUUACGAUAAGUCUUGGCUUUAGGGAAGUAGCCCCCCCUCGAGUGGUGCGCUCCGGAGUUGGUCACCACUAGGCGAGGUAAAGUCCCCCCAGAAAAUGGUCUCUAGGGUGGUUCGAGUCCCCCGUUAUUAAGGAAUUUUGGGUUGUCAGUUAUUAGGGUUAACGAAGUUAACCGGAUUAAUUAGGUAAAAGCCAAGGUAAAUUGUGGAAAGAGCAUGCAUGCAUAUUCAUCAUACAUAUGAUUAUCUAUCUGUUGACAGUUUUUUUGCAAGCAUUGUAUUAGUAGUAGCAUUAGUUGAUUUGCUAUCUUUCUUUCUUGAAAUACUUAUGACUGAAUAGACCUAGUGGGUGAGUCGGCGAGGUCGGCGGCCGAACCCACUGGGAACUUUGUUAUAGUUCUCAUCCCACUAACCAUGCAGGUUCUAGCGCAAGCGAGGCGAUCAUGGCUCGUGGCAUGGUUAUCGUGCUCUAGGUAGCGUACUACCCUUAUGUAUAGAGGCACCAUUUGUAUAUUUCAUCUAUUAUGUUGAUGAAUGGAAAUGUAAUAAAAUCAUGUGAGAGAUGAAAAUGUAUUAAGUUCAUUUGAGAGAUGAAAUUGUAAAUUGGGAUGAAUGAAUGUAAAGAAAUUGUAUGAACUUUAUAUUUGAUUGAAAGUGAUAAAGGUACAAUGUAUGAAUGUAAUAGUUAUAUUGCUUUCACUUGUUAGGUGGUUGUUGCUUGUCCUCGUGCAAGCCGUGUAUACUUGCAUUUAUUAUGUUUGAAUUGCUAUCGUUAUACAUGUGUUGUUGGAGCCUUGGGCGGGCAGGGGAGGUGUUGUCCGUUUGGCGUCUGUUGGCGUGCCUAAACCGACCAAAUUGGAGGUCCCGAGGCGUGACAGCUUUCUUCAGAGCCGAGACCGAGUGAACCGAUCGAGGAUCGCGGUAAGGGUAUCGCGCCUUAGACAGUAACCACUUGAGUAUAGUUCAUACCUAUUACUAUCAUCUUUUAUAUAUGAGGAUCGGAGUUGUAUAAAUGAUGUAUAAAUGUAAAAGGUUUAUGUUUUGGAUGAUCAUGUGAUGUAUAAUUAUAAAGAAAAGAAAAAAAAAGAAAAGAAUGUAAAUGGUUAAAUGUUUGUAUAUGGUUAAAAGUAAUCAUGAUACUUGUAUGUAUGUAAUAGUAUAGAACUUUCACUUUUGGCUGUUGCUUGCCCUUGUGCAAGUCAUGUAUAUUCAUGUUCCGCUUGCGUAAAUUAUAUAGAUGAUUGGUACAUGUGUUGAACCUUGGGCGGACAAGAGAGGUGCUGUCCGUUCGGCGUCUGUUGGCGCGCCCGAACCGACCAAAUAGGCGGGCUCGGGGCGUGACAGGUUGUCCCAAACAAACAUUCGUUUAUAGGACAGGUCCUAAAUUUUUAAAGCUAGCUAGCCAUGCAUCUCUCUUAUUAGAAUAUUGCUCAUUAGAAUAAGACAAGGAACCUGCUAACCCACGGUUUAGUAUAAAAGGAACGAAAAUUUGAGUAUAAAUUUUUGCACAUAUUCAAAUUAUAGUCUCCCCUCCUUCCCCUUCUCCUUUCUAACAUUACUUAAUUUGAUACAUAAAUCCCCCUUUUUAGCUUCAACAGUUUAGAGAUACACAAAACAAUAUUAACACCACCUGCUGCUUCUGCUGCUAUAUAUUGUAAUACUUGUACGCAUGUUGACACCAACUCUCCCAAUUCGAUUCACCUUCUCUUCGCAAGCUGGAACGUCCGCUUCAAGAACUGGUUGGCGACGUCGUCGUUCCGGUGGCACAGCACUCGCAGUAUCGUGUUCGGGUCGGAGCGGCUCCACCGCCCCGUCGUCGGCGGCAUGGGGAGCACCCUGCAGUGCCCCGACCCAGACCCGCCACCACCGCCAAUCCCACUGGCCUCGCAUGCCGCAAUGCUGAAGUCCUCGACGAGCCGCUCUGUCGGCUGCGACAUCAGCCGCACGAUCCCCUCCACGACCUCCGCCUCCCGCUCCACCACGUCCUCCGCCACCAGCCCCUCCCCGCACGUGCAGAACACGCGCUUCAGGCUCCGAAAGUCGUCCGCCACCAUCUCGUAGUCUGACAGCAUGAACGCCCGGUCGCUCCCACCCGCCAGCAGCACCAUCAGGAACGCGUCGAAGGACGCCUUCAUGACCUCCCUCACGGCCAGCGGCUGUGCACGGUCGACAAGGAGGGAGACAAGGAGAGUGAGGUUUUGCUUGAGGAUGCGCAGGCCGGGGCGGAUGCGGGUGUUGGCGACGUCGCCGACGUAGAGAGAGUCGUAGAAGGAGCGGCGCGAGUCAAGGAAGACGAGGCGGUACGCGGCAAUCUCGGAGACGUGCUGGAUGGCGGAGAGAACGGUGGAGCGGGCAACGUCGAAGCGGCGGGUGGAGGGGGCGACACGGCGGUUGGAGGAGACGGGGCCGGAGGAGGAGAUGGCGGAGGGGGUGUGGGAGGAGGAGGAGGAGGAGAAGAAGGAGAGGGACUUGUCGAGGGAGAGGAGGUGGGCGAGGAGGUAGUGGAGGGUGUUGAGGCGGAUGUACAGGCGCUGCGUGCCGCGGCUUGUGGAGGGGCGCGGGUGGUGGCCGUCCACCGCCGAUGAAGAUGAGCUGCCGCUUCGGCCGCCAACGAUGCCGUGGAUGGCACCGUCCCCCGCACGGCACGGGGUGGCCGCCCUCUUCCAGAGCCGGCCGAACCGGGAGUCCUGAUUGCACCUCGUCAGGGGAGGGAGGGUGGGGAGGUAGCUGUGCUUGGUUCCUUAUACAACCACAGUCAUAAAUAAACACACACGCACACACACAAAAACGUGUUAAUUAAGAGCGCUUAUUAGUCCUAUCUUCUUUUUAGGGAACGUAUAAUAAGGAAUGUAAUAGUAAUUACCACAUAUAUACUGUCAAAAGAGAUAGUAAAUGAUCAAAUCAUGAAUAAUAUGAUAAUUUUAUACUAAUAUGAGGCUUAGGAAUAAUUUUAUUCUUUACUUUUGAAAUAAAAAAAUUGUUGUAGAGCACAACAUAAAAUGUGAAAGAGGUUUAGAAUAAUAAUACAAAUAACGAUGACGAAGAUUGAGCUUAUAGUUUAACGUAAUUUGUUGAUGCACUUUUUUCUGAACAAGAAGGAAUCAAGCCCUUAAAAAUUCUAGCAACAGUCUGAGCCAUGAUAUCGGAGUUGUUGUUGCAACCUUCAUGCAAAUCUUCAAAUUUGAUCUUUUAAUGCAGACAACUACUUCUGAGUACUCUCAGUGCAGCUAUGUGUGCUUAAAAUAUUCUAGCUAUUAUGUACUGCGAAAGAUAUAUAGUUGUUUAUAUGAUAUAUUACAAUUUUAGCAUAUCAAUAAUUUUUCGAGAAAUUUUCUGGUGUAUGCAUGACAGUACCAUUGAAAUUUAAAUAUAGAAGUUCUAAUUUGCAAAACAUAAUGUUUGUUUUCUAUUAUGUUGAUUUUACCUUUUUUCUUAAAAAGGUAACAAUUAGAAUCAAAUGUGCCUUCAUAACAUGACAAUUAUUCAAAAGUUUGAAGAAUUAAUUGAUGCUUAGUUUCGAGUUAUAUAUAGUUGCAUACUUUUAAAUGCCUAGUUAAUUUUAAAAGAGAAAGCUCAACUAAUAUUUGCAGAAAGGCCUGCAGAUAAUUUGGACAUACCACAGGAUGCAACAAAGGAGGUGUAUUCCUGGAAGAUACUCUCCAGGCCAUCAGCAAGGUCUUGAACCAUCUCAUCCCUCGCUCCCACCGGAAUCUCGAAGAAUUCAUCCACUGUCACCUUAGCCAACUUCAUCAAAUCCACUGCAGAUUGCGCAUAUGGCUCAUUUUUGGACCUCGGGAUCCAGCUCUAAAUGCAUAGACAUGUACACAUCGAUCCGACUUAAUUAGCUAUCAUAAUCUAAUGUAAGUAUCGAAAUGACUUUCACUAAGAAUUAAACAAAUAUUAGGCACAUAAAAAGUAUGAGACCUAUCAGAACUCCGACCUAUUUUGAUCCGAGCCAUUUGACGGUUCCCUGCUUCGAAAUUUGAAUGUAUCAUUCAUUUGAACAUGCUUAAUGAAAUGGUGUAACCUACGUACGUAAUUUGUGCAAAAUUUUUAAAGUGAGACAGUGGAAUCAAAAUAGGCCAUAGUUCCAGACGAAUUCUAUACAUGUUUGUUUAUCUAGCUGUAAGUAUCAAAAUUUGCCCUGCUAAUUAACAUCUGAUCUCUCCGGCUGCAGCACUUAGAAGAUGAAAAAAGAACUCACCUCUGUUUCUUUUGCUCUUUUAAGGCACUCCUUCCCAAUCCUCAGCCUCUCAUCUAUCCAAGAUUUGAGGAGGCUCACCACAAUGGAGUCCACUUCAUAAGGGGCCAUCUCCCUCACGAUGCCCUUACCGCCGUCCUCGCACUCUGCGGAGUCCUCGACGACCAUCUGCACCAAUGCCUUCUCCAGUCUCCCCGCGGACUGCAGGACUCGAACCAGCUCGUUGGUCAGGCUGGUGAUCUUGGCCACGUACUGCUUCAGCACCACGCCGAAGCAGUUGUGAAGGGUCACGACCGCGAGGGCCGUCGGGCCCGGGUGCCACCUCUUCAGUACGGGACUGUACGUUUCCUUCUCCAGUAGAGCCAAUUGCUCGGUGUCUUUCGCCAGCUCCGUUAGGAUGUUGCUCGGAUCCUCAUAAACUUCGGCGACCAUGCUGUCGGCGUGUCCGAUUCCAUUCUCCAGUAUCUUGCAUGAUGUAAAAGUGUUCGGCGAAAAUGCAAUUCAUUCAAUGGGGUGAAUCUUCAUGAUGAUAAUAAUAAUUAUUAAAUUUACUCAUUAAUUAAUUUAAUUAAUAUAUUUAAGUGCCUAAUUCAAUAGGUAAUUAACAAACUAAUUAAUUUUUUAAAAUUGAGUAUUUAAUGUGUUUGUCCAAUUUUUCAAUAUUUAUAUUGAUCAAUUAAUUAAUAUAAUUAUCUAACUAAUUAAAUAAUUUACUAAUUAAUUAAAAAAUACUUUUUAUAAUUAAUUAAUUUCUCCAUUAUCUAAUGCAGUAUUCAUAGCUAAAAAAUUUAUUCAUUUAUUGAGUUAUUAUUUAUUAAUAUUUUGAUGUUCAUUAAUUAGGUAAAAUAUUUUUAGUUUAAAAUUAUAAAUACUUUUAUUUUUUUACUACAAUUUAACUAUUUAAAUUUUAUUUUUCUUAUUUAAUUUCUAAAAAUAACUCAUGUUUCAUCCACAUAUUAAAAAUUAGUAUUAAUUCGAUCUGCUUAUUAUGGAAACUGUAUAUAUACCAGAAAAAAUUAAGUAAUUUGUGAUUUCUAAACUGCAUUUGGGAAAGUGAAAUGGCGUUGUGCCGCUAGAGAGGAAAAAGUUUAGAAUGCGGCAGUCACAUUACUGACGUAUGCCUCCAACCAAUUAAAAUAUAUUUCUACAAUUUAUCCAUAUUAUCACGGUCUUUAAAAAAUAAUUUUUUUAUACUUUUAUUUUAAAAAUGAUAAGAUUAAUUGGUUAUAAAUGAUAUAAUGUGACCGCUACAUAAUAGACUUACUAGCUAGAGAGGGGCAAGAGUACGUGCGGCAUCAAAAUUUAAAAGAAGUGCAAGAUUUUCACACCUUGGUGAAAGCAUUCCUCAUGGAAGACCUUAUGUAGAAAUCCACUCGGUUAUUCGAAGAAUUCACCAUCCCACUUGCCUCUCGGUCGAUGAAUCCUACUCCGCUUCCCAUGCCGGAAAGAUCCUCAGCAAUGAUCUUGGUGGUCGAAAGCGCCACCGAGAGUACUUUAUCCAUAUUCGCAGCCGAGCUCUUAUCGAAACUUUCAUGAUAAUCCAACAACUUCCUCUCCGCCCACGCCUGCAUGGCGGUCAGGACGCUCGACAGCACCUUCACGUAACACCCCUCGCGGUCGGCCUUCUUCGCGUCGCUCGCCACCUCCGCCAACAUGGCCAGCGUCGAGCAUAUCAAAUCCGUUUCGACUUGUCCAGUGACCACGUACUGCUGGAAUAGCGCCCAAGCGAAGCACGCGUUGUGGAUCAUCCUAUUUAUCCCCAAACAUGGCCACGUCUUUCUCAUCAGCUCGACGAGCUCGUCGACUUCGUCCAAUAUGACGGUCUCUUCGCGGUGAUCGAACACCGACUGAAGAAGGGCUAAGUAGAGGUGGAUGUUGAGCGGGUAGCCGUCGGCCCAAUGGCAAGCGUCGGUCGGAGAGCCACCGUUGCAACUGCGCCACGCUAGGGAGAGCACGGAGUUGCACAAGUUCCGCAUGGCGUCCGAGUUCUUGCUCGUGUCCAUCGGCUUCAGCUCGCUCGCACGGAUGACUUCGCGGAAACGGAGAGCCGCGGAGUUCAGCCGGUCUAGAGGGAUCAAGGGGUGGGAGAUGAGCCCGGCUUCGAGGACCUUGAGCUGGCGGCGUUGCCAUUGGUGGUACUCCUGGGUGUCGUUGAAUUCGGAGGGCUUCAGUUGUCGGAGGAGCUCCAGGGGAAGGAUGAUGGUCUCUGCUCUUCUUCCUACCUGUUAAGAAUAGCUAAUUAAUUUAGACAUCAUAGUGUAAAGAGAUGCAUGCGUUCUUCCAAAGUUUGGAUGUAUCGUUUCUUAAUUUUUCAUUUUAAAACCUAUAGAUUAGGAACGAGAAACUAGAGAAAAAGAUUGCGUGAAUGUGCAAACGCACAAGAAUUUGGGUCCUCUGUCCAAAUACAACGUUACUCUAUUUUGAUGUUGUUUGCUGAGCCCUCAACAUCUUUUACUGUUUUUCUUUACGUUGCUACGAGUAAACUUUCGUUUUUACCCAAAAAACAUAUAAGGUUCCGGACAUUAAAUAAUAUAGUAUAAAAAAUCUAUUUCGGAUAUCAAAAAAAGCUGUUUAUUGUACCGAAAAAUCUUUGUUUUAUUUUGUUACAGUAUUUUACUUGGUUCACAAGCAUGUCAUAAAUGCUUAAUCUGGAAGUUCUAAUAGACUAAAAAUUAUAUUUUAGAACUGUUAGUAGUUUUCUAUACUGAUUUUGUAUUAUAGACAAUAACCACUCAAUUGAUAACUCAAAUUGAAUAUUCAAACUUGUAUUUGUUAAGUGUUAACAUAUAUACGAGCGAGGCCGCACGUAAAUAAACAUGGAGGAUAUAUAUAAAUUGGGACUCACCUGACCAACGAGGGUCCGCAUGAGGGUUUUUCGGAGCCGGCCGUCACUCUGGUCGGUCACGCGCAUCUGUUGCCGCAUGAUCUCCGCGGACGUCAUCGGCCGCUUCACCUUCCCAGGUGAACCGGGACUCCCGAGCCCUGCGGUGGGCCCCGACUGGCUCAUCGACCUCAUCAGCCGCGACGACCUCCUCGCUUUCAGUCCUAGCGCCUUCUUAAUCUUGCUAUUUACCAACAUCAUCCCUGUCCCGCCCUUCGGUCCCCCUCCCGUCGCCGAUCCGUCCCCUCCGCCGUUGCCGCCGCUCGCAUUUUCUGAUGGAUAAUAGUUCAAGGCUCCACUCCUGCCAUUAAUAUAUAUCGUAAGGCAAAUUCUUCACAUAUGAUACAAUAAUAACAUUACAUGCAAACCCGAAAGUAUAGUCAUUUCUUUCCCCUCUCGAAUUGCCUCUACCGAGGCGACUGUUUAAUGCGAGCAAGACCCACAAACCGGAAUUAUAUUGCCAUCCUCACCUGCCAUUACCACCAAAGCCGGGUGAGGAGCGGCACGACAUGAAGAAGAGCUCGUAUGCGGUCUCACGCAACUCCGUGCGCGAGAGGGUCUCAAGAUGGCCGAAGGGGCAUUCGAGCAUGACAUCCCUGUAGUCGGGCUCGGUGUCGGUCGACAGGGAGACCGACGAGACGGAGGGGCGGCGACCCAUUGUGCCGGGUCGUAGGUGGAUAGCAGGUCGCGGCCGAGGGUAAGGUGUUAGAAGAAGGGAGAGAAGGGGGUCCCCAACAUAGUAUAGGUAGGUGCCUGUAUUCUAGGUAAGGGGUAAUUGGAGGUGAGGAGAGAGAGGGGGAAGGAAGGGAGAAGGAGGGAAUCUGUUUGUUUUUGGUUAUAUUGCCUAUGUUGUAGGGGUUUCACGAGAGUUUGCGGUAGGGGUGCCUCAGGUUGUCUGGCAUUGAGUUGGCUGCCAUCAAUUUGCUAAAUUUUGAGCAGCCAUUUCUAUAUCCAACGUUUAUCUCAGAGUUGGCUUCAUCGUGAGGUUUUUUUUCCCGUACAUUCUUCUUAGUGCUAAAGAUGUGCAUACUUUUUGUUUUAUUUUACUUACUUUUCUUCCAUAGUUGCUAAUUAUUGCUUUUAAUCUGAGUUCCCCAUCGUUGUGCGCCGUAAACCUGUUGGAAAAAGGCAAUUUAAUUCAUUUAUCCCAAUCACUUUGUCAAUUAGGAUAAAUUUUAUUAUUUUUGAACAUUAUCUUUUGUUGCGUUUCUUUCUUAUCUUAUAAAUAGUUAAAUGUUAAUCAAAUUAAUUUCUUAGAAGAUUUUGAAUAAAUUUAGAUUGUACUUAUCCCUAUCAGGUCUAAGCCCUAUAAAUAGCUGCGUUUGGGUGUGACUUUAUAUAUGAUAACAAAUAAAAUGAAAUAAAAGUUCUUCUCCUCUAAUUAAUUGUCAAUUUCUUCCUUUUUAUUUUUAUUUCUCUAUUCCUACGUUCUAAAUAGUUGCAAUGGUUUACUAUAUAUUUAUUUUUUAAAGCAAUUUAAAACUUUCUUUUAGUCCAUGGGUUUUCUGGACAGACCAAUAUCGUAUGGACCUUACUAAUUGAGAGCCUACAUAUAAGUCUUACAUGUAAGUUUAGUCCCAUAUUAAAAACUAUGACUUGUUGUUGCACCUUAUAUACUCUAUUAUUGUCAAGCUUAUUGCUUUGCUGUUAAUGCGAAUUGUGCUUCCCACAAGGGAGGGACGGGGCCAUGUAUAGGCCCACAAUGGCCAUGGCCCCUCUAGAUUUUUUAAAAUUACAAUAAGGUUUAGUAUUAAGUUGUUGAACAAAUUAAAAUAUUAUAAAUUUUGGGGACCAAAAUGAAAUUGUUUUGAAAACUAAAGGGUUGCUUGUGGGCCACGCAUCACGCAUGAUGCAUGCAUCAUGAUGGCUUGCCCCCAGGCGCCACCGGCCCGCUCGCCUGUCUCGGCGCCUCCUCCCACACCAGUACACCACAAUCCACACGUAAACAUAACCACUCUCUCUCUCUCUCUCUCUCUCUCUCUCUCUCUCUCAGUUCCACACUUCCACUCCCAGGCUCAGAGCUCUCUCUUUUUCUGACUUCUCUCAAAUUUCAAUCUCUCUCUCCAGCCUCGAAACUCUAGCUCGCCAGAAAGCUGGGCGCCGGUGGUGCUCCCCCCUCGCCGCUCGGGCUUGGCGCCUCGAACUACGCGGCUACAGCCCUUCGGGCUUCCAAUUUCUCUUGAAUAAUUCUUUGGUGAUUGGUGAGUGAACCGUGAACAUUUACUUUUAUGUCAAUGUGUGGUAUGCCCUUGAUUUAUUUCUUAUUGUUUGUUGAACUAUUUAAAUAAUUAUUAAUAUAUAUGCAUGCUUUGAUGCAGUGAUGCUCAAAUGUUCAAUUCUAGUUUAAAGUCAUCUUUUGCUGAAUAAGAGAACUAGAAAAGUGAGUUGAAUUUGUUUGACAGUAUUCAUUUUACAUUUAUAAGGAGGCUAUAAAAACUCUACCAUUUUGAUUCUAAGGGAGAAAAAUACUUAAAAGUUAAAAGAGUAUCUGUAAGGUCUGAGAUUUGGCAGUGUAGUUGAACUUUCUGUUGACGAUGUUUUUGUGUGUAAUUUAAUUACAAAAGCACUCAUCAAGUUUCAGAAAAAAAGAGUUAGAAUGGAGAUUUUACGCAAUCUUUACUUUUCACUUAAAGUGAAUAGGAACAUGGGUUUUCGGAGAAGCCACGGUGUAGAGAUGGCUUCUGGUGCGUAUCGAACUCCAUUCAUAGCAAUCCAAUAGCUUGUUUUCAGUGGUUUGACUAUUCUGGAACCAACGGCGCUGACGGAUUUUAGGUUUGACGCAUGGAAUUCGAGAAAACUGGAGAUACAUAUAUUAUAUGUAUUUGUGUGCGGGUUUUGCCAUUUGUUGAGAGGAUGGAUUUUUUUGCGAAUCCACGACCAAACUAAGCGAAACGAAUCGUGGGUUUGAUGUCUCUGUCGUCCUGAUCGUACUGGUGCAAUUCGUUCGCAAAUCUGACGGACAGAUCUACUGAUAUCCCGCGUCGAUUGAGGAGGGGUCAUUAAUGGCAAAACGGUAAUUUGGCGAAAAGCUCUACAUUUUAUGUACCAGUUUGCAUGAAAUCGAAUGUGGGGGUGUAUUUGCGUGUUUUACUCGCGCUGUGAGGGACUUGGUUCUAAACAUCGGGUUUUUUGGGGACUAUUGUGCAUUUUUACCCUAUGUAUAUAUAGUCUUCUAGGGUUUUGCUCCAGGGAAACCCUAACCCUAGCCCCUAGCUGACUCCCGGCCGCUUCUGCUCCCUCCCCUGGGUGCGCAGCACGCGCCCCGGCCGCAUGCGCACGCCACCGGCCGCCGGAGAAGGCUUUCUUUCUUUCUCUCUCCCUCAUAUUGCAUGCACUCGGCUUCCCAUCUCUGCCGAGAGCAAGUGAGGUGUCCCUCACCCUUCAGCCCCUCUCCAGCGCCUCCCCCGGAGCCACCGCGACCUCCCUCGCCGGUCGUCGCCGCCCUCGCGCACUGCUGCUGCCGCCCAGGCAGCUUGUGGCCGGACUGGGCCAGCUCGGGCCGAGCAAGCUUCAGCUCCCUUAAGUUGCACCGCCGCCAUCUAGGGAUGGUCGAGCCACCCUCCCCCGGAGCCCCAGCGACCCUUCCCGCCGACUGCCGCCGCCACCGAGCGCCACCGCCGUGCUACAGCCGCUCUGCAGUCUUCCUGGGCGUGUGCGGGCCGAGGUGAGCUUGCACCUCUUUCCCUGUGCCGCCGCCGCACGAUGCCGCACCUGUGGCAUCCCUCCGGCCUCUGGCAGUCCACCGCUGUCGUCCCUGAGCGCCCCGUCGGCCGCCAUGGGCGCCGCGGCUUCCGGACCCGAACCCUAGCCAGUGCGGGCUCGAAUUGCUCCGCCGUCGACGCCACUGCCUCCCGCAACAGUCCGGGGCUAGCCCCGACCUCCCUACGUCGGCCGCACUGGUCGGCCACCGGCGCUCCCGCCGAAGAGCCGCCGCCGGCCGUGCCCUAGCUCCCACUGCUCCGAUAAGUCUUCGCUGUGCUGUAUGCGAAUAGUUUUCGAUUUAUCCUUGCUUUUUCGGUGAUCCGAGGCUGUCCCGAUGCCUCCGGAGGUGAGCACGGUGAUCGCUGGUCAGUUCUGAUCACAGUGCUCACCUCACUUUGGAUUAGCGGUUGCCGAAACUCUAUUUUCAGUGCAGUUUUUCCGAGUGCGCGUUGUUCGCUGAAUGUUCGGGUUGCUCCCGUGCCUUCCACAGUGAGUCAUUGUGCUUCGGAUCGUGAGCAUGGCCUUCGGCACAUCGAGACCUGUCAGUACCUGUCUCGGCGGACCUCGAAAGUCCUUGGUUUGCGUUAGCGAGCUACAAAAUCACUUUAUUUACAUAAAAUAAUAUAUUUUAUGUAAAUGUAGGGACUUUUAUGUAAUUUUGCAUCUUGUGGCUACUGUGGGCAGUACGUACGUAUGGUAAGUGACUUCUGGACUGAUCGUCUAAGGUCCGUUAGCCUUCGCAGAAAUCGGAGGUCGAUUUCGGUGCGUUUUUCGUCAAAAUUCGCCGACAAAACGCGGUUUCGGUUCGGAUUUCUUUUGACGUCAUUUUGUUUGCCCUGAGAGUUGUCGCUGAGCCUUGUCGGCUAGUCACCAUCGUCAUAUCGUGGGUUCGGAGAUGACGGGUUAGCGACGGUGGGUUCCGGUGUCGAAAUUGACACUUCUGGGAAUCCGAAUCCGAAUAAUUAUCCGCCGAUAAUUGUUUGGUUGCGUAAUCUUGUGUUUGCUGCCAAGACAUCCAAAUCGAUGUGUCUGGUGGCAGCGGGUGACUCGUGGCACAAGUCGGUUAGUUUUGGGACACUUAGUGGGUCUCGACGGCGUCCCGUUGUGAUUUUUGGGACUUCCGGCGAGUUACGGUGAUCAGUUUUGGGAAACCGAUUUUGGGGACUUGUGUGGGGUUUCUGAGUUGGGUAUUUUGGAUUGGUGGGUUGGAUACUGACCCGAUGGAUCUUCGUAGGUCUGGUUGACUUGCGCGCACCCAGUUUUCCAACGCGAUAAUGACAGGUGGAUGCUUCGAGCUGGUAGUCGGUGAGAUUAUUUCACCUUCCUCUGUUCUUCUAUUUCAGCAUUGUAGUCUCUACAUGUCAGUUGCUUUGUUAUCGUUCGUUUAUCUAUACCUUAUUGAUUGCAUAUAUAUUGUAUCUCUGUGGACCUUGGGUCCAGGCAACACAUCGACUCCUUUGUCGUGUGUUUCGAUCUGGUUGAUCAUGGUUCGCCGUUGUACGCCCUUAUAGCUGGCUUCGGCCAAGGCAUCGGCUUCCUGCUGGCUUUCGCAUUGAGCAUAUCAGCAAGAUUUAGUCACAACGCUUGGGUAUAUUCAUUGACACCAAGUCGAUUUGGCCACCGACCAGAGGUGUACUUAUCCGGAUGGGUCGUCCAGUGAGCGGAUGAAUCAGGUAAGUGCAAGCAUUGUGACAGGCAACGCUUGAGGUCUGUAGACCAAUAUAGCAGGCACUAAAUUGGGUACAAUUUUGGUUUGGUUGCCUUGAGGCAUACUCGACAUUGUAUUCCUUAUAGUAGCAGUUUUAUUACUUUCUUCUUAUCAUAUCUGUUAUAGUUACUGUAGUUCUCUUUCGUAUCAUAGCACAUGUACUUUGUUUACUUUACCUCAUUUGGUUUUCGGUGAUUACGACUUGCCUUCGUGGCUCUGUCGUACCCACUGGAAAACCUUGAUUGUGGUUUCUCACCCCCCAUUUUUCCAGGUAGUUUGGUCAAGGAGUUAGCUUUUGGGCACAACGGGAGGACAUUCUAGCUAAUCUGCAGUAGCGACUGUCACCCGGGUUAUUUUUAUGUCCGCUUCUAGUAAUUUAAAUAAUUAAAUGGUUCAAUUAGAUGAUCCCUAUGAAUGUUUGAAUGUUCGUGAACUUGUUUGAGUUGGUGAUUUCCAUUAUGCAUGCGAUUGGAGAUUUUUGGAUAUGUGGUUUUGGUUUUAUAGAUGAUUGGUUCGGUUCUUGGAUUUGUGUAUUGAUGCAUCAUGAUUUUCUACCCCUCGAGGUAGUCGGAGUUCAAAAUGAAGUUUCCGAAUGAAAAACAGUUUUAAAAAGAUUUUCGAAUGGUUUUUAUUAAUGAUUGAAUAGAGUUUAACAACAAAGCUUUCGGGUGGGGAGCAUUUUUAAAUAGGACGACUGUUGUACUGUGCAUCGCAUCAUCCAGCGCCUGAGGAGUGUUUAGAGGCAUGCAUCAUUUCUUUGUAUUUGUGGUGGGUCUGUACGUAACGUGGGCCAGGUUAGAAAAAAAAAUUGGCACGUUUUCCGUAACUCUGAUUUCAAAAAUGACAUUAAUUAUAAAAAAGAUAUUUAAAAUCGGCCCCGGGGCGUGACAGUAUCAAAGUAUAUUAUUGACCUGAAUACAGAAAUAAAACUUUUCAUCCAUUAUUAACAAGUACAUGCGUUUCAUGAAACUUUUCAUCUAUUAUUAACAAGUACUCUGUAAUGCUAUAAUCUAUUUAAAUUUUGAAUAUUUUGACCUUCUCUUAGUUUUUAACAAAUUGAAUUCAUUCAAAAAAAAAAAAAUGAAAAAUUUCUGGGGCCUUCCAAUAGCAACUAUUGGAUUUUAGUAUUUGAGAAUAUAAAGUAUUAUAGUAGAUCCAAAAUUUUGAAUUCGUACAAGUUCCUUCUUUAUGAACAAGAGUUUUUUCUCUUCUCGGCUAGCUGUUAGUAAAAUAAUGAUUAUUUGCAAUUUAUUUUUAAAUUUUAUUUCUUUUACAUAGUUUUACAUGAUUUACAAAUUAUCUUAUAUAGAUUAGAUCUUAAUAUUUGAAUUUUUUGACAUAAUUUUUGUAGAUCUCUAAACUGUUAUUAUUUUAAUAGCAAAGACAACUACACUCAAUUCUUAUUUUAAAAGAAAAAUAUUGAAAACGCGGAAGCUAAUAAACAAGAAGCUAUUUGUAGAGAUGAGGCUAUGGGUUCCCAAAGUUGUCGUUUGAAAUCUCCAAGAAUAGAAGUUAAAGAGGUUAAUAACAUGUCCUUUGAGCAUUAUCCUGAAUUACGACCUCAAAUUUGGAAUUAUCCUGUAGAACAACGUGAUGAAGUUCGACGAGCAUAUAUAAUCAAUAGUCCAUAUCAACUGAGACUUUUGGAAUAUCCAAAAAGUGGGCCUCCUUCUCAUUAAUGUCGCUUUCAACCUUUAUGGUUUGAAUCAUUUAAAUCAUGGUUAGAAUAUUCUCCAAUCAAAGAUGCUAUAUUUUUUCUAUCGUGAUUUCUUUUUAAAAACCACAUGGGCAUUCUUCACAAAAUGCCUUCACUGUUGACAGUUUUCAUAAUUGGAAGAAAGUGAAAGAUGGAAAAAGAUGUGUUUUUCUAAAUCAUAUAGGUAGAGAACCAAACUCGCCUCAUAAAGUUGCCGAAAAAGCUUGCGAAGACUUGAUGAAACAAUCUCAACAUAUUUAAAAUGUGCUUCAUAGACAUCAUCACAGCAAAAAGCAGACAAUCGUUUACGCCUUAAAGCAUCAAUAAUUGCUGUUAUAUAUCUUACUUUUCAAGAAUAUGCUAUGAGAGGUCGGGACGAAAGUAAAGAAUCUAUUGAUCGGGGUAAUUUUUUGAAAAUGUUGAAGGUGUUCUCUUUUCUUAAUGAAGAUAUUGCAAAAGUUAUUUUAGAAAAUGCUCCGCAAAAUGCUUCUUAUAUUUCGCCGGAUACACAAAAAGAAAUUUUGCAAGUUCUAGCAGAGAAAUUAAGAAGAAAAAUUCGAGAUGAAAUUGGCGACUCAAAAUUUUUUAUAAUGGUUGAUGAAGAACGCGAUGAGUCUAUUAGGACUCGAAUUUUCUGAUCCUUGAUCCAGUCAAAGAUCCUCCUCGAAGAACGUGUAGGGAUGAAAAACGACUUCGAAAAGUGACCUUCGAAGUUUGCGCCCUUUGACUGGAUCAAGCGAUUCGACUGAUGAGGGAUCGGAUCAGCUGAGUUCGAAAAUCUCUAACUGUGGAAUCGGUUCGACUGGAUGAGCCGAAUGUACGGACUGGCACAGAAACUAGGGUCGGCCGAAGAGCCGAAUGGAUGAAAACACAGUGAUUGGUCGGCUUAAAGAACCGAAAGCCUUUAAAUAUAUUGAAACUGACUGGUAGAAAGAAUACAGGGAUCGAGUGUGCCUAUGAGCAUACAGACUCGGUUGAUCUAGUUUACUUCUACUCCUAGAGAAAAACAGUAAAUGCUGGAAAGUAAAAGGUUACAAGUAGACUACUCCUAAGAAAUGCAAAGAAAUUGCAUAGAAAAUAAGGGUAGUCUUCUGUUCACGGGAAAAAUACCCCUAUUACAGGCUUCAAAGUUACUAUUUAUAAUAUCUUAUCAGCCCACAUUAUUAGUUGGUUAUAGUAGUGGGGGAAGUGGUGUAGCCAUGAUCAUGAAAGUUACGCCCCACUUCUCAAUCGUUCUCGCCUAAACGCUCUUGUCCUUCAGGCGCCUUAUUGCCGACUCCUGGUGUACCACGUGUCCUUAUUUUUUUGGCUUAUACGUGGGUUAGGUCGGUAUUGUUAAUUUUUUGGCAUCAACAAUGCCCCCCCAAUAGUCUUUCGAAUGAACAAUAGUCUUUCGAAUGAGCAUUCGAAUGACUAUUGGUGACAAAUCAACGGCUCAAUGACACAGCCGAGACCCGAGCUUUAGUUUUGUUGGUCUUGGUCGGCUUAAAGAAAACGGCUCUUUAUCAUCCCAGCCACAUAUACUUCGGCUUCAUCAGCCGAUUCUUUACUUUUACUCGAUUGAUGGCUCUUCUUGAACCGAAUGUUCUUUUAUCAAGGAUUUCUUUUUGAAGAAAGUGGCUCCUUACCAGCCGCAUAUACCUCGGCUUCAUCAGCCGAUUCUUCAGUUUCACUCGAUUGGCUUGGUUUUUCUUAAACCAACUGUUCUUAUAUCAAGGAUUUCUCUUUGCCUUUGCUUUGAUUUUUAUAUCGGCUCCAUUGCAGUCGAUCGUUCUCACUUUCCUUCCGGAAUUGCUCAUAUUGGGCAACUCUAACACCUAGAUCAAAUAUGUUAGAAAAAUACUUAUCUUCGAAAUAGUCUUUUACUUAAAAUGCAGACCAUUUAACGCCAUUUUGGUGAACUCUGAUUCCGACAUUCUCAUAAAGCACUGGAUUUUGGCUAUUUUGAAACGGUUCAAAUACUCUUCGACCGUUUCACCUGACUUUUGCCGGUAUAAAGUCAAGUCGGCGACCGAUAAUUGUGGCUCCGACCUAUAGAAUUGCUUAUGAAAUUUUCUUUCCAAUUCGUCCCAAUCUCGGACAAAAUUGGCUUGUAAAUUUGUAUACCAAGUAAACAUCGUUUUAGUUAACGACGUAUUAAAUAAUCGAAAUUUCAAAAAUGAGUUAGCAGCCGCUUCUCUACAUUGGGCCGUGAACCGGGCUACAUGCUCCACUAUAUUCUCGGUCUCAUCGCCCGAGAACUUGUCGAACUUUGGCAUUUUCCAGUUUGCCGGAUAUGGAUUCUCCGCGUCGAUGUUUGCGAGAUAUAGGGAUCUAAAUACAGGCCGCACUGCCGACCUCGCCCCCACACCAAAUGUGUUCCGAAUAACCUCUUCUAUUUGAGCGUAUAACUCAUUAUUUUUUGCUGCCGAAGUAGGAACCAGGGCCGGAACCACAUUCGGCCCUAAAGGCUGUCCGUAAUUUUGCAUUUUAGAGUUGAGUUCCUGCAAACUGUUGGGGCCUUGCCCCCCAGCCCUUACGCCCUCGUUUUGGGGCUGGUAAGCUGGUAAAGGAGGUAAACCCGAUACAAUCUCCAACUGCGGGCCGACGCUUAUAUUCGCCGGCCUAUAAGCAGCCUGGAAAGGUGCCAUUUGCGGUUGCUCCUGUGAGACCGCCGGCGUGACGGGAUUUUGUUGCACCGGCAUAUUUAGGGGCCCCUGUUGCCUCUCGUAAGGUUGCUUGUUUCGGAUAAAUAACUGUCUGAUUUGAACAAUAUUUUCAUUGUAGGCCAUGAUAGCGGCCAAUACCGUGUCUAGUUGAGCAAUACUUUGAUGAAUAUUUUGAUCUACAGUUUGCAGGAUUCGGGUCAUCUGGACGAGUGCCUGAGUUAGACUCGGCUCUUGAUGAGCCGACUGUUCACUAGUCUCUCCUCCAACAGGUAGUACCGUCUGAUUCUCAUUCGUAUUUUCGGCGCUACUAGCUUGGUCAUUUCCUGAAGGCCUGGGAAUGGCUCUAUUCCGGAGGUUCGUAGCAUUAUCAUCAGCCAUAGGACAAAGUAUAGAUUAGGAAUACCUGAGUGAGUCCCACUGGGCGUGCCAAAAUUUGUUAGGAGCCGAAUUCCUCGAUUCUUGACCCGGUCAAAGAUCCUUCUCGAAGAACGUGUAGGGAUGAAAAACGGCUUCAAAAAGUAACCCUCGAAGUUUGCGCUGUUCGACUGGAUCAAGCGAUUCGACUGAUGAGGGAUCAGAUCAGCCGAGUUUGAAAAUCUCUAACUGUGGAAUCGGUUGGGCUGGAUGAGCUGAAUGUACGGACUGGCACAGAAACUAGGGUCGGCCAAAGAGCCGAAUGGAUGAAAACAUAGUGAUUUGUCGGCUUAAAGAGCAGAAAGUCUUUAAAUAUAUUGAAACUGACUAGUGGAAAGAACACAUGGAUCGAGUGUGCUUAUGAGCAUACAAACUCGGUUGAUCUAGUUUAUUUCUACUCCUAGAGAAAAACAUUAAAUGCUGGAAAGUAAAAGGUUACAAAUAGACUACUUCUAAGAAAUGCGAAGAAAUUGCAUAGAAAAUAAGUGUGGUCUUCUGUUCAAGGGAAAAAGACCCUUAUUACAGGCUUCAAACUUACUAUUUAUAAUAUCUUAUCAGCCCACAUUAUUAGUUGGUUAUAGUAGUGGGGAAAGUAGUGUGACUAUGAUCGUGGAAGUUCCGCCCCACUUCUCAUGGAAGUUACGCCCCACUUCUCAAUCGUUCCCGCCUAAACGCUCAUGUCCUUCAGGCGCCUUAUUGCCGACUCCUGGUGUACCACGUGUCCUUAUUUCUUUGGCUCAUACGUGGGUUAGGUCGGCGUGUUAAUUUUUUGGCAUCAACAGAGUCAAAAAAGUAGUUAGCUAUUAUUUUGAGAUUUGUUGAUGUACAAGGUUUUGUUCAGGAAAGAUUUUUUGGUCUUAUUCACAUCUCGGAUACUAAAGCAUUAACCUUGAAAAUUGCAAUAUAUUCUGUUUUUCUCAUUAUAGUCUUGAUGCUCAAAAUAUUCGUGGACCAGGUUAUGACAGAGCGAGUAAUAUGAGAGGUGAAUAGAAUGGAUUACAAGCAUUAAUUUCUAAUGAUUGUCCCAAUGCUUACUAUAUCCAUUGUUUAGCCCAUCGUCUCCAAUAGGCUUUGGUUGCGGCAUCUAAAGAUAUUCUUGAGGUUUAUGAAUUUUACUCAAAAUUAAGUACUGUUGUCAACAUUGUUGGAUUUUCUACCAACUAACUGUCCCUGGAGCAAGUAGCAAAGGGCUUGGCGGUUGGUACCCAAGGUCCUAAGUUCGAAUCCUCGUUGAUUCACAUUUCCAGCUAAGUUUAUUUCUAAAUGAAAUAAACGAAGCGGGUAGCGUGCUACCUAUCUCUCAAAAACAACAAAAAAGCUUCAUAGUUUUGAAAUUGCAGAACUGAUUGAAAACAAAGAGCUUGAGAUAGGAACUGGACUCAAUCAAGUUGGCACGUUGCAAAGGGCUGGUGAUACUCAUUGGAGUUCACACUUCAAAUCUAUUACAAGUUUGCUAAGAAUGUUUAAAGCAACAUGUACAGUUUUAAAGAAUAUUAUUAAUGAAGGAUCCAAUGCAUUUCAACGUAGUGACACACAUUUAGCUCAUAAGUCAAUGAUAUCUUUUGAAUUUGUGUUUAUCUUACAUCUCAUGAAAGAAAUAACGUAGGUGACUUACAUUCUUUGUCAACAUUUGCAACGUAAAUGUAAUACACUGAACUUUUGCAAAUUGCAAAGUUCGAGUGUGAGGAAAGAGUUGUGGAUCUAGCCUACAUGUUUUAAAAGGCUUGGACAAGUUUUUGGACAAGUUAGAGAGUGAUCGGAUUGCCGGAGAAAAGAAAGUGCAUUGCUCCCGUGAAUUGGGCAGCUUUUGCAUUGUGUACCGGUACAAGCAUUAUGCUGUACCGGUACAGCAAGCAGCAGCUGCAGCAGGUGCGUGGCAGCAGGGUUCUUUAGGUCUUUUUGCUUCCUAUUUUUAUCCCUUAUGCCCAGCUCGACCAGGGAUACUCAGUAGAUGUUGCUGGAGCUUAGAAUUUGGUCCUCCACCUUUUCUCUCUCUCUCUCUCUCUCUAGGGUUUUUCUCUCUCUACGGAAAAGCCGCCGAUUCGAGUUGAUUUCGCGCUCCGGCCGACGCUCGCUAUUUUAGUACUCAAUGGAUGCUUUCAGCACGUGGGGAGGAGGAUUUUUCUCUGAGUUUUCUGUGGGGUUAGUACCAAAGAAGCUGAAUCUCAGCUUUCAAAAAGGAAUUAGCUCAAUUUUCUCUCUAGUGGUGCUUUAGUAUUGGAAUUUGAUGUGUUUUGGUGUCAUUGCUUCCAACUAAAUUUGGGGAUGUUUGCAGCAGCUUGAGAAGAGUUAAUUAGCUGUGAAUUAACCACCUUGGACCAGAAAUAAGCUGCUUUAAAGCUAGUUAAAGGUAAAGUAUGAUUUCUAAAGCUAUUUUGGAACUAUACGCGAAUUAAUCAAGUAACUUGACACGGUUUGAGAUUGCUUCUUCGCAGCAGGUUUCCGAAUUAAACUGAGCUUAAUUGGUGACAUUGGGGACUGGUCUAGAAGGUGUUCUAACCCAGAGUAAGCAGGAAUUUCUGCUAGAAAUCCAAUUUUACAAGAAUUCGGCUAUUUUAGCUAGUAUACUAGCAUUCUAAUGCCGUUUCGAUGUUGUUCGCAGCAAGAGUGCGAUCGACUUUUGGAGUGACUUCAGCUGACUUGUGGAAGCUCUUGAAGACUCAACUUGAGGUAUUAAGCUAGCCCGAAGCAGGGAAUUAAGUUAUUACUUUGUACUAUGUGUGAUUGGAGCCGAAAUUGGAUUAUUAAGUAAUCAUUUCGACGCGGUUUUGAUGCUUUGUUUUCAGCAGGUCCAGAGACCGUUUGAGCUGAGUUUGGAGCUUCUGUUGGGCUGUUUUGAGCUUAGUGAUAGGUGGGUUUGACCUAACCAGAGCAAGUGAAGCUCCCCUAUGUUCUAUAUGUGACUAUAGAAUUGGUAUAGUGUGUGUAUUUGGGAUUAUUGUGAUUGGUAAAGUACUUGGAGCAUGUCACUAUAACAUUUGAUGUAAUUGCAAUAGAACCUCUAUGAAGUAGAGAGCAUUCAUGCAUAAAAGUAUUCAUGCAUAAUAGUAUUCUUGUUUCGUUCAGUAGAACAACCAAGAGCUAAGUUUAUAAUGCUUCUAUAAAGUAGAGACCAAUGAUACUCUCUUGACUCUAAAAUAGAGAACUAUGACAUGAUUUGUGACUAUAAUGAUAGUGCCAUGAUAGUUGAUAGUUUCUAAUGCCACAUGUGAAUUCGCAUUAUUCUCACAUGCUUACUAAUCUAGUGGAUACUAGUUAUUGUCAAUAUUCUUUAUAUUGAGAAUUCCGAUCAAUAGAUCGAGGGUAGAACAUAGCAUACUAUGCCAUGAUGUUUGAGAUAUGUUGGACUAUGAGUUUUGCUUGCUUGCCAUUGUGCUCAUUCACACAUGCUUAUGAGGGUAGCUCCCUACAAGCCGGCACUCCGGAAUUGGCCUACGCGACAGUUGCUCGCCCGUGCGGGAUUGGGUGCCGAAGUGGAUUGCCGUGGAGAGUGUAUACUACCACGGGGCCAUUAGGCGCGGCGCAAGCUGGACUACCUGGGGUAGGUCCUGAUGAAUAAAAAGGAAAACUCUAAAUGAGAUUAAGUACUAAAUGACUUAUGACAGUAAUGAAUGUUUAUCUGUUACAGUAAAAAUUUACAUAUUCGUGCUUAUGUUUAUGUUAUAUUCAUUACUGCAGAGAUUAUGAUUACAUGUUGGUUACAUGCUCAUCACUCGUUAGCAUUGCGUUUAUAUAUAUAUCAUGCAAUCAUUGUUUUUACGUUCAUUUAGUACAUCAUGAGCCUAGUGGUGUAAUUCGCCGAGGCUGGCGGCUUACCCACUGGGAACUAUUGUUAAUAGUUCUCACGCCCUUUUUAUUAUUAUUUUUUACAGAGCCAUCUACAGGAGAGGCUAGGGAACGUGGCAAGGGAGUCGCGUCUAGCUAGACAUUGCUAGGGGCAUGCUAGUCGAUCACCUUACUACUCGGGCUACGGCCGAGGGUGAUGUCCCUGUGUAGAGAGAGACCACCAUUGUACAGAUGUUUUGUAUAUCUAGUGAUGUAUAUUUACUAUUUGGACCAGAUGUUGUAGCUGUGAUGUCUUCUCUUUUUGUUGAGAUUUAGGAUUGUUCACUUCUUGUUCUAUCUGUUGAUAGUAGCAUCGACUUAUACAUUGCUCUGAUAUCAGGAUAGGAAUUUCUAUAUUUUUUUUUCCUAUCGACUUGUGUAUCGUAGACGCCUUAUAUACUGCAGGUGUAUGGCGGGUCUGUGCACGUACUGGAUAUGCUUCCGCUGGUAUCCGGGCGUGACAGUAAAUCUCAAGAUAUUCUUAAUGCUAUGUAUUUUGUGGCAUCAACAAAAUCACUUAUUCAAAAGCUUAGAGAUGAAGGAUGGGAUUCUCUUUUUGACAAAAUAAAGUUAUUUGUGCAAAGUAUAACAUAGAAGUUCCAAUUAUGUCUGCUCCUUAUGUAGGAAGGGGAGGUCGUGCUCACCGUCAACGAGACAAUAUUACACUUGAGCAUCACUAUCGAGUUGAUAUGUUUUAUGGUGUAAUAGAUUGUCAAUUGCAAGAAUUGAAUACAAGAUUUAGUGACAAUAUGAUAGAAUUACUUACUCUAAGUUGUGCUUUGGAUCCUAAAGAUGGUUGCAGAUCUUUUAAUAUUGAUGACUUUUGUAAUCUUGCGGAAAGGUAUUACCCUCAAGAUUUUAGCGAGUUUGAAAGAAAAGGGUUGAAAAUAGAACUUCAUCAUUAUGAAUUUGAAAUUUCGCGACAUUUCGACUAGCAAAAAUUGACAACUAUUUCUGAAUUAUGUCAAUGGUUGGUGGCAAUAAAAAAGUUAGAAAUAUAUCCACUUCUCUACCGAUUAGUUAAGCUUGUAUUACUUCUUCCAGUUUCAACUACAACUACUGACCGGGUAUUUUUCGUGAUGAAUAUUAUCAAAAUCGAUCUCCGGAAUAAGAUGGAUGAUGACUUUCUCACUAAUUCUUUGAUCGUGUAUAUUGAAAGAGAAAUUGCCGAGAAGUUUACUAUUGAUUCAAUCAUUGAUGGAUUUCGUGACUUGAAAGAGUGCCGAGUGAAAGUUUUGAGGAGCCCAAGGAUCUAUCUAGAUUGUAUCUAACACCUAGAGCGGGGUGAAUUGGUGUAAUAGCCAAAAACCACAAAUCUCAAUGAGAUAAAAAAUAAUGCAGAAAAUAAAAAUCACACCGAGAUUUACAUGGAAAAACUCCAACUUGGAGAAAAACCCACGGGACCAACACGCGGAAAAAUAAUUCACUAAGAGAAAAGAUUACAAGGUGAUUACCGACUCCACGGACUCAACCUCUCUUAACCUCCUAUGAAUCUCGCGCAAUCCUCCGGGUUGUCCACGCCCACACGUUCGAAUCCACGAACGCCUCGCACUCGUCCGAAUCCACGAACGCCACUCGAAUCCACGAGCCCACGAUCCGAAUCCACGAACCGCCGUCAAUCACGCCAAAUCCACGACGCCAUCGUGAAGAACAUCAUGUGUAUGAUGAUCCUUCGCUUAGAGUAUCGAUGAAAACUAGGGAAGCGAACUCCAAGCGAAGCGGAGAUCAAAUCGACAUAUUGAUAUCAAAAUCCAAAAUCUCGAUUUGACCUAAAAAAAGGCUUUAUGUAGAAAAUUAGUUUUAGAUGAAAUCCGAGCCUUUAGGGUUUCUCAAACAUGUAUUUUCGUGAUGCUUAAUAUGUUAGAGAAUCCCAAUAGCUUAUUUAUAGACUUUAGAAUCAAACGGAGUCGGAUUAGAAAGUUUUCACGAUUUUACACAGUGUACCGGUACACGAAAGGCUGUCACCGAUUACACGAUGACGGAACAAAAAUCUGCGAAGCCAAAGUUGAUGGCUGUACCGGUAUGGGUCAAUUGCUGUACCGGUACACAGUGCAUUUUUCACACUUUGCACUAUUUCGGGUUCCGCAGAGUUCCGAAGCACUUUCUAAUCAGCUAAAUAUCAAUAAUAACGAUUCUAAUGCCUAUAACUAAGUAUGAAUCACCAUAACAUGAAUUAACACAAUACCUUUACGUCGUGAUUCACAUCGUGAGUUACUUUCCAACCUUUUCGAAAUAUUGAAUUCUUCAAUCUUCGACGACACUCACCGAUUCUUCAAGACUCCGACUCACUUCACGAAACUUGCCAAUACACAAGACUUAACACCGAGCACUAUUCUAACUUUUGUAUGAUAAGUAAAAUUUUUUAAAUUUUAUUUUGUAUUUUUGUACUUCAAAUUUUAUUACAUAUAGUUUGCUUGAUUAAUAUGCUUUGCAUAAUAUAUUUUUGGCCCCCCAUAAUUAAAUCUUGGCUUCGUCCCUGCUUCCCACAAAACACAUCCACACACGGCACGAGGCGGGCCAGGUCGGGCAACGAUGGCGGUGGUCUUGGCUACCCGAUUCGAUUCACCUUACUUUUUUGGGAUUUUAUAUUUUAGCUAAUGUCACGCCCCGAGACCCGCCUAUUUGGUCGAAUUCGGGCACGCUGACAGAUCGCCGAACGGACAGAGUCUCUCCUGUACGUCCUAGGCGUCACAAUCCGUACAAUUCGUGAGGUUCCAACCAGCAACAACAUUCAAGCACAGAUUGCAUAAGGAAGGUAUCAAAAAUAUAAAUUCUAAAUUAUUACAAGCAUUCAGCUCACAUGCAUUUUACAUAUUACAUUUGUUCUCACUUAGCUUCCAAAUACAAUCAGCUACAAAUUAUUACAAUUUUGUUUCUUUCUUUCAACCCCGAAGCUAGACCAGCCCGAGGUACUGCUAUCUCUGGUCUCAGUGACAGGGCGCUAUCUAUGGAGCUACGCCCUUUCCUCGCGCCGCCGCGCCGCUCGCGUGUGAACCUAAAAAAUUCGAAAAAUCGUGGGGUGAGAACUAUUGUCAUAGUUCCCAGUGGGUACGACCACCGAAGGAAAAAGCUCAACCCACGAGGUCUAAAGGAGGCAAAACAACAUGUUAGCCCAACAGAUAGAUCUAUCAUCAUAUAAUUUAUACAACUAACAGUUAUUAUGCUUUUUCCUCACAACAUGCAACAUGCAAAUCAUGCAACAACAUAAGUAGAUCUACUAAUUCUACUUUCUAUCUUGCUAUCCACAGCUCAUCCAACUAACCUCUAAGAUUUCCUCUACCUUAGAUCCAUAUCACUUACCAUUUGCUCCUAAGAUUUCAUCUACCUUAGUCAAGCUAUCCACCUAACUCAGUCCCGAGUCAAUCAUCCGCGGAAUACCGCGUACAGCCAGGCUCGAGGUGAAGGACGUCUCACAUGCACCUCAGCCUUAAAUCCACCCAACUGUGAGGAUAUACUGUCGAACCCCGGACCACAAGUCGCUCAACGGACCAACGGGUGAGGAGAAUCACACGUACUCGUGUCCACCUGUCUCAUGGCAUAUCGGGCGAGGAGAACCACACAUACCCGUUAAAUCACUGUCGCGCGAGGAGAACCACACAUACCCGCAGUUAUGAUUCCCUUUGCCAUUCUACUUGCCAACUUACUUGCCGAGCGAGGAGAACCAAUAGACUCGCAAGUAUCCUCAAUCCUAGGGAUUCCUGAAUCCAUUUCCACAUCUCGAGGGUUAGCCUCAUACCAUAUAAUGUCGACCUCUCAAGGUUCGACUUAUGCAUAUCCUAGUGGUCACUCUACCACUAUAACCCUAGCAUCAUGUACCCUCCAAAACUGUCACGCCCGGGUACCAGCGGAAGCAUAUCCGGUACGUGCCCAGACCCGCCAUACACCUGCAGUAUAUAAGGCGUCUACGAAGAACACAAGUCGAUAGGAAGCAAAACAAAGAGAGUCCUAUCCUGAUAUCAGAGCCGUGUACAAGUCGAUAUACUAUUAGUAAAAGAACAAAGAGUAUACAAUCCAAAAUCUCAGCAAAAGGAGGAGAAGUAUCACAACAAAAACAUCGGGAUCAACAGUAAAUAUACAUCACGGAGUAUACAAAAUAGGUACAAUGAUGGUCUCUCUAUACAAAGGACAUCACCCUCGGCCGUAGCCCGAGUAGCAAGGUGAUCGACUAGCACGCUCCUAGCAAAGUCUAGUUAGACGCGACUCCCUUGCCACGAUCCCUAGCCUCUCCUGCAGAUGGCUCUGUAAAAACAACCAUAAAAAGGGCGUGAGAACUAUUAACAAUAGUUCCCAGUGGGUAAGCCGCCAGCCUCGGCGAAUUACACCACUAGGCUCAUAAUGUACUGAAAGUAAGUAAAAGUGAUAAGUGCAUGAUAUAGAAAUAUGCAGUGCUAACCGGUAACAGGCAUGUAUUCAACAUGUAAACAUGAUUUCUGCAGUAAUGAAUCAACUGAAUAAUAGAAGUAUCGCAACUACUAUAAACAUGAACAUAAACAUAAUCACAGAAGUGUAAGUAUUACUGUACACUACAACUGAUACUCAUUCAUUAUUAUCAUUAUCAUUUUCACUUUCAUUUUCAUUCACUAGGACCUACUCAAGGUAGUCCAGCUUGCACCGCGCCUAAUGGCCCCGUGGUAGUAUACACUCCCCACGACAAUCCACUUCGGCACCCAAUCCCGCACGGGCGAGCAACUGUCGCGUAGGCCAACUCCGGAGUGCCGGCUUGUAGGGAGCUACCCUCACAAGCGUGUGCGAAUAAGCACGAUGGCAAGCAAGCAAAGUCCAUUAUCCACAUGUCUCAAUUUUCAUAUUUUCAUUGUAAGGUUCUUACCCUCGAUCCUCUGAUCGGAAUUUCAAUACACAAAUAGUAACAAGAGCUAGUAUCCACUAGAUUGUAAACAUGUAAGGGUAAAGUUAAAUCACAUGGCAUUAUAAUCUUUCCAUUAGUAUGGCACUAUCAACAUAGUCAUGAGCAUGUCAUAGUUUUCUACGUUAGAGUCAAGAAAAUAUCAUUGUUCUCUAACUGUACUGAAUAUGAAUAUAAAUACUUUCAUGUAUAUAUGUUCUCUACUUUAUAGAGAUUUCAUUCUACUUAAGCGUCACACGUCACAAUGAUAUGUUUCCAAUUCUCUAUCAAUCACAUAUGCACUCAAUGCACCUAUGCGGUUAUUCUAUUCUAUAGAUACAUAUAGAACAUAGGGGAGCUCCACUUGCUCUGGUUAGGUCCGACCCACCUAUUAUGAAGCUCCAAAUCAGUCUAAGGAGUCCCAAGGAUCAGCUCCACUCGGUCUCAAUCCUGCUGAACACAAACAUCAACACCGCGUCAAAAUAACGAUCGGAAUAUCCGAUUUCGGCCUAAAUUACACUUAGUACACAGUAACCCCUUAAAUCCCUGUUUUGGGACUAGUGUAAUACCUCAAGAUAAGUCUCCAAGAGCUCUCACAAGUCAACUAACGAUGAUCCAAGGCUCGAUCGCACUCUCGCUGCGAACAAAAUCGAAACGGUAUCAAACUCAUCAUAUAUUAGCAACUUUAGUCGGAAUCCUGCAAUUUCAGCUUCCUAACUGAAAUUCUUGCUUACUUUAGGUCAGAGUACCUUCUAAACCAGCUUCCCAGGUCACCCAGAUAGCUUAAUAUGAUUCGCAAACCUGCUGCGAAAAGAAAAGCUCAAACUGUAUCAAGUUGCGGCAAAAACUCACGUUUAAUUCCAAAUUCGCUUCAUAGUGAACUAGGCUACUCAAUCAAGCUUUAAAAUAGCUUAUCCCUGAUCUAAGGAGGUUCAUUCACAGCUAAUUAACUCAUAUUUACAUGCUAAAAACCUCAGUUUCAAACCGUUGGAGCAAGAACCCAAACUCAGUACUCAAAGCGACUAAUAGAACGUCGAUAAUGGAAGAAUCGAGUUGCAUACCUUCUCAAGCUUCCAACCAGCACCUUACUGGUUCAGAGCUGCGAAAAGCUCUCCAAAAUACUCCCUCACACGUCCACGUAGGCCCUGCGACACAUGCGAACAGUGAAGAAUCAACGUUGCGACGAAAACGAGCGAAAUCGGCGAAUUCGACGUAGAGAGAGAAAAACCCUAGAGAGAGAGUGUGAGGAAGGUGGGAGAACCUUUCUCUGAGCUCCAGCAUACUCCACUGAGCUCCAGAGGUCGUGCUGGAUUCAAAUAGAUAGGAUCAAAAUGUGAAAUGACCAAAUUAGCCUUGCUGCCAGAUUUCUGCCAGUCUGUACCGGUACAAGGUAAUGGCUGUACCGGUACAGCAAGCAGAAAAAGGCUGAUUUCGCCUGUUUGAUGCAAUUUCUCACUUUUAACCCUCCAAUCACUCUCUAACUUGGUCAAAAACUUCUCCAAGUCAUUUAGAACAUGUAGAAUAGUUCCACACUUCAUUCCACACACUCGAACUCUGCAAUUUGCGGAAGUCCAGUGUAUUACAAAAACACCCCAAAAACUAAUGGAAGAACAUGCUUAGAAUACUCUAGAGAUCAUUAGAAUAUCAUGCCCAAAGAAUUUAAUAAAAAUCGCAACUCUUACCAAUUUGCGAACCUCGAGUCUGAAGCACACCGCACCACUGGGCGCAUGAGGGCUCGAUCCGUCGCUCCCAACGCGUUCCCAAGCCUGCUCUCAACCAAUACCCCGAAUUUAGGAGAGAGAUCUAGAGAGGGAAAGAGGAAAACUAGAGAGAGAGAGGAGAGUUUCUUUCUCAACUCAUAUGUGGGUGUGUGUGUAAUGGCUGUGAAAGAGGAAGAAGAAGGGAGAAGGUCCCUCUUAAGUCCACCUUCACAUUUACCAAAAUGCCAUCCACCUUUACUGGGUAGAUUUCCGGUACGGGGUCCGGACCUUGGCCCUAGGGUCCGGACCCCGUAGGUCCAUUGGCCCCAGAAAAUUCGCAUUUUUCGAAUUGCCUCGUUUUCGCUCCUUGAGCCUCCAAGCCACUUCUAAACAUACCAACACCCUCAAAAUAUAUUUUUGAGCAUAUUUAGAUCAUCUUUUCAUUUACACUUUGCCGGAUUUAGGCCAAAGCCCAAUAUAGCUUUUCGAGUUCCGUUUCCGCGUCCAAUACGCACCAAAAACACUCAGAUGCUCCCUAACUUCAACGGAACUACUCCAAUAGCUUGUCCAAGCUAACAUCCACCGAAACUUCAUAACCAUAGAAGUUUGGUAUGUUAUAUUUUCCACCCCUUAAAAAGAGUUUUGUCCUCGAAACUUAAACCACACUUCAACUCGACUUAUCGAUCAAUUGAGGACAUCAACAUACUUUCCCACUCCAGAGCGGCUUCACACUUGUCAUUACUUAAGCGGCUCAUACCGAAGGACGUGGGUUCAAUCACAAACACAUCUACGGAAUGUGAUACAAGAAGUGCAUCUUGGGUCUUGCGAGUCACAGUGGCAGCGUAAGUCGACACUCGACGACUCCACACACUCCGACACCCCUCGCUACCUAGCACAAGAAGGACUUAUCUCGUCCAUACCAUCGGAUACCAUUAUCUUUUGAGAUCAGGACUACCCCUCAUCCUCGUGGUGUGGAUCUAGCAAAAUGGACCAACAAGUCGAAUGGUCCACCACAACUACACAAUACCUGUGGGUAGACCCCCUCGAAUUACACAAACGCUCAGAGUGGCACCUUACCACUCCGGCCAUCCAAGAGUUUACUUCACUACGUACAACUCUUCUUUGCAUUUGUCAUCCUUCCUGGGAAUACACUCCAAUUUGAUCACAGGCAUUGCUUAGAAGGAAUAUCACAGGUGCAUCGCCCAAUCGCGAGUGCUCCAAUCACAAUUGAAUCUUUACUCUACAGCGAGAUGGCACACUCCGGCAUAUCUCAAAUUCCAAUCCUCAAGAGAGCAUUAUCCUCAAAUCUCACAUGGCUAUCCAUUAUCCAGUAAGUUAUGAAAACCCAAGGAUCUUUUAUCUAGAUUGUAUCAAACACUUAGAGGGGGGUGAAUAGGUGUAACGGCCAACAACCACAAAUCUCAAUGCGAUGAAAGUAAAUGCGAAAAAUAAAAAUCACACCGAGAUUUAUGUGGGAAAACUCCAACUUGGAGUAAAAAACUCCCGGAACCAACACGUGAAAAAAUAAUAUUUCACAAAAAGAAAAAAUUAUAAGGUGAUUACCGACUUCACAGACUCGACCUCUCUUAACCUCCUAUGAAUCUUGUGCAAUCCUCCAGGUUGUCCACGCCCUCACGUUCGAAUCCACGAACACCUCGCACACGUCUGAAUCCACGAACGCCACUCGAAUCCACGAGCACACGAUCCGAAUCCAUGAACCGCCUUCGAUCACGCCGAAUCCACGACGCCGUCCAUGAAGAACAUCAUGAUUAUGGUGAUCCUUCGCUCAAAGUAUAGAUGAAAACUAGAGAAGAACCUCUAAGCGAAGUGUAGAUCAAUUCGACAUAUAGAUCUCAACUCUCAAUACCUCGAAUUGACCUAAAAGAUGCUACUUCGUAGAAAACAAGUUUAGGACGAAAUCCAAGCCUUUAGGGUUUCUCAAACAUGUAUUCUCGUCAUGUUCCAUGAGUUAGAGAACCCUAAUAGUUUAUUUAUAGACUUGAGAAUCAAUUAGAGUCGGAUUAGAAAGUUUUCAGAUUUUUACACUGUGUACCGGUUAACACAUUAAGUUCUCACCGGUUAACAAAAGACGACACAGAAAAAUCUAUAUAUUGCAUAACCGGUUAACUGUCCGAUACAUUACCAGUUAACAGUCCGAUGCUGUACCGGUUAAUAGUCCGAUGCUUUACCAUUUAACAGCUGCAGUUUUCAGAAUUUCACAAUCUCGGGUUUCAAAAGUUCCAAAGCACUUUCUAAUCCACUAAUCUUUGAUUUUCAUGAUUCUAAUAUCUAUAACUAAGUAUGAACCACAAUAUCAUGAAUCAAAAACUAACUUGAGCAUCGUGAUUCAUAUCAUGAGAUAUUUCUGAGUUCUCAAAGCCUUGAAUUCUUCGAUUUUCGACAAUAUGCACCGAACUCUUCAAGACUGCGACUCAAUUUACGAAACUUGCCAACACACAAUACUUAACAUAUCCAAGCAUCUCCUAGAGACCACUUUACUUUCUCUUCCAAAUGCCACGUCCAACACCAAAUCGUUCUCGCAAUGAACUCACAGGAACACCUCGUUCAUGAUGAAAGGAAGUAAAUUCUCGAAGUACGACAGUUGGACUUCGGUUAGAAUCGAUUGAUUGUCGAUUUGGUGUGCUUCGAAAAAGCCGAAGGCAUCAAAAUGGCCAAAGGUGCAUUGAAUGGAGUCCGCGAGAGCAAAUGAUGUGAAAAAACUUCAUUUGGCAGAUUUGCUCUCGAGAACCGGUCCUUGGUGGGAGGGACCGGUUCCCGAACAUGGUCUGUGCAGGUUUGCUCUCGGGGACCGAUCCCUGGCAGGGAGAGACCGGUCCCAUUGGCUAGUGGUUGCGGCGACGCGUGAUGCAACCGGUCCCUGGGCCAGAGGGACCAGUUCCCGAAGGCGUAGAUUUCGGGAGGUCCUGAGGGACCGGUCCCUGGUAGGGAGAGACCGGUCCCCGUAGCCCCAAAUUGCCCAAGAUGGGUUGUGUCAUGAAGGUAAAGUUGAAGGGUUUUUAUGCAAUUGUAGCAUAAGUAGAGGCUAUAUGAGAGUAUGCUCUCUCUCUUCUCAUUUUCUCUCCCAAAACACAAACCUAAAGCCUCUCUCUAUCUAAUCUCUCUUCCUCUCUCUCUAGAAGGUGAAGAAGAGAAGGGAUUUAGUAGAGAAGCAAGCAAGGAGAGGGAUCUUCAUUUUCUUCUUCUUCCUCUACACCUUGGAGCUAACUUUAGGAGGUAAGCUUGAAACUCAAUCAUGGUAGAUUUCUAGAGUUUAGAUCUUUAAGCCCUAGAAUGGGUUAGAUGGAACUCUAGCAUGCUAAAGAGAUGCUUUAUGCAUGAGUUUAAGGAUUUAGAGUUUGAUUCUUGCAUGAUUGUAAGUUAGGGCUCCAAAAAUGGGGUUUUGUGAUUUGUUGGGUAUUGAUCUAAAUUGAUCAAGUGUAAACCUAAUUGCUAGGUGUUUAAAUGCGUAGGCGAAGACGGUUCGACGAUUCGUCGAGCGGGUGCAAAGUUACGGGCAAAAAGGGGUCUUCCGAGUUUCGUUUCCGCCUAGGAGGCCAAGACGACGUCGUAAAAUCGGCGAACUUCAUUCCUAGAGUUGUGACAACGCCAGAAGGUGGGUGGUGUCAUCCCGAAGCAACCGGGCUCCUCUUUAUGUCUUAGUGCAUUUUAAAUCUUGCAUCUCUUGCAUAUAUGCAUUGUAGGAUAAAUGUGCAUUUUCAUUUCCUUAUGCUUUCCUAGAUGAUAUCAUAGUGUGAGUUGAAUGCUUGAUAUAGUGGAUAGAUAAGGAUUGGGUCGAGACAUUGAAUCCUAUAGUGCUGAGAUAAGAGAUGGACUCGAUAGUUGAUAAGACAUAACGAGUGGCAUGUAAAUAAUAAUAACAACAGAACGAGUGGCAUAUAACUUAGUAUAAAAAUGACACUUGACAUGUGAACUUAGGGAUAGGUGGAUUCCCUAGUGAUGAGUCAUUGAAUAAGAACUUAGUGUAGUUAAACACUUGCAUAUGGACAUUGGGAUAGGUGGAUUCCCGAGUGACAGUUAGCCCUAAUGGAUAGAGUAUUCUCGAGUUGAGAGGAUUGGAUCAUACUCACUGUCUGUUCAGAGCUUGUGGUGGUCGCGCCACACAAGCGUGCGCUCCGGAGUUUUGUCAUACGAGGGAUAGCCUUAUGGGGUCCCGCAGACGGUCUCGGGUUUGUUGAGCGAGUUGAGCCUCCUUACCUUACGAGAUGCAUGUGAGUCACGAGCGAACCUCAGGGUUGGCCAAGGAUUGGAUAAGUCAAGAAAAUUGAUGAACAAGUAGACAAGUAAAUAACAUUACUUCUUUGACAUAGUGGCAUGUUAGUUGAUUACCUAUCACGUUAAGCAUGCAUACAUUGUAUAUGAUCCGGGCACAGUAGCAUAGCUUUCUUACUAUGUUGUUACUGCUUUUGCAUAUCUAUCUAUCUAUCUGCUUCUGCCCAUUUGGACUUAGUGAGGAGAUCGGCGGAGUCGGCGGCUGAACCCACUGGGAACUAUGGACAAUAGUUCUUACCCUACUUUGCUGCACGGCCGAGUACGAGUGCUCCGGGCAAGGAUCGCGGUAAGGGCUUAGCGCCCUAGCAUUAGUAUCCCUCCAGUUGCAUUAGAGGUACCUACUUAUAUGAGAGUAGACUACUUAUAGGUUGUGAGAUGCAUUUUGGAGAGAUAUGAAUAAACUUGUACCUAUAUUUUUGGAUGAAACAAAGAUGUAAAUUGUAUAAAUGUACAAAUCAUGAUGUAAUAGAUAGAACUCUCUCUCUUUUCGCACUUGUAUGGAUACUUGUGUUACUUGCUCUUGUUGUGAAGCACUAGUGGUGCUUCUUUUGUCGUUGUAUGAGUCAUGUAUGUAUUGAAUUGUUCCUGGGCGAAUUCUUGUACAUGAUCCCGUGCUUGAGCCUUGGGCGGACAGGAGAGGUGCUGUCCGUUCGGCGUCUAUUCGACGUGCCCGAACCGGACCAAAUGGUAGCGGUUUCGGGGCGUGACAUGUGUUUAUGGUAUCAGAGCAAUAAGAGCAAGUAAAGAGAGAAGUCUAGGAGUUACCUAGGAGGCCCUAUGAUGGAAACCUUAAGGCUAUAGGUGCGUGAGCGAGACGUGAACCUAUGACCGUGGCGGGAGUUGAUCGAUUGGGUCAGGAUUGAAGUAUGUUUCUAGUAAUGAGUGGAAACGGAUUCAAGUGGUAUGAGUUCUCGACUCGCAGUGGUUGUGUUGGCGGCCGACAACAUGAGACUAAAAGUCUCGAAUGAGUACACUUUGUGCUUCCGCCUAAUUGCGAUGUCGAGUCGCGUUAUUUUGUAAGUGCGAUGAGGUUUAACAGGUUAAGGUGAUUAACCAAGUUGGUUAUAUUUCAGAAGCUAAUGUCCCCAAGGCGCUACACGCGUAGAUCCGUUCCGGCACUGCCUCCUGAGGUGCCCGAGAAAGUUGGAUCUAGCAAAAUACAAGAGUUGCGGGCGCAAAUGACUGCGCUAGCUGGCGUGGUGCAGCGUCAAGAGAGUCGGUUCGAGCGGCUCCAAGAGCUUAUGGAGCAUCAGGCGGCGGCGACGGCGACGGCGACUGAAGGUCGUGAUCCGCCUGCCCCCUCGGCGCGCGUGCCUGAAGCGGCUGAGGGUGAGGGCAUAUCGGCAGUUCCGGUGGCGGCACGUCCCCAGCCAGCAAGUGUUUAUCCGGCGGCCUCAGGUUCGGCGACACCCUAUGCGGCGGCCGAGGAGGUGGAACGGGAGCGUGCAUUGGCGGCUCUUAUCAAGUUUAGGAAGUUCGACCCGCCUGUUUUCGAGGGGAAAAAGGUGGAGCCGUCGAUGGUGGAGUCGUGAGUUGACUCAAUAGAGACGUUCUUUGAGGAUUUAUCCACCCUAGAGAAGGAUAAAGUAUACCUCGCCCCCCAUUGCCUCGAGAAGGCGGCGAAGGUGUGGUGGAAGCGGGUGAAGCGGGAUCGUCUUCCGACUUCCGCCGAUGUUAUGGAAGGAGUUUAAGAAAACAAUGUUUGCAAACUACUUCCCCGACACUGUGAAACGGAAGCUACAGGAGAAGUUUCGUAAGUUGAGACAGGGGGAUCGUUCAGUACCAGACUAUGAACAGGAAUUCUCCCAUAUCAUAGAUUGUGUUCCGGAUGUUGUUCGAGAUGAUCGGGACCGGGCCGAUUGGUUCUCGCGAGGGCUUCGGCCAGGGAUAUAUAGGGCCGUGCAGCUAUUCAAGCUCAUGACCUUUGCCGAGAUAUUUGACCGAGCGUUGUGCGCAGAGCACGGUGAUGCCCACGUGCGAGAGGAGCGUGAGCUGAUGGCCGAGUCGAAGGACAAAGGGAAGAAACGUCACGGCGGUGGUUCGGGAGGACAAUCUAGUUCCAAGAAGCCCCCGAAGUAUCCGCGAUCGCAGUCCAGAGGUCGUGGAGCAUCGCGGUGUGUCAUUUGUGGUGGAGACCACCCCGCGUCGCGUUGCAGUCAGCGGCAAGGGAAAUGCUUCAAGUGUGGGCAAGCGGGACACUUUAUUCGUGACUGUCCUGGAGGAGCUUUGCCUGCUCCGUCUGUCGCAUCGGCUCCAGCGACUCCGACAUAUUAUGGAGGAGCCCUACUGACAGUAGUAUCGACUGGACGCGCGAUGGCGCCGCGUCAACCUGAGAUGACGCGAUCGGCUCCAUGCGGACGGGUAUUCACCGCUCAAGCUGAGAAACCUGCCGAGGCCGAGGAACGCUACGUCGUGGCAGGUAUGAUUUUAAUUAACGGAGUUCGCUCCAGGGCUAUGUUUGAUACAGGUGCCACGCAUUCAUUCAUCAGUAGAUCAUUUGUACAAAUGCAUGACAUUGGCAUUCAUUCGAGUCAGAGCACCUGGCGAGUAGAGGGCCCCGGGCGUGCGUUCGUUAUUCGUAAGGAAUGCCCGACGUGUCCAGUUCAAGUGGGCGACUGGAUCAUGCCAAUUCGAAUGUUGAUGCUCAAGAGGUUAAAAGACUUCGACGUUAUACUGGGCAUGGACUGGCUUUCGAAAUACUACGUGUCUAUUGACUGCAGGCAUAAGGUGUAACGUUUCGGGAGCCAGGACAGGAGGAGUUCACAUAUCGAGCGUGCAAGAGCUCAUGCUUUGCCACGACGAUAUCUGCGACGAGAGAGAGGAAAUUGGUUAAUAGCGGUUGCGUGGCUUAUUUGGCGACCGCUGUGGAAGUAGACCGAGUAGUCCCGGCACUCGAGGAGUUGUUGGUGGUUUGGGAGUUUCCGGACGUGUUUCCUACGGAGUUACCGGGGAUGCCGCCUAAUCGAAAGAUCGAGUGCUGGGACAUACACUUGAUCCCCGGAACGACGCCGAUCUCAAAGGCCCCGUAUCGAAUGGCGCUGGCUGAACUAUAGGAGUUGAGGGCUCAAUUGCAAGAUCUCCUCGACAAGAAAUUCAUCAGGCCGAGUGUGUCACUGUGGGGAGCCCCGAUAUUAUUUGUGCGGAAAAAAGAUGGAUCGUUUCGACUCUGCGUGGACUAUCGCUAGUUGAACAAGGUCACGAUCAAGAAUAAGUACCCACUGCCCCGAAUCGACGAUUUAUUUGAUCAACUACAGGGGUCGUGUGUGUACUAAAAAAUAGACCUACAGUCUGGUUAUCACCAGCUGAAGAUAAUGCGGGAAGAUGUUCAGAAGACCGCGUUCCGCACGCGGUAUGAGCACUAUGAAUUGACGGUCAUGCCGUUUGGGCUCACGAAUGCCCCGGCAGCGUUCAUGGACUUAAUGAACUGUGUCUUCAAGGAGCACUUGGACCGAUUCGUCGUGGUUUUUAUAGACGAUAUUUUGGUCUAUUCUCGUAGUGACGAGGAGCAUGCCGAGCAUUUGAGAAUAGUGCUUCAAAUCCUUCGGGAGGAGAAGUUAUAUGCGAAGCUAAAGAAGUGCGACUUUUGGCUCCGAGAGGUCGCAUUUCUGGGGCAUGUUAUUUCCGAGGGUGGUGUAUCUAUAGACCCGAGGAAAGUUGAGGCGAUCAAGGAUUGGCCGCGCCCGACUAAUGUCACGGAGGUUCGAAGCUUCGUGGGAUUGGCGAGCUACUAUAGACGAUUCGUGGAGGGCUUCUCAAAAAUAGUUAUUCCACUUACCCGUCUGACGCAAAAGGGCACCAAGUUUAUUUGGAGUGAGGACUGCGACCGGAGUUUCAACGACUUGAAGGAAAAGUUGACUUUGACUCUGGUGCUUGCUUUACUGGUGCCAGGUGUGGACUUUGUGGUUUUCAGUGACGCGUCUUAUUCAGGAUUAGGGUGUGUUCUGAUGCAAGAUGGAAAAGUGAUCGCAUAUGCAUCCCGUCAGCUAAAGAGCUACGAGAAGAACUACCGUGUCCACGACUUGGAGUUAGCCGCGGUGGUAUUUGCUCUCAAGUUGUGGAGGCAUUACUUGUAUGGCGUGCGUUGCGAAGUGUAUACUGACCACAAGACUGUAAAGUAUUUGUUCACGCAAAAGGAGUUGAACAUGCGACAACGGCGGUGGCUAGAGCUGCUUAAGGAUUAUGAUCUCGAUAUUCUCUCCACCCCGGGAAGACGAAUGUAGUCGCUAAUAUACUUAGUAGAAAGUCGGCGGAGAACCUCGCGAUGUGGGUCACGAAUCAGGAGCCCCUAUGGAAGGAAAUGGGAUGGAUCAAUCUCGAGGUUGUAGCUCCGGAGGUUCCGGCUAUGUUGUCAACUCUCGUUGUCCAACCAACCCUGUUGGAGAGGAUUAAGGGGUUGCAACCUGUAGACCCAAGUCUCCAAAAGGUGCGGCGCAACAUAGAGAGCGAACGCAGCGGCGAUUUCGGUGUAGAUGCCGAGGGUGUGCUUCGAUUUCGGAACCGGUGGUGUGUACUGGACAAUGAAGAAAUUCGAAAGCUGAUUCUGAAAGAAGCGCGCAUUGGUCGCCUUAUAGUAUCCACCCGGUCGGCACCAAGAUGUACUAAGAUCUGAAGAAGCAUUAUUGAUGGCCGAGAAUGAAAAUCGAUAUUGGACGCUAUGUGGCGCAGUGUCUGGUGUGCGAGCAGGUCAAGGCAGAGCGCCGAUUUCCAACAGGAAAGCUUCAGAGUUUACCUAUCCCCGCUUGGAAAUGGGAGGAUGUGACCAUGGACUUCGUGGUCGGUUUGCCUCGUUCAUCGAGUGGCCACGAUGCAAUCUGUGUGAUUGUGGAUCGUUUUACGAAGUCGGCACACUUUCUGCCAAUCCAUACGACUUGGGCAGGUGAUAGGCUAGUGCAGGUAUACGUUGAUGAUAUUGUGAGGUUGCACGGGGUGCCAAAGUUGAUCGUAUUGGAUCGAGACCCCCGAUUCACUUCUCAUUUUUGGAAGAGCCUGCAAGAAGUGUUGGGCACAUGGCUCGAUUUCAGCACUGCUUUUCAUCCUCAGACAGAUGGACAGUCAGAGAGGACUAUACAGAUUCUUACGGAUAUGUUGCGGGCGUGUGUCAUUGACUAUAGGGGUAGUUGGAGUAAUCACUUACCGAUGGCCUAGUUUGCCUACAACAACAGUUAUCAAGCUAGUGUAGGGAUGGCACCGUUCGAAGCUCUUUAUGGACGGAAGCACCGAUCUCCUAUCCAUUGGAGUGAGGUAGGCGAGCGUACGGUUCUUAGCCCCGAUGUCUUGCGAGAGGCGGAGGAGAAAGUCCGCCUUGGUCGCCAGAGAUUGCUUACGGCGCAGUCGAGGCAAAGGAGUUAUGCAAACAAGCGCCGUAGAGAUUUGAAAUUCAUAGUGGGCGACCGCGUCUUCUUGAAGGUGUCGCCCAUAAGAAGCGUGAGGCGAUUCGGAGUGCGGGGAAAGUUGAGUCCCCGAUAUAUUGGGCCAUACGAGGUGUUGGAGCGGAUUUGUGCGGUGGCUUAUCGGCUCGCAUUGCCGCCGAAGCUCACCGAUGUUCACAAUGUCUUCCAUGUCUCCAACCUCCGCAAAUAUAUUCACGAUCCCGAGUAUGUGUUGUCAUAUGAACCGUCGAAAUUGCCCGAGGAUAUGAGCUAUGAGGAGUUUCCGGCGUUGAUUAUUGCUCGAGAAGUGCGGAAGUUGCGAAAUCGCGAAAUUUCCUACGUCAAGGUUCGGUGGACCAAUCAUAACGAUCGCGAGGCUACGUGGGAACUUGAGGACGCAAUGAAAGCGCAGCACCCUCAUCUUUUUGAGGCGUGAGUAAGGUAUGAAUUAAGAUCAAAUUUAAUGAAGAAUUGAGUUCGUUUCGAGUACGAAACUCUUUUAAAGGUAGAGAGGAUGUAAGGAAGUAAUUCUCGAAAUACGAGAGUUGGACUUCGGUUAAAAUCGACUGAUUGCCGACUUGGUGUGCUUCGGAAAAGCCGAAGGCAUCAAAAUGGCCAAAGGUGCAUUGGAAUGGAGUCCGCGAGAGCAAAUGAUGUGAAAAAUCUGCACUUGGCAGAUUUGCUCUCGGGGACCGGUCCCUGGUGGGAGGGACCGGUUCCCGAACAUGGUCUGCGCGGAUUUGCUCUAAGGGACCGGUCCCAGGCAGGGAGAGACCGAUCCCAUUGGCUGGUGGUUGCGGCGGCGCGUGAUGCAAUCGGUCCCUAGGCCAGAGGGACCGGUUCCCGAACGCGCAGAUUUGGGGAGGUCCUGAGGGACCGGUCCCUGGUAGGGAGAGAUCAGUCCCCGUAGCCCGAAAUUGCCCAAGAUGGGCUGUGUCAUGAAGGUAAAGUUGAAGGGUUUUUAUGCAAUUGUAGCAUAAGUAGAGGCUAUAUGAGAGUAUGCUCUCUCUCUCUUCUCAUUUUCUCUCCCAAAACACAAACCUAAAGCCUCUCUCUCUCUAAUUUCUCCUCCUCUCUCUCUAGAAGGUGAAGAAGAGAAGGGAUUUAGUGGAGAAACAAGCAAGGAGAGGGAUCUUCAUUUUCUUCUUCUUCCUCUACACCUUGGAGCUAGCUUUAGGAGGUAAGCUUGAAGCUCAAUCAUGGUAGAUUUCUAGGGUUUAGAUCUUUAAGCCCUAGAAUAGGUUAGAUUGAACUCUAGCAUGCUAAAGAGAUGCUUUAUGCAUAAGUUUGAGGAUUUAGAGUUCGAUUCUUGCAUGAUUGCAAGUUAGGGUCCCAAAAAUGGGGUUUUGUGAUUUGUUGGAUAUUGAUCUAAAUUAAUCAAGUGUAAACCUAAUUGCUAGGUGUUUAAACAUGUAGGCGAAGACAGUUCGACGAUUCGUCGAGCGGGUGCAAAGUUACGGAAAAAAAGGGGUCUUCCGAGUUUUGUUUCCGCCUAGGAGGCCGAGACGACAUCGUAAAAUCGGUAAACUUCAUUCCUAGAGUUAUGACAACGCCAGAAGGUGGGUGGUGUCAUCCCAAAGCAACCGGGCUCCUCUUUAUGUCUUAGUGCAUUUUAAAUCUUACAUCUCUUGCAUAUAUGCAUUGUUGGAUUGUCUGCCACCACGAAUGACAUACCUCGCACGGUUGAUCUUAUUUUGAUUUUCCACCGUGGGGUAGUAUUCAUGAUUCAGAUUAAUAUUUGAAUAUGUAUGGGAAUCAGGUUUUGUGGAUUCAUGGCUUCCAAUAAACGCAAGCCUUAGCUUGGACUAAUUUAGAGUUACAUAUAUGUACCUUAAAUUAGUUGGAAGGUGGAAUCCCACUUGUUAUAACAAUUCGUGACUUUGUAUACUUCGGGUUAGUUUAGUUAAACUAAUAUAUGAAACUAUAGAACCAAGUCUUAGUUUAAGUUAGUUGGCAGUAUGACUUAAUACAAUAUUUUAAGUAGAAAAUAAGUUAGUGUCGUAAUGUUUCCAGAGAAUUAGCUUCCACGGGAUUGUGAAACAUCCCCAUUAAUUGUUAUUUGNUUUCAUCCUAGAUGUAUAUGUUAGGAUUAGCUCAAAUAUUUUUGAUUAGACUCUAAUUUUAUAUCUUAAAGUCUAGUAUAAUUAAGCUCUAUGCUUAUAUGUUCGAGCUUAAUUAAGUUCACCAUAAGGCCAAAUAUUAACUAAAUCCUAAUUAUAUGUAUUAGGAUUAGUCAAAAUUUGAUUAAACUCUAAGUGUAUGCAUUAGAGUUUAAUUUGGUUUCACAUGAACUAAAUCCUAAUUAUAUAUGUUAGGAUUAGUCAAAAUAUUUUAAAUUAAACUCUAAACGUAUAUAUUAGAGUCCAAUUUAAUUUCAUUUGGGUUCGCCAUAAGAUGAAUUUAUGUCCAACAUGUAGCGAGAUGCGGACCAAAUCCUAAUUAUAUGUGUUAGGAUUAGCCGAAAUUAAACUCUAAGUGUAUGUAUUAGAGUCUAAUCAAGAGAUGAAUUUGGGUUUACCAUAAGAUAAGAUAUCAACUAAAUCCUAAUUUUAUAAGUUAGGAUUAGUUAAAAUUAAACUCUAAGUGUAUGCAUUAGAGUUUAAUUUAAUUUCAUUUAUAUGAACUCUAAGUAGAUGGAUUAGAGCUCAAUUGAUUUGAUUAGAUGAAACCUUGUAUAUGAUUUGGUCAACUCUAAUCAAAUAUUUUAGAAUUUGAUCGAGUUUGAAUGUGUUGAGAUUUGACUCUAGUUAUAUAUGCUAGAGAAAAGGUUUGAUAUGGGCUCAUUUGGAUUGGAAUUAAUUGGGUUGGGUUCGGCUUGGAUCAAUUUGGAUAAAUAAUUGGAUUGGGUUUGGUUUAAUUGUGUAGGUUGGCUAUUGGGUUUGGAUUCAGGCUUAACAUGGACUGGUUUUAUUUUUGAUUUGGAUUCAGGCUUACAUAUUUUGACUUGGAUUUGGGCUUCAUAUUUUGAUUUGGACUUGGGCUUCAUAUGGGCCGAAUUCAUUUUGGAUUGAGAUUUGGGUUCAAUAUGGCUCAUUUGGAUUUGGAGUUGAAUUCGGGCUCAUUAUGGCUCAUUUGGGCUCAAUUUGAUUUGGGCUUUGAUAUGGAAUACGGGAUUUGGAUUUGGGCUCCAUGUAAGAUUUGAUUGGUUGUGAAUCUGAAUUUGGGCUAGAUUCCAGUCCAUAUAGUUUUUUUAAAAUUUGGAUCUGGGCUAUAUAUAGUUUCAUGGGUUUAAAAUGGCCCAAAGUUGGAUUUAUACAAUUGCAUUCAAACAUAGGUCAAAUUUAGGCCCAUAUAAUGUUGGGGCUUAAAUUACAUAUGGGCUUGGGCUUAAUUUAGGCCUGAUGGCAUAAGUCCAAAUUUUCUUUUAGGCAGAUCAUGAAAUUGGGCCCAGAUUUGCGUUUGGGCUGGACUUAAUGAACUUGUGAGAUGAAUAUAGUUUAGUCCAUAUGAGAUUCGAGAUCAAAAUAUAUAGCUCAAAAUCAAAUUCAUCAAAAAUAUAUUCAGAACGCGUUUUAUUAUUUGCCAAAUUCUCAGCUAUAAAUCACAUACUGUGGAAUUAAAUAUCGAUUCGAUUUAUUUCGACCAAAUCGAAAGGUUCGACUAAUUUUCUUUCAUCUCUUCAUUGGAGAAGAAUUAAGAGAAUACAUUUUUUCUCUUUAUCUUCUUUAAAAAUAUAGUAUAAUAGAGAUGAAUAAUUCCUUUUUAUCUCUUUUACAUUCGUGGGACAACUAACGCGGGAUAAAUCCCUUCCUUGCCUCCCUAACAGUAACAAAGCUCCCUCUCUCUUUCAUAAUUAGCUCUUUUUCUCUUUUGAUAAUAUCUUUCUGCAAAGAAAAGAGCAUCGCUCUCUCUUUCUUUCGAUGAUGCUGUAUUUUAUAAAAAGAAGAGCACCGCUCUUUCUUUCUUUCUCUCUUUUAAUACUAUUUUUAUAAAGAGAAGAGCACCUCUCACUCUCUUUAUGUACAAAUCGGGUCCGACGUUAAAAGUACGUCUUAAGCAUUUUAUCAAAUAGUUGGCCGGCAUGAUUCGUUGGCGUGAACUCCGUCAGACCAAUAUCCUAGGCGGCUUUGUAGGCGACGAGGUUGAUACUGUUGCUGCCGAGUCUGCUGANNNNNNNNNNNNNNNNNNNNNNNNNNNNNNNNNNNNNNNNNNNNNNNNNNNNNNNNNNNNNNNNNNNNNNNNNNNNNNNNNNNNNNNNNNNNNNNNNNNNAAGGAUUUUAAGUUCAAUUCUUGACUUUUGACACUAGCUCUAGUUUCUUUCUACAUCACUUUAUGUUGCAAAACUCAUUGCAAUUCACAUUCUUACAGUUCUUCAUCUUGCUAACUCUAGCAAUCGUAUUCUUUACAUUUCUUUUACUUUUGGCUACCUCUAGCACUCAUGUCUUACUCCCCACAUUACUUUAAUCUUUUAACAUUUGCUCAUUUUCGUCAUUCCUUACAUUACAUUGGUUUCUUUUUCCUCACACUAUCUCUAGUGUCAUUUCACUCUUAACCUCUAUCGAAUGCACUCGAUCUGAUCGUCAUUGUGUCACCUGUUCUUUUCUCACUGGUGUGGGUCUCACUUUUCUCUCAUGCAUACAUUUAUAGGUUUCGACAUUGCACAUUUAGUUCUCAUUCAUCAUAUUAUGCAAGUUUGUACUCCACAACAUGCAUUCGUCACAUUUUCAUCAUUACUUUUACCCUAAGGAUGCAUGUCACAAUAAUAUAUAUAUGCUCAAAUGAAUGACACAUUUUAGCAUAGGAGAGAGAGUUCAAUGCCUUUGAGAAGCACCACCCACCUCGUAUGCUUUCAAAGGUGCUCCGAUGAUUUUCUUUGGAAUUUUAGAUGCUUCGUUCUUUUACCUGCGCAAAACGAACCCCUUAUUUAGGGCCAUUUUUGCCUCAUAACUUUACUUGACUUUUCGUAACGUUAAUCCGAACGCACCAACGCGUCCGGAAAUACCCCCAAUUAGGUUUUUGGAGGGUCAAUUGCCACUUAGAAAACCCUCAUGGGAGCAAAUAGGCCCCAAAUUUGGUUGGCCCCUAGCUCCAAGUGUAUAUCAAAACCUUAGGUUUGAUCUCUUUUGAGAGCCCAAAAGUAGUUUCACUAAUACUCUAAAUUGAGUCCACUAGAUCAUUCUUAGCUUUCCAAAACCGAGAGUAGAUUUCACCAUUAGGAGGUGGGUUUGAAGCUCACCUUGAGCACUCAAACCAUUGUUUUUGAUCCUGAAAGAAGCAAAAAGAAGCUCAAGCUACUUAGAUAUUCCAUUAGAAGACCUAUUCUAGGUUUAUUCAAACCCAUUUUCUAGGGUGUUUACUACAUUUUAGGGUUCAAGCUUACCUUGUAACUUCAUUUCUGCCACUAGAGAAGAAGAAGAUGAAGUUGCUUCACCUCUUGAUCUUCUUUGCUUCAGCCUUCUCUUCCUUCUUUUCCUUUCUUUCUUCUUUCUUCUUCUUUCCUUUGCCUCUUUUAGGAGGAGAGUGGAGAGAAGAGAGUGUUUGAGAGGGUGAGAAAUGAGAGAAAUUUCUUCAUUUACCCGCCGCAGUACAUAGCUCUAUGGGUUUGUAAAAUGUAAUUAAACCCCUCAACUUUUCACUUUAAACACUCGCCCGAACUGGCCAGUUCGGCAGGCGGCGACCGGUCUCUCCUUCAAGGGUGGGGGACCGGUUCCCGGAACAGUGUCCCAGCGCAGCCACAACUCCUGCGCGGCCAGUGCAAACCGGUCUCUCGUUUGUGGGGACCGGUCUCUCAGGUGGACGCGUCUCUACAGGCAGCGGACCGGUUCCGAGGAGCUGUUUUCUCAGGACUUUUAGCCGAUUUUUCGUCUGCUCUCACCCUUCAUACGCAUUGGGGGAGCCGGUCUUCCCACCAGGGACCGGUCCCCGAGACUGAAAAUCUGCCAGUUUUUUGCAGGAAUUUGAUUCUUUUAGCUCUCGAAAAACUCUUCCACAACGCCAGCUUGUUGAUUCAUUUUAACACCUUCGACUUUCUGAAGUUGUACCGUCCUCGCCACUUUUUGCGUCAUUUGACUAAAGUUUCGACAUUAUUUCCGAAUUUGACGGCUAUAGAUUACACGUUAUAGAACCCGUAUUUGAUCAGUGCAGAGGCUAUUGAAGAGCUAGAAUCGAGUCCGAGUUUCGUUUCAGCUGUUCGACUCGUGAAUGCUGAUGAGAAUCUGGCGCUAAGGAAAAAGAAACUUGCUUCUCACAUCAGUACAAAAAGUUCUCUUCUUCAAGCUACUGAAAGUGUUUCCUUAGAGCUUCGGCAAACUAGAGAGAAAAUAAGAGAGCUUGAGGAGAAUAUAUUGCAGUUGAAGAGUACAGAAGCGGAAUUGUCACUUAAACUUGAAGUGGCUGAUGACUCUUUAAAGAACUUAACGCCGACUGAAAAAGAACUGCGAAAGGAUGUCGCUGAUGCAGAAAAGGAAUAUGCUGCAGCCACUGAAGAUUGUAAUGGUUCCAAAGAAUCCGCCGGUCUUCGAGGAUUAAUAGAGCUAUUUGAGGAGCGACGUCAAAUAUUUGAAAUUUGACUUUCUCUUUUCUUCUCCUUGUCAUUAGAUGUUUUUCAUUUGUCACUAGUAUGAAACAGUGUUUGGUAGUUUCAAUAAUUUGAAUGACUUUAAUUAUGCUUGAGUAUUUGAUCUCUUUAUACUGUCUUUAUAUUGUACCGCAUUGUGACAAUGAUUGUUUGGUGAGAAUAGUUUGUUUAUUUUGCCUCGAUCAUCACGUAUAACCAGCUCUAAAUUGAGUUAACGCUCUGUUGUCUGGACAAAGAUUCUUAAUUCGCCACAGUUAAUAUUUCAUAUGCUAGAGGCUCAAAUCAAUGUUUAGAGACAUGGUUAAUUUUAACUAACUUCUCGGUGCUCUUUUUUUUUUUUUUUUUUUUUUUUUGAAUGCUCAGUUUAACUAUAUGGCGGUCAAAUUACAUUAAAUGCUCAGUUUAACGACAUGGCGGUCAAAUUAUAUUAAAUGUUCACCCUUUUUGAAAGCAAUCGAAAUUGCUACACAUAACUGACCCUAAGGCGAGUUAGUGGAAAAAAUAUAUUUUGGGUAAUAGGAGACAUGGUUUGAUUUUUUUUAUUUUACCUCGAGAAGCAAUCGAAAUUGCCGCAUAACUGACCCUAAAGUGAGUUAACAUUCCGUCAUAGGCAAAAUAUAUUUUGGGUGAUCUGGCGCCCAUAUGGGUUUUCACAAGAUACCUUCCCCUAACUUUUACCUGUGAGCGUCGAAAGGUUUUCUCACAGCGGGGAUCCCAAUUUUGCCUGUGGGGUUAUACCACAGCCGGAAAUUUUUUGCAUUUUUACCCUUGAAGUCCAAUAUGGACAAUCAAGUCCGCUGGUGGCUCAAAAAUUAGAUAACAUGUCCUCCACUUUUUAUUUUAUACAUAAUAUUUCUUUAAGAAACGGCCGUUGAUAGGUGGCAUUGGCCUUUCACCUUUGGCGUCAAUUAAUUGGUAGGCACCGCCUUCAUAAGCUUUCUCCACCACAUAUGGGCCUUCCCAAUUUGGAUCAAACUUCUUCCCAGUAUGUUUAUUGAUUAUAAUCGGUCUGCGAAGAACGAGCACCAGCUCCCCAACACUAAAGGUGCGGUAUCGGGUGAGCUUAUUAUAUGCUCUCGCCAUCUGGGCUUGAUAUAGCUCCAAAUUUUGCUGGGCAGUUAACCGAGUUUCAUCCAAUGCAUCUAGCUCAUCAAGCCUUAGUAGAGCAUUUUCUUCAUUUGUUAACUCGUGUUGAACUGCUAUUCGUAAUGAGGGCAAUUCAACUUCUAGUGGUAAUACCGCCUCAACACCGAACACCAAAGAAUAGGGUGUUGCUUGAGUUGGCGUUCUGUAUGUGGUCCGAUAGGCCCAUAGAGCUUCGAUGAUCCGCAUAUGCCAUUCCUUUUGAUUUUUGCCGAUGAUUUUCUUCAAUAGCUUUGUCAAAGUCUUAUUAAAGGCUUCGGCCAAUCCAUUAGCCCUUGCAUUAUAUAUUGAAGAAUAUCUCCAAUCAAUUUUAUGUUGAGUGGCAAAUCUAUUGACUUUGAAACUCCUGAAGGCAGUUCCAUUGUCAGAUAUAAUUCGCCUUGGAACUCCGAAUCGAUAUAGAAUAUUUUCUCUAAAGAAUUUGACGAUAUCAUCUGCUUUUACUUCUCUUAGUGGGAUUGCUUCAACCCAUCUAGAAAAGUAAUCUGUAGCAGCAAGAAUGAAUUUAUGCCCCCUGGAAGAUGGCGGAUUGAUAGGUCCUAUCACAUCUGUUCCCCACAUAUCAAAUGGCCAUGAGGCGAUUGUAGGAUGCAAAGGGUUUGGAUGUCGAUGAAUGAAGUCACCGUGGAUUUGACAUUGAUGGCAUUUUCUAGCAUACAUCAUACAAUCUUGUAUCAUUGUUGGCCAAUAAUAUCCCAAAUGUUUAAUUUUGAGGCGCAUUUUUGGCCCUGAUUGGUGCGCUCCGCAAACACCCGAAUGAACUUCAUGCAUGACUUGUUUAAUCUCAUCUGGAGAUAAACAUUUAAGCCAUAAUUGAUCAUAAGAUCUGCGAUAAAGCUGAUCAUUAACAAAUACAUAUCUCAUUGCCCUUUUCUUAAUUUGUGCCUGUCUCGACUUUUCCUCUGGCAACUUAUUAUAUUUGAGAAAGUCGAUGAAAGGUUCCCUCCAAUCAUCUUCUAUAUCGAUAGUUGCGACUUCAGCUUCCUUUGUAUCUUUUUCUGGAUUUAAGUCAGCCGGGGACAAUAUUUUCCGAUUCCGUAUAGUUAUUUGGACUUCAUCCAUAGUGGGAUCGGCAAGCUCUUUAGCCAAUCUAGCUAGGGCAUCGGCUUUUCCAUUUACAGCCCUGGAUACUUUUUCUAUUUUUACAUAUGGAAUUUUCUCCAUAAGAUAUUUUACCCUCGUCUGAUAUUCGACCAGCUCAGGUUUAUGUACUUUAAACUCCCCUUCAACUUGGUUGAUGAUUAAUUGGGAGUCUCCGAAGAUAUGCAAUUUUUGUAUGUUCAACUGGAUUGCAAUUUCCAAACCAGCAACAAGGGCUUCAUACUCAGCCUCAUUAUUUGUGCGGGGUUCAGAAAGGGCUAAUGAGUAUCUUAAAAUGCCUCCUUCAGGUGUUAUAAAGAUUAACCCUAUCCCGGCCUUAAUUUGAGGAAUAUUUGGGCUGAAAGCUGGUUGAAUUGAGGACGCGCCAUCAAAAUACAUUUUCCAAUAGGGUUGGUUGUCCGUAGCAAACAUGAUGUGCUCAUCGGGCAAAUCGCAGACCAAAGGUGAGUCAUCUGGAAUUGGGUGCGCAGCUAGGAAAUCAGCAAGUGCUUGACCUUUGGUGGCUUUCUGUGGCACAUAAGUGAUGUCAAAUUCCAGCAAUAUAACAGCCCACUUUGCCAACCUUCCAGUCAAAACUAGUCUUGUCAUUAAGAAUUUAAGUGGGUCCACCCUCGAAAUUAAGUGAAUUUUAUGCUCCAACAUAUAAUGCCUUAAUUUCUUAACGGCAAAUAUAAGGGUUAGACAGUGCUUUUCAAUUGGCGAGUAAGAGUUUUCUGCCCCCACCAACAUCCUGCUGAGAUAAUAUAAAGCACUUUCCUUUCCUUCUUCAUUAUUUUGAGCAAGGAGUGCACCCAGCGAUCCUUCAAGCGCAGCAGUAUAUAAAAUUAAUGGCCUACCAUGGAUAGGGGCAGCAAGCACUGGGGGACUUAAUAAAUAUUUCUUAAUAUCGUCAAAUGCUGUUUGACAAUCAUCGUCCCAUAUAAAAGGCGCAUCCUUUUUCACCAAUUUGGAAAACGGUUUAAUUCUGCCAGAUAGAUUUGAUAUAAACCUUCUGAUAUAGGCCAAUCUUCCUUGAAAGGAUCUUAAUUGCUUCAAAUUCUUUGGAGGUGGCAAUUCCAUGAUAGCCUUGAUUUUUGCCGGGUCGAUUUCAAUUCCUCUAUAUCUAACAAUAAACCCGAGGAAUUUGCCCGAAUAAACUCCAAAUGCACAUUUGAGAGGGUUCAUUUUCAGAUUAUAUUUUCUUAAUCUGGUGAAAACUGUUCUCAAGUCUUCAAAAUGAUUUGCUUUAUUCACAGUUUUGACCACCAAGUCAUCAACAUAACACUCAACAACCUUGUGGAGCAAAUCAUCAAAAAUUAUUGUCAUAGCCCUUUGAUAAGUGGCUCCUGCAUUUUUCAGACCAAAGGGCAUAACCUUAUAACAGUAUAUGCCAAUUGGAGUUCUAAAAGCAGUGUGUUUUUCGUCCUCAGGUGCCAUCUUUAUCUGGUUAUAUCCAGAGGAACCGUCCAUGAACGAUUUUCGUCCUCAGGUGCCAUCUUUAUCUGGUUAUAUCCAGAGGAACCGUCCAUGAACGAAAACAUCUCGUAACUUGAAGUAUUAUCGAUCAUUAGUUCGGUGACUAGAAGUGGAAAAUCGUCCUUUGGACAUGCUUUAUUCAGAUCUCGAAAAUCAACGCAUAUGCGAAUUUGACCAUUCUUCUUUUUCACUGGGACUAUGCUCGCGAUCCAGUCAGCAUAUUUUUCUUCUCUGAUGAACCCUGCUUCAAUAAGCUUUUUAGUCUCAGUUAUGAUCUGUUCUUCUAAGUCAACUCUUGUCCUUCUUGGAGCUUGUUUAACUGGAGCCACAUCUGGACUAAUGGCAAGUUUAUGAACAGCCACACUUGGAUCUAAGCUAGGCAUUUCUUUAUACGUCCAAGCAAAGCAGUCUUUAUAUUCCAUCAAUAGUGCUUUCAACACAUCUUGAUCUUCUUCUGGAAGUAAUGCACUAAUAUAAGUGGGUCUUCGAUCCUCUUCAUUACCCAAAUUUAUUUCUAUAAGCUCAUCAACGGUGGCGCUUGCCCCCCGUCUUCAAGCUCUUAUGGAGCAUCUUUUAAUUCAAGAAGCUUUGUUUUUACUGACUCAGUUGAGAUCAUGUCCUUAUCUUGCUUCAUAUCCUUUAUUGUAAUCAUAGUGCAGGUAUGUCGUAUGACAUGUGAAUCAUUGUUGGUUAUCUUGGGCACAUGAGCAGAUUGAUGAUAUCCUAGCCCUCUCGUGUGUACCGUUCGGCCAUUUGGAAGCACGACUCUUUUUUGUGGUGGAUUCCACAUUUUCUGAAAAAAUUUUCGAUUGGCUCGUGACCUUCUUACAGGAAUUCCCGAUCUAUUCAUCAUGUUUUUGAGAUUCUUCGGAAAGUAUUUUGGCACGUUGACAUCUUCAUAUAUUUCCNAUUGGCUCGUGACCUUCUUACAGGAAAUCCCGAUUUAUUUAUCAUGUCUUUGAGAUUUUUUGGAAAGUAUUUUGGCAUGUUGACAUCUUCGUAUAUUUCCUCAUCAGAGUUAUCAAGCUUGAUAAGAUCAGAGGGUGUAUAAUCAUCUGAUUUAUAAAAAAGGAUCCCUUUCUUUAUUCUUUCUUUUCUUUUGACUUUCUCGACUUGAGGAGGUACAAAGAAGGUUUUUAGAUCAUUCACUUUUGCUGGCUCAUUUAUGUGAAGAGAUUUUAUAUGUCCAUAUGGAACUCUAGUAAUAGUUAGGGAAUCCUCAAUCAAUUCAGGAGUUCUUACGAACAUAUUUGACUCGGAUGUCAAGAAAGUUUCUUCAUCUUCUGAUGAGUCUUCUCCCCAGGGCAUGUUCAACUUGAAAGAAAAUGUUUCCAACAUUUUUCUUACUUGUUCUUCAUCAUCAGAAUCUUCUGAAUCACUUCCGAAGUGUGGAAUCACAUUUUCUUUAUUAUCCUCAAUUUUUAUCUUUCUCUUUGACAAUUUUUUAUCGCUCUGAACUUUACCCUCUUCGAGUUCGCGAGACAACUUUAUAUCUUUUUCAGAUUCUGCAAAAUACCUCGCAUCUUCAUAUCGUAUUUCAUGCACUCCAAAUGGGCGUAUAUCACCAUCAAUUCUGAAUUCUUCUCCAUCCUUAAUAUAUUUCAUACAUUGAUGAAGAGUAGAGGGGACAACGUUAUACUCGUGCAACCCAGGCCGUCCCAAUAACACUUUAUACGAAGUAUCUGCAUUUAUCACAUAAAAUUUUGCUUCGGUCCGUAAUGCUCCAAAUUUUAUAGAAAGAAUGAUCGACCCGAGAGCUUUUUGGCUAUGUUGAUUAAAGCCUUGGAUCACGAUUUUCUCCGAGGACAGAUGAUCGACAUUCAGAGCUAAACUUUUCAAAGUUCUUAAAGUCAAAAUAUUGAUUGAGGAUCCAGGAUCGAUUAAAAUGCGAUUAAUCUUAUCUCCAUCACUUGUCCCAGUCACAUAUAACGGCCUAUUGUGAUGAGCAGUUCCCAACAACAUGUCUUUAUCAGUGAAGAUAACAUUGGCGACAUGUCUGGCGUAUAACGCCUCUUUCAUAUUCACCUCAGCAAAAUGAGCAUAAAAGGGCUCAGGAUUUUGUAAAGCAUAAAUGAGUACGUCCCGAAGUUCUUUGGACAUCAUCAGAGCGUCAUAAACACUCAGCAAAGCAGGCACUUUUCUUAAAUGGGAAAGUAUGUUAUAGUCAGCCUUUGAUAAUCUCCCUUGACUUGAUGAAGUCGGUGCCUCUUCAUUUAUCCGAAUUUCUUUAUCUUUAAGAUUUUGAGGAUGUCCUUGUCUUUCUGGUAAUACUUUUCCAGAUUUCAGCGUGAUUUGCAAAGAAUCCUCAGCUUCUUUAUCUUGCUUAGUAUUAGAGUCAGUACCACAAGUACCAGUUUGGCAUGUUUCGACUCUAGUCUUUUCAAGAGUAUCGAACUUGUUGAGGAUCUCUUUCAAUUGUUCCUUCAUGCUUUUUACCGCCAUGGCCACACAAUCUAUGUUUGUUGCUAGAGAGCGUACAUCAAUCUGCACUCUCCUCAAAUCAUUGUCAAUCUCAAGAAGACGAUAUUUCAUUCUCCUUGCACCAUAAUCCCUGCUCGGGGUAUUGUAUGCUAGCCACGCGGUAUCAUCAUCUUCACGUGCACCAGCAGAUUGCCUGACCAUAUUCUCUUGAUUUACAGAGUCGUCAGAUUGCUCUUUAGAGAUUAUUAUUACUCGACAUGACUCUUUGAGCUGUGAUUUGUUUUUUCUAUGGUCUCAAAGUUUCACGCAUACAUCAUAAGCAUGACCUCUCGCUCCACACCAACAACAACGCGGUUUCAUAUCAUCGAAAGCAUCAUAACAUGCUUUUCUGAAUUCUUCCAGAGUAAUGGGUUGUUGUUUCUCAAAUCGUGGCAGAUGUCUCUUCCAUCGUUGACUUUUGGACCCGGCAACCGUCGGUUGAUCGACCUUUAGCUUCGCCUUGUCAACAGUUAGAUUCUGCAUCAUUUUCCAUUGGCGACAAUUUUCUAGGGUGUCCCCCCAUAUAUUGUGAUAGGAACAGAACUCUGUCGACAUAACUUUCUUUUUCCCUUCCUUAAUUAGAGGUUCAUUAUUCUGGCGAGCCUCUGACUGCUGGCUUAGAGUUGGUUUCUUCUUCUUUUUCAGCGAAGAUGACCCUGCAUUUCCUCUCACCGACAUUCUUUUAAUUUCUAGAGCAAUUAUGUGUGCUUCAUAGAAAUUUGCGUCGUAUUCGGCUUUUGUUGACUUUAAUUGCUCCGAAUCAACUUGCGCAGUUAUGACUCGGCAUGUCUCAACCCGACAUCUUUUUGAUGCUUCAGUAGCAUCUGUCUUGAGCAUAUCUAUUAUAGUUCUCAUUUGAAUAUCUAUGCCCUUUAUAUCGCCAGUCAUACUGUUCAUAUUCAUCUUUAUGAAGUUAAUAUCAUUGUGCAGCCUCCUCAUUUCUUCCUCCAUUCUGAUUAAGCGACACUCCAUUCUAUACAACUUCUUCAUUGGAUCAUUAUAAGUUGAAGUGUCGUAUAAUUCCAAAGGAUCAACAUAAGUAUCAUCGUUUGGUGUGGAGGUCUGUUGAUUUGCCCCCAGGGUCGGCGCAGGGCUUUCUGACACAUCAUCUGACACGUCAUCAGAUAUUGUAAUCACACGGCAUGACUCCGGUGUGUAAGGAAUAGUCUUGUGCUUAUUUUUCUCCUGGAUUUUCACAGUUGUGCUUCUGACACUUUGCCUUAUGUUUGCCCUUUGAGAAAACUGACCUUUUGGUUUUCUUAUAUAUUGAAAAGUACGACAGUUUUCUAGGUUAUGUCCUUUCACUUGAUGAAAAGGGCAAUACAUAGGUGUAUUUUUACUGUCAGAAGACUGAGAAUUAACGCCUCCCAUCGGCGCCGUUCUCGAGCAUUCCCCUUUGUUAAAUUUCUUAUUGACUCCACCCUUAUUUUUGGUUUUUGUAAGGGGAGCUUUUCCUUCAUCUUUUUGAGAAGUUUCAGGUGAAAGCUGUUUUGAAGAUCGACUUGUAAGCCUUGAUAAUAUUUCGAUAUCUUGUUCUCUGUUAUUUUGCGACUGAGUCUGUUGAGGGAUGGGAGUAAUCUUCAUUAAUUGUUCUAUUCUGGCUUCGAUCCCAAUCAACAUAGAGAACAUUACAUUCAUUUGUGCUUUCAUAUCUAAUAUUUUAUCAUUCACCCUGUGAUAGUUGCAAUGCGUCAUUUCUUUCAUUUCUUCCAAUUGGUUGUGAACUUCUCUGAGGUUCCUUUCUCGUUCCCUAACGUGGCUAGAAGGAAGGAUAAUUUCUUCAUCGUCACGUUGUGCGGUGAUGACUCUGCAAGUCUCUUCCCAAAAAGGCUCUUCUUUUUCUUUACACUCCUCGACAGGGAUUUCUCUUUCAUCUGAGUCUUUCUUUUUCUUAGCCUCUUCUAUUGCUUUAAAAAUAAAAUCAUGGAUCAAGAGAGGCUCUCUUUCAACUUGUUUAUAUUCUUCCAUUGAGUCGAUGUGUUCCUCAAUAGGCCGCUUCUUAUGUUGUGGUUGAGCCGGCUCAACAAAUUUUUUAUUCUUCUUCGCCCGAGCUAUUCUGCGCCUCGACUUGGAUGGAGUAUUAGAUUUUUUGACUGAAGGCAUGGGCUUAUCCUCAGACUGCAUUUCCGGGUUUAAAGGCCCUCGCCAUUUUAUCCCUGGAACCUCUUUUAAAUAUUUUAACAUUUUCCGAGUUUUCUUAGAUAAGAACAUAUUCCAAAACUCGGGGAAAAAUGCAUUUUCAAUUCCUUCUAUAUUUUUCGCACCCACACCAAUCAUAUUGGUCUUUUCGACUGGCGUUUCUGAUAAUACCGACUGUGAAAAGGUAAUUGCGCCGGUUUUAUAUUAUUUUUCAAUCCAGUCUUUGAAAACCCAGCAAUCUUCAAUUGGAUGGCUAAUUAGCCUAUGAUAUGGGCAGUAUUUUGAAUUAUCAGUUUUCCCCACAUCCUCCGGCUUCCUUGGCUCGGGCAGUUGAAGACCAUUUUUAACAGCAUCGUUAAAUAUUUUCUUAACUUUCUCCCGUUUGAAAGGGUACACUUUAUUUCUUCGCUCUUCCAGAGAAAGUGCUUUUGGAUUAUUGCCCCCAAACAUAGGCUUUACAGGGGUCUGUUCAACUGCAGAGGUAAUUGCCCUUUUACCAUUUUCUAUCAUGUUCGUGCGGGCCGGUCUAGCCUGUGCCGGUCUAGCCUGUGCCAUCUUUGCCUCAACUCUUUUAUUAUCAUCCCUUUUUGUCUUUUGUACAUUUACUAAGACUUGGGGAUCAGUUCUCUCCAACCUAGAGACGUUUGAUAUUAAUUCAUGAAAGGUGGAACAACUAGAUGUGCACAGAAAUGGGGCCAUCCAAUUAUCAAUGUUGCCCAUAACAAGACCAACGGCCUGGGUCUGAUCUAGAGGUUGUUCACACCUUAUACUUAAGUUUCGCCACCUCGUAAUGUAAUCUAGCAUUGUUUCAUCUUUUCUUCGUCUGGUGGCUACCAGAUCAGCGAUAGUAAUCUUAUCGCUAACAGUGGCGAAUUUUGCUUUGAAAGCUUCUUCCAUGUCGGGCCAAGUUUUAAUGGACUCAUCUUCGAGGGAGUAGUACCAUUCAAAAGCUAUACCUGAUAAGCUUUGUGGAAAUUGUCGCAAAAGUAGAGGUCCGUUACUCCCUGUAUUUCCACACAUGGCCUUAAAAUGUGCUAGGUGCUGAUCAGGGUUACCAACACUAUAGAACAUUUUGAACUUAGGGACUUGAUACCCGUCUGGAAAAGGUAUAUUAUCAUAUUCUGAUAGAUAAGGAUGUCCUUUCCCUUUUGGUUUUGGGUUUGCCCCCGCUACUGUCUCUUUAACUUGAGAAGUGAUCAAAUCAUGAAUCUCUUCUUUAGUUAAAGAGGUAGUCUCUUUAGGAACAGUUGUUUUAGCCUGUUCAUCAAUGACUUGGGGUGCGAGUGCUUCUGUCCGAGCUGGAGUCUUGGUUUGAUGCCGUUGAUCCUCCAACUGCUUCUGUACAUUCAUCAUCAAAUCCAUAACCUCCUCCAUUUUCUUAUAGAGACUUAUAAUAUCUCUAUCUUUUUCAUCAACUUUCUUUUUCAAGGAUGCGAUUAUACCAUCCUUUGGAUCCCUCAGGAAGAAUACAACCUCUUCUUCCUCCCGUGGAUCAGAUAGAUCACCAGGUAAAUCAUCUUUAUUCCUGGUGUUUUGCGAAGAGCUUGUUUUUUUAGCUCUCGCCUUCUCUUCUGCUGCUUUUCUUGCAGCAGCUCUGGUAAGCAUUUGUUGAAUUGUUUUUUCUUCGUUAAUAGCCUCACUUGAGGGCACACGCCCUAUAACUCUCACAGUAUGAAUCUCCAAAUUUUUAGAUUUUUCUUCUUUGAUUUGAGUAAGAGUUUUGGGCUUCCAUUCUGUUUUUCUCCCUUCAUGGGAUAGCGUCGACCUUCGCUGCCAUUUUGGCUUCUCAAUCUUCUUCUCUAUGUUUAUCCUUCCCUUUGCAGCCUUAAAGGCUUUAUAUAUCCGCUUGCAGAGAGGGUUCUCGUUAUUGUUUCUCGAACGAGAACAUGCAGGGGAAGGCUUUAAGUGGGCCAUUUCUGACUCUGGGCGCAGAACGGCCGUAGGUGAGUUUUUCCUCACAAACCUCAGGGGUGCAUAUCGGUUAUGGACCAAAACAUCAGGUCCAGCGACAAACCUAGUAAGUUGGGUUUGUCGAGACUUCUGUUCCUUGUUCAUCUCUUGCCGCUUCAAAGUACGGCGAAGAUUUCUUUUGAAUGCCUUUGUCAUAGGAGACACAGCAUUUUUGGGGAACGUCAGCCUAUUGAAGACUGACGCUUUAGGCGCCAUAUCAAGUGGCGAUGUUCCCUCACUUCGAUUUUGGAACACCAGCCUACCUUGUAGCUCCAUUCUCUUUGAAGCACUGAUAAGCGUGAUCCUCUCCCUCACAGGGACACGAGAGGCGUUAAGUGUCAUCCUCUCCUUCAUUGGAACGCGAGGAGGGUUGGGGAUGACGACAUUCGGGCGCCUUCCNGAACACCAGCCUACCUUGUAGCUCCAUUCUCUUUGAAGCACUGAUAAGCGUGAUCCUCUCCCUCACAGGGACACGAGAGGCGUUAAGAGUCAUCCUCUCCUUCAUUGGAACGCGAGGAGGGUUGGGGAUGACGACAUUCGGGCGCCUUCCACGAGAGGGAAGGCGGGGAACCACAAUCUUAACAUUAUUUGGGCUAACGACAGCAUUGAAAGGGGCCAUAGCCGCAGCCCUAACCUCUUCAGGGAUGGUGCCGAACUGGAUCGCAGCACCAGCAGCUCCAAUGGUAAGGACAGAUGCCGGCAGGCAAACCUGUCCUGCAUUGAUCAUCAUUGAACCUGUAGCAGUAGCAGUGUUCUUCGGUGCCAUUUCUCCUGUAAGGGAAUAACGAGUGUCGAUUAGAUAUUUAUCAUUCAAUUCUAUUAGCAUAUCAUUGGUCUCAGAGAUGGAAGGAGAAGCCAUGUCCCACCGGGCGUGCCAUUUUGUCUACCACCACGAAUGACAUACCUCGCACGGUUAAUUUUAUUUUGAUUUUCCACCGUGGGGUAGUAUUCAUGAUUCAGAUUAAUAUUUGAAUAUGUAUGGGAAUCAGGUUUUGUGGAUUCAUGGCUUCCAAUAAACACAAGCGUUUAUUGUUAAUUACCCCUACAAAGUGUUAGGGCACCUUCGAUUAAGAGACCUUUGUAAUGCUGUGAUUGAAUAAAAGAUGAAUUUUAUAACAUAAUUCAGUAUGACGGUUGAUUGAAUUUGAUUCUGAACCAAGAUAUCAAAGUAUAUAAUCAAAUUGAUUUGAUUGGGCUUCAUAUGUUUCAGUGCUUAACAAUAUUGUUCACCCUAAGGUGGAAGGUUGAUUAAAUUCCAUGUAUAUACAUUGGGAUUUAAUCAGAUUUGAUUCAAAUUAAACUCUAAUUAAAUGAAUUAGAGUUUGAUUUAGUUAAUCGAACUUUAAAUAUAUGUUAUAAAGUCCAAUGGGAUUUGAUUUAAGCUUUCAUCCUAGAUGUAUAUGUUAGGAUUAGCUCAAAUAUUUUUGAUUAGACUCUAAUUUUAUAUCUUAAAGUCUAGUAUAAUUAAGCUCUAUGCUUAUAUGUUCGAGCUUAAUUAAGUUCACCAUAAGGCCAAAUAUUAACUAAAUCCUAAUUAUAUGUAUUAGGAUUAGUCAAAAUUUGAUUAAACUCUAAGUGUAUGCAUUAGAGUUUAAUUUGGUUUCACAUGAACUAAAUCCUAAUUAUAUAUGUUAGGAUUAGUCAAAAUAUUUUAAAUUAAACUCUAAACGUAUAUAUUAGAGUCCAAUUUAAUUUCAUUUGGGUUCGCCAUAAGAUGAAUUUAUGUCCAACAUGUAGCGAGAUGCGGACCAAAUCCUAAUUAUAUGUGUUAGGAUUAGCCGAAAUUAAACUCUAAGUGUAUGUAUUAGAGUCUAAUCAAGAGAUGAAUUUGGGUUUACCAUAAGAUAAGAUAUCAACUAAAUCCUAAUUUUAUAAGUUAGGAUUAGUUAAAAUUAAACUCUAAGUGUAUGCAUUAGAGUUUAAUUUAAUUUCAUUUAUAUGAACUCUAAGUAGAUGGAUUAGAGCUCAAUUGAUUUGAUUAGAUGAAACCUUGUAUAUGAUUUGGUCAACUCUAAUCAAAUAUUUUAGAAUUUGAUCGAGUUUGAAUGUGUUGAGAUUUGACUCUAGUUAUAUAUGCUAGAGAAAAGGUUUGAUAUGGGCUCAUUUGGAUUGGAAUUAAUUGGGUUGGGUUCGGCUUGGAUCAAUUUGGAUAAAUAAUUGGAUUGGGUUUGGUUUAAUUGUGUAGGUUGGCUAUUGGGUUUGGAUUCAGGCUUAACAUGGACUGGUUUCAUUUUGAUUUGGAUUUAGGCUUCAUGUUUUGGUUUGGAUUUGGGCCUCAUAUUUUGAUUUGGAUUUGGGCUUCAUAUGGGCCGAAUUCAUUUUGGAUUGAGAUUUGGGUUCAAUAUGGCUCAUUUGGAUUUGGAGUUGAAUUCGGGCUCAUUUGGGCUUGGGCUCAAUUUGAUUUGGGCUUGAUAUGGGAUUUGGAUUUGGGUUCAAUACGAGAUUUGGAUUUGGGCUCAAUGUAAGAUUUGAUUGGUUGUGAAUCUGAAUUUGGGCUAGAUUCCAGUCCAUAUAGUUUUUUUAAAAAUUUGGAUCUGGGCUAUAUAUAUAGUUUCAUGGGUUUAAAAUGGCCCAAAGUUGGAUUUAUACAAUUGCAUUCAAACAUAGGUCAAAUUCAGGCCCAUAUAAUGUUGGGGCUUAAAUUACAUAUGGGCUUGGGCUUAAUUUAGGCCUGAUGGCAUAAGUCCAAAUUUUCUUUUAGGCAGAUCAUGAAAUUGGGCCUAGAUUUGCGUUUGGGCUGGUCUUAAUGAACUUGUGAGAUGAAUAUAGUUUGGUCUAUAUGAGAUUCGAAAUCAAAAUAUUUAAACAUUUAGUUCAAAAUCAAAUUCAUCCGAAAUAUAAUUAAAUAUUGAUUCGAUUUAAUUCGACCAAAUCGAAAGGUUCAAUUGAAGGGUUCGAUUAUUUUUGAACACUGUUAAAAGAACAAUCAAAAGAAUAUUAAUCGAAAAUCCGACUAAUUUUCUUUCAUUUCUUCAUUGAAUGAGAAUUAAGAGAAUACAUUUUUUUCUCUUUAUCUCUUUUAAAAAUAUAAUAUAACAGAGAUGAAUAAUUUCUUUUUAUCUCUUUUACAUUCGUGGGACAACUAAGGCGGGAUAAAUCCCUUCCUUGCCUCCCUAACAGUAACAAAGCUCCCUCUCUCUUUCAUAAUUAGCUCUUUUUCUCUUUUGAUAAUAUCUUUCUGCAAAGAAAAGAGCAUCGCUCUCUCUUUCUUUCGAUGAUGCUGUAUUUUAUAAAGAGAAGAGCACCGCUCUUUCUUUCUUUCUCUCUUUUAAUACUAUUUUUAUAAAGAGAAGAGCACCGCUCACUCUCUUUAUGUACAAAUCGGGUCCGACGUUAAAAGUACGUCUUAAGCAUUUUAUCAAAUAGUUGGCCGGCAUGAUUCGUUGGCGUGAACUCCGUCAGACCAAUAUCCUAGGCGGCUUUGUAGGCGACGAGGUUGAUACUGUUGCUGCCGAGUCUGCUGAGAUUGGUUUGUACAUUUGCGAGGGGCGAGCCGUCGACAUCCGGGAACUCGUCGAACGAGUCCUGGCAGGUGUCAACGAACGUGCCGACGGUCGAAAGCUCACCGUUGACGUCCACGAUCAGCCCGUCGCCGCGCACCAAUCGUCGGCACAUUCUGUAGCGCGUCCGCCGCUUGCGCGUGCUCCGCCUUAAACGCCGCAGCCUGGACCGACGUUGCGGCUCGUUGUGGCCACAGAUCGAACACCUGGUAAGCGGUGAUGAGUUGGUUCAGCGCGAGCUGGCACGCGGUCAUGCCGUUGUCGAUGAGCCUCUGAGGUUCGCGUAGGCGCUCAGCUAAGUUUGGAGGAGACGCGCGGGGCCGGUGUUGACGAACUUGGCGUCGCGGCCCACCGAGUAGGUCGCAGGCGAAGGCGAUCUCGAACCCGGCGGUGACGGCGAAUCCGGCGAUGACGCUGGCGAUGGGCUUGCGGCACGCGGCCAUGGCGAUGGCAGGAGCGGCGUUAGGGUCUUUGACGUCGCCUUUGAAGGUGUUCUCGUCGGCGGUAAUGUCGACACCGGAGCAGCAGGCGCGGUCGCGCUCAGCGAGGACCACGGCGGAUCCAUGGGGUCGCUGCUCCACUUGAGCAUUUCAUCGAGCACCUUGUCGGAGGUCCCCGCGGCAAAGCGCGGGGAGAGGGCGCGGUUCGCGGCGUUGGAGUCGUCGAGGGCCUCGAGCUGCGCCUUGAUGGAGUGGGCAGUUUCAGCGGAUCGCGGCCGUCGCGGACGGCGCUGACGACGACGCAUUCGGUGGCGGCGUAGUAAGCGACCUUCUCGAAGGUCGACACGGGGCGGUCGACGAGGACGAUGGGGUUGUAGCCGGGUCGGCCGAAGCGGGCGUUAAUGUAGCGGGUGAUGGAGCGAGCCUCGUCGGCCACCUCCUCGACGUCGCGGCCAUGACUAUGCGCCGGGUUGGUGAUCUGGACGAGCACGGCGCGGCCACGGAGCUCGGAGCACUCCUCGAGGAGCCGCUCCAUGGCGAGGAAGCGAGCGGCCUCAGCAGCGGCGAAGAAGCGAGCGGCCUUGGCAGCGGCUAAGAAGUGAGCGGCCUCAGCAGCACGGGGGUCGGCGAGGAAGCGAGCGGCCUCGGGAACGCUCAGUCGAGGCGGCAGUCGCCGCCGAAGACCUCGGUAGUAGUGUAGUUGACACGGUUCUCGAGCUCGAGGAGGAGGUCGAGGUUCUGAAGCCCCACGUCGGCGUCGUCGUCGUCAGGGGCUCUCGUGGGCUUUGGCCAUGGUGGAUGCUUAUUUCAGAGAGAGAGUGAGAGAGCUUUGUUUUCUCUUUCUUUUUUUUUCUUUUUUUUUUAGCGAGAGAGAUAGAGAGAGCUUUCUUCUUUUUUUUUUUGAACGGGAGAAAGAGAUAAUAUAUUUUUUUUUCCUUUUUUUUUUUUUGCGAUCGACAGAAUGGGGUGGAUAUUUUUGAUUAGAUUUCGAAGAUUCAAAAAUGUUCUUUCUUUGAUUUUUUUCGAGAGGUAUUUAUGGGGUGGUUGCAACGGAUUUGAGGGAAACGUGCGUAUGAUUGUGGGAUUGAGGUGGUUGUAACAGGAUUUGAGGAAAACGUGCGUAUGGGUGCGGAGGUUAUGGGAUCGUGGAUGGUUGAGGAUUGUGGGAUGAUGGGAUUGUAGGUAUAGGUUGUUACGAUAGUAUCGUGGGAUUGUGGGAGAGAUUUUGGAUGGUUAUGAUGGGAUUGUGGGAAUAUUGUGAAUUGGUCCUUUCCCUUUGCUCAUAUUACACCUUAGUCAAUAUAAUAAAAUAUUAUAUGAUUAAAGCGGAGCAUUUUGUAAAUACGUGAAAGGGAAAGGGCUAAUAUGCUAUUUUUAAUACCCGUUCGUAUCUACGAGAACGUCCCACUAUUCGUAAUUUAUGCUCCCGGUGCAUGAGAUAUUUUCAAAAUUUAAAUUUUAUCCAUGCACCUGGUGCAUGGAUAAUCUCAUAAACCAUCUCUAUUUUUUAUUUCUUUCUCUCCCUUUUUUUUUCUUUUUCCUCUUUUAUUCCUCUCUCUUUUUUUUUUAUGCUUCAACAAGGAUAAAUGUGCAUUUCCAUUUCCUUAUGCUUUCCUAGAUGAUAUCAUAGUGUGAGUUGAAUGCUUGAUACAGUGGAUAGAUAAGGAUUGGGUCGAGACAUUGAAUCCUAUAGUGCUGAGAUAAAAGAUGGACUCGAUUGUUGAUAAGACAUAACGAGUGGCAAGUAAAUA
This 233821-nucleotide long non-coding RNA is filed under the name Ananas comosus (pineapple). RNAcentral describes it as "long non-coding RNA (ACOM_LNC005599)". Lineage: Eukaryota; Viridiplantae; Streptophyta; Magnoliopsida; Poales; Bromeliaceae. The record is from RNAcentral.